RNAcentral lists this long non-coding RNA (179446 nucleotides) under Populus trichocarpa (black cottonwood). RNAcentral's name for it is "long non-coding RNA (PTRI_LNC000482)". The stretch from base 58572 to 58727 matches the Rfam family "MIR2912 microRNA precursor family". The record is from RNAcentral. Lineage: Eukaryota; Viridiplantae; Streptophyta; Magnoliopsida; Malpighiales; Salicaceae.
AUCAAAUCGACAUUGGUGGGAAGUAAUUCCAGCUGUUUCAUUAGCUACAACAAUUUGUCUUAUUUCAUGUGUUUGUUGUGUGAACUUCCAGAAAUAAGGGUAAUGUUACGUGUUUAGUAAUUUAUUGUGCGAAUCUCCAGAAAUAAGGGCGUAUGUUUGUUUUCCCAUUUGUGUUUCUUUUUCAAGUGUCUGAACCUUAAAAAGCGAGGGCAUAAUGUUUACUCAUUUGUGUGCUUAUGGUUUAAUGUGGGGAUUCUCAUUCUCCUCAUUUUGAUGUUCUAUUUCUAUUACGAUUCUUUAUGUGGUUAAUUUGUUAUUGUGCGUACCGUAUAGUAAUACGGUUUCUACAUGAAUAUAUAUAAAUACAUGUGAAUGAGUAUAUAUAUAAAAAAAUCAAUUUAUAAAUUUAUUGAUAGAAUAUGAAAUUCCAAGGUGUAAGUAAAAGGAUAAAUCCUCUAGCUUUGAAAAGAAUUAGUGUUUGCCUUUGAGAUUGUAAUAUAUUUUUUUUCAGGUCUAUUCAAUUUAAUAUUUUUAAUAAUACAAAUGAAAAUAAACAGCAAAUUUAAUUUAUAAAUGUAACUAUCUCAAAACAAUGUAGAGAAGGAAGAAAGAUUAGUAGAAUAAAAAUAAAAUAAAUAGACUUUUAAAAAGCAAAGAGUUUUAAAUGUUAAAUUUUUUUUUUAUUUAAUAGACCCAAUUUUGUGUUUUUUUUUUUUUUUUAUAAAGAUAACUCUAUUUUAAUUCUGAUUUUUUAGCAGCACAAUUUUUCAUUCAUCAUAACACACACAUAAUAUUUUUUUUAAAUAGUUAACAUGUCAUAUUAACAUAACGGUAAGAUUAUAUUAUAAUGAUGAACAAGAAUGAAGAAUUAUACUAAAUAUAAAAUAAUAAAUCAAAAGCAUCAAUGAAAAAGAAAUCACCUUUCUAUUUAUUUAGGCUGUCUAAAGCUAAAACUUACUAGAUUAAUUUUAUCACACACAACAAUUAAUUAGUCAUUAAAUUUGGACUAUUGUUGAAAAAACAUGCUAAAUACAACAUCAUAAGCCCGAUGGGGAUAUGAACUUAAGCAACUUCUACCCAAAAAAGUGAGGAACAAGUGCCUCAUGGGGAUUAACCUCCUAAGGGACAGAGUUAGCACAAUGAGAUUUUAUCACAUAUUAUUUGUUUAAGAUUUACCAGACUUGUAUCUAAUGAGAUUCUCGUUAUAAAAUAUAUGUGUGUGAGGAGAGUAGUUCAUGAAACUUGAUCAAAGAAAUUCUUUUUUGUAAUUUCACAGAGGCUCGUCUGAUGCAAAAAGGGUUGGAAUCUGAUAAUUGUUGUGUUCAUUGUGGAGCUGUUGGGGAGUCUCGUGAACAUGUACUGGUCCAUUGUUCUUAUAUGAAUGUUAUUGUAAAAUACUAUAUAUGUACGAAUGUGAAUGAGUAAAGGAUAAAUCCUCCAGCCUUGAAAAAAUUAGUGUUGAAAAAAUUAGUAAAGGAUAUGUACUGAUAAUUGUUGAUUUCAUAUUCCCUUUAAGAGCUUGUACGUAGUUGAUUGUAAUUUUUUUUCUCAAAUUUAUUAAAUAUUUUAUUUUUGAUAACACAACAACAACUAACUUUAUAAACGUAACUCUUUCAAAAUAACGAUGAGAAGGAACAAAAAAUUUAAUAAAAACAAAGAGUUAAUGUUAAAAACUUUUUGAAAUUGUCUAUUUUUUAUAGUUAAUUUAGAAUUAUUUUAAUUAAAAAAAUAAACCGUUAUUUAACAUAUACAUCUAUAUAUUUAAACAAAACAUAACUCUAUUUUAAAAUCAAUUUUUUAGCAAACACAUUUUUUUAGCAAACACAAUUUUUCAUUCAAUGUAACAUGUAAUUUUUUUAAGAAUCGUUAACGUGUCAAUAUUAACAUACCAGUAUGAUGCUAUUAUAAUGAUCAACAAGAAUGAAGAAUUACAACGAAUAUAAAAUAAUUAGUAUAAUUGUUUAUGUUUUGCAAUGGAUUAAUAAUAAUUUUUUAAAAAUAUAUAAAAAAAUAUUAAAAAUAUAAAGAAUAUUUUAAGUGUUUUGAGUCAGACGAAUAUACCAGACUCGAGAGUUUUGGAUCUGACAACCCUUACAUAACCUAAGUAAACAACAAACAAAUAGAAAAUAAAUAUGUAUUUUAAUUGUCAAGAGAGAGAAAAAAAAAAGCACAAAUAGUCAAAGAAAUAUUUAACAAAAAGAUAAGAUGAGAAAUUAAAAAUAAAACUAGUAUUAUAAUUUAUAAUUAAAUAUUUUUUGAUCUACAGUAAUUUUCAUAUACUUGUUAUAAUAAAUCAAAAGCAUCAAUGAAAAAUAAACUUCUAUUCUAUUUGGGCUGUGUAAACCUAAACCAACUAGAUUAAGCCCAGAAUGCAUUUUUUAUCACACUGCAACAGGUAGUCCAGUAAAUUUGGAUUAUUGCUGAAAAAACAAGCUAAAUCCAACAUCAUCAGCCAGGCCCACAAUUAAACCAAAAUAGAAACCCAAAGCAAGAGGCCUAUAACAGGAUGUAUCUACUGAAGCCACUUCUCCCUAAAAAAUGGAAGGAAAAAAAAAAAAAAAACUAGGCAACUUGUGAGCCAUCAUGCAUAGCAAAGAGGAAGUGAGGAACAAGUGCCUCAUGGGGAUUCAGCUCCUAAGGGGCUUUAUCCUUCUGGAGACAUGUCUUAUAAGCUAUGAAAAUAGGACGAGAAGGAAUAAUUAUUCCUUACCUGUUCGUUUAUCAUAUUCCAAAUAAUUCGUUGUAUUAUUCCGUUGAUUGAUAGCUUCUAAGACAUGUCUCCAGAAGGAUAAAGCUGUUCAAGCAGGUCUGAACUUUCUCUCUAGCUGGUCUGCUUCUCGGUUUACACCAGCACAUACAGCAAUUCAUCCUAAUUUGCUUAAAUGGGAGAAACCUCCUCCUGGUUUUAUCAAAUGCAAUAUAGAUGCAGCAGUUGACAAUAAUCAAGAGGCUGUGGGAGCAGUGUUUGUCUUGCAUGAUGAGGAGGUGGCUUUGAUAAUGCGUGGCUGCUGGCAUGCUAAUGAUGUUUUUUUCCCAAAGUUAGCAGAGGUAUUAGUUUUGAAAGGGUUUUCUUUCAUCAUAUAUAUAUAUAUAUUGGUAUCACCCUUGAAUAUUAACCAAAUAUAACCUAAAUAACCUAAUUUUUUUUUCAUUUAAUUUCUGAUUUUCUGAAAGCAUUUGAUUAUUACAACAUAAAAUAGGAUAAAAGUUGAAAAACAAAAAGCACCCACACCUACAUAAUAAAAUGGGCUAAUUGUAUGGUCACAAUCACAUUAGCAUUAGCAGAUGUCGGCUAUAAAUUACAAAAUCAAAAUAACCUUAACCAAAAUUGAUUACCCCAAAUUAAUUUUAAAAUUAGAUUUAUUUAACUUAUAUCUAAAAUUUAUUAAUCUGAAUUUCUCCCUAUAAAAAUAUAUGGAACCUGAUAAAAAAACAAUUUCUUCUUCAAUUUUUUUAAUCAUGAUUUGUAAAUCUUGAUAUAAAGAAAAUGAGGAAUGAAUUUCUCAUGACUCCAACAAAGUAUAUGUUCAAGCCUCAUUCUCAAUGUGGAGGGGCGAGAGUAUUAAACUUCAGGAUUAAAAUAUUAUUUGGUUAUUAUUUUGAGAUAAAAAAAUAUAAAGAUAAUGGAAAUAUAAAAGAUAUGUCUUUAUAUAUUUUUUAUUUUAAAAAUAUAAAAAAAAAUUAAAAAAAUUAUUCCCAAAAAAAAUUAUUUUAUGUAGCUAUUUUCAUCUUCACCAUCAAACACAUUUUCAUCACUCCUGUAUUUAUUUAUUUUGUUUUAAAAUAUUAACUAAAUACAGCUUAAUUUUUAAAUCUGAGUUUAUAAAAAAAAUAUGAAUAUCACAACAUAGGAUAAAAGUUUUAAGAAGAAACACUCACAACAACAACAAUAAUAAUAAUAAAAUCUUUACAAAUUUAUGCUAUAAAUGACAAAAUAAAAAUAACCUCAACAAAUCUAGUCCUAAUUUUACAUUAAUCCACAAGCAAGUUGUUAAUUGGUGGCUCAUUCCAGACUGUCAAGUCAAGCAUUGAACCUUGAACUUUUCAAAUUGCAUUUUCGUUUUCAAUAUUUUGUUCCAAAUUGCAUUUUCCCUUUCAUUUUUUUGUACAUUGAUUGAAUGGUACAGUCCUCAUUUUCAUUUACUUUUGGAAAUAAACAAAAAAUUCCUUUCAAGUUUCAAGUUACUAAACGACGUGCAGCUCAAUCAAUGCCUUCAUUGCCUACGGCCUUUAAAAAAUCAACUCAUUAGUUAGUUUCGUCCUUGGCUCGCUUAGAACGACAUCCACCCGAAUGUUUGACAUGUGGCACUUGAAGAUCAGAUUAAGAGAAUGUUAGAUGUUCAAUUAAUCUUUUAAUUAUAGAAAUUUAAAAUUUGUUUUAGAUAAAAUGAUUGGUAGGAGAUAUCUAGUAAGUUAAAAUGACUGAUGUCUAAACUGCUAUGAUGAUAAGUAGUUGUUACUUGCAAAUUUGAUGUGAGUAUUCUUACAUGUUUAAGAAAGAAUUCAUAUAAAAAGAAAAAAUAUAAUAAUAUUUUAAAGAGAUAGACUCUAAAAUUAUUAAAAAUAAAGAUAUUAUUAACCUUAAACUUUGAAGAUUCAUUUAGUAUUUAUAACUCACAAAUCUUGUCUUUUAUGAAGAGAAGAAGUUGAAAAAUAAUUUUAUCCUUGUGGUAUUUUGAGUUUUAUUUCACUCAAAAUAAAAUAUUGUAAAACUCGUAUGGGAUCUUGAAAAAAUUAAUUUGAUUGUGGUAUUUUGAGUUAUAUUUUACUUAAAAUAAUAGUAUUGAAUCAAUAUAAAAUAUUGAGACAUUUAUGUGGGAUCUUGAAAAUAUUAAUUUUAUUUUUAUGAUAUUUUAAAUUAUAUUUUACUCAAAAUAAUAUAUAUUAAUUUAAUAUAAAAUAUUAAAAAACCUGUGUGGGAUCUUAAAAAAAUUUGAACGGAGAGGUAGUUCCGACGAGUUACUUAAGUUUGUUACAAGUGAAAAAUAGAUCAACACGUGCUACAUAUCCACACGUAUUGUCUAAACCCACACAUAUUGGAUUCAAAAUAUACGCUAAAGCCCAUAAAGAAGCUGGGAUGUAUGCGGAAAGGUAUAUGGGUCAAGGCAGCGUCUGGAUUCAAGGGCAGUUAAGCUUUGGGAGGUUUUUUUAUCCCAUUAAAUUUUGGUCUAAAGCAGAUAGAAAGUUAUUGUUUUGUUGAUAGUUAGUCCUUUUCUUUUAUUGACUUGGUUUCUUUGGGUGUUGACUAGUUAUUUAUGGUGAAGUGAUAAUCUCUUUUUUUGUUCUGCAUAUGGUAAUGUGGUGUGAAAUGUUUUUAUAAAAAUAUUUUUUAAUUAAAAAUGUAUUAAAAUAAUUUUUUUCCAUUAAAAACAAACUUUAAAAUCAUUAAAAAAAAUACUUAAAAAAUUAAAUUAACAACAUUAAUUUAAUAUUUUUUAAAAUUAAAUAAAAUUUCAAAAGUAAUUAAUUUAAAUCACCUAUUAAAGCAGAAGGAACAUUUGUGCUUGAAUCCUGAGAUAAUUAAGUAGGAAAAUUUUGCAUUUUAUGAAGUUGUUUUUUUCUUAGUUAUGAUGAUUUAUUUUCUUGGAGGUCCCUAAAGUGGAAUAUUAAUGGUCCCAAAAUUUACAAAGUUUUCCUGCAAUCAAACAGUGCCCUUUUGAAAUUGCUCAAUUAUUAAUCGCUUGGUGUUUUCUUGACAACACAUUACUUUAAUUUUGUGGUUGAUUAGAGCUCUAUCUUCAAAAGUUUAAUCUUCAAAUCUUCUUCUAAAUUCUUUAAUUUUGCUCUCAUAUUGAAUUUAUGAAAAUGUUAUCUUUUUUUAUAUAUUGUUAAAAUGAUGUCAAGUCUUAAAGACUGUUAGCCAUGUGUUCCUAAUUAACUUCUGAUAUUUUGUAUUAUACCUCAUACAUAAUUGCUGGAAGAUAAAAUAAUUUAUUUUUUAUUCAUGUUUAUUAGCUUUCUAUCUAUUAUACAUGCAAAAGUUUAUCUUAUAAUACUUUUAACCAAACGUAUUUUUAAAAAAAACCCAACUAAAAGUGUUUUUGUUAAACCUAUUUUUUUAAAUCGCAACUAUAAAUGCUAUCGUUAUUGUAUGUUUGGUAAUGUGGUGUAGAAUGCUUUUACAAAAAUAUUUUUCAAUUGAAAAUGCAUUAAAAUAAUUUUUUUCAAUUAAAAAAACACUUCAAAAUCAUUAAAAAUACUUCAAAAAUUAAAUUAAUAACAUUAAUUUAAUAUUUUUUUAAAAAAUCAAAUACAAUUUAAAAGGUAAUUAAUUUAAAUCAAAAAAUUAAAUUAACGAGUUUUUCCUUUAUUUGAAAGGGAAGGGCUAAACGAUAUUUGUGUAUUUUCUUUGCACAAUGUGAUUAUUUAAUUACCCUUGGAAAACAAAGAAAAUCACUUGGGUCUAGGGGCUUAUUAGUCUUUGACUUGAUUUUUCAACAAGUAUGUUACUUCAUUGUCCUUAAAAAUUUAAAACAAUUAUAUGACUCUGAGGCUCUUUUAUCAUUUAGAUGUGGUCAUUUAGUAGUUAUUAGGUGUCAUUGGAGACAAUAAGAUAAUUUAGUAAAUAAGAAAAUUAAAUUAAAAAAAUAGAAUCAAGUGAACAAUGUUUGCCACCUCCGAAUGAUGUGUGCGGCAUCAUCCAAUACCCAAAAUGGUGAUUCCAGGGAGGCUUCUGAAGGAUCUCAAUGUCCCCCUACAAAUCAACGACGCGUGUAGCACUAUAGCGGUUGGUGGGACGUGUGUGGCCUUCUGUUUUUUUUCUUUUCCCGUCUCUCCUACUCGAUUUUCGUGUUGGGAUUAAAAAAUCAAAUCAGUCCCUAAAGUUUAUUGUACUUAUGAUUUCAUCCCUUUUCUCUUUAUUAUAAUUUUUUAAAUUUAGAAUACUUUAUGAAAUUAUGUGGUUUUUUCAAUUUCAUAAUUGUUCUCUUUGUUGCCUUUUUUUUUUUAGAAUAGUCUACUAAAUUAAGAAAUGUUUUUAAUUUUAGAUGGUUUUCACAAUAUUUUUUUUACCUUGCAAGAUUUUUUUAUUAUGUCAUCCUCCAACAUUUAAAUAGCCUGGUCUUUAGCUUUUUAGUUGAGUCCGGGUCUAAAAUUUAACGGUUUGUUGGUUUAAGAAAUUGACCCCGGUUUCUUUGUUUUUUUUCCAUCCUCCAACAUUUUGUUAUUUUUUAGUCUUUUUUAAAAUAAUGCAGGUUGCCUUGGUUUUUUUUUUUUUUUUUGUCUUUGUUGAAUUUAGUUUUAUGAAGGAAUUUUAUUUUUAAAUUGAAUUAAAUUGAUUGAUUUCAUCUUCUAACAUUUAUUUUUUUAGGUGUUAAGCUCCUACAUUGAGCCUGAGUCAAAAAUUUAAUGGAUUACGGGUUUAAGAGUUUAACCCGAGUUUAUAGGAUUCACGCUCAAGCUUCUUUGGUGUUUUAUUUCUUUUUUAAGCUGUUUUCUUUUUUCAUAUUUCAAUCUCUAACAUUCUUUUUAUGUUUUUUUUUAUUGGUAUCUCCCUUGAAUAUUAAAAAAAUAUAACCUAAAUAACCUAAUUUUUUUCAUUUAAUUUCUGAUUCUCUUAAAGCAUUUGAUUAUUACAAGGAUAAAAGUUAAAAAAACAAAAGGCACCCACACACCUACAUGAUAAAUCGGCUAUAAAUUACAAAAUCAAAAUAACCUCAGCCAACAUUGAUUACUCCAAAUUAAUUUUAAAAUUAGAUUUAUUUGACAUAUAUCUAAAAAAAAUUAAUCUGAAUUUCUUCCUAUAAAAAAUAUGUGAGCAGAGUAUUUCAUGAAACCUAAUAAAAAUAAGAUUCUUCUUCAAUUUUAUUUUUUUAUCAUCAUUUGUAAAUCUUGAUAGAAAAAAUGAGGAAUGUAUUUCUCAUGCCUCCAAACCUCAUCACUCCUAUAUUUGUUUAUUAUCUCCUAAAUACUAACUAAGCACAACCUAAUUUUUAAAUCUGAAUUUUUUAAAAGCAUUUAAUUAUCAUAACAUGUGAAUAAAAAUUUGUGCUCCAAAUGACAAAAUAAAAAUAACCUCAACAAACAUGAUUAGUACUAAUUAAUUUUUACAUUAAUCCACAAGCAAUUUUUAUUAUUGUUCGUGUUAUUUUUGACCUGUCAAGUUAAUCGAGUCAUAUUGUGUCAACUUUCAUGUUUUUAUUUGUAUUUAAAAUUUGAAUGAAAUAAUUCCAGGUUAAUUUAUUUUUAAAUUUAAAUUUAAAUUAUAUUUAUUAAAUUAUAUAUAUAACCCCAAAAAAACAUGCCAAAAUACCCCAAUAAAAAUCAAUGCAGAGCCUUAAUAUACGUACGGGACUUGUUAUAGAUUUCUUUAAAUUGCUUGAAAACGACUCCGAAGUCCAUGCCAUGUACGCGAAGAAAAAGUGACUCUAGAGACAAGGCCAUCUAAUUAAUUAGGAAACAUUUAUUAUCUUUUACGGCAUUAAAAAUGAGCAGAAGGAGGACUCACUGUAACCCUUCUUAUAAUUUUUUUAUCCACCGUAAUAAUUAUUUUGUUAUUCUUAUAAAAUAUAAAGAUAUUUGUUGUUAAUUGUAAAUUUGGUUGAGAGUAGUUACUGUUAUCUAUUUUUUUUAAUUUUCUAAACUAAAUAAAAAAAUAAACACCAUAAACAAAAAUAAUUUUCUAAAUUAAAUAAAAAUAACUAAAAAAUAAAUAAUUUCCCCUAACAAUCCUCGUGUACUUAUCCUGAGUUAUUUAAUUGUUUGUCUCUAGCUACUGGGGAGCACCGCCAUGAAAAGUUGUGUGAGUGCCUUUGCGCUUCAUGGAUUUCUAACAUAUAAUCAUCCGACUCAGAUAAAAUAUGCCAAGAAUCAGUCCCACUCUCCACUACCAAAUCAUUCUUUAUUGAUGAUGUUUGGACAGUACUGCGGAAGAAGAUGAAGUUCUAGAAUCUAAAUUAUAUUUCUAUCGCAAAACCAUAUAUCAAAUCGAUGUAUGGACAAGUGAAUUCGCAUCAGAAUCCCAUGCAACUUUUCAAACGAGCAGCUAACUCUUUAGAAAUAUUAUAUUGAUAAUUGGCAUAUUCAAAAGUGUACGAGGAUCGAUGACCAAUCUUCAGGUUACUUUGAAAUUCAACAGUUAUAGAAAACAAUAUAGCCCUGAAGUCCAGCUUUAGGUGCAUGUUUUCUGCCUUCUGCACAUAUUUAAAACAAUCGCAUUAUCAGUAUGAACAAAAAGUCGCAUUAUCUUCGCUCUUUUCUCCAAAUAUUUGACACACGGGAAAAAUAAACCUAGUUGUUAAUCUAUAGCAUACCUAAAACCAUCUUCUUUGCGUAAAAAUACAUCAGUCAUGCUAAAACGUCCUGAUACUUUAUCAAAUAGAUAAUAAAUUUAUAUUUUACCAAGUAUAAGAUAUCAGUAAGCCACCUUUUAUUCAUAAAAAAAGUCUACCAGCCACCUUAGUGUUGGUAAAGGCGAAUCGAGAGUCAACAUUCAACACUACAAAGUACAAACUACUCAAUUUAAUGGAAAGAAAAAACAAAUAAAAAGUACACAUAUAAGAUUUAAUGUGGGUCAUUAAGCAAAAUUCUAUCUACUCGGCAGACCUAGAGUAACCAUUCUUUACUUGAGAGGAAAUAUAAGAAUAUCAACGUGAUUUUUAUACUUGAAUAUAAAUUCCAAAACUUCUUUGGUAAACCUACUCACUCACUCAAAAGAAAAAAAUUUGAUGAACAAGAAAGAAAACAGCUUGGUGACUAUUCUCAUAGGCAAAGCCAUGAUGAUUCGUAGAUAAGGGGGAUACAAAUAAAAAUACUAUCCCUUCACACAAAUUUAUGUAUAACUUUUUUAUACAUUUCUAAGAAUUAUCUUUAUAAUUAAUUGCUUAUUAUUAUUUUUAUUUAAAAUAGUUUUAAAAAUAAAAGAAAAUUGAAACUUAAGAAACAUGUUUAAUAAAAAUAAAAAAGGUUAACGGACGCAUGUUAUGUGAUUCGAAGAGUUAUUAUUCUGUCUUAUAUAACAAUGCUAUAACAAAAGGCUGAUAUUAAAUAUAUUACCAUCGAUAGUAGUUUAAGAUUUACCAGACUUGAAUCUAAUGAGAUUCUCGUUAUAAAAUAUAUGUUCUUAUUCAUAGAGUUUAUAAAGGUUAUUACCCUUUUUUAUAUUGUUGAAAUGAUGUCAAAGUCUUAAAGACUGUUAGCCAUGUGUUACUAAUUAACUUCUGAUUUUUUGCAUUGUACGUCGUACAUAAUUGCUGGAAGAUAAAACAAUUUAUUUUUUAUUCGUUUUUUUUUUAUCUAUUUUACAUGCAAAAGUUAUCUUAGAAUACUUUUAACCAGAUAUAUUUUAAAAAAAAACCGCAACUAAAAGUGUUUUUGUUACAUUUAUUUUUUCAAAUCAUAACUAUAAAAGCUAUCAUUAUUGUAUGUUUGGUAAUGUGAUGUAGAAUGAUUUUACAAAAAUAUUUUUCAAUUAAAAAUAUAUUAAAAUAAUUUUUUUCAAUUUAAAAAACACUUCAAAAUCAUUAAAAAAUACUUAAAAAUUAAUUAACAACAUUAAUUUAAUAUUUUUUAAAAUUAAAUACAGUUUCCAAAGUUAUUAAUUUAAAUCAAAAAAUUAAAUGAACAAGUUUUUCCUUUAUAUUAUACUAUAUACUAAAAGAUAGCAGCCUUUCAUUGUGGAUUCGUAUAGUGAAAGACUAAAGGCUGAUUUUAUCCUUUAGUGAGCAAAGUAGCAUGCCUUGAAUUUAGAGAUAUAAUGGUUUUUUUCAUGGGAUACAUUGGUCAUUGUUUCAAAGGGAAGGGCUAAAUGAUAUUCUUGCAUUUUCUUUGCACAAUGUGAUGAUUUAAUUACCCUUGUAAAAAAAUCUUGGGUCUAGGGGGCUUAUUAAUCCUUGACUUGAUUUUUCAACAAGUAUGUUACUUCUUUGCCCUUGAAAAUUUAAAACAAUUAUCUUUGACUCUAACGCUUUUUUGUCAUUUAGAUGUGGUCAUUUAGUAGUUAUUGGGUGUCGUUGGAGAUAAUAAAAUAAUUUGGUAAAUUAAAAAAAAAACAGAAUCAUGUGAACAAUGUUUGCCACCUCCGAACGGUGUGUGUAGCGUCAUUCAAUAGCCAAAAUGGUGAUUCCAGGGAGGCUUCUGAAGAAUCUCAACCCCCCCCCCCCAAUGAAUCAAUGACGCGUGUAGCACUAUAGUGGUUGGUGUGACGCGUGUGACCUUUUGUUUUUUUCCCCUCUCUCCUACUCGAUUUUCAUGUUGGGAUUAGAAAAUCAAAUUAGUCCCUAAAGUUUAUUGUACUUAUGAUUUCAUCCCUAUUCUCUUUAUUAUAAUUUUUAAAUUUAGAAUACUUUAUGAAAUUAUGUGAAAUUAUGUGGUUUUUUCAAUUUCAUCUUUAUUCUCUUUGUUGCAUUUUUUUAAUUUAGAAUAGUCUACUAAAUUAAUAAUUGUUUUCAAUUUCAGAUGGUUUUCACAAUUGUUUUUUUUUUUCAAUUUCAUUAUUUUUUAGUUUUUUUCCUAUUAAAUCUAAUCUUUUUUUAUUAUUGUAUUUUUUUUGACCUUGCAAGAUUUUUUUAGAUUGAUUUUUUUUUAUUAUGUCAUCCUCCAACAUUUAAUUAGCCGAGUCUUUAGCUUCUUAGUGGAGUCUGAGUCUAAAAUUUAAUGGUUUAUUGGUUUAAGAGAUUGACCCCAGUUUCUUUGUUUUUUUUUUCCUUUUUUUUUCCAUCCUCUAGCAUUUUGUUAUUUUUUAAUUCACUUUAUAUUGUAUUUUUUAGUCUUUUUAAAAAUAACGCAGAUUGCCUUGGUUUUUUUUUUUUUUUGUCUUUGUUGAAUUUAGUUUUUAUGAAGGAAUUUUAUUUUUAAAUUGAAUUAAAUUGAUUGAUUUUAUCUUUCAACUUUUAAUUUUUUAGGUGUUGAGCUCUUGCGUUGAGCUUGGGUCAAGAAUUUAAUGGAUUGCGGGUUUGAGAGUUUAACCCGAGUUUAUAGGGUUCACUCGGGCUUCUUUGGUGUUUUGUUUCUUUUUUUAAUCUCUUUUCUUUUUCAUAUUUCAACCUAUAACAUUCUUUUUUUACUCUCUUUUUAUAGGAUUUAUCUUUCUUUUUUAAAAUAACAAGGGUUGCCUCAAAGUUUUUUCUUUCAAUCUUUGUUAAAUUUUGCUUCUUUAAAAGGAUUUUUUAAUUAAAUUAAUUUUUUUAAUUUCAUCCUCGUGUAUUUAAAUUGAGGCAAUACAUGAGAGAAUUUUUUUUUAAUUAAGUUUUUUGAAAAUUGGUAUUUGUUUUUCCAUUUUUUUCUAUAAAGUUAUCCUGAUAUUAUGUCUCAAGUCAUCGAUUCAAUAGAUUUACCAAGUUUGACUUAGGUAUUUUUUUCAUUUCUUUUUAUUUGUUUUAUCUUGAGUCAAUGAUCAAAAUCUUAAUUUUUUUUAAAAAAAAUGCAUCGUCAUAGUGUUUUUUUUACUUGGUUUUUUUUUUCUAAAUCUAUAUUUCUUUCUCUAUUUUCAUACUUCAACAUUUAGUUUAUUAGAGACCGGGUUUAAUAAUUUAUUGUAGUUUGCUUUAUAUAUGGUUAGUUCAGUUUCUUUAUACGCUAUAAACUAAAAGAGGUGGUGAAUUUACUAUUUACCGCCUCACAAAACACUAUUCAUUCCAAUAAUAUUUUUUUAAUUUUGUUUUUUGUUUUCUAAAUCUAUAUAUUAUUUCUCUAAUUUCAUAUUUCAACAUUUAGUUUAUUGGAGACUGAGCUUACUAAUUUAUAAUAGUUUGCUUUAUAUAUGGUUAGCUAAGUCUAAUAACUCGUAUUACGGGUUUGACGAGUUAGCUCAAUUUUUUUUUUUGUCUUUUUAUAAUUGGUAUUUUUUAAUUUUAUCAUUCAAUAUUGGGUUAAUUAUGAAUUAAGCUUCAUGAUUUAUUUUGAUUUGUUUUUUAUGAGGUUAUCCUGGUUUUAUGACUCAGGUCACGUGUUUUACGAAUUAAGUCGUGUAGACUCAGGUCUUUUAUUAUAUAAUAUUUUUAGAUUGAUUUUUUUUUUCAAUUUCAACCUUAAACAAUAAGUUUAUUGAAAAUUAAGAUUUAUAAUUUGUUUUGAUUUACUUUUUAUAAAGUUAUCACAAUCUCAUGACCUUGGUUGCGGGUUUGGCAAGUUAAUCUAGGUUGAGACUCACGCUAUUUUUUUUGUUUACUUUCUAUGAAAAAUUAAAAUAGUUUAGUAAUAAAAUUAAUAUAAAAAAUAAAUUGGGUGCAAAAUUGAUAACACCCAUGUAGUUUAAUGGUAUAUUUUUUUUUUAAACAAAAGGCUAUCAUUUUGAAAGUUUUAUUAAAAAGUCAUGUUUUUAACAAUCAUUAAGAUUGUAUUUUGAUCCAUAAAAUCAAUUAAUUUAAUUUAAGUUAAAUUUUACAUGAUUUAAUUAAAAACUUGAGUUAGAUAAAAAAAAACUAAAUUAUAAAAUUAACUUAUUAAAUCAAUAAUAUAAUUAAAAGAUCUUCAUGCUUUUAAUAUUUUUUUACAUUUAAAAAAAAUUAUCCAAUGAAUAACAGUUCAAUAAACUAGUAGAAGUUAGAUCAUGAGACACUCACAUCAGCUGAACUACUUCAUGAUUGAUAUGUUUUAAAUUAGCAAUUAAAAUAUCAAAGGAUUUCUGGGACACUCCCAAUGAUAUUAAUUUGUAAAAUACUUAAUUUUUUUAGGUAAUUGUAACAUAAAUCCUUAAUUGAAAAAUAAAAAUAGUUUACUAAUAAAAUUAAUAUAAAAAAUAAAUUGGGUGCAAAAUUGAUAACACCCAUGUAGUUUAAUGGUAUUUUUUUUUAAAAAAAGCUAUCAUUUUAAAAGUUUUAUUAAAAAUUAAGUCAUGUUUUUAUCAGUUAUUAAAAUUAUAUUUUAAUCCAUAAAAUCAAUCAAUUUAAUUUAAGCUAACUUUUACAUGAUUUAAUUAGAAAGUUAGAUAAAAAAAACUAAAUUGCAUGAUUUUAUAAUUAACUUAUUAAACCAGAUUUAAUAAUAUAAUUAAAAGAUUCUUCAUGAUUCUUCAAAAUUUACAUGAUUUAAUUAGAAAGUUAGAUAGAAACUAGAUCAUAAGACACUAACGUCAGAUGAACUACUUCAUGAUUGAUAUGCUUUAAAUGAGCAAUUAAAAUAUCAAAGGAUUUCUAGGAUACUCCCAAGAUGUUUAAUUAUUAGAGGGUUAAUUUUAGUUCCCUGAUAUCUUCUGAUUGUUGCUGGUUGUAGAUUUCCUCCUUCUUCCAUCUUGAUGACUGCUACUCAUAUCAAAGGAUUUGCAAACUAAAUUCAUGUUUUUUUUUUUUUUUUUUUUUUUUUUUUUUUUAAGUUGAAAAUUCAGUUGAAUCAACCAGAUCAGAUCAGAUCAGAUCAGAUCUAGAUUUAAUCAACUUAAUUUUAUUUGAAAAUGACAGGGAAUUGACAUUCUUAACUUUAUUUGUUUGUCAUUAUCUUUAUAUUAUGCUUUUUAUCUUAAUUAUUUCAUAAAAUUGCAUUUUUAUGGGAAUUGCUGCUUUAAACUCAUAAGUGUAAACUAUUUUGUUUCAAUGUAUUCGUUAGAUCGGUGGUAUGCUAUCUUUCACUAAUGAAAUUCUGUUUAUUGGUUUUGAGAAGAAAAAAAAAAGUAUUUCUAUCUUUGUUUUAUGGAAAAAGCACAUAGAUCCAAGAACUAGAUAUAACAAAAGAUAUUCGAGGAAAUGAGUGUUUAAAAUUAGAUAAAGCUGUUGUGUAAAUAAGCGUAUGAUGCAGAGAUAGUCAUUACAGAUUUUAGUUGGCUAAGAUUGAUCCUUUGUUGAGUUCGUUCCAUUAAUUAUACUUCCUUGCAAGUCUUUUUUGUCUCCUUAUUCAUAACUUUUUUUUUUAAAAAAAAACAUUGACCUAUCAUAGCUUUAGAUUGAUUAGAUGAGUUGUUGGAAGCGAUGAGCAGCUCGUAUCAUUCGUGCAGGUGUCAAAGUGAUCAUCAUCAACCUUCCAUACAGAGAGACUGGUGGAAAAUGGCUAUCGAAAGUGUUGGUGGGUCCGUUGUAUCUAAGAUAGCAGAGCUCUUGGUGGAACCAGCAAUCAAGCAGUUCCGUUACAUGUUCUGUUUCAACAAUUUUGUUCAAGAAUUCGAUGAACAAAUGAUGAACCUGGCUUUGGCAUUUUAUCGUCUGCAAGAUGCUGUCAACGUAGCUGAAAGGAAUGCUGAAGAAAUUGAGAUUGAUGUCAACACAUGGCUGGAAAAUGCAAAAAACGAAAUUGAAGGUGUGAAUCGUUUGCAAAAUGAAAAAGGAAAAAUCAUCAAAUGCUUUACUUGGUGUCCAAAUUCGAUGCGACAAUUCAAGUUAAGCAAGGCACUGGCAAAGAAGACGGAGACUUUGAGAAAACUUGAAGAAAAUAGCAGAAAGUUUCCAAAAGUGUCCCACAAAGCACCUCUUCAAGAGAUAAAAUUUCUUCCAUCAAAGGAAUUCACACUCUCAGGAUCGUCAAAAGAAGCUUUCAAACAGAUUAUGAAAGCUCUCAAAGAUGACAAGGUCAAUAUGAUCGGACUGUACGGCAUGGGAGGGGUGGGUAAAACCACCCUGGUGAAAGAAGUAGGCAGGAGAGCCAAAGAGUUGCACCUUUUUGAUGAAGUUUUGAUAGCUACGGUGUCCCAGAAUCCAAAUGCCACAGGCAUCCAGGAUCAAAUGGCAGAUAGUUUAGAUCUGCAAUUUGACAAGAAGAGUAAAGAAGGGAGAGCAAAAGAACUAUGGCAGAGACUGCAGGGAAAGAAGAUGCUUAUAGUCCUGGAUGAUGUUUGGAAAGAUAUUGACUUCCAAGAGAUAGGGAUCCCAUUUGGUGAUGAUCACAGGGGUUGUAAAAUUCUUCUAACAACACGUCUUGAAGACAUGUGUUCUUAUAUGAAGUGCAAGGAAAAAGUUUUUUUAUGUCUCUUUUCUAAAGAGGAAGCAUGGGCUUUAUUCAGAAUCAAUGCAGCUUUACGUGACGAGGACUCUACCUUGAACAGGGUGGCAAAGAAGGUUGCGAGAGAAUGUAAUGGAUUGCCUGUAGCACUUGUGACAGUGGGAAGGGCUCUAAGAGAUAAAUCUGUUGUUGAGUGGGAAGUAGCGUCUGAAGAGCUCAAAAACUCUCAAUUUCGGCAUUUGGAACAAAUUGACGGACAAAAAAAUGCAUAUGCAUGUCUUAAGUUGAGCUAUGAUUAUUUGACGUCCGAUGAAACCAAGUCAUGUUUCUUGCUAUGCUGUUUAUUUCCAGAAGAUUACGACAUUCCGAUUGAGGACUUGACGAGAUACGCAGUUGGCUAUGGGUUACAUAAAGAUGCGGAGUCCAUUGAAGAUGCAAGGAAACGAGUUUAUGUGGCAAUCAAAAACCUCAAAGCUUGUUGUAUGCUGUUAGGAACUUUUAGUGAAGAAUAUGUCAAAAUGCAUGACUUGGUUCGUGAUGUUGCUAUUCGGAUAGCAUCAUCAGAAAAAUACGGAUUCAUGGUAAAGGCUGGCAUUGGGUUGCUAGAGUGGCCAACGAGCAAUAAAAGCUUUGAAGGUUGUACAACAAUUUCGUUAAUGGGCAAUAAACUAGCAGAACUUCCUGAAGGAUUGGUGUGUCCACAGCUCAAAGUUCUAUUGUUAGGACUGGAUCGUGGUUUGAAUGUUCCAGAGAGGUUUUUUGAAGGGAUGAAAGCAAUAGAAGUUUUGUCUCUAAAGGGAGGGUGUUUGUCAUUGCAAUCACUUCAAUUCUCAACGAACCUUCAAUCGUUGCUGUUGAUCGAGUGUGAAUGCAAGGACCUCAUUUGGUUGAGAAAGCUGCAAAGACUUAAUAUUCUUGUUUUCAGGCGGUGCGGCUCCAUUGAAGAAUUACCUGAUGAAAUUGGGGAGCUCAAGGAGUUGAGGUUGUUGGAUUUGACAGGUUGUGAAAAUCUAAGAAGGAUUCCUGUGAAUUUGAUAGGAAGGUUGAAGAAGUUAGAAGAACUGCUGAUCGGGGAUCGGAGCUUCAAGGGAUGGGAUGUUGUUGGAUGUGACAGCACAGAAGGAAUGAAUGCAAGCCUAACAGAACUAAACUCGUUGUCUCAUUUAGCUGUAUUAUCAUUGAAGAUACCGAAGGUUGAAUGCAUUCCCAGAGAUUUUGUUUUUCCCAGGUUGCUCAAAUAUGAUAUAGUGUUAGGGGAUUGGUAUUCAGGACCCCAUAAAGAAUACCCAACCUCGACAAGAUUAUAUUUGGGUGAUAUAAGCGCCACAUCCUUAAAUGCAAAGACAUUUGAGCAGUUGUUUCCUACCGUGUCUCAUAUUUGGUUUUGGAGAGUGGAGGGUUUAAGAAAUAUAGUAUUGUCCUCUGAUCAGAUGACCUCCCAUGGCCAUGGGUCGCAAAAGGACUUCUUUCAAAGAUUAGAAUAUGUAGCAGUGAGAGAAUGUGAUGAUAUUCGCACUCUGUUUCCAGCAAAAUGGCGGCAAGCUUUGAAAAAUCUAAGGAGAGUGGAAAUUGAAGACUGCCAAUCAUUGGAUGAAGGAAUUAACGAGGAGAAGGAGCUGCCAUUUUUAACGGAGUUACAGCUGUCCUGGUUACCUGAGCUCAAAUGUAUAUGGAAGGGGCCCACUAGACAUGUCAGCCUCCAAAGUCUUACUCGUCUGGAGCUCAGAUGUCUUAACAAACUGACAUUUAUCUUUACUCCGUCCCUCGCUCAAAGUUUUAUUCAUCUGGAAACGCUACGGAUAGAAAAUUGCCAUGGAUUGAAGCGUCUUAUCAGAGAACAGGAUGACGAAAUCAGGACAGAGUCUCUUGGCUUCCCAAAAUUAAAAAAUCUCUCUAUAAUAUUCUGUGAUAAACUUGAAUAUGUCUUCCCUGUCUCCGUGUCUCCAAGUCUUCAGAACCUGGAAGAGAUGCAGAUUGUUUUUGCUGACAAUUUAAAGUCUCUUGUAUUUUACAGUGGAGAAGGAGAUGACAUCAUCGUCAAGUCUAAAAUUAAAGAUGGCAUCAUCGACUUCCCUCAGCUAAGAGAAUUGUCUCUUUCAAAGUGCAGCUUUUUUGGUCCAAAGGAUUUUGCUGCCCUAUUGCCUUCUUUGCAAUGUCUAAGGAUCUCUGGCCUUGAAGAAUGGGGUAAUUUGUUGGCACAGCUUCGAGUACGUCCUUUAAAUUGUCAACUUCAAUACAUUGUGAUAAUUUGUUCUAUCUUCCUCCAAAUUUCUAAAACUAAACUAAACUAAACUUCCACUGAAUUUAAUUGAUGAUUUAAAUUGGCUUAGGAAGUUAGACAUCAAUUACUGUAAUAUAAUUUCUUAUCUCAUCCUUCAGAUUCUAAAACUAAAGUAGUGGAUAAAUCCUUUAGCCAUCCACUGAAUUUAAAAGGAGUGAAAUUGAGGCUCUUCCGCCAAUUAAUGGAAAGUAUUUGGACAGAACGAUAAAGCUCCGUCUGAGAAUAUUGAGUUUUUUGUUUCAGUGCUGCAACUUAUGAUGUCAUGGUUCAAAAAAUUAAUAAAAAUUGGUUUUUUUAUCCAAUUUUUUAAGCAAUUAGAUUCAAAAAGCAAAAAUUGAAACUUUCUUUUUAAAUGCAAUAUUUUUCUCAUUCAAAGAACUUCAAAAGCACCAAAUUUGUAUUGAGUUCCAAAAACAUAUUUUUUUAAUAUUUUUUUCAUUUUUUUUACGAUUUGUUUUCACUUUUUUUUAUGAAAAAAAUAAUUUAAAUGAUCAAUAAUCAAGCAUUUUUAUUAAAAAAAUUUACUAAUAUGUAAAAUUCAAAUUAUUUUCUUUUAUAUUUUUAUUUUUGAAAAAUGUCAUAAUUGUUUUUUUUUAUUAUAAAUCGAAUAUAAAAAAAUAAUUUUUUUGAGUUUAAGUAUAAUUUUUCAUGAUUGCUUUUAAUUUAACUACUAUAAAAUAAUAGUUUGUAUUCAGAUUAUCAUAAAUAUGAAAAAAUAUGAUUUUAUAUUCCCAUGACCCGUUGCCUUGUCUAUCUAUAUCUUCUUGUUGAUAAGUAUUUCGGUAUUGGGAAUAAUUGGUUCAUCUAUUUAACAAAAUUAUAUAAUAGUUUCAAAGUGCACAAAAAUUACUAGGAAUUAUAUCUAAUAAAUUGGUACCCUUAUUUUCUUUUGAUGCAGGGGUUUACAAGUUUGGAAACAUUGAAGUUGUCCUCCCUGCUUGUGCCUGACUUGAGGUGUAUAUGGAAGGGUCUCGUGCCAUGCAAUUUGACUACUUUGGAGGUGAAAGAGUGUAAGAGGCUGACACAUGUAUUCACAGACAGCAUGAUUGCUAGUCUUGUUCAACUGAAAGUUCUAGAGAUAUCAAAUUGUGAGGAAUUGGAGCAAAUCAUUGCUAAGGAUAAUGAUGAUGAAAAGGAUCAGAUAUUUUCAGGAAGUGAUCUCCAAUCUGCAUGCUUUCCUAAUUUGUGUCGACUUGAGAUUAGAGGAUGCAACAAGUUGAAGAAGUUGGAGGUGGAUGGAUGCCCAAAGCUGACCAUAGAAUCUGCUACUACAUCAAAUGACUCAAUGAGUGGUCAAUCAGAGGUGCUGCUGAUUUGACUUGAUUUCUUGCCUCUCAUUUAGUUUUAAAAGUGCGCAAUAAUUACUAUGAAUUACAUCUAACAACUUGGUACCCUUGUUUUCUUUUGAUGCAGGGGUUUAUGAAUUUGAAAGAAAUAUCUAUUGGAAACUUGGAAGGAGUACAAGAUUUAAUGCAAUUUGAACGUUUGGUAACUAAUAGAAGAGGUGGGCAUGAACUUUCACUCGUGAGUUUGGAAACAUUACAGUUGAACUUAUUGCCUGACUUGAGGUGUAUAUGGAAGGGCCUAGUGCCGAGCAAUUUGACUACUUUGAAGGUGAAAAGGUGUAACAGACUGACACAUGUAUUCACAGACAGCAUGAUUGCUAGUCUAGUUCAACUGAAAGUUCUAGAGAUAUCAAACUGUGAGGAAUUGGAGCAAAUCAUUGCUAAGGAUAAUGAUGAUGAAAAGGAUCAGAUAUUUUCAGGAAGUGAUCUCCAAUCUGCAUGCUUUCCUAAUUUGUGUCGACUUGAGAUCAGAGGAUGCAACAAGUUGAAGAGUCUCUUCCCAGAAGCCAUGGCUUCAGGUCUCAAAAAGCUCCAAAUACUUAAAGUAAGAGAAUCCUCUCAAUUAUUGGGAGUAUUUGGGCAGGAUGAUCAUGCUUCACCUGUCAAUGUUGAGAAGGAGAUGAUGCUCCCUGAUCUGCAGGAGUUGUUGCUUGUACAAUUACCAAGUAUUUCCUGCUUUAGUCUCGGAUGUUAUGAUUUCUUGUUCCCUCAUUUGAAGAAGUUGGAGGUGGAUGGAUGCCCAAAGCUGACCACAGAAUCUGCUACUACAUCAAAUGACUCAAUGAGUGCUCAAUCAGAGGUGCUGCUGAUUUGACUUGAUUUCGUGCCUCUUAUUUAGUUUUAAAAGUGCGCAAUAAUUACUAUGAAUUACAUCUAACAAAUUGGUACCCUUGUUUUCUUUUGAUGCAGGGGUUUAUGAAUUUGAAAGAAAUAUCUAUUGGAAACUUGGAAGGAGUACAAGAUUUAAUGCAAGUUGGACGUUUGGUAACUAAUAGAAGAGGUGGGCGUGAACUUUCACUCGUUAGUUUGGAAACAUUACGCUUGAACUUAUUGCCAGACUUGAGGUGUAUAUGGAAGGGUAUCCUGCCGAGCAAUUUGACUACUUUGAAGGUGAACGACUGUAAGAGACUGACACAUGUAUUCACAGACAGCAUGAUUGCUAGUCUAGUUCAACUGAAAGUUCUAGAGAUAUCAGCUUGUGAGGAAUUGGAGCAAAUCGUUGCUAAGGAUAAUGAUGAUGAAAAGGAUCAGAUAUUUUCAGGAAGUGAUCUCCAAUCUGCAUGCUUUCCUAAUUUGUGUCGACUUGAGAUUAGAGGAUGCAACAAGUUGAAGAAGUUGGAGGUGGAUGGAUGCCCAAAGCUGACCAUAGAAUCUGCUACUACAUCAAAUGACUCAAUGAGUGGUCAAUCAGAGGUGCUGCUGAUUUGACUUGAUUUCUUGCCUCUCAUUUAGUUUUAAAAGUGCGCAAUAAUUACUAUGAAUUACAUCUAACAACUUGGUACCCUUGUUUUCUUUUGAUGCAGGGGUUUAUGAAUUUGAAAGAAAUAUCUAUUGGAAACUUGGAAGGAGUACAAGAUGUUAGCGUGAGCUGUACAGUUUAGGAAUUAAUGUUGGCGUGAGCUGUAGAAUCCAAUAUAGGAAUUAUAUUUUUAAUAUUCUGUAAUUGUAUAUAUCCCAAUAUAUAUGGGAUUAAUGUUACUUACCUAGAUAGUUAUCUUGGGAAGGGUUUCUCUAUAUAAGAGAACCACUCUGUAACGUUUGAAGAAUAAGAAAAAGAAGGGAAUACACAGGGCGGCUGCUCUCUGAUUUAUCAUGGUAUCAGAGCUACGUUCCAUUAUUUGUUUCUUGAAGAUCUAGCAAACAACCUAAGGAAAAUAAAGCAUGGCCACACCAAUUGACUUGAUUGAACAAGAACAACCGAAUACAGCUACAACUCUUGAUGAUCUCACGACGAGAAUGGCUCAAAUUGUAACCCAAAACCAGACCCAGACCCCAUCAGUAAUCUAUGAUACUGUUGCUGUACCGAUUGGUAUCAAACUUGAUGGUACCAACUAUGCUUUAUGGUCCCAAAUUGUGGAGAUGUAUAUCUCAGGAAAAGACAAGUUGGGAUACAUAAAUGGUGACCUUCCACAACCAGAACCGAAUGAUCCCCACUUCAGGAGAUGGAGAACAGAAAACUCUAUUGUUAAGGGAUGGCUUAUUAACUCAAUGGAGCCGUCUCUCAUAGGAAACUUUAUCCGAUUUUCCACGGCCAAACAGGUAUGGGACUCGAUCGCCACUACUUACUUUGAUGGAUCCGAUACUUCUCAGGUGUAUGAUUUGAAGCGACGAGUAACACGAAUGAAACAAUCAGGAGAGUCCAUUGAAACAUACUACAAUUGCCUCCAAGGCUUAUGGAGGGAAAUUGAUUUCCGUAGACCAAAUCCUAUGGAAUGUGCUGUUGAUAUUCAAAAGUAUAAUGCUUUGCUUCAAGAGGAUCGAGUGUAUACUUUUUUGGAUGGACUAGAUGAUAGGCUGGACAAUAUACGUAGUGAUGUGCUCCAACUGAAACCUUUCCCAACGGUUGAACAAGCUUAUGCCUAUGUUCGAAGGGAAGCUAUUAGACAGACGGUUAUGCUCACUAAUAAUGGAAAUUCUCCUGCUGCAGCAAUGGUUUCUAGGGGAGGGAAAGCCUACUUACCUCGACAGCAAGCACUCCAAAUAACCAGAUCAGGGACGUCUUCAUCAAGAGGGCGUAACAAUUAUCACCUAGCAAAGACUAAAGGACAGGUGGAGAGUGAAAGCAGUGGCUGUUCUCAUUGUGGAAACAUGAAGCAUACACGGGACACUUGCUUCAAACUGCAUGGCUAUCCAGAAUGGUGGAAUGAAUUAAAAACACGGAAGCAGAGGGUUGUUGCUGGGGACACAGGACAAGCAUCUUUGGCAGACACUAAGCCACAAUUAUCGUUAGCUCCACUUGUAGAAUCUGGAGACGAUGCCAUAAUUCUGCCUAAGGAUCAAGGUAAUACAGGAACUAAAACCGACUGGAUAGUGGACUCUGGUGCAACGGAUCACAUGACUUUUUGUUCAGGAGACUUUGCUAAUACUACAGAACCAAGGCGAACUGGUAUAACCAAUGCCAAUGGGGUUGUCUACCCUGUCACAGGAGCUGGAACAGUGCACAUAUCACCCUCCAUAUCAUUAACCAAUACUUUAUUAGUGCCUUCUCUAUCAAAUAAAUUGUUAUCUGUGAGCCAAGUUACCGAAGACCUAAACUGUGUAGCACUAAUGUAUCCAAAAUUUUGCCUUUUUCAGGAUAUUCUCACGGAGGAGAUCAUUGGGCGUCGUACUAAGAGAGAGGGGUUAUACUACAUGGAUGACUUUAAUUCCGGCAGAGUCAACACCGUGAGUCGAUCUUUACUGACAAAAGAAAACCAGAUUUGGCUAUGGCAUUAUCGGUUGGGACAUCCAUCUUUUAGCUACAUGAAGUAUUUAUUUCCGAAAUUGUUUUUGAAUUUGAAUUAUUCAGACUUUAAAUGUGAAACUUGCAUCCUUGCCAAGAGUCAUCGUGUAUCCUUUCCGAUUAGCUUGAAUAAAAGUGAUACUCCUUUUGCCUUGGUUCACUCUGAUGUUUGGGGACCAUCUCCCAUUACCACUGUCUCUGGCAUACGUUGGUUUGUUACCUUCGUGGAUGAUUGUACUAGGAUGACAUGGCUCUAUUUACUGAAGCGCAAAAAUGAAGUUUUUGAUGUGUUUCGUAUGUUUCACGCUAUGGUUCAUAAUCAAUUUUCAGCAAACAUACGGAUUUUUCGAUCGGAUAAUGGGGGAGAAUAUGUGAAUAAUAACUUUUCAGCAUUUUUUCACAGGAACGGUAUUCUCCAUGAAUUAUCCUGUAGUCAAACUCCACAACAAAAUGGAGUGGCAGAACGGAAAAACCGACAUAUUCUAGAAACUGCACGGGCAUUAUUAUUUGGAGCACAGGUGCCUAGUAGACAUUGGGAUGAUAGUGUUACUACUGCUGUCUAUUUAUUGAAUCGAAUGCCUUCAAAAACCUUGGACUUCAAGACUCCUCUACAGGUUUUGUCACGACAUGUUACUCUACCAUCUAUACUGUUACUUCCACCGCGUGUGUUCGGCUGCGUGACAUUUGUUCAUAUACAUAAACAUCAACGAACAAAACUUGAACCGUGUGCUGUUCGUUGUAUGUUUCUUGGGUAUGGCUCGAAUAAGAAGGGAUUCCGCUGCUAUGAUCCUAAAACCAAACGACUCUAUACUACAAUGGAUGUUACUUUCCUAGAGUCAGAAUAUUUUUACUCAUCCACGACAUCAACUUCUCCUCUCUAGGGGGAGACGUGGGAUGAAGAGAAGAAGUGGUGGAACACUGAAGCUGCUGAGAAUAUGGUAACGGUUUCAACCCCAGCUGAGACUGAAGCUGCUGAGAGUAUAUCCACGGGUCCAACUGAGGCUGCUGAUAUAGCCACGGUUCCAAACAUGGUAGCUGAAGGUGUUGCAGAGACAGAGUGCAUUAAUAACAGUAAGACAGUUGAUGAGGAGGACCAACAAACUGCACCCGACAGAAUGAGUAAAACCCCCUCUCUUGAAGUACCCGACAAUGAAACUCCUUUGCAUGAGGAUAUUCCUGAGGUAAUUUCUCCUACACCAUCCACCAGUAAUAUUUUGAAUUCUUCUGCUAGCUAUCACUUACCUUUCAGGCAGAACAGAGGCAAGCCUCCAGCCCGGUACUCACCAGAUAUGGCAGGAAAGAAAUCAAAGUACCCCGUCUCCAAUUAUGUAUCCACACAAAGACUGCCUAUGCUUCUCAAGGCCUUUGCAUACAAGUUGUCCUCCUGCCAUAUCCCUUAUGGAAUUCAUGAAGCAUUAGCAGAUCCCAAAUGGUCCCAAGCAAUCCAAGAAGAAAUGGCAGCCCUAGAAAAGAACAAAACAUGGGACAUUGUCACAUUACCACAAGGGAAGAAAACCGUUGGGUGUAAGUGGGUAUUCUCCACCAAAUAUAAAGCAGAUGGAUCCAUUGAGCGACACAAGGCAAGAUUGGUAGCGAAGGGGUAGACACAGACUUAUGGGAUAGAUUAUCAGGAGACGUUUUCUCCAGUAGCAAAACUGAACACAGUCAGAGUUUUGUUAUCCUUGACUGCAAAUUUAGAUUGGCCACUACACCAAUUUGAUGUGAAAAAUGCCUUCCUUCAUGGAGACCAUGAGGAGGAAGUGUAUAUGGAUAUCCCACCAGGAUAUACUUCAACCAAACCCGGAACUGUCUGCAGAUUACAACGAGCUUUAUAUGGAUUAAAGCAGUCACCACGCGCAUGGUUUGGUCGAUUUAGCAUGGCUAUGAGAAAGUAUGGUUUUCAACAGAGCAACUCAGAUCAUACCCUCUUCCUGAAGAAGCAACAAGGAAAGGUAAUUGUCCUGAUAAUUUAUGUAGAUGAUAUGAUCAUUACAGGAGAUGAUGAAGAAGAAAUUAAAAGAUUGCAAGAGCAGCUAUUUACCGAAUUUGAAAUGAAGAACUUAGGUGGACUUAAGUACUUCUUAGGGAUUGAAGUGGCUAGAUCAAAGCGGGGAAUUUUUCUCUCACAAAGAAAGUAUGUAUUGGACCUACUGACUGAAGUAGGAAUGCUUGACUGCAAACCGGCAGACACUCCAACCGUUCAGAAUCAAAAACUUGGAUUGUAUCCUGAUCAGGAACCAGCUGAUAAAGACAGGUAUCAACGAUUGGUAGGUAAACUGAUUUACUUAUCUCAUACUCGUCCAGAUAUUUCUUACGCUGCCAGCCUAGUUAGUCAAUUCAUGCAUUGUCCUAGCAAGGAUCACAUGGAUGCAGUUGGUCGAAUACUUCAGUACCUAAAAUCCGCUCCAGGAAGAGGACUUAUGUUCUUGAAGAAUGGUCAUUUGGAUAUUGAAGGUUACACGGAUGCUGACUGGGCAGGAAAUUUGUUUGAUAGAAAAUCUACAUCUGGCUACUUCACUUUCGUCGGUGGUAACUUGGUUACAUGGAGGAGUAAAAAACAGAAAGUGGUAGCUUUGUCGAGUGCCGAGGCUGAGUUCAGAGGAAUGGCUAAAGGCCUUUGCGAACUUCUUUGGAUUAGAAGACUACUCUCUGAAAUUGGUUUCACUCCUAAGUCAGGAAUGAACCUGUACUGCGAUAAUAAAGCUGCAAUUGCAAUUUCUCAAAAUCCAAUUCAGCAUGACCGGACGAAACAUAUCGAGAUAGACCGACAUUUCAUUAAACAGAAUCUUGAAGAAGGAGUGAUUUGCUUUCCUUUUGUUAGAUCAGAAGACCAACUUGCUGAUAUGCUCACAAAGGCUGUCUCCAACAAAAACUUUCGUGACUCACUUAACAAGUUGGGCAUAGAAGAUAUCUUUGCACCAACUUGAGGGGGAGUGUUAGCGUGAGCUGUACAGUUUAGGAAUUAAUGUUGGUGUGAGCUGUAGAAUCCAAUAUAGGAAUUAUAUUUUUAAUAUUCUGUAAUUGUAUAUAUCCCAAUAUAUAUGGGAUUAAUGUUACUUACCUAGAUAGUUAUCUUGGGAAGGGUUUCUCUAUAUAAGAGAACCACUCUGUAACGUUUGAAGAAUAAGAAAAAGAAGGGAAUACACAGGGCGGCUGCUCUCUGAUUUAUCACAAGAUUUAAUGCAAUUUGAACGUUUGGUAACUAAUAGAAGAGGUGGGCAUGAACUUUCACUCGUGAGUUUGGAAACAUUACAGUUGAACUUAUUGCCUGACUUGAGGUGUAUAUGGAAGGGCCUAGUGCCGAGCAAUUUGACUACUUUGAAGGUGAAAAGGUGUAACAGACUGACACAUGUAUUCACAGACAGCAUGAUUGCUAGUCUAGUUCAACUGAAAUUUCUAGAGAUAUCAAAUUGUGAGGAAUUGGAGCAAAUCAUUGCUAAGGAUAAUGAUGAUGAAAAGAAUCAGAUAUUUUCAGGAAGUGACCUCCAAUCUCCAUGCUUCCCUAAUUUGUGUCGACUUGAGAUCACAGGAUGCAACAAGUUGAAGAGUCUCUUCCCGGUAGCCAUGGCUUCAGGUCUCAAAAAGCUCCAGAUACUUAAAGUAAGAGAAUCCUCUCAAUUAUUGGGAGUAUUUGGGCAGGGUGAUCAUGCUUCACCUGUCAAUGUUGAGAAGGAGGUGGUGCUCCCUCAUCUGUUGCAGCUGAUUCUAGAAGAAUUACCAAGCAUUGUCUACUUCAGUCAUGGAUGUUAUGAUUUCAUAUUCCCUCGUUUGUGGAACUUGGAGGUGCGUCAAUGUCCAAAGCUGACCACAAGAUUUGCUACUACAUCAAAUGGUUCAAUGAGUGCUCAAUCAGAGGUGUUGCAUAUUUGACAUGAUUUCUUGCCUCUCUUUAAGUGUUUUUAUUUCUUGUUUCCCUCAAUAAUAAGACUUACAAGUUAGAAUAUGUAUGCCAUGCUUGAAUUGGCUUUGCAGGUAUCUCAAGUAGCUGAGGGUUCCAGCACUGGUUGCUCCGUGCCAACCAGCAGUUGUAGAACGUGGACCUCAUAUAAUGGGUGGGAAGAGGAAAAAGAGGAAGAGGAUGGAGUCAGAUGAUUAGUUUGGCAUUGGAAUUUGAAAAGCAUGCUAGUAAUUCAUUCUUGCAGGUAAAAUGGCUGCAACUAUUUAUCUUGUAUCCUUGUUUAAAUGGUUGGAUUAAAUCAACAAAUACGAGAUGCCUGGAUGAUCUUUGUUCUUGAUGUUUGCAUUAGGUUGGGUUGGUUGGUUACCUAUGUGAUGAUCAACUCGACAUUGGUGGGAAGUAAUUCCAGCUGUUUCAUUAGCUACAACAAUUUGUCUUAUUUCAUGUGUUUGUUGUGUGAACUUCCAGAAAUAUUGUGUGUUUAAUAAUUUAUUGUGCGAACCUUCAAAAAAGGGCUUUUGUUUGUUUGCCCAUUUGUGUUUCUUUUUCAAGUGUCUGAACCUUUGGAAGUUUCCACAGUUCCUGACAGCUUAGGUUAAGGCUACAAUAGGGAGUAGUGUUGUAAUCUUUCAACACCUACUAUGAGACAGAUUGUACUUUAUAACAAAACUCUGUGAAGACAUGGAAGGGGGUCCUGUCAAUUAAUGAAUAAAACUUUGUCAAAAUGAUUGCCAACUUUGCUUUCACGGCAGAUACAAUUAAUUAAUACUUUGAUGGGUAAUGUCAUGUGUUUUUAUACAAUAUUUAUUUUAAUUAAAAAUAUAUUAAAAUAAUAUUUUUUAAAUAUUGAUAUAUUAAAAUUAUUAAAAAAACAUAUAAAAACAUUGAUUUAAUGUUUUUUUUUAAAUUAAAUCAAUUUUAAAAACAUUUUAAGAAAAUAAAUUGAAUAGUAAAAACAAUUGAGAUUGUGGUAAUUAUUGUUUUUCAAGUGUUUUUUAUUAAAAAAUAAAUCAAGAUAAUAUAUUAAUUUAAUUUUUUUAAAAAUUCAUCUACUUUGCCUUCACCAAAAUACAAUUCUUUUGUAUUCUUGUGUCAUUAAACAUUUCAUAGUGAUAGUGCAAUGGAAUCUCGAGAUUUUAAUUUUUUUUUCAUCUUAUUUCUAAAUUUGGAACAAUUACUCAACAUUCUUGCUCUUAUUUUUGAACAAAAUAGACGUGCUAUUUUUAAUAGUUGAUACUAUAUGUCAUAUCAAAUUGAUUAUAUAUAUAUAUAUAUAAUCAAUUUACAAAUUUAUUGACAGAAUAUGAAAUUCCAAUAUAUAAGUAAAAGGAUAAAUCCUCUAGCUUUGAAAAGAAUUAGUGUUUGCCUUUGAGAUUGUAAUAUUUUUUUUCAGCGUAUAUUCAAUUUAAUAUUUUUAAUAAUACAAAUGAAAAUAAACAGCAAAUUUAAUUUAUAAAUGUAACUAUCUCAAAACAAUGUUGAGAAGGAAGAAAGAUUAGUAGAAUAAAAAUAAAAUUAAUAGACUUUUAAAAAGCAAAGAGUUUUUAAUGUUAAAAAUAAUUUUUUUAUUUAAUAGACCCAAUUUUGUAUUUUUUUUUUAAAAGAUAACUCUAUUUUAAUUCUGAUUCUUUAGCAACACAGUUUUUCAUUCACCAUAACACACAUUUUUUUUUUUAAAUAGUUAACAUGUCAUAUUAAUGAGGAGAGGUAUUUGAAUUGGGUGAGGCUGAUGAAGGAACUAACGAGGAGAAGGAGCUGCCGCUGCUGUCAUCUUUAACAGAGUUACGGCUGUACUGGUUACCUGAGCUCAAAUAUAUAUGGAAGGGGCCCACUAGAUAUGCUGAAAUUGUGGUAUCUUACCAAACUGACAUUUAUCUUCACACCGUCCUUGGCUUAGAGUCUUAUUAUUCAUCUGGAAACACUACAGAUAGAACAUUGCGGUGGAUUGAAGCGUCUUAUCAGAGUCUCUUGGAUUUCCAGGAUUAAAAAAUCUCUAUACAAGAGGCUGUGUUAAACUGGAACAUGUCUUCCCUGUCUCCGUGUCUCCAAGUCUUCUGAACAGAUAACGAUUAAAUUUGCUGACAAUUUAAAGCAAAUAUUUUACAGUGGAGAAGGAGAUGCACUCACCAGAGAUGGCAUCAUCAACUUCCCUCGGCUAAGACAAUUGAUUCUUUCAAAGUGCAGCUUUUUUGGCCCAAAGAAUUUUGCUGCCCAAUUGCCUUCUUUGCAAGUGUUAGCCAUUGAAGGCCACGAACAAUUGGGUAAUUUGCGGGCACAGCUACAAGUACGUCUUUUAUAUUUCUCCCCUGAUUUUUUACUUUUAAAUUUAAAUUGUCAAAUUCAAUACAUUGUGAUAAUUUCUUAUUUCUUCCUUCAGAUUUCUAAAACUAAAGUAAUGGAUAAAUGGUAGCAAAUCCUUUAGCCAUCCACUGAAUUUAAAAGGAGUGAAAUUGAGGCCUUUCCGCCAAUUAAUAAAAAAUGGUUUUUUUUAUCCAAUUUUCUAAACAAUUAGAGUCAAAAAGUAAAAAUUGAAACUUUCUUUUUAAAUACAAUAUUUUCACAUUAAAAGACCUUCAAAAGCAACAAAUUUGUAAUUAAACAAAUAUAUUUUUGUCUCUUAUGUAUUUGUUUAUUCUAACUUUAAAUACUAAUUAAACACAGUCUAAUUUUUUUUAAUUUGAUUUAUGAUUUUAAAAAAAAAAACAUUUGAUUAUCACAACAUAGAAUAAAAGUUUAAAAAAGAAACAUUCACGGGCCUACACAAUACAUGAGCUGAUUAAAUGGCGACAAUCCCAUUAGCAAAUUUGUGCUACAAAUGACAAAAUAAAAAUAAACUCAGCAAACAAGAUCAGUCCUAAUUAAUUUUGUCAACUAUUGGCAUAUUCCAAACUAUCAAGCAUUGAACCUUUCCAAAUUAAUUGUUUUUUUUUUUUUCAAUUUGUUUUGGUCUAAUUGCAUUGAUUGGUUGGUUGAUUGAAUGAAUGGUGCAGUCCCCAUUUUCAUUUACUUUUGGCAUUACACAAAAACAUCCCUUUCAAGUUACAAAACGACGUGCAGCUCAGUCAAUGCCUUCAUUGCCUAGCGCCUUCAAAAAAUCAACUGCUUAGUUAGAUUCGUCCUUGGCUUGCUUAGAGCGACAGCCACAUUAAAUGACAGCCACCGAAAUGUUUGACAUGUGGCCUACAAUGUGAAUUAUGUGUUAACAAUUAGCUAAUUUUUUAAUUCUCUUAAUUUAAUUAAUUUAAUUAGUUACGGGGGUGGCUGAUAGGUAGUAUCUAAUAAGUAAAAAAUGCUUAAAUAUUUAUGUAGUGAGAGAAAGUAUAAUGAUACAGAGAUAAAUUUUAAAAAUACAUAUUUUAAAAAUGUUAAAAAUAAAAAAAUUAUAUAUUUAUAACUUAUAAGUCUUGUUUUUUUUUUUAAAGAAGAGAGAUUAAAAAGUAAUUUUAUUUUGUGAUAUUUUAAGUUAUAUUUUAUUUAAAAUAAUAUGGGUUUGAUUAAUAUAAAAUAUUAAAAGAUUUGUACAUGAUAUUAAAAAAAAUUUAAACAAAAUAUUGGGCCUAAGCCUAGUAGAAGUAAAAAAUAAACUUACGAACAAGGUAUAUGGAUCCAGGCAGUGCUUGUAAAAACCUAGAGCAGUUAGGCUUUUGGGAGUUUUUUUAAGCCAAUUAAAUUUUGGUCUAAAGCAAAUAGAAGUGAUAAUCUCUUAUUUUCUUCCUGAAAUUCUUGACGUUUAGGCUGGGAAUAAAUUUAGCCUAGAAAAUUGAGGGAAAGUAGCUGAAAUAAUUUAAAACCAUUUAAGAUUUUUGUCAGUUUAGCUAGUUUAGUCGUUCCCUUUUGACUUAUUAAAGCCAGUUAUUGUGCUCAAUUAAAGCUCGAUCUUCAAAAGCUCGAUCUUCGAAUCUUCUUCUAAAAUCUUUAAUUUUGCUCUGAUAUUUAUGAAAAUGUAAUUCAUUAUUAAACCCUAAAAACUUCUAUAACUCCAUUCUCAAUCCCAAAAUUUUGACUUGAUUUUGUCAUAAGUUUUGAUUUAAAUCAAAAGUUAAUUCUAGUCAAAACUCUUACCAAAUAUAAUUUAAAUUUUGACUUAAAUCAAGAUUUGUUAUAAAAUUGAGUCAAAGCUUUACUUUAAUAAAAAAAUAAAAUUUUAAAAUUUUAACUUAUGAUAUAUUUUUUUCUUGAGUAAAAAGUAAAAAAAAAACAACUUAAAUUAAUUUACAAAACUGAACCAUAUACAAUCAAAAUUUGGACUUAUAUCGAAAGUUUGUUAUUUCACAGUUAAUAAUCGAAAGUUACUUUAAAUUAUGACUUGAAGUCAGAAGUUACUUUUCAUAAAUGAUGCCUAGAGAAAAGGGGGGAAAUAAUGCAAUCUGGGUCAUUGUGGAUCGACUAACUAAGUCUGCCCUUUUCCUACCAGUAAAGAUGAUAGAUCCAGUUGAUAAGUUGGCUAAGAUUUAUGUGAACAAAGUUGUAAGGUUUCAUGGAGUCCCAACAUCAAUUGUUUCAAACCGAGACCCAAGAUUUACUUCACGUCUCUGGCCGAGCAUACAACAUGCCUUGGGAACAAAUUUGAGUAUCAGUACUGCCUUUCAUCCGUAGACUGAUGGCCAAUCUGAGAGAGUUAUUCAGAUCUUAGAAGAUUUACUAAGGGCAUGUGCUUUGGAAUUUGGUGGAAACUAGGAGGAGCACCUGUCACUAGUAGAAUUCACGUAUAACAACAGUUAUUAGACAACAAUUGAAAUGGCCCCAUUUGAAGCUCUUUAUGGCAGAAAGUGUAGGACACCCUUGUGUUGGGAAGAAGUUGGGGACAAAAAGCUGUAUAGGGCAGAAUUAGUACAAAUCACUACUAAAAAAGUGAGGAUUAUUAAGGAUCGAAUAAAGGCGGCUCAGGAUAGACAGAAGAAGUAUGCAGAUAUUCGAAGAAGACCACUUGAAUUUUGUCCUGGAGAUAAAGUAUUUCUGAAGGUAGGUCCAUGGAAGCACAUGCUGAGAUUCGGCAUGAAGGGAAAGUUAGCCCCGAGGUUCAUUGGACCAUUUGAAAUCCGAAAAUGUAUCGGACCUGUAGCAUAUGAAAUAAACUUGCCCUCACAGUUGGCCAAGGUUCACAAUGUAUUCCAUGUUUCUUUGCUGCGAAAAGCCGAUGUAGACCCUUCGAGAGUGUUACCUCAAGUGCCAGUGGAGGUAAAAGAAGACUUAACACUUGAGGUAAGACCGAUAAAGAUACUCGAUUGGGGCGAGAAAGAACUUCGUAAUAAGAAAGUUCCCAUCAUCAUAGUCUUAUGGCGAAGCUCACAAAUCGAGGAAGAAACAUGGGAGAGAGAAUCAGAAAUGAGACUAAAAUUCCCCGACUUGUUUAUAAAUUCAAGUACAUCACUCAAAUUUCGAGGACAAAAUUUCUAUUAGGAGGGGAGAAUGUAAACCCCAAGAAAAAUAAAUAAAUAAAAGUGAAGAAAUUCAUGUAUAUGGUUAAAUAAAAAACAGGAAUUCAAAAAAAUUUUAAUAUGAAUUUCCGGGUGAAAUAAUUCGAGAUAUUAUAAUGAACCCGGUACUGCUAAGGGUUGGAUUUAAUUGAAGAGAAAAAAAAAUACACUUAAAGGAAAAAGGGGGCCUAAAUGCAAAUAAGGGAAAAUAUAGAGUAUAAAUACUCUCUCCUCACCAAAACAAAAUCUGUAUAAACCAUAAGGAGAGAAGAUAAGGAGUUUUAUACCCAUUCUUGAGAAAUCAAGAGAGAAACACUAACAUUUCAAGAACCCAUCCAAGAUUUAGAGCUUAUAGAUGGAAUAAACACUUGAGAGCGAAUGAUUACCAAGAAAUUGAACAAGAAGAAAAGAAAGGAGGGAGUUGAAAAUCUUCAACUGGUUGAAGAUCAAGAUCUUAAUUUGUAGCAGGUAAGGUAUUCUAAACAUGAGCUUAAAAAAAAUUCAUUUUUAAAUUCGAUAAAGAAUUGAUGCCUUGAUAUUGAAUCAUAGGUUAGGGUUCUUAGACAUAAAUUGGGGAAAAAGUACUUAUUGUUGAGAUUAAGUUAAUUUAUGUGUGUGGUAUGUAGUUUAUGAAAGUAUUGUGUGAAGGGGAGGGGGAGACAACUCUGGACAGACUUGUCUCCUGACUUUCGGUGAGAUUUUUGGAUAGGAGGAUGAGGGAAUUAGGAUUGGAUUCCUCAUAGAAAUUAUAGAUUUGAAUGUUAGCUAACUAAGGAAACUAGUCUUGCUCAAUUUGAAGAUGUAGAACUCCAGUUAUGGGUUACCAACCGAAACUGAGUCGUGACUGAUUAUGUAGGGCAGUAGGACUGAUUAGUUGAUGAGCAAUUUUGACUAUCUUGGAGGCAGAACUAGGUUAUCCUUCAUUAGAGAACUGAUAGCCUUGUGUCUUAGCUUUCUAACGAGAUCAAUCUCACUUAAAAUGGAGUUUUAGAACUUUAGAUAUAGUUAAAAAUCUGAUGAGUGUUCAGAUAGUAACAGUUCAAAGUCAGACAAUAACGGUUCAAAGUCAGACAGUAACAGUUGGAAUUGGACAGUAACAGUUGGAAUUGGACAGUAACAGUUCAAAGUCAGACAGUAAUGGUUCAAAGUCAGACAGUAACAGUUGGAAAAUUGGACAGUAACAGUAGACUUUCACGUGAAUACUAUAAAUAAGAAUAUUAAAGAAUUGAGUCAUAUGAACGCUUACACAUUGAGAUACUAACUCUGAUAAUAUAUAUGAUAUAUGUAUGUAUGUUAUUAUGAGGAAAUGAACAUGCAUAGAAAGUAACAUAUGAGUAAUGGAUGAAUAUGAAUUCUCUAUAAUAUCGGCUUGAAGGAAUCAUAACCAAAAAACUUCCUUGUGAUUCAGGAGGAGCAACCAAGAUUGGAUCUUCUGUUAGGGGAGGUCGUGAGACAGGCGAAGCAGGUGCGUGAUUUUCCUCCUAUUUGCACUUAUAUAAUUUAAAAUUCGUCUGGUGAAUGCAAUUACAAUAAGUGUCGUGUUCAAUGUAAAUAAAAUCUAGCGUAAAUACAAGAUUAGCUUCGGCUAAUGGCAUCCAUGAUAGGAUUGCCGGGAUAUGAAUUACAAGAUUAGCUUCGGCUAAUGGCAUCCACGAAAGGAUUGUCGGGAGAUGAUUUACACAAUUAGCUUAGGCUAAUGGCAUCCAUGAUAGGAACGCCGGGAAAUGGAUUAUAGGAUUAGACCUUGCAAGGUCACCCAGUUCAUGCAAGUAAAUAAGAUUAUUCAAUUAAGAAUAUACAAAUGAGUGUUAAUUGGGUUGUAAAGAUUUACAAGCAAAAUAUAAGUUCUCUGUUAGAAUUCUUAUGGUUCGAUAAAAAGUUAAUACUUCAUUCGUAUUUAUUACAUGAUCAUACAUAUAUUCUUUAUCAACAUAAUGAUAUAUUUAUUUAUGUAACAGGUCCAUCAAACAUCUAGGAAGAUCAUUAGUUUAGGACUCUACUUUGUGAAACUUAUGUAAAUAUUUAACUUAAACAAAAGGAAAUUAACGUGUUUAUGUAGUAUAUUUUUGUGUAAACCUUGAUGUAUUUAUAAAAUUUCAGCUUAGCAUUUAGUAUUUUAGUUAUCUUGUAAUUAACCCUUUUGAAAUAGUUAGGAACACUUAUUAUGUUGUAAAUACUUUCUUUGCAUGUUAGUAUUCCUUUUCUCUUAAAUUUUAUGAUAUGAUGUUUGGACUAUGUUCAUAUUGAUCUUACUCGUAGGAUAUAUAUAUAUAUAUAUAUUGUGUGGAAUUAUGAGGUUUGAUAUAAGGUCCGGAAUUAUGGGACCUUGUGAUGAUGGGUUGAUUGAGUAAAUUGACAGUAGUCGAUAACUUGGGAUGUCCUAAAUGCAAAAGAAACUCUGCCGAAUUUUUGAGAAAAAAAAAUCCACACUCAAAUAAAAAGGAUAUGUUGUGAUCUUUUAACAUUGAUUGAGUCGUACAGUCGGACUGUUACAUAUAUAAUCUAUGUUCUCAUGAAAAAAGUUAUGUUUUUUCAAUGUGGGAUUUGAAACCCAUUAGUAUAUAUACUCUACGUUCCUAAGAAAAAAAUCAUGUUUUUUCAAUGUGGGAUAAAAAUCUUUUUGGUUUAAAUACUUCAACUUAAAAGGAUAACAUAUUAUCUUUUCAAUGUGGUAUUUGAAGCCCUUUCAUAUAUAUACUCUAUAUUCCCAUGAAAAAAGUUAUGUUCUUUCAAUGUGGGAUUUGAAACUCAUUAGUAUAUAUACUCUAUGUUUCCAAGAAAAAAAUCAUGUUUUUUCAAUAUGGGAUAAAAAAACCUUUUGGUUUAAAUACUUCAACUUAAAGGAUAAUUAUUUUUUUAAAUAUUAUUUUAAACUUCAUUGUUUACAAUAUGUAUAACCUAUAUUUACAUGGAUUUUUUUCAUAUGAAAUAUUAAAAUUUUAAUUUUUUUUAAAAUUUUUCCGGGUUGAUCCAAGUUGACCCGGGUUGACCCAUAAAACUCGGGACCCGGUCCCUUGGCCGGGUCAACUCUCAGGCCGGGUUUAAUAACUAUGGUUCAAAUACUAUGAGAUAUUUAGUUGUUGCAAAUUCGUAAACUAAGGUUCUAUUUGGUAUGACAUUUACAAAUUAAUUUAAGUUGUUUUUUAAUUAAAAAAAUUCAUAAGUAUAUAUUUGCAAGAAAUAAGAAUAUGUUUGGCAUAUUUUUUCAAUUAUGAGUUUUGACUUUCAAAUAUAUUUCAAAAGUUAUUUUUUCAUAGAUAAUUACUGUUGUUACCCAUUUUUGGGUUCACAUAAAAAUGAGAAAAUACAAAAACAAUAUAUCAAAAGAAAUCCAAAAAAUAAUAGGAGCGAGAAAAGGAUUGCUGGAAUGCUGAAAAAAUGCCAAAAUUGGUUGAGAUUCAAAAAUGCAAAAGGUUGAAAUUUGACAGUGAGAGCCCUGUUGAUGAGGAAAAUUCAAUUUGAGGAAGAAAAGUCCAAAAUCAGAUGUUUAUGGACUCAAUUAAAUUUUAUCCAAGGUUUAAUUGAAUUUAUAGAGCGUUUGAUUGCAAGAAAAUUGAUUUUUGUAAGUCAAUUUAGGCUUUUAUCGGAAGAAAUUAAAGUUCUGGGGUCCAAUUGUAAUUUUAAAGAGUUAAUUUGGUCAAAUCAGGGGCUUAAUUGCAUAAUAAGGGUUUAAAAUAUAAAAAAGACUGCAAGUCUACAAGAGCUGACAAUAAGAGCAAGGCUGCUACAAAGGAUUUACAAUGGAAUUAGAAAUAAAAUUUAAGUCCACAUUGGCAUUGGCUUAAUCUACAAAAAUAUAGAAAAUCUACACUUGUUGACCUGCUUGCCCAUCCUUUUUUUCUACUUCUUCCUGACCUCCUAUUUGACUCUCAUUCUCACUCAUACAGUACUUCUUGAAGAAAUAACCAAAACACCUCAUCACAAAAGGCACUGAAGCUGCAAUCAAAAGAUAGCGAAAACGCACAGAUUCAUUAGGAGUAACAGCAAAAACCGCAGAUGCAUAGGUUAUCAUAAUUGAAGCUGUAGCAGCCCAUAUUUCAAGAUGGAAAGGGAACCUGUAAGUGAGAGAUGUAAUGACAAGUAUACAAGUGGAGAGAGCCAAAGUGUUUGAUAUCAAGAAAACAUAGAAAGCACGCUUUUGAGAUGCAUAAAUUGCUCUUCCUACACGAUCUCCUUCUUGCCAGACCCCUCCAGGAGGGUUCACCCCGGCCUGGAAAGUCACUGCUGCAAUCAAGGCCACAACUACUAGCAAAACAUUUCUAGCAUCGCUUGGUGAGUCUCUCACUUCAUCAUACUGAAAUUUCUUGAACCCGCUAGCACUUCUUUUAGUAUUGUUUUUUUUAGGCUGAGACAUUUUUACUUGGGCAAAGAUAUGUGGGAGAUACCAGCACUCUGGCUCUCAAGAAGUUACUUAUAUAGAGCCUCCGUUCUAAAGGAUGGGGCCCGCCCUAAUUAUCACAUGUUUCUUGUUGUAACCCAUUUUUAACUCCCAUAUAAAAAAGAAAAAAAUACAAAGAAAAAAAAGUCAGAAGAAAAAUAAAAAAAUAGUAGUAGUGAAAAGAAGAUGUCGGAGCGCCCAAAAAAUAGCUAAAAAAAAUGGUUAAGAAGGUUCAAAAAUACAAAGAUUAAAAUUUGACAGUAGUUUAUUGACUGAUGAGAGCCCUGUUGACUGAUGAGAGCCCUGUUGACAAAGAAAAUUCAAUUUAAGGAAAAAGUCUAAAAUCAGAUAUUUAUGGACUCAAUUAUAUUUUAUUGAAGGUUUAAUUGAAUUUAUAAAGGGUUUGAUUGCAAGAAAAAUUGAUUUUGAAGUCAAUUUGGGCUUUAAUUGAAAGAAAUUAAAAUUCUGGGGUCAAAUUAUAAUUUUUGAGAGUUAAUUUGAUCAAAUCAGGGGCUUGAUUGCAUAAAUAUUGAAGUUUGAAGGCCAAUUAGAGAUUUAAUUGAAGAAAUCCAAAACCAAGAACCAAACUAGAAAUCUCAGUGUUGAUUUUUAAGUUUAUAUAAAAUAUUUCAUUCUCAUCUAAAAAUAUUAAAAAGUAAGAAAGAAAAUCCAAAUUAAUAAAUAUAAAAACCUAAAAUAUGACAAAAUUUGAGAUAAUUAAUUUUUCUAAAAAUCCUAAAAUUCUGUCCACUUAAAUUCCCAUACAUUAACAAUAUCGUAUAUUCAAAGAAGUGAUCAGUGGUGUUAAGAAAAAGAAAUACUUAUCAUGUUUCUUUUAAGGUAAAAAAUACUUAAUGAGCUUUCAUCAUCAAAUAAAGACAUUUGAUAUAAAUAUCAUCCAUUUUGAUGGUCUCAAUCGAUAUCAAUAACACUUUUCUCUCUCUACCGCUUGAAUUUAUUGACCUCUAUCUCCCUUCUCUUAAUUAGGGAUUAAAAAAUAACAAAAAUAAACUUUUGAAUCAAAAUUUAAUUCGAAAAAUGUUGAGGUACUAAAAUUAUAUGAUUUAUGUGAUUUUCAAAUUUUAAGAACCAAAAUACAUCAUUUGCGAAACUUAUGGCAUGAGAUCCAUGUUUGGUGUCUUUUUCAUUUCGGUCCCUCUUCAUUCAAUCCUAUCUUUUCAUAAUAAAUCAAAAUUAAUUGGUCUUUAAUUAGAACUAAAUUAUCAAAAACAAAUUGAGGAACAAAUUAAAAAAAAAACUAUAGUUUUAAGAGCGUGCGAGAAAUAUCACUAGUUUUAACUAUUCCUAAUUUGUGACAAUAUUAUAGGUAAAACUAUACACAAAGUGAAGAGUGGGAGAUUCUCAAUUUUUUGAAAUGCUAAUAUUGUACUAUUUAUCUUGGAAAUCCCUUGAAUUUAUUCACACCAAAUUUAAAAUUCAGAGAAAUUAAAUCUAUGGUUUGUUUAUAAAUAAAUUUUAUUGUUAAUAUUUUUAUUAUUCCAUAGUUACUUUAUGUAAACCUUACAUUUAUUAGAGAAAUCAAAGUAAACAAAUUUAAUGGACAAAUACUAGUUUAUCAAGUACUUAACUUGAAUAAAAGAAGAUACAAAAAUAUAAAUAUUUUUUAUAUAUCUUUAUUGUUUAGAAAUUAAAAAUAAAAUAAAAUAAAUCCAAACUCAUCUAAAAAAAAAGUUAAUUUUGAUGUCAUCAUUCUAAUAAUAGAACUAAUGAAGAUAUUUUAUUAAUAAGAUUUUGUGAAAAUAAGUAUUCAAAUUGAAAAAAAAAAAUUGUUCAUGUUUUUUGCACUGAUGUCUCCAUCCAUUUACAGCCGGAAUGAAGAACGUCACCUAUUUUUAUGGUCUCUUCUUACUUGGAAGAUAAGAUAUAUGAAUAUUCAGAGUUAUUUGAGUCCACUCAUUUUAGUAGAUUUUUAUUUUUUUAUAUUAGUAUUCCAACUUUUCUUUAUUAUAUCAAUUAAAGAGACCAGUUCAAAAGAACAAUAGUGAAUAAGUUUUUUAAAAUAAAGAACAAUAGUGAAUAAUUUUUUUGUAUUUUUUAUGUGUUAUGUCAAAAUAUUUUUUUUAAAUAAAAAAUAUUAUUUUAAUAUAUUUUAAAAUAAAAAUAUUUUUAAAAAUAAUCAUUAUCGAACUUUAAAUAUCAUUAAGAUGAGGCAACCCUCCUUUUGACUCGGCUAGCCUACUGUUCUGUGGGUAUAUUUUAUUGCUGCAUUAUUUUCACUAUAAUUUUCAUUAUAGUGAAAAUUCAGAAUUAUUUUAAUGGAUUCAAAUUCAACAUGGUGAUUUUUUACAGUGGAUUCAAAUUCAACAACAAGGGCUAUUUCCUGCAGCAAGGAGAGUUUCUGAAUUUUCAUUACUCAUACAUCGCGAAAAAUAGUAAAGUUUCUGAGAAUUUUCAAAUCAAACUUGAGUUCAGCUUGUCGUUGCUAACUAUUUUAUUUUCACUAUAAUUAAUUGCUUUAUCACGUUGACGCCAGCAGUCAACAACUAUCUUAUAUUCUCUUGAGUCUUGGCAUCGAAUUCCAUGCCUUUGCAAAAUAUCAAAGGCUCCAGUGCCUCUCUAGCAAUAAUUAAUUUUAUUUUCCCCCAAAUAUUUAUCGAAAUAAUUAAUUUAACCACAAAAAAAAACAAAUAGAUCCAACUACCAUACCAUUCCACAAUUAAAUGUUUUUUGAAUAAAUAACUUUUUUUUUUAGUUUAACGUUGGUGUUCGGGCUAGCUUGCGCGCACCUCGACUAAUCCCACGGGCCCUGAAGUUAACGACCAUGUAAGCCUCCAGUGGCCAUCAUAUGAGCAAUCACAGGGCUCGAACCUAAGACCACAGAGAAAGCAAACCUCUUAAUUCCAAACUCUUACCACUGAACCACCAUCUAGAUAGUUUGAAUAAAUAACUUUUAAAUCAUAAAAAAAGUGAAGAAAGUGAAGAAUAAUCAAAGUGGUGGAUACGAAUGUAAUCAACCACAUUUAGCGAAAUAAUUAAUUUAAUCACAUCCUUUCUAGCUAAUCUAGAUUUUAGUAACUGGUUGGUGCUGCGUUCCAAAUAAAAAUAGAAUAAAAUUUGAUUUUUUUAUUUAAAAUUAUUUUUUUAUUUUUUAAUGUGAUAAUAUUAAAAAUAAUUUUAUAUUAAAAUUAAUUUUAAUAAAAUUUAUUGAAUCCACAAUUAAAGAAGUAAGAUGGAUAGGAAUGUGCAGUUUGAGAUGGAUCCGUGAGACCAUUGCUAUCAAGAGUUUUUUCUACGGGAUAAGAUGAGUCCGUGAGACCCGUAAGCUUUAGAAGAGAUAAUAUGUUUUAAUUUCAAAAAAUAAAUCUCAAUUCAGUGUGUUAGAAUGCAACCACCGACUAAUUAAUGGACAAUGGACCUUAGAUUAAUAUACUAUCAUUUUUUAUUGUAUUUUUUUUUCUAGUCAUAUUUAAUUUUUCAUCAAGUGAUUAAUAUGUAUAAUUCAAUGGAUAUAAUUCUUAACGUUAAAUGCUAUGUAUUUAGAAUUUUGUUGGAUUGAGAAAUGGAAGAUAGAAAGAGAGACAGAGCAGCUCAAAAGAAAAAGAAAAAGAAAAAGAUGGAACAAAAGUGGAACAGUUUUUAUUAACUAAAUAAACUUAUUUUAGGAAGCUAUAAUUAUUAAUAUUAAAUUUAAAAUUCAUAUUGCAAAUCCUGAAACAUAUCAUGUGGUUUAAUAGAAAUUAUUUUUAUAAACAUAUGUGGCUUAACAUCAUUAAUCAAAAGCUUAUAAUUUCUUUCAUUUUAUAUAUAUUAAAAGUAAAUAUUAAAACCUAUUAUAUUAUUAAUUCAGAUGUGAAUUAUAAUUCUAAAAUGUUUUUUAAAAAUUCUCUAUAUACUACAACUAGCUGAAGAAAGUCGUCUUCAUCGGACCAUCCAGUACCCAAAAAAUAAAAAAAAGAAUUGCAUGAAAGUAAUUAACCGGAACUUAUAAUCCUUCUUCAAACGUUGACCCGGAGUCAAAGUCUUAUUUUAAGGGAAAAAAAACAUGAAUAAAAUGUUAAUGUUAUGAGCUCACUUUCCAUGAUGAUGAUGAAUAUAAAGACUUGCAACUGUUUUUUUUUUUUUUUGUUUAUUAUUAUUCAAAUUGCGUGUGGAAAAUUAUGCCUUUUGAAUUUGAUGGAAAUUACAUGUGAAAAAUCACGCCUUUCGAGAUAAUUUAAAUUACGGUAGUUAUUAUUUUUGUUGUUAUAAUUAUAUAAAAAGAAAAGGAUAGCUUAAUUAUUCUUUUUUUAAUCAAAAACAGUUCACUUCAAGCAAUAUUUAUUAGCAUUCUAAUCAUUUAUUAUUGUUGCCAUACCCCUUUAAAUAUUCUAUUUGCUCAUUGUUACUGAAAUGCUCACGUAGGAGUUAACUUUGUUAAUGUGCCAAUGUUAUUAUUAUUUCAAUUUUGAAAAAGAAUAAUGACUUUGUAAUAAGCUUUGAUUUAAAUCAAAAGUUAAUUCUAGUCAAAACUCGUACCAAUUAUAAUUUAAAUUUUGACUUAAAUCAAGAUUUGUUAUAAAAUUGAGUAAAAACUUUACUUUAAUAAAAAAUAAAAUUUUAACUUAUGAUAUAAUUUUUUCUUGAGUAAAAAGUAAAAAAAAAACAACUUAAAUUAAUUUGCAAAACUAAACCAAAUACAAUCAAAAUUUGGACUUAAAUCAAAAGUUUGUUAUUACACAGUUAAUAAUCGAAAGUUAUUUUAAAUCCUCUAGCUUUGAAAAGAAUUAGUGUUUGCCUUUGAGAUUGUAAUUUUUUUUCAGCGUAUAUUCAAUUUAAUAUUUUUAAUAAUACAAAUGAAAAUAAACAGCAAAUUUAAUUUAUAAAUGUAACUAUCUCAAAACAAUGUUGAGAAGGAAGAAAGAUUAGUAGAAUAAAAAUAAAAUUAAUAGACUUUUAAAAAUCAAAGAGUUUUUAAUGUUAAAAAUAUUUUUUUUAUUUAAUAUAUAGACCCAAUUUUGUAUUUCUUUUUAAAAAAGAUAACUCUAUUUUAAUUCUGAUUCUUUAGCAACACAGUUUUUCAUUCACUAUAACACACACAAAUUGUAAUAUUAAUGAGGAGAGGUAUUUGAAUUGGGUGAGGCUGACGAAGGAACUAACGAGGAGAAGGAGCUGCCGCUGCUGUCAUCUUUAACAGAGUUACGGCUGUACUGGUUACCUGAGCUCAAAUAUAUAUGGAAGGGGCCCACUAGAUAUGCUGAACUUGUGGUAUCUUGACAAACUAACAUUUACAAAACGACGUGCAGCUCAGUCAAUGCCUUCAUUGCCUAGCGCCUUCAAAAAAUCAACUGCUUAGUUAGAUUCGUCCUUGGCUUGCUUAGAGCGACAGCCACAUUAAAUGACAGCCACCGAAAUGUUUGACAUGUGGCCUACAAUGUGAAUUAUGUGUUAACAAUUAGCUAAUUUUUUAAUUCUCUUAAAUUUGAUUAAUUUAAUUAGUUACGGUGGCUGUUAGGUAGUAUUUAAUAAGUUAAGUUGCUUGAUGUUUGAUAAUUAAAGGUGACUAUUAAAUGAUAUCUAUAAAAAAAUUUAUUUAAUAAAUAUGAGAAUUUUUAAAUGUUUAAAUCAUUUAAGAUUUUUGUUGAUUUAGUUUAUUCGUUUGCUUUCCCAUAAUUUCUCAGAUACCAAACACUUUGUUAUGUGUUGAAUAAAUAAUUAACCACCAAUUAAAAGCAGAAGGAACAAUAUUUGUGUUUGAAUCCUGAGAAAAUUGAGUAGGAAAAUAAAGGGAAAUUUUUGCAUUUUAUGAAGUUUAUUUUUCUUAGUUAUGAUGAUUUAUUGUUUUGGAGGUCCCUAAAAGUAGAAUAAUGGUCCCCAAAUUUACAAUGUUUUCCUGCAAUCAAACAGUGCCUUUUUUGAAACUGCUCAAUUAUUAAUCGCUUGGUGUCUACUUGUCCAUUCCAUUGACCUCUUACAACCACAUGAUGAGCUUGUUAUUGUGAUUGAUCUUCAAAAGCUCUAUCUUCGAAUCUUCUUCUAAAAUUAUUUUAAAAACAGAUUUAUUUUACGUAACUAUCUUCAUUUCCUUCAACAAAUAUAUUUUUGUCUCUUAUGUAUUUGUUUAUUCUAACUUAAAAUACUAAUUAAACACAGUCUAAUUUUUUUAAUUUGAUUUAUAAUUUUUUUAAAAAAUAUUUGAUUAUCACAACAUAAAAUAAAAGUUUAAAAAAGAAACACUCACAGGCCUACACAACACAUGUUGGCCUAUUCCAAACUAUCAAGUCAAGCAUUGAACCUUUCCAAAUUGCAUUUUUUUUUUUGGUCUAAUUACAGUCCCCAUUUUCAUUUACCGUUGGCCUUACACAAAAACAUCCCUUUCAAGUUACAAAACGACGUGCAGCUCAAUCAAUGCCUUCAUUGCCUACAGCCUUCAAAAAAUCAACUCAUUAGUUAGUUUCGUCCUUGGCUCGCGUAGAACGACAUCCACUUUAAAUGACAGCCACCGUGAUGUUUGACUUGUGGUUUAGAAUAAGAAUUAUGUGUCCUUAAUUUUUUAAUUUUAGUAAUUGAAUUUUUUUUUAAUUAUAGUGGUUGAUUGGUAGUGGUAAUUGGUGUUUCAUAAACAAAGAUAAUAAAUAGCUGGUACUUAUAAAAAAUCGUAUACCAAUUUGAUCCAAAAUCUCUUAUUGAAUUAAAAGACCUUUACUUUUAGUCGGGGGAUAAAGCAAUUAUUUUUUUUGUUUUUUUUGAAGAAGUUUUUUCUUAAAAACAAUAAAGAUAUAUAUCUAUUUACUAUUUAUGUUUGUUGUUUGCGAAGAUGACGUUUCCAUCUUUUUUUUUAUAUCUAUACCGGCUAAAAUCAUGGGUGAGGACUUUUAAAUCCUUAAGAAUUUAUGUAAGGAGAGAAAAUAUAAUGAAAUUUUGAAGAAAUAAAGUUUAAAAAUAUACAUGCUAUAAAAGUUAAAAAUAAAAAGAUUAUAAAUCUUGAACUUUGAGGAUUGAUGUGGUAUUUAUAUCUUACAUGUUUUGUACUUUUGAAGAGAUGAAGGAUUGAAAAGUAAUUUUAUUAUGUAGUAUUUUAAGUUAUAUUUCACUCAAAAUAAUAUAUAUUAAAUUAAUAUAUAAUAUUGAGAAAUCUGUGUGAGAUCUUGAAAUUUUUUUUGAAUGGAAUGUUGGGUUAAAACCCACUAAAAGUAAAACAUAAAUUCACGUAUAUUGUCUAGAUCCAAUCACAUUAGACUUGAGACGCACCCUCGAGCCCAUUAAAAGUAUAUGGUUCAAGGCAGUGCUUGGACUCAGAGCAGUUAGGCUUUUGGGAGUAUAUUUUAGCCAAUUAAAUUUUGGUCAAAAGCAAAUAGAAAGCUAUUGUUCUGUUGAUUGAUUUCUAUUCAUUAGUCUUUUUCUUUCAUUGACUCGGUUUCUCUGGGUGCUGACAAGUUAUUCAUGGUGAAGUGAUAAUCUCUUCUUUUCUUCUACUAAAAUUCUUGAUGUUUAGGCCGGGAAUAAAUUUAGCUCCUCUUGUUUACCUAGAAAAUUGAGGGAAAGCUGUAGCUGAAAUAAUUUAAAACCAUUUAAGAUUUUUGUCAGUUUAGUUUAUUCGUUCACUUUCUGUAGUUUCUCCGAUGCCAAACACUUUGUUAUGUGUUGAAUAAAUAAUUAACCACCAAUUAAAGCAGAAGGAACAAUAUUUGUGUUAGAAAAUUGAGUGGGGAAAUAAAGGGAAAGUUUUGCGUUUUACGAAGUUUUUUUUUCUUAGUUAUGAUGAUUUAUUUUCUUGGAGGUCCCUAAAAGUGGAAUAAGGGUCCCAAAAUUUACAAAGUUUUCCUGCAAUCAAACAGUGCCUUUUUGAAACUGCUCACUUACUUGUUGUCUGCUUGUCCAUUCAAUUGACUCCCUGCAACCACAUGCUGUAUUGGAGGUUUCUCUACCAGUGAAGAUAGCAUCAAAUGAUGAGCUUGUUAUUGUUCAAAAGUUCAAUCUUCAAAUCUUCUUCUAAAAUCUUUAAUUUUACUCUCAUAUUGAAUUUAUGAAAAUGUUAUUAUUCAUAGAGUUCAUAAAGAAAGAUGAUUACCCUUUUUUAAAUAGUUUUAAAAACUGUUAGCCAUGUGUUACUAAAUAACUUCUGUAUUUUGUAUUAUACUUUAUAUAUAAUUGCUAGAAGAUAAAAUAAUCUGUUUUUUAUUUAUGUAUAUCACAAUACUUUUAUCCUAACAUUAUUUUUUAAAAACCAUAACUAAAAGUAUUUUUUUUAAUUUAUUUUUUAAAAUCGUAAUCACAAAAGCUACCUUAGUGUAUGUUUGGUAAUGUGGUGUAGGAUACUUUUACAAAGUAUUUUUAAAUUGAAAAUGUAUUAAAAUAAUUUUUUUUAAUUUAAAAAAAAAGCACUUUAAAAUCAUCAAAAAAUAAUUAAAAAAUUAAAUUAAUAUUUUUUUAAAAUCAAAUACAUUUUAAAAGUAAUUUGAAAUGGACACCCUUAGCAUUCAUUUGUUGCAGGAAAAUGCUACACAGAGAUUUAUUUAUUUUUCACGUUGUUUUGUUGGAUGUAAAGCUGUUUCUAUUUUCUUAGAGCAGCGCCAACCUCCUCUUGCUGAUCUCUCUUCAUGCUAUUGGCUUUUUUGUAAGCAUUUUGUUCUGUGUCGGAAAUUAAAAGUCUGUUUGGUAAGUUUUUAAAUUAUGAUUUUUUUUUUGUUUUAUGUCAUAAUCCAAAAAUUAUUUUUCAUAAAUAACUUACGAAAAAAAAUAAAUAACUUCAAGUUAUAAAGAUGUUUGGUAAAAAUGAUUUAAAUUAACUUUUUUUAAUGAAAAAUGUAACAUGAGUUAUAGCUCAUAGGUUAAAAGUUAAAAAAUAUUAACUUUUUUUAUUCAAAUUUGGAAUAAACUUCUGAUUUAUUUAAGUCAAAAAUUGAAAAAUAACUUAAAUCAAAUUAUAAAAGUAAUACCCAAUAUAACUUAAAUUUAACUUAUAGUAUGCUUCAUAAAAUUGGCAAUUUCCUGUACAGCAUAAGCUUCUUAUUAAUAAACACAAAUGAUCCAACAACUGUGUAUAUGUUAUUAAAUGAAUUGAAACUCCUUUUGAUAUUUAGACAACAAAGAAUUCGGACCUAUACUUGAUUAGGAUUUAGAUUAUGUCAUUGAUACUCAAACAGGUGUAUUCAUAAAUAAAAAAAUUCAUACAAUUUUUUUUAUUUUAAUCCCAAAUUGAUAUAGUAAAAAAAAAUAAUCUCCUGAGUCGAUGAGUUAUCUAAUUGACCCAUCAAGCCAUGUCAUAUUUUAUAAUACUGCUAUUUAUUUAUAUAUAAAAAAUAUUUUUAUUGAUAUUAUCAUCAAUCUUCCUAUGAUAGAAUAGAAAUAUCUAAAACUCUAUACGGUAAUAUAGAAAAUUGAAGGCUUUAUGGCAUUACAUGCCUUGAAUUGGUUUUGUACAUGCAGCAGUAAUGUUUUCGCGUACACCCAUGAAACCAUUGGCCUGCCUGCAACCGAAAAAAAAUUGAAAUGAGAAAGGAAUGCCUUUGGCUUUCUUCAUAAGUAAACCAAACAUGAAGCAAGGAAUGCCUUUUCUAUUCUUUAUAUAUAUAUAUAUAUGUGGGCAAAUCAUAUUCCUUGAGUGGGAUUAGGGACAAUCAUAUAGCUCGAGUUUCAUUCUUGGAAGUGGCAGAGAGUAUUCCUUAUUUAAUUAAUUAUUGUCUUCUUUUCAGGUCCUUUCGUUUUUUUUACCCCAAUCAUCAUAAUUAUAGGAACACUACAUCCAUUAAGGAUUAUAUUUGUGGUUGCAAUCUAUUGAUAGAGAGGCUGUGGGUGUCUAAGUGAUCGUGAACCUUUCAUUCGUUCCGGUCUCUGCUAUAUAAGGUGUGUGUAUUUUAACUAAUUCUUGUAUUAUUAAUUUGUUUUUGUCUUUAUAUUAUAUUGUUAUGCAUAUAUUAUGUGUUCAUACAUGUUUGCAAGUAUGAUCCAUGAAGAAAGAAAGUGAAAUACUUGUUCAAUUUAAUCCUUAUUCUCUCCUACUAGACUCAAUCAAUCUCUAUAUAUACAAGUUUAUAUGGAAGUCUAUAUAUCUCGUUGUAGGGUUGAAUAAUUGUAAAUACAGAUCAAACACCCAUUAUUAAAAAGAUUAUGGUGUUUUAAUUUAUUAGUCAAUUAGAAAACUAAUUAGUUUUAAAAUCUUCUUAAUAAUACAUAUAUAAAAUUAAAUUAAGACUUUAAUCUUGAUAGCUAACAUUUUGAACUUUUACCUUAAAUUUGAUAUGGAUGUAAAAUCUACAAAUUCACAAGACUAAUAAAAUUUCUCUGUGUUUGGUGAAUUAAAGUAGGGUAAUGGUCUAAAUAAUAUUACUCUUGUAAAAGUUGGAUCUCCUUCAAUUUUCAACCUCAUCUUUCUAUUAUAGUGAAAAUAAAAAUGAUGAACAUUCUAACUAACUAUAAUGUUUGGAUUUAAUAGUGCAUGGCUAGCUUUCACCACCAUAAUUUGAUCUUGACACCAUCAUUCGUUUUUUUUUUUUUUUUUUAUUAUAUCACUCAUUUUGUUUUAUAUUGGAAAGCCCAAAAAUCCACGAAGUAAGAGCAGACCUUCCCAUUACUUAAUAAUUGAGGAAAUUAGAUUCAUUUUAAUCAAAUCAUCUUCAAUAGAUAAAGCUAUCAUGUAAUUAUUUGCUAGGCUAAGCAUAUUUGUAUAUUCACAGUCCCUCUUAAACUCUAAAUACUAUAAAUCUACAAGGAUUUGUAUGAUGUUAAGAGAAAUAUAUAUCCCCUUUUAGCCAACACUAGAUACUUUUCUACGCUACCAUAUGAGGUGAAUCAAUUUUUUUAAAGUAAAAAAGAAUAUAUAAGUGUACUUAACAUGUUUUGUAGCAGGAAAAAAUAAUCUAUGGAGGGGUUGAGCAAAGUGAUUUAAUCAACUUUAUAGGUUCAAAAACAACCCAAACGAGUGGUUAGCAUAUAGUUUGACUAAAAAAAUCAAGAUAAUAUAUUUUUUAAAAAUAAUAUUAAGACGACAACAUAUUAGAUUGACUUGGAUUUACUAGAAUCAACUUAGGUUAACCUAUCAAGUUCCUGACCUGAGUUAUAAGACCUUAAUAACCUUACAAAAGAUAACUAAGAAAAAAUAUUAAGCCUAAUUUCUAAGCAACACAAUAUUGCAAAAUAAAAUUGAAAAAAAAUUAAUUAAAAAAAUGACAUAAAAAACCAUCAUAAUCAACCCAAGUUAACCAACCAAACUCGUAACCUAUGUCAUGAGGUUAGGAUAAUCUCAAAGAAAACAAAAUGAAAUAAAUUAUGAAGCCUAAUAAUGAACUCCACAUUGAAAAAAAAUUGAAAAAAAAAAUAUUCAAUUAAAAAAGGAUAAAAAAAAACUAAGACAACUAGGCUAACCUGCGAUAGAAUCAUGAGACUGUGAUAUGCCCAUAGAAAGUAAAUAAAAAAAAUUAUGAAAUUCAAUUCUUAAUUAAUACAAUAUUGAAUGAAUAAAUUAAAUAAAAUCAAUUAAAAAAUAUCUCAGGUCAACUCGGAUUAACCUGUCAAACUCGGGUCUUAAUACCAAAAUAUAUCUAUAAAACAAAAAACAAUUAUAAAGUGAAAGUCUUGAUAGCUAACAUUUUGAACUUUCACCUUAAAUUGAAGUUUUAUAUGUGAAUUUCUCAUUUGUUUAUCUCUUUACUAUCAAGUUCUUAUACAGAUUCUUAAAUCAUGGUUGGUUGAUGUUUAACUAAGAGAAAUGCACAUAUCAAACUACAUUCUUAUUAUGAGAGAUUCACUAAAUUGAGAACUAUUAUGGUCUUAUGCCUCUACCUAGUACUUUUUAUGAAUAUCUACAAAAUCUAUCCAUACUUUUGUUUAAAGCGACACCCCUCCUUAUGUUCUUAUAGAUGAAUGGCUAAGUUUCAUAAAAAAACAUGAACAUAAUCAAAAUGGAUUAUUCCCUAUACUCUUUUUAUUUAUUUAUACAAAAAAUCAAGAUAAGGUUUUUAGUAACCAUACUUUUUUUGGUCUAAAUCAAAUGACCUAUAUCUUUACAAUAAUUUCAUUUAUGGUUAGGGUCAUAGGAUUGUUUGGCUUUAACAGAGUAAUUUUUCCAAUACUUUUGGUUCCUUUUAAGUUGAUAAACUUAACAUCUUUUGUUAAAAACACAUCUUUGGCUUCAAAGCACAUUUUCUAAUUCUUAGAGCCUUUUGUAAAUUUAGCUAGUAUUGUAUUCAACUUGUCAAACUUUUCUUGUAAGGAUUUAUUUUCUUCUUCAAGUUGAUUUACCUUUUUAUUUUCAUCAAUCACAAUGCAAUCUUUAUUUUCUAGAGUUUCUUUUUCUAGCAAACAAGCAUGCAUAAUUCUCUUUCAAUAAACUAUAUUUUAAACCUAAAUUUUUAAAUGUAUCAUAUAAAUAUUCAAGAGCAUCAUGCAACUCAUCAGAGGUAGGGUCAGAUUCAUCAUCCAAAUAUUGUAUCUCAUUUUCACUUUUGAUAGAAAACUUCUUAAUCACCUUGUAAUUAAGGCAAUGUCUUCUUCAAUGCUUUCUUGAUCAUCAUCAUCAUCCUCAAUGUGGUGAACGGCUUCAAAUGCCAAAGAGUGUACAUUUUCAUUCCCUCACUAAUAUCAUGAGUUUUUACUUAACUCUCGUAGGUUCACAAGUAUGGUUUUGUUUACAACAAACUCUUUCAUAGAGUGGAUGAUAUGAAUGAAGUUCUAGUAUCUCCAUAACUCACUAAAUAGUACUUAUAGGAUUUAAAAGUGUUUAAGUAUAGUGAUAAUGAAAAUGUAUACUCUUUGUUCUAGAAUAUAAAGGUUUAAACCCACUACUUAGAGUAUAAUCAAUAAUAUUUUAUUGUUAUUUUGAUCUUAGAGUAUGUUGUUCAUCAUAUUUGUUCAGAAUCCCUUGCUAAUUUUACAAUUAGACAAGCUAUAUAAUUGUUUCUAAGAAAAACUAGUCGUUGGAACCCCACUAAUGACUAAAACGAUCGAUUGGUUCAAAUUGAUCAAACCAAUCAAUCAACCGAUUCCUGCAAAAUUCCCAAGUGUUUAUCACUGAUAAACAAGUGAUCGUCUGAUUCAUACAUAAUUCUCAAAUGUUUUCAUCAUUGAUGAACAAAUGGUGGUUCAUUUCAUGUAGAAUUCUAUAUUUAACAGUUUUAAUCUAGGUGAAUUCUUAGAGCCAUCUAUCUUAGAUCAUCUUUUAUAUCAAUCCUAAAUGUAUAUAGAGUAAUGUGUGUGAGUUUAAUUUAAUUAUACCAUCAAGUAAGAUGUAAAGAUUUAUAAAUUAAACACUAAAAUGAAUGCUUGAACUUUUUGAUUAAUUUUUUAUGAAAUCCUUCAUGUUUAUUAAUGUGAUCUUAAUAUGAAACAUGUUUAAAGCUUAUUCUCAACCAGACAUAUUAUUAGUCUAUGUUUUUUUUUUUGUUAUAAUCAAAAUAUAAAAAAAUAUGAAUGUCUGACUCUAAAGGUCAAUAAAAUCAUCACCAUUUAGAGUAAAAAUAUAUCUAGACUAGGAUUUGCUAUCAUUAAUAUCUAAUUUAAAUCUAGCAUUUGAAUAUCCAUAACUACUGGUUUAUCUCAUUUAUAGAUCAUAAAGAAAUUCUUAUUUCUUUUUAACUACUUCUUAGACUCAAAACCUUUAGGUAGUGUAAUAUACAUAUCUUUAUGAAUUUUCCUAUAUAGAAAAGCAUUUUUUACAUCUAUUUGCUAAAAUUCAUAAUAUUAGCAUGUAGCUAUAGCAAGAAGGUUUUUACAUAACUAUUAGCAAGAAGGUUUCAUCAAAGUCAAUUCUUUGCUUGUAACCAUUUUCAACUAUUCUGGCAUUGUACAUCUAUACGUUGCCAUUAAUAUUAAUUUGUUUCUUAAAGAUCUAUUUACAUUUAGUGAGUUUUACCCUUUAGGUUGAUAGCCAAGUUAUAUUUUUCUUACACAUGAAUUUUACAUCCUUGAUUCAUUUUAUGGAAUCAAUAUUAAAUAUUGCUUUCAUGUAAUUGGUAGGCUUAUUAAGUAUAAGCAACUCAUCAUUUUUAGCUUAUAUAAAAAAUCCAUAUCUCAUUAGUGUGUGACAUCUUCUAUUAGAUCUAUGAAGUUAUUGUGUUUCUUGAGCUUUAAGUUGAGCAUCCAAUGUUAUAUAUUCUAGCUCAUGUUUUAAUUAGAUGUCAGUUUAUGGUUCUUGAAUUUCUUCAAAUUUUAUUUUUCUUUCACUACUCCUUUCAAGAAUAAAUUCUUUUUAAAAAUAUAGCAUGUUUGGAGACAAAUAACUUUUGCUCAAUGGAAUGGUAGAAAUAUUAUCCAAUAGUUUUUUUUCAAGAUAUCCUAUAAACUUAAAUUUAUUUGAUUUAGCUCCUAACUUUCAUAUAUGAUAUGCUUUACAUAAAUAUCACAUCCCCAAAUCUUCAAGUAUAAUAAGUUAAGUCUCCUACCUUUUCAUAUCUUAUCUGAAGUCAUAUUACUAGAUUUUGUUGGAACUUUAUUUUAAAACUAAGCAACAAUUUUUUAGGCUAUAUACCUAAAAAAAAAUAAAAGAUUUGUAUAGCUCAUAAUAGAUCAUCCCAUACCCAAUAGGGUACGAUUUGUCCAAUUUGGAAACUUUAUUAUAUUAUGGUAAAUGUCAUAAUUAUUGAUUCUUUGGAUGAGAUUCGAAACUCAUCUUACACAUGAAUUUUAUAAUUAAUACUAUUUAAAAAUAAAUAAAAUAUUUUUUUUCUAAAUUCACCUAUAAUGAUGAUACAUUUCUUAAUCAUAUAGGUUCUAUUAUACCCAAUAUAUAUCCACUUAUUACUUUUGAUUAAAGCAACAUAUUGUUAGGAUUGAAACAUAACAGUUACAAUAUGAACCAACUAUUUCAACUACUAUCUCCUUCUCACCACCACUAUUAACAUCUUCUCUUUAUCCACCACAAUCACCUCACCACCAUCUCUUCUUUUAUCACCAUUACCACCACUACUGUCAUCAUUUCACUACCACUAUCACUACCACUUCACCACAAUCUCUUUCACCACCAUUGUCAUCUCACCACCAUCACCAUCUCAUCACCACCUCUUUCAUAAUCAUUGUCAUCUCACCACCUUCAUCACCAACAUUAUUAAAAAACAUUUUACAUGUAAAACAUUGAAUGGUAAAGUAUUUUUCAAGCCAAACAUUAAAUUUAAAAUAAACUAUUUUUUAUUUGCAAAACAAACAUACUCUUAACAUAUAAUUUUAUCUCUUCUAGAAAAUUCAAUAAAAAAAUUCAUUUUUUCAUGUUUACCUAAGGUUAGCCUUCACAAUUAUAAUUCCGUUCUCUAUCUCUUUUGGGAUAUUUUCAGUUAGAAAUAAUUUCCAUUCUAUAAUUCUCUUUUAGGAUAUCUCAUUUAGGAUGUUAAUUUUUAUAGUGUUACAUAUUUUUUUAAAAACUUUCUUUGUAUUGAACCGUUAUUGCUUUAAAUUCCCUCAUGUAUACAUAACAUGAUUAAUGAGCUGUACCAAAUUUUUAUUUUGAGCUUCUAAGAACAUUCCAAAAGUGUCAUUUGAAAAUGAAUUUAAUCAAACUUCUAUACAUUUUAUCCUUGUUGAAUAUGUCAUCUUUUUCUUCAUCUUUUAAAUAUUUUUUAUUUUAUUUUGAAAUCAUCCUCACCAUGUUAUUUCAUACAUUUUCUAUUUUUCUUAUAUAAUCUUUUUAAUUUGAAGUUGUCUUUAAUUUUUUUAUUCUCUACUUAGUAACAAUAUAAUCUUCAUCGUCUUCAAUUCUGUAAAAAAAAUUAAAAAUUGUUAUAGAAAUCUGUCUUUCUUAUAUAGCUGGGAAAGUUAAAUUUUAUUCUAAUAAAUGAAUUUUAAUGCAAUUGUAUAUAAGAAAAUACACUCUUAGAAAUGUAUAAAGAUAUCAAAGGAAGAAAAAAUCUUAAAGAACUAAGAAGGGAAAGAUAUUAAUAAUCUAUAUCUUUUUUUUUUUAUUAACGUGGGUGUCCGGGUCAGCUUGUGCGCACCUCGACUAAUCCCAAAGGCCCUCAAGUUAACGACAAUAUAAGCCUCCAAUGACCCUGAGGUUUGUGAGACUCAAACUGGUGACUUUUAGAAAGCAAACCUAAAGUAUGACCAGUUGAGCUACGCUUCUUGUGGUUCUAUAUCUUAAAUUUUAAUGUAUAGAGUUUUUUUAUUAACAAUACAACCAUAUCAAUAUUCUAUAUUUUAUUAACAACACUGUGACAAUUUAAAAUUAAUAACAAAUUAAUUUAAAGAUAUUAUAGUCUUCAACAAAAGAUAACACCCUAACUUUUGUAGAUGGCACAGAUAGAUAUAGAUAAGGGGACAAGGAAUUAAUUGUUCAUUGGUAUACUUAUACCUUGCCUUGUUGCUUUUGAAGCUUGAAAAGGCCUUCUCGUUUUGUUCCUCGCUGAGCAAUCAACACCAGUGCUUUUCGCGCAUAUUUUCACAAAUUAAGGUAAUAAAAUUCCUAUUCUCAUUCUCUCAAUGCCUAUUUUACUUGUAGUGAACUCCUCUCACAGUCGGCAUCCUUAUUUCUCUGAUUUUCAGACUGGUGGAAAAUGGCUAUCGAAAGUGUUGGUGGAUCCAUUUUAUCUAAGAUAGCAGAACUCUUGGUGGAACCAACAAUAAGGCAGUUCCGUUACAUGUUCUGUUUCAACAAUUUUGUUCAAGAAUUCAAUGAACAAAAGAAGAACCUGGCUUUGACUCUUGAUCGUUUGCAAAACGCUGUCGAAGUUGCUGAAAGAAAUGCUGAAGAAAUUGAGAAGGAUGUCAACAAAUGGUUGGAAGAUGCAAAAAACGAAAUUGAAGGUGUUAAUCGUUUGGAAAAUGAAAAGGGAAAAAAUAGCAAAUGCUUUAAUUGGUGUCCAAAUUGGAUACCACAAUUCAAGUUAAGCAAGGCCCUGGCAAAAAAGAUAGAGACUUUGAAAAAACUUGAAGAAAAUAGACCAUAGAUAUAGUUACAUGCAUAACUUAUUAGAUUAAUUAUAUUUGUGUCAUUUAUGUAGGUGUUUAACUAAUCAUCAUGAAUUUCUCCUUCGUUUAUCACUACAACAUUUAACAGUUUUAUUGACGGACCAAAUCUGUCGGUGUAAGAUUGCCACUUCAUCAUUAAAUUUUUUACCGACUAAAUUCCCGACGGAAAGCGUCCAUCGACAUAGCAUUCGUCAGUAAUUCGACAUUCUGUCGGUAAAAAAAAAUACAGAUGGUUUUACAGACGGAAAAUGCGUGCCAAAAAAAAAUUCCCACUAAACAUAUACCGACAUAAAUAUUCCAUCGAUGAUCGCGGCAUAUGCAGUAAAUAUUUUUCAACUCUCUGUAAAAUACCGGCGGAAAAAUUCCGUCUGGAAAUCCGUCGGUGGUGUUUUUUUAAAAUUAAAAAAAAAACUCAUUUAUAAUAAAUAAUAUAAAAUUAUAUAAAUUAAUAGUAAAAAAACCAAUUAUGCAAAUAAAAUUGUAUUAAACAUCAAAAAUAGAAAAAUAAAGUUAAAUAAUACUCAUCCAAAUAUUCAUUACAAAUUUAAUGUGUUUCCAAAAAAAUAAAUUAAACUAGAACAAUGGUGGAGCUGGAGGGUGAGGAGGAGGUGGUGGAGGCUGGUCAUUUCCGGGACCAAACAACAAAUAUGUAUCACCCAUAUGUGAUCUAAUGUUCAUGACCAUUUGGCGGAGUUGUUCAUAAUUCACCGACGGUUGCUUGUAUUUUUCGAUGAGAUGAGUCGUGUGUUGCUGCAAGGCCACGAACUCCUUAGAUUGGGUGCUCGAUAUUGAUUAGGAGCUCCCAACGGUUGAGACAUUACGGGUCGCCUGCAAGUUCUCGGCCAUAGUAUUGGAGAGCCCGUACACCCGAUUUUUAUCGAGUCCACCAGACAAUCCUACCUUCAUCCACAAAUCCAGAUCGAAAUUCGGAUGGGACGAAGAAUCGUCCCCAUAUAUCUCCCUCAACCGGCUAUUAUAGGUCUCUUGAAAAUGAAAAUAGAAAUCAUCAUAUUCAAUUCAAGAAAAAUAAUAACUUACGAAAUAAAAUGGUUGAACGAACAUACCACGAAGUGUUGAACGCGGUUGUCAACGAACUGUUGCACCCCUUUUUGGUGGUUUUCACUCUGUACGUGCGUCUCUACAAACAGCUCCAUUGGACUCGGCUCACGUCCAAGAGACGUAGCCUAUAAGAAGAAAAAUUAAUUAAGUAACAACAAAUUUAUUAACGAUAUAUUUCAUUUAAAUUAAUCUUACCAUCCGUUUCGCAUGUGUAGCAAACGGAACGAAGCUAUCGGUGUGCGUGGUCACCGAACCAUGAAUUUGCCGGUUCCGAUUGUCAGCACCAGACUGUGAGCGUCGUGUGAAUUGUUCAAACAUCACGUGCUCAAUAUAUUGCAGCCAUAUAUCCCCCGGGAUGUAUUGCGGUUUGAAAUCCCUCCAAACCACCACGCAUUCCAACCUUGUAGACCGUUAUUUUCUGGCGUAUUUUUUUGCUUUUUUUUGUUCCCUCCAAACCGCCACGUCAUUCCAACCUUGUAGACCGUUAUUUUCUCGCGUAUUUUUUUGCUUUUUUUGGUGCUUCAUACUAAAAAUCACACAACCUACUUCUAUAGUGACAAAUUAGAUUUUAAAACAUAAUUUUUUUUAAAAAAAUAUUGUAUUGUUUUCGAUGUUACCUAGUUGCCACGUGAUUUUCGUACACCCUCCUCGCAACAUUGUCAUGCGCACUAUCCCACUUGAAUUUGUGUUGUGUAUAAAUAAUUUAUUUAAAAUAAAAAUAAUAAUUUAUUUAUAAUUAUAAUAAUAAUUUAUUAAAGAUAAGCUGGAAAUUAGAAAUUAACACCAAUUUGAAAUCUUCGAAAUCAUGCAUCGAUAUAAGGUCUCCAUUCAGGAUGUCUGGAAACCUGACUCCAUUGAAAUAAUAGAAUCUCCAUCGACGAUUUAAACACCAAUGAUAUUAAUCGGGCGACCUCAAAGUUUCUGACCCUGAAAAUAAAUUAAAAAAAUAAAAAUUUGAUUAGUUGUUCAUAAAUUAUGUUAUAAUUAAAAAAAAACUAAAACCAAAAAAAACUUAGAAAUUGUAGAUUUGAAUGUUAACUAACCAAGGAAACUGGUCUUGCUCAAUUUGGAAAUGUAGAACUCCAGUUAUGGGUUACCAACUGAGACUGAGUCGUGAUUGAUUAUGUAGGGCAGUAGGACUAAUUAGUAAAUGAACAAUUUUGACUAUCUUGGAGGCAAAACUGGGUUCUCCUCCCUCAAAGAACUAGUAGCCUCGUGUCUUAACUUUCUAACGAGAUCAAUCUCCGUUAAAAUGGAGUUUUAGAACUUUAGAUAUAGUUAAAAAUCUGAUGAGUGUUCAGACAGUAACAGUUGGAAAUUGGACAGUAACAGAUCAAAGUCAAACAGUAAUAGUUCAAAGUCAGACAGUAACGGUUGGAAAAGUCAAACAGUAACAGUUCAAAGUCAGACAGUAACCGUUGGAAAUUGGACAGUAACAGUUUAAAGUUAGACAGUAACAGUUGGAAAUUAGACAGUAACAGUUGGAAAUUAGACAGUAACAAUAGACUUUCAUGUGAAUACUAUAAAUAAAAAUAUAAAAGAAUUGAGUCAUACGAACACUUAUAUAUUGAGAUAUUAACUCUGAAAAUAUACAUGAUAUAUGUAUGUAUGUUAUUAUGAGGAAAUGAACAUGCAUAGAAAGUAACAUAUGAGUAAUGGAUGAAUAUGAAUUCUCUAUAAUAUCGGCUUGAAAGAAUCAUAACAAAAAAAAAGAAAACUUCCUUGUGAUUCAGGAGGAGCAACCAGGAUUGGAUCUUCUGUUAGGGGAGGUCGUGAGACAGGCGAAGCAGGUGCGUGAUUUUCCCUCCUAUUUACACUUAUACAAUUUAGAAUCCUUCUGGUGAAUGCAAUUAUAAUAAAUAUCGUGUUCAAUAUAAAUAAAUCCUAGUGUAUUUACAAGAUUAGCUUCGGCUAAUGGCAUCCGUGAUAGGAUUGCCAGGAAAAUUUACAUGAUUAGCUUCGGCUAAUGGCAUCCGUGAUAGGAUUGCCGGGAAAAUGAUUCACACGAUUAGCUUCAGCUAAUGGCAUUCGUGAUAGGAUUGCCGAGAUAUGAUUGAUAUGAUUAGCUUCGGCUAAUGGCAUCCGUGAUAGGACUGCCGGGAAAUGAUUUACACAAUUAGCUUCGGCUAAUGGCAUCCGUGAUAGGAUUGCCGGGAAAUGAAUUACAGGAUUAAACCUUACAAGGUCACCCAGUUUAUGCAAGUAAAUAAGAUUAUUCAAUUAAGAAUAUACAAAUGAGUGUUAAUUGGGUUUAAAAGAUUUACAAGCAAAAUAUAAGUUCUUUGUUAGAAUUCUCAUGGAUUUGAUAAAAAGUUAAUACUUCAUUCGUAUUCAUUACAUGAGCAUACAUAUAUUCUUUAUCGACAUAAUGGUAUGUUUAUUUAGGUAACAGGUCCAUCAAACAUUCAGGAAGAUCAUUAGUUAGGACUCAACUUUGUGAAGCUUAUGUAAAUAUUUAACUUAAAACAAAAGGGAAUUAACGUGUUUAUGUAGUAUACUUUUGUGCAAACCUUGAUGUAUUUAUAAAGGUUUAGCUUAGCAUGUAGUAUUUUUAGUUAUCUAGUAAUUAACCAUCUUGAAAUAUUUAAGAACACUUCUUAUAUUGUAAAUACUUUCUUUGCAUGUUAGUAUUCCUUUUCCUUUAAAUUUUAUGAUAUGAUGUGUUGGACUAUGUUCAUAUUGAACUUACUUAUAGGAUAUAUAUAUAUAUUGUGUGGAUUGUAUGAGGUGUGGAAUUAUGAGGUUUGAUAUAAGGUCCGGAAUUAAGGGACUUUGUGAUGAUGGGUUGAUUGAGUAAACUGAUAGUAGUCGAUAACUUGGGAUGUCCUAACUGCAAACGAAACUCUGCCGAUUUUUGGAAAAAAAAAAAUUACCCUCAAAUAAAGAGGAUAUGUUGGAAUCUUUUAACAUUGAUCGAGUCAUACAGUCGGACUAUUACAGAGGAGGUCAUUGCAGACCCCCCUAUUUGUUUGGAUUUUCCGGCGGCGACAUGUUAACCCACUCGCCGCUAGUGGCGUGGCGCGUGGAGGAGACGCGCCGCCACUGUUCCAGCGCCCAGAAACCUUCCGCCACUGUUCCGGCGGAUCUUAGAGGAUGUUCCCAGCAAUUCCUGGAGUUUUGGGGUUUUAUUGUGUAAUUUUUGAAUUGUAUUUGAUUUAUUAUGAGUUUUGUUUUUUUUACAUGUAAAAGAUGGUGUAUGAGAAAAUCAUAAUAAAAAGAGAUGUGUGUGUGUGUUUGUAUUUUUAUUUAUGUUAUUGAAUUGUAAAAAUAAAAAAGAUUAAAAGAAUUAAGUGUUUAAUUUGAUUAUAGUUAAAUAUCUCAAGGACAAAUAAAAUCAUGUUAUAUUUUCCAUGAAAGUGUAAGAACAUGUUUCUACACAUAUUCGAGGAUUUAAUAACUGAUUUAUUAAAACCUUAGAAUUUAAUGAGUAUUUUAAAUUUUCAAAUCACAUCAAAUCGCAAAGCAACUUACCUCAGGUAGGGUGCGCUAGGGGUGCUAAUACCUUCCCUAGCCACAAUCAGUCCCUUACCCUAGAAUUUCUGACAACGACUAGUAAAUCUGGGUUUCCUAGUAACCUUCAAUGAAAUACUAGGUGGCGACUCCAAAGAACCAAUCAAGCAAACAUAACGAAAAAUCGUCGAAUCGUCGCGCGGGGGACGUGCGACAAUCCUAACACCAUUAGUGAAACCUUUUCUCCUUGACAUAAUAAACUUAGCUAAACAUAAUGAAGAAGAGAAACAUAAAUAAACAAGAGAAGAACAUGAUUAUAUAAGUAUAGUAAAGGAAAUGAAAGGUAUAAACAAGAUAUUAAUGAAAGCAAAACUUAAGCAUUUCAAAAAUAUAAAGAAAGAGAGCAAGAACAUGAUCUUGAUCUUGAUUUGAAAACUAAGAUGCCUAAAUACAUGGCAAAUGCCUCCUUUUACAGGCCAAAAUUUAGAAUUAUUGAUUUGAUAACUAAUUGUUAAGUGGGUGGCCACCUCUUGACUUUGUGACAAUUCUUAUCUUCUUGUCUGCCAAAAACGUUAUUGCUAACAUCAGAAUUUGAAUAAAUAGUCUUCAUGAAAGUUUUGGGAAAUUGUCUUAUUUUUCCAACAAAAUAAAAUUGAGGUCAUUUAGACUUCUAGAACUCGAGAUAUGGGCUGAACACUGAAUAGUGUCUAGGCUGCAGGACAGAUUCAGACUUCUCUUUUGAUGCUAAGAUUUGGACUUCCAAACGGCAGAAUAGAGUCUUGGACUCCGCAUGAAUGUUUUAGGCCUAUGUCUUAGCUUUCUAGCCAUAUAAACCAAACUGAAAUCCAAGAUCUACAGCUCCAGAUAUGACCUAAUGACUGAAUAGUGUUCCAGUUUGAAUUAAAUCACCAUCUCUUUUCUAAGCUUAGCCUUUUCUUUAUCCUUUCACUUUCAAUAGUUAAUCACAUCAAUCAAUCAUUUGAAUUGUGAGAUAUGUCUGCAUUUAAAUGAGCAUUUACCAUAAAUUAAAGCUAUCUUAUAGUAUUAGAUAUGUUAUUAUAAAACAUGCUCUAGUUAAGGAGUUAUUGAUACUUCAAGUGCAAAAUGAUGAUAUAAAACCUUGAUAAAAAUGCAGUUUUAAGUACUAAUCACUCCAUGAGUCGAAUAGAAUGGUCAAAUAAGGAAAGCCGUAAAAAGGUGAGAUUGGAUUUGAGCCUUAGUUUGUAAAAACUUGUGUCUUUUGGUUUUAUUAAUAGCAUGUUAUUUUGUUUUGUUAUUUCUUAUAUUUGUUUAAGUGUGUUUCAGGUUUGUCAUUGUUCUUUAUUUCAAGUGAUGUCUUCUAUAUUUUAUCUUUUUACCUUAGGAUAUUAAGGACAAUGUCUCGUUUUGGUUGAGAAGAGAUGGUAGUAGUUGAUAUUAAAAAAAAAUUAACUAUGUUUUCUAUUUCAUAAACCAUUUGCAAACCUGUUGUUACUAGGAUGACAGAGUAAAGAAGUUCUUUUGUUAAAGUGACUAUUGAGACGCAUCUUAGUAAACAUUCUUAAUAAGGUCUAUCAGAAUACUUCUUGAAAUAUUCAGGUUUACAAACUCUCGCAUUGUUGUCACUUGAUUCUGCUCAUAUACUCGUUUACAAGUAUUUUUAAACCUUGAUUUUUACACACACACUUUAACAUUUGAUUGUAGGUUGCAUAUUUGAUUAUUACAUUAUUUAUGUUCUUUUGUUAAAGGUAACAACUAAGGGAAAGAGAUAGUAUAUAAUUUGCAAAAAACAAAAAACCAAAAAAAAACCAAAAAACUAAAAACUAAAAGAAAUUAAUUAUAUUGAUGAUAAUAAAAACGUAGAUAAGUUUGGUUUCGUAGCCUCCCUAACCUAAGCAAUUAAGCCCGAAGGGGUGUUUUAACACCUAAUACCCUAAAGUCAACUGACUUGGGAGCUAUUAGCCCAAUGCUUGUUACAUGGGUUAAGGAGAAAAGCUUAAGAGAAUCAAACAUUGCACUAUCUAUGUAUCAGUAUCUACAACCCGAGUUACUAAGCUCGUAGGGGUGUCUCAACACCUAAUGCCCUAAGACCAACUGGUCUGGGAGUCAUUAGUUGAAAGCUCGUUACAUAGGUUAAAGAUGCAUUGUAUUUUAAGUUAUCUAUAUAUAUAUAUAUAUAUAUAUAUAUAUAUAUAUAUAUUAAAAAAAAGAGAAAAAAAAAAGAUAAUAAUCCCAACCCAAGGAAGUUAACCUUAGAAAAACAUUAGAACAAAAUUGUGUUUUCAUCCAAGCAAAGCCCCAUAACUAUGUGUUGAUAUAUUGAGCACAAAAGGAAGGUUUAUCAAUAUCUUGUUUAAGAAGUAUGGAGUAGAUAUAUAAAUUUAAUAAGAGUUUGUUUAUUUAGAUAGAUUAAUGGAAGUUGAAUGAUGAAUGCCUUGCUUUGUGGAACUUGCAAAUUGUUUUUCUAUUUUAACACUUUGAUUACUAGGGACUAGUAAUAAGCUAGUUGGGGGGUGUGAUUAGUACUUAAAAGUGCAUUUUUAUCAAGGUUUUAUAUCAUCAUUUUGCACUUGAAGUAUCAAUAACUCCUUAACUAAAACAUGUUUUAUAAUAACAAGUCUAAUAAUAUAAGAUACCUUGAAUUUAUGGUAAAUGUUCAUCUUAAAUGCAGGCCUAUCACAUAAAUAAAAAGAUUGAUUGAUGAGUUUAACUACUGAAAUUGAGAAGACAAAGAGAGAGCUAAGCUUAGAAAAGAGAUACUGAUUCAAUUCAAACUGGAAUACUGUUCAGUCAUUGGGUCAUAUCUAGAGCUGUAGAUCUUGGAUUUCAGUUUGGUUUAUAUGGCUAAAAAGCUAAGACAUAGGCCUAAAACAUUUAAGAAGAGUCCAAAACUCAAUUUUGCCGUUUGAAAGUCCAAAUCUUAGCAUCAAAAGAGAAGUCUGAAUCUGUCCUGUAGCCUACACAUUGUUCAGUGUUCAGCCAUAUCUCGAGUUCUAGAAGUCAAAAUACACCGAUUUAUUUUUUCUUGGAAAGCUAGGACAAUUUUCUAGAACUUUCAUGAAGACUAUCUGUUCAAAUUCUGAUGUUAGCAAUGACGUUUUGUUCAGACAAGAAGAUAAGAAUGUAAAUGUAAUUAGAAUAUUUUGCAAUAAAAUAAAUUAUAAUUAAAUCUUUGAAUAAAUUCAUUAAUCAACGUUAAUGUUACUGAAACAACAUUAAAUUAAUCACUGAACAAGUUGAUUAAUUCAAACAACACGCAUUCAAUCAAUAUAAUGGUCUUGAAGAUAAGUGAUUAAUGAACGUUAAACAAUUCAACAAGUUGAGAUUAGAAACAAGUUGAUUCAAACAGCACGCAUUCAAUCACCAUAUCAUGGUGUGUAUCUUGGACAAGCGGAAAGCACUUGUCCCCGUUUUGUCUUUUAAAAACCCUAAUGCUCCUACUUUCGGUGGAGUUUAGCUUCUUUUUUUUUUACUUAACCUUUCUUAUUAAUAUCACAUGCAAAGUUUUUAAAACAACAUUAUUGUACACAUAAGGUGAAAAUGACAGGGAAUUGACCUCUCCUCACUAUUAUUUUCCUGCUUUCGUAAAGUUUUUUAUAGCUCUAUAUUCUAUCUCGUGCUGAGAGUGUUUCCAAAAGCACUGAAACGUGUGGUGCUAAACGACAAGGCAGAAUAAGGUUAAAGGGAUCUAUUUUAAAAUUUUACUCUUAAGGUGUACAGUGGAAAUCGACUCUCCCUUGUUAAUUUCUAAAUUAACCAUCUGAAGAGGUUUUUUUCUUCUUGUAUAUUAUUGUUUUAAUAAAAACAAUAUAAAAGAAGAAAAGGAUAAAAGUAAAACCAGAGAAAGAUUAAGAAUACCAAGAGAGUGUGGGAUUGGUAAUGCAAUAUAAGAUUUUUUUAAAAAAAAAUUAUUUUUUUGUUAAAAAUAUAUUUAAAUAAUUUUUUUAAUAUUUUACAUCAUAUAUUAGAAUGAUAAAAAAAAAAACACCAUGUAAACUAUUAUCAUUAUAUUUGUUUAUCAUUAUCUUUAUAUUGUAUUAUGCAUGCUAUCUUAAUUAUGUCAUCAAAUUGCAUUUUUUUUAUGGGAAUUGCUGCUCUAACUCGGAAGUUAGAAUCCAUGUAAACUAUUUUGUUUUAAUACUUCUCCUCUUUUCAACAUAAAGUCGUUCUUUUAUAAAUAUAUUCAUUAGAUUGAUGAUAUGCUAUCUUUUCUUUUUAUUGGUUUUGAGAAAGAAAAAAAAAAGUAUUUCUAUCCUUUUAUGGAAAAGCACAGAGAUCUAAGAACUAUUGUGUAAAUAACUGUUAGGGUAAGUGUGAAUUUUAACACAUGGCAUGGAUAGCUAUUGAUGAGGGGAGAAAGGGAUUACAAGUCUGGUUUGGAUAUAAAUUAUACAAAAUCUGACCAUAGUUUCCAUUGCCAUCUCUGUUGAAUAUUCUUGGCACAAACAGCUCAUUUCAAACCAGUUGUCCCUGUUUUGUAUUUUAAAAACUCUAAUUAAAUAUUAAAUUAACACACAAAAAAAAAAAAAACUAAAUGAGAAGGGUUUUUUUUAUUAUACCCUUCCUCACAAACACAACCUUCAACUCUACUAUAGUUGAUGUGAUGGGUCAAUUAUUUCUAACUACGGCAUAACAUUAUACUUCAUGUUUUAAUAUUAUAUUAGUAAUAACAACUCCUUUUAAUUUAUUAGUUCAGAUAUAUAUUUACUUUGUUUUAUAAAAUAUAAAUAGUAUAUUUUCAUGUCUCAAUUAAAAAAAACAUUAAUUAUUGGACUUCAUAAUUUAUUUUGGUGUGUUUUUCAUAAAGUUAUUGUGGUCUUAAACAAACAUCUCGAUAUUUGUUUGAGCGUUAAUUUUUUAAUCAUAUCAUUAAAUAAAAAUAUUUUUUAAAACAAUUACUAAAUUUAGUGAAGUCUAUAACUCGAAUCACGAAUUUAACGGGUUAAAAUUAUUGUUGGAAAAGCUAAUAUUAAAAUUAUUAUUUUAGUAUUAUCAUCAAAUAAUUUUUUUAUAUUUUAAAAAAUUUAUUUAACUCGGCGGAGUAUAGUUAAAUGGAAUGGUAUAAUUUAGAUCUUGAGACACUAACGUCAGCUGAACUACUUCUAGUUUGGAUCUUGAGACACUAACGUUAGCUAAACUUAUUUCCAGUUUGAGAGUAUGGUUGUGGUUGCUUUUUAAAGUGUUUUUCAUGUUGAAAUGCAUCAAAAUGAUAUUUUUUUUAUUUUUAAAAAAUUAGUUUUAAGAUCGGUGCAUCAAAACGAUCCAAAACAUAAAAAAUAUAUUAAUUUUUAACCAAAAAACAAUUUAAAUUUUUUAAAAACACGAAUUGAUCCACGUUUCCAAACUCUCUGGAUUGAUAUGCUUUAAAUGAGCAAUUAAAAUAUCAAAGGAUUUCCGGGACACUCCCAAGACGUUUAAUGGUAUAUUUAAUGUUUGUCCCUAUUGAGAUUACGACAAGACCAAAUAGAAAAGUACUAGUUACAUGCCCCGCGCGAUGUUGCGGGUCAAUUAUUUUUUGCAUUUCAAAAAAAGUUAAGAUCUAAAAGUGUUAGAUUUUUUUGCAAAGUUAUACCCAAGAGUCUUAGGUUUGGUUGCAACGCCUGAUCCAAGAGUAAUAUUUAUAAAAGUGUUAGGUUUUUUUGCAAAGUUAUACCUAAGAGUCUUAGGUUUGGUUGCAACGUCUGACCCAAGAGUAAUAUUUAUAAUUUUAAUAAUAACAUUAAACUUGCAUGACCCAAAUUUAAGUGGGUUUGACUGCAAUACCAGACCCAAUAGCAUUGGACGUGGGUCUGGCUGCAAAGUCGUGUCAUAAAAGUGUGAUAAUUAAAUAGAUUAGUUAAAAAGAAAAAAAACAACAGGAAGAAAAAAACUAAUGAAGAAAAAGAAAAAAUAUAUGAAUUAAUUGGGUUAACCCUUCAAACCAGGUUAACCCGUCAUACCUUGAAUUCGCAUCGUGAAAGUUUGAUAAUUAAAAAGGAAAAAAAAAUUAAUGGGUUAACCAAGAAUUAACUCGGCUAACUCGUCAAACCAGGUUAACCCGUCAAACUCAGAAUCCGUGUCAUGAAAGUUUGAUAACUAAAUAGAAAAAAAAAAUUAACAUUAACAAUUUAAAUUAAACAAAAAAAUUAAUUAAAAAAAAAAGCAUUAGCCUUUUCACUGUGGACUGCAUUGUCCAGUCCACAGUCAAAGGCAUAAAAACAACAAAAAAAGAAAAAGAAAAACUAAAGGCAUCAGCCGAUAACUACUUAGAAAAAAAUUUAAUAUUAAUAAACUAAAUUAAUUAAAUAAAAUUAAUUAAAAAUAAAAAAGAAAAGAAAAAAACUCUAAAAACAAAAAAAAAACUAAAUAGAAAGAAAUUUAACAUUAACAACUAAACUAAACGAAAAAAAUAAUUAAAAAGAAAAAAAAAAGCAAAAAAAAAUAUUCCAGGUUAACUCGUCAAACCAGGUUAACCCGUUAAACCCAGGAUUUGUGUCAUGAAUGUCUGGUAACUAAAUAAAAAAAAAAAGUGAACAUUAACAAACUGAACUAAACGAAAAAAAUUAAUUAAAAAGAAAAAAAUAAAAAAGAAAUGUUGGUUAACUCGUCAAACCAUGUUACCCCUUAAACCCAGGAUCUGUGUCAUGAAAGUCUGAUAACUAAAUAAAAAAAAUUAUGAAAAUAAAAAAACAAAAAACAAUUGACGGGUCAACCCAGAAUUAACUGGGUUCGCCCGUGAAACCAGGUUAACCCGUGAAACUCGGGAUAUGUGUCAUGAAAGUGCAAAAAAAAAAAUUCUAGGUUAACUUAUCAAAUCAGGUUAACCCGUUAAAUUCAGAAAACGUGUCAUGAAAGUCUGAUAACUAAAUAAAAAAAAUUUAACAUUAAUAAACUAAAUUAAACAAAAAAUUUUGUUAGAAGAAAAAAAACAAAGAAAGAAGCUAAAAAAUAAUCCCAAAAGGCAUAAAAAAACAGCUAAAAAAACAAUUUAAAAAAAAAACCUAAAGCAUCAGUGUUUUAGUGUGGACUGCAUUGUGCUGUCCACGGUAAAACACUGAUUCGUUUUAGUAUAUGUUACAAUUUAUAAAAUAUUUUAGUUUUUAAGUUUGAUUUUAUUCCUUUUUAUUUUCGGUUGGGAUCAUAUUAAACCAAUCAAAUUUUGUUUUUCAAAUUUUUCAUAUUAAAAUUAUCUAAUAAACUCAAAAUAAAUCAAACUAUCAAAAGAUGAGCUUACUUUCUCUUUUUUUCUUGUCUCGCACUUGUCUCUGUUUUCUCUUUUAAAAACCUUUGUUAUUUAAUAUCACAUGCAAGGUUUUUAAAACGAACAUUAUUGUACACAUAAGGUGAAAAUGACAGGGAAUUGACCUCUCCUCACUAUUAUUUUCCUGCUUUCGUAAAGUUUUUUAUAGCUCUAUAUUCUAUCUCGUGCUGAGAGUGUUUCCAAAAGCACUGAAACGUGUGGUGCUAAACGACAAGGCAGAAUAAGGUUAAAGGGAUCUAUUUUAAAAUUUUACUCUUAAGGUGUACAGUGGAAAUCGACUCUCCCUUGUUAAUUUCUAAAUUAACCAUCUGAAGAGGUUUUUUUCUUCUUGUAUAUUAUUGUUUUAAUAAAAACAAUAUAAAAGAAGAAAAGGAUAAAAGUAAAACCAGAGAAAGAUUAAGAAUACCAAGAGAGUGUGGGAUUGGUAAUGCAAUAUAAGAUUUUUUAAAAAAAAAAUUAUUUUUUUGUUAAAAAUAUAUUUAAAUAAUUUUGCAAACUAACUUCAUCAAGUUUUAAAAAGAAAAGGCAAAGAAAAACCAGCGAAUUGACCAUAUCAAAUAAAGUCGCGUACGAGAGAACCUUUAUUAUUAAUAUCACAUGCAAAGUUUUUAAAACAACAUUAUUGUACUCUUAAGGUGAAAAUGACAGGGAAUUGACCUCUCCUCACUAUUAUUUUCCUGCUUUCGUAAAGUUUUUUUUAGCUCUAUAUUCUAUCUCGUGCUGGGAGUGUUUCCAAAAGCACUGAAAUGUGUGGUGCUAAAAGACAAGGCAGAAUAAGGUUAAAGGGACCUAUUUAAAAAUUUUACUCUUAAGGUGUACAGUGGAAAUCGACUCUCCCUUGUUAAUUUCUAAAAUUAACCAUCUGAAGAGGUUUUUUUCUUCUUGUAUAUUAUUGUUUUAAUAAAAAUAAUACAAAAGAAGAAACGGAUAAAAGUAAAACCAGAGAAAGAUUAAGAAUACCAAGAGAGUGUGGGAUUGGUAAUGUAAUAUAAGAUGUUUUUUAAAAUUAUUUUUUUGUUUAAGAAUAUAUUUAAAUAGUUUUUUUAAUAUUUUACAUCAUAUAUUAGAAUCAUAAAAAAAAAUCACUAUGUAAACUAUUAUCAUUAUAUUUGUUUAUCAUUAUUUUUAUAUUAUAUUAUGCGCGUGCUAUCUUAAUUAUGUCAUCAAAUUGCAUUUUUUUUUAUGAGAAUUGCUGCUCUGACUCGUAAGUUAGAAUCCAUGUAAACUAUUUUGUUUUAACACUUCUCCUCUUUUCAACAUAAAGUCCUUUUUAUAAAUAUAUUCAUUAGAUUUGCCAUCUCUGUUGAAUAUUCUUGGCACAAACAGCUCAUAGCUAAGGGAAGCUCGGAUUUCAAACCAGUUUCCAUCCCAUUUUAUAGACCGAAUUCUUACAAUAUCUUCUUCAUCGAUCGAUAAACCGAUUCUGGAGGACCACAAUAUGAUGGUGUAUCUUAGAGCACCACAUCAAAAGAUAAGAAAUUCCUCGAAGAUCACCAUAAUAUCAUGGUGUGUAUCUUAGACAAGCGAAAAGCACUUGUCCCCGUUUUGCCUUUUAAACCUUCAAAGAUUUGUGUCCAGGGGGGCAUCAAGUUUUAAAAAGAAAAGGCAAAGAAAAACUGGCCCGACCACCAUUUCAAAAGAUAAGCUUACUUUCUUUCUUUUUCCCAUCUCUCACUUGUCCUUGUUUUGUAUUUUAAAAACUCUAAUUAAAUAUUAAAUUAACCAAAAAAAACUAAAUGAGAAGGGUUUUUUUAAUUAUACCCUUCCUCACAAAACACAACCUUCAACUCUAGUACUAUAGUUGAUGUGGUGGGUCAAUUAUUUCUAACCAAGGCAUAACAUUAUCAAAAUAAAUUAAUAAACCGUGAGGUGGUGAGGUGAUUUUAUGAUGGCACCAUUCACUAUGAAUCCUCUUACAUUUUAUUAUGAACGGUAGUAGUGAUUUUUUUCUUUUAAUGCUCAAACAUUUUUUUUCUUCUUAAUUUUAUUAUUUUGUGGUCAAAUUGAUGGCCAAUUGUUUUUGAUUUGUUAUGAAAGGGUAAGAUUAAAAGAUAGGGGACCAAAGAGAAAAGAACAAAAAAAAUAGGUGGCAGUUUCAAAAUUAACAUAAAAAGUUCACUUUGUUUGAAUUAACAUAAAAUAGGUGGCAGCUAUAUCUGCUGACUAGUUAUUCAUGGUGAAGUGAUAAUCUCUUCUUUUGUUCUACUGAAAUUCUUGAUGUUUAGGCUGGGAAUAAAUUUAGCUCCUCUUGUUUACCUAGAAAACUGAGGGAAAGUAGCUGAAAUAAUUUGAAACCAUUUAAGAUUUUUGUCAGUUUAGUUUAUUCGUUCACUUUCCUGUAGUUUCUGAGAUAGUACCAAACACAUUGUUAUGUGUUGAAUAAAUAAUUAACCACCGAUUAAAGCAGAAGGAACAUUUGUGUUUGAAUCCUGAGAAAAUUGAGUCGGAAAAUAAAGGGAAAUUUUUGCAUUUUAUGAAGUUUUUUUUCUUAGUUAUGAUGAUUUAUUUUUUUGGAGGCCCCUAAAAGUGGAAUAAUGGUCCCAAAAUUUACAAUGUUUUCCUGCAAUCAAACAGUGCUUUGGAAGAUAAUUGUUAGAAGAUAAAAUAAUUUGUUUUUUUAUUAAUGUAAAUCUGCUUUUCUCUAUAUCACAAUACUUUUAACGAAGUUUUUUGUUUUUUUGUUUAAGCCUUUUUUUUUUUAAUAUUUCAAUCUCUAAUAUUCUUUUGUACUUUCUUUCUAUGGGAUUUAUCUUUCUUUUUUAAAUAAUAAGGAUUGCCUCAAAGUUUUUUUUUUCUGUCUUUGUUAAAUUUUGCUUCUUUAAAAGGGAUUUUUUUUAAUUAAAUUAAUUUUUUUGAUUUCAUUCUCUUGCAUUUAAUUUGAGGCAAUACCUGAAAGAAUUUUGUUUCUCUAAUUAAUUUUUUUAAAAAAAUUAUAUUCUUUGUUUUUUUAUUUUUUUCUAUAGAGUUAUCCUGAUAUUAUAUCUUGGGUCAUAGAUUCAAUAGGUUUACCAAGGUUGAUUUAAGUUUUUUUUUUAAUUUCUUUUUAAUAUUUUUUUAUCUCAAGUCAAUGACUAAAAUCUUAAAUUUCAAAAAAUUGCAUUGUCAAUAGUGUUUUUUUUUACUUGGUUUUUUUUAAUCUAUAUUUUUUUUUUUAAUUUCAAACUUCAACAUUUAGUUUAUUGAAGACUGGGCUUCAUAAUUUAUUAUUGCUUGCUUUAUAUAUUGUUAGCUCAAUCUCUUUACACUAUAAACUAAAAGAGGUGAUAGAUUUACUAUUCACCACCUCACAAGACACAAUUCAUUUCAAUAGUUUUUUUUUAAAAAAAUCUAUAUUUCUUUAUUCCUUGAUUUCAUACUUCAACAUUUAGUUUAUUAUAGACUAGGCUUAAUAAUUUAUCAUGGUUUGUCUUAGUCUCAUAACUCGUAUUACGGGUUUAAUUGGUUAACUCAGUUUUUUUGUCUUUUUUAAUUGCUAUUUUUUCAAUUUCACCAUUCAACAUUGGAUUGAUUAUGAAUUAGACUUCAUUAUUUAUUUUGGUUUACUUUUUAUGAGGUUAUCUUGGUUUUAUGACUUAGGUUACGUGUUUUGUGAGUUAAGCCGUGUAGACUUGGGUCGUUUUAUUGUAUAAUGUUUUUAGAUUGAUUUUUUUUUAUUUCAACCUUUAACAAUAAAUUUAUUGAAAAUUGAGUUUCAUAAUUUAUUUUGAUUAACUUUCUACAGAAUUAUCAUAAUUUCAUGACCUUGGUCGCGGGUUUGGCAGGUUAACUUAGGUUGACUCAAGCUAUUUUUUGUUUACUUUUUAUGAGGUUAUCUGAGUUUCAUUACCCAGAUCAUAGGUUUGACGAAUUAACCUGAGUUGAAUAUGAUCCUUUUUUUUAAUUUUAUCCUUCAACAUUGAGUUUGCUUAUCCCGGGUCACGAGUUAACUCAGCUUUGUUUUGUCCAUUUUUUAGUUGGUUUUUUUUUUUCUCAAUUUCAUCCUUCAAUAUUUGGUUGGUUUGAAAUUAGACUUCAUAUUUUAUCUUAUUUUAUUUCUUUCUAUGAGAUUAUUCUAGUCUCAUUACUUGGGUCACGGGUUUGCUAAGUUAACUUGGGUUGUCGCAGGUCUUUUUUUUUUUAUCUUUUUUUAAUUAAUAUUUUUUUUCAAUUUCAUCCUUCAAUAUUUGAUUAAUUAGGGAUUAAGUUUCAUAAUUUGUUUUGAUUGCUUUUUAUGGGGUUAUAUUAGUCAUAUAACCCGGGUUGCAGUUUUGACAAGUGAACCCUAGGUGACUCGAGUUCUUUGUUUUUUUUUCUCUUUUUUAAUUGUUUUUUUUUUCAAUUUCAUCUUUCAAUAUUGGUUUAAUUGGGAAUUGGGUUUCAUAUUUGGUUUUUUUUUCAAUUUUGUUUUUAUUAGAAAGCACACUUAACAAAUAAUAAUUUAGUCUUGAUAAAACUAAUGAAUCAUUCCAUAGUUUCAAUAACAAUAUGUUUAAUUCUUAUAUUUUUAGUUAUAUAUAGUUUAGUACUAUCAAUUUCAAGUUCUUUCCCAUGUAUUUUUUCUUCUUCCUUCUUGAAAAAUAGAAAAGGAAAAGAGAAGCAGGCAGUUGGGGAAAUUUCAUUAGGAAGGAAGGUAUUUUAUAUAUAUAGUAAAUUGAGGGUGGUUAACACUAGUUAAUGGGAUGUUUCAUUAUUUAUGAUACUACAAGGACUAGAUAAUUAAUUUUAAUAAAUUACAGCGCUAAUUAGUUAUAAUUAAAUCUUCAUUGACAAAUAGGAUUUUAUUAUUUGUUUUUUGAAGGAGAAUAUGUACAUGCAACAAUCUUUACUGUUCCUUCAUUUAGGAAUAUAGAAUUCAAAUAUGGUUUUAAGAGUAUAUAUUUAUAGGGUACAAAUCUGUUUGUAUAAGCAAUAUUUUCAUAAAUUUAUCAAUUCUGCAGCUGGAAAAAAGAAAUAGACUCAAUAUUCCACCUGAGAAAACCGAUAAAAUGAAAGAAAAGAGAAUUCUUUCUUUAUCCAUUAGACCACAAAAAUUUACAUAUAACACAAUUUUAGUUAGAGCACUACAACUCAACUGUUAUAUUAUCUUAAUUAACAAAAAAUUCCAUCAUAUAAUAAGCUAUAGACUUAGCUGGGUUUUAAAAAACUCCUCUUUUACGUUUCUAUGUUUUCAUGAACAUUGAAAAAGGAGCCAUGGUUGACUUUCUAUCUGUUUCUUUCUUUUCUUGGAGGAGAAAGAGAGGAUUGCGCUACUUGUUUCUUUUCAUUUUCUUGAAAACCAAAUAGAAAGUUCUUGGUUGAUUUCUAGCCAAUAGUCUUUUUUCUCUUAUUAACUCGGUUUCUUUGGGUGCUGAUCGACUAGUUAUUUUUGUGAAGUAAUAAUCUAUUCUUUUAUUCUACUUAAAUUCUUGAUGUUUUUGGCAGGGAAUAAAUUUAGCUACUCUUAUUUACCAAGAAAAUUGAGGGAAAGUAAAAAAAAUAAUUUAAAACCAUUUAAGAUUUUUGUCAGAUUAGUUUAGUCUUUCCUGAAGUUUUUAAGGUCAAGGGAGUAGCCAAUCAAAAAGGAAGGAUUGCAAUGAAAAAUUCGGUACAGCUCUUUCAUUUCGCACUUGAGAGACAAUCUAUUGGUUGUAAUGAGGAGAUAUGGUUGAACAAGUGGCUACGAUCUAUUGGCUCAUCGGACUACCUUAUCUCCAAGUCACAGAUCCUUUCUCUUAAUUGGUUUUUUUUUUAAUUUGAAACUGUAAUUUGUUUCAAAGCUACAAAUACCUGGAUUUUUUUCUUCCUUUUCUUUCUUAUUUUCUUUCUUUCUUUUCUUUCCAUGGAGAAAGAGGAUUGUGCUACUUUUAUUUUCUUCAUUUUCAAAGCUACAAAUCAUGUUUGAGAGAAAGAAACAAGGUUUGUAAUAAAAUUACGUAGACUUACAUUUAUUAUAUACUAAGGAAAAAAAAUAUAUUUUUGUCUAAUUUGCUUUUUCCUGUUGAACAAGGAGGCAGAUCAUAAUUUCCCAAACUAUAGAUUGAAAAAAAAAAAAAAAAACAGACGAAAAGUAUAGGAGAUUUUUUUUUAUUAUACCUAAAAGUUAUUAAGGAAAGAAUAAAAAUUCAACAAUAGUGUACCAAAGUAUAAAAUAAAAAGAAAUCCAAUAAUCAAUCUUAAAUUUGUUAAAAAAUGUUAUGUUUAGUUCACGUAUUUUUUUUUAUUCUACAGUUCCUUUAGUUUUUACAAUUUUAAUUUUAGUUCAAAAUUUUAUUUUUUUAACAUUUUAAAUCCUUGAGUUUAAAAAAUAAGAGAGAAAGUCGUUUGAAAACAAUGAAAAAAAAGGUGAAGUUUGUGAAUAAGAACUUUUUCAAAAUAAAACUCAUCGUUUUUUGUAUCAACGAGUUUUAUUAUACGAGAGAAGCUUGAUAGUGGUAGUUUAUUUCUAUAAACAAGCCUGAAAAAUAUAUUGAGUUUCAUUUAGAUUUUUUUAUUUGGUUUUUUUUUUAUUUUUUGAAUGAUUUUGGGAUUUUAUUUUUAAUAUAUAAAAUCCCAUUAUUUCCUUGCUUUCGUCAGGACCGCUGAAAUAAGGUAAAGUUUUUUUUAGCAAGAACAUGAUUUUAUGGCCUCAAUCAGAGAGGUAAUGUGUGGUGCUAAAAGACAAGGCAGAAUAAGGUGUAUAGUGGAAAUAGACUCUCCCUAGUCCCUAGUUAAUUUCUAUAUUUCCAUCAAACCUAUUUUAGGGUUUGAACUUGAACCAUCUGAAGAGGUUUUUUUUUCUUGUAUAUUAUUGCUUUAAUAAAGAUAACAAAAAAGAAAAGAAAAGGAUAAAAGUAAAACCAGAGAAAGAUUAAGAAUGCCAAAUGAGUGUGGGAUUGAUAUUGUAAUAUAAGAUGUUUUUUUAAAAAUAUUAAUUUAAAAUAAAUAAAUAAAUAAAUAAAAUUUAAUUUUUUAAAAAAAUACUUGUAAAAUAUCUAAGUAAUCAUUCAAAUUAUUUUAUUUUCUUAAAAGAAAAAAAAAGUCGCGUACGAGAGAACCUUUGUUAUUAAUAUCACGUGCAAACUUCUUAAAACAUUAUUGAAAUCAUUAUAUAUUGACCAUUAUAUUAUUGUCCUCGUGAAAAUGACAUCUUCUCACCAUUAUUAGAAGAACAGGAGAGUGUUUUGAAAAGCGGGGACAGAGUGAGAAACAAGAACAUGAUUUUAAGGCACGUGGUCAGUUAUUGAUAUAUUAAAAUCAUAAAAAAAAUAUUAAUUUAAUAUAUUUUCAAACAAAACUCAUUCAAAUUCAAUUAAAAAAACAUUAGAAAAAAAAAAUGUAAGGAGGAGAUAAGGUUGAACAAGUGACGAUAAUCUAUUGAAUUCUCGGAUUACCUUAUUUUCAUGUCACAGGUCCUUUCUCUUAAUUGUUUUCUAAAUUUGAAACUGUAAUUUGUAAUUGUAAUAUGCGAGGGUAAUCACAGCAACUCAAGAGAAAAACAACACCCUAUUAAAUCAAAUUAAAAAAAAAAAACAAUUUGAAACAUCGAAGGGUGAAAUAGAAAAAAUAAAAGGACUGAAAUGAAAUAAAACCUUGGUGGAUGCUAUCAAUAGCCUUGUUCUUUUAGCUUUCUGUAUGAUGUAAUGGGCAGGUCUUAUUACUUGAGUGUGUGAUGCAAGAGAUAGUCAUUGCAGAUUUUAGUUGCCUAAGUUUGAUCCUUUGUGGAGUUCCUUGUAAGUCUCUUUUUUUUUCUCUCCUUAUUCAUAAUUUUCGAGAAAAAAAAACAUUUACCGAUCAUAGCUUUAGAUUAAUGUGUUAUUGGAAGCAAAGAGGAGCUAGUAUCAUGCGUGCAGGUGUCAAAGUGAUCUUCAUCAGCCUUCCAUUCCUUUCUCUCUUUGCUAGGUGAGUACUUGUACAUAUUAUUCUUUUAUUUGUUUGUCAUUAUCUUUAUAUUAUGCUUUUUAUCUUAAUUAUGUCAUAAAUUUGCAUUUUUGUGGGAAUUGCUGCUUUAAACUCUUAAGUGUAAACUAUUUUGUUUCAAUGUAUUCUUUAGAUCGGUGGUAUGCUAUCUUUCACUAAUGAAAUUCUGUUUAUUGGUUUUGAGAAGGAAAAAAAAAAGUAUUUCUAUCUUUGUUUUAUGGAAAAAGCACAUAGAUCUAUGAAAUAGAUAUAUAUUAAAAAAAAGGAUAGAUUAGAUAUUCCCAUUACUCAUGGCAUAGAUAGAGAUAGUCAUUACAGAUUUUAGUUGCCUAAGAUUGAUCCUUUGUUGAGUUCGUUCCUUGCAAGUCUUUUUUUCUCCUCAUGCAGACUAUCUUAAUUAUGUCAUCAAAUUGCAUUUUUUUUAUGGGAAUUGCUGCUCUAACUCGCAAGUUAGAAUCCAUGUAUACUAUUUUGUUUUAAUACUUCUCCUCUUUUCAACAUAAAGUCCUUCUUUUAUAAAUAUAUUCAUUAGAUUGAUGAUAUGCUAUCUUUUCUUUUUAUUUGUUUUGAGAAAGAAAAAAAAAAGUAUUUCUAUCUUUUUUAUGGAAAAGCACAGAGAUCUAAGAACUAUUGUGUAAAUAAUUGUUAGGGUAAGUGUGAAUUUUAACACGUGGCAUGGAUAGCUAUUGAUGAGGGGACAAAGGGAUUACAAUGAUCUAUGAACUAUUGUGUAAAUAAUUGUUAUGUUAGGACAAGGAAUUAAAUGUUUAUCGUUCUGCUUAUACCUUGCCUUGUUGCUCUUGAAGCUGGCUUCCAUACAGAGCUAAAGGCCUUCUCCUUUUGUUCCUCUCGCUAUAUUUUAUUAUUGAGCAGUCAGUACCAGUGCUUUCCGCAUAUAUUUUCACAAAUUAAGGUAAUAAAAUUACUAUUCUUAUUCUCUCAAUGCCUAUUUUACUUGUAAUGACUCACUCUCACGUUCUGUAUCCUUAUUUCUUUGUUUUUCAGACCGGUGGAAAAUGGCUAUCGAAAGUGUUGGUGGAUCCGUUGUAUCCAAGAUAGCAGAGCUCUUGGUGGAACCAGCAAUAAGGCAGUUCCGUUACAUGUUCUGUUUCAACAAUUUUGUUCAAGAAUUCAAUGAACACAAGAAGAACCUGGCUUUGACACUAGAUCGUCUACAAAAUGAUGUCCGAGAUGCUGAAAGGAAUGCUGAAGAAAUUUACAAAUAUGUCAGUAAAUGGCUGGAAGAUGCAAACAACGAAAUUGAAGGUGUGAAUCCUUUGGAAAAUGAAAUAGAAAAAAAUGGCAAAUGCUUCACUUGGUGUCCAAAUUGGACGCGACAAUUCAAGUUAAGCAAGGCACUGGCAAAGAAAACGGAGACUUUGAGAAAACUUGAAGAAAAUGGCAGAAAGUUUCCAAAAGUGUCCUACAAACCACCUCUUCAAGGCAUAGAAUUUCUUCCAUCAGAGGAAGUCACGCCUUCAGAAUCGUCAAAAGCAGCUUUCGAACAGAUUAUGAAAGCUCUCAAAGAUGACAAUGUCAAUAUGAUCGGACUGUACGGCAUGGGAGGGGUGGGUAAAACCACUCUAGUGAAAGAAGUAGGAAGGAGAGCCAAAGAGUCGCAGCUGUUUGAUGAAGUUGUGAUGGCUACACUGUCCCAGAAUCCAAAGGUCACAGGCAUCCAGGAUCAAAUGGCAGAUAGUUUAGGUCUGAAAUUUGACGAGAACAGUGAAGGAGGGAGAGCAGGUCGGUUAUGGCAGAGACUGCAGGGAAAGAAGAUGCUUAUAGUCCUGGAUGAUGUUUGGAAAGAUAUUGACUUCCAAGAGAUAGGGAUCCCAUUUGGUGAUGAUCACAGGGGUUGUAAAAUUCUUCUAACAACACGUCUUCAAGACAUAUGUUCUUAUAUGGAGUGCCAGCCACAAGUGUUCUUAAAUAUCUUAACAGAAAAUGAAGCAUGGGCUUUAUUCAAAAUCCAUGCAGGUUUACGUGAUGAGGACUCUGACUUGAACAGAGUGGCAAAGGACGUUGCGAGAGAAUGCCAAGGCUUGCCUAUAGCACUUGUGGCAGUGGGAAAGGCUCUAAAAGAUAAAUCUGAACAUGAGUGGGAAGUAGCAUCUGAAGAGCUCAAAAAAUCUCAAUCUCGGCACGUGGAAAAUUUUGAUGACCGAAGAAAUGCAUAUGCAUGUCUUAAAUUGAGCUAUGAUUAUUUGAAGCACGAGAAAACCAAGUUAUGUUUCUUGCUAUGCUGUUUAUUUCCAGAAGAUUACAACAUUCCAAUCGAGGAGUUGACGAGAUGUGCAGUUGGCUACGGGUAUCAAGAUGUGAAGUCCAUUGAAGGUGCAAGGAAACGAGUUUAUAUGGAAAUCGAAAACCUCAAAGCUUGUUGUAUGCUGUUAGGAACUGAAACUGAAGAAUAUGUGAAAAUGCAUGACUUGGUUCGUGAUGUUGCUAUUCAGAUAGCAUCAUCAGAAAAAUACGGAUUCAUGGUAGAGGCUGGCUUUGGGUUGAAGGAGUGGCCAAUGAGGAAUAAAAGCUUUGAAGGUUGUAAAGUAAUCUCGUUAAUGGGCAAUAAACUAACAGAUCUUCCUGAAGGAUUGGUGUGUCCACAGCUCAAAGUUCUAUUAUUAGAACUGGAUCGUGGUUUGAAUGUUCCAGAGAGGUUUUUUGAAGGGAUGAAAGCAAUAGAAGUUUUGUCUCUAAAAGGAGGGUGUUUGUCAUUGCAAUCACUUCAAUUCUCAACGAACCUUCAGUCGUUGCUGUUGAGAUGGUGUGAAUGCAAGGACCUCAUUUGGUUGAGAAAGCUGCAAAGACUUGAGAUUCUUGGUUUCAUUUGGUGCGGCUCCGUUGAAGAAUUACCUAAUGAAAUUGGGGAGCUCAAGGAGUUAAGGUUGUUGGAUGUGACAGGUUGUGGAUUGCUAAGAAGGAUUCCUGUGAAUUUGAUUGGAAGGUUGAAGAAGUUAGAAGAGCUGUUGAUCGGGGCUACGAGCUUCAACAGAUGGGAUGUUGUUGGAUGUGACAGCGCAGAAGGAAUGAAUGCAAGCCUAACAGAACUAAGUUCGCUGUCUCAUUUAGCUGUAUUAUCAUUGAAGAUACCGAAGGUUGAAUGCAUUCCCAGAGAUUUUGUUUUUCCCAGGUUGCUCAAAUAUGAUAUAGUGUUAGGGGAUGGGUAUUCGGAAGGAGUAUACCCAACAAAAUUAUAUUUGGGUAAUAUCAGCACCGCAUCCUUAAAUGCAAAGACAUUUGAGCAAUUGUUUCCUACUGUGUCUCUAAUUGAUUUUAGAAACAUUGAGGGUUUAGAAAAUAUAGUAGAGUCGCAAAAGGACUUCUUUCAAAGAUUAGAACAUGUAGAAGUGACAGGAUGUGGGGAUAUUCGCACUCUGUUUCCAGCAAAAUGGCGGCAAGCUUUGAAAAAACUAAGGAGCGUGGAAAUUAAAAGAUGCGAUUCAUUGGAAGAAGUAUUUGAAUUGGAUGAGGAGAAAGAGCUGCUGUCAUCUUUAACAACGUUACGGUUGUCAGAUUUACCUGAGCUCAAAUGUAUAUGGAAGGGGCCCACCAGACAUGUCAGCCUCCACAGUCUUGUUCAUCUGAAGUUGUUGUGUCUUGACAAACUGACAUUUAUAUUCACACCGUCCCUUGCUCAAAGUCUUAUUCAUAUGGAAACACUUGAGAUAGGAUUUUGCCGUGGAUUGAAGCGUCUUAUCAGAGAGAAGGAUGACGAAGGGGAAAUAAUUCCAGAGUCUCUUGGCUUCCCAAAAUUAAAAAAACUCUAUAUAUUUGUUUGUGAUAAACUGGAAUAUGUUUUCCCUGUCUCCGUGUCUCCAAGUCUUCAGAACCUGGAAGAGAUGAAGAUUGUUUUUGCUGACAAUUUAAAGCAAGUAUUUUACAGUGGAGAAGGAGAUGACAUCAUCGUCAAGUCUAAAAUUAAAGAUGGCAUCAUCGACUUCCCUCAGCUAAGAAAAUUGUCUCUUUCAAAGUGCAGCUUUUUUGGUCCAAAGGAUUUUGCUGCCCAAUUGCCUUCUUUGCAAGAGUUAACCAUUUAUGGCCACGAAGAAGGGGGUAAUUUGUUGGCACAGCUUCGAGUACGUCCAUUCUAUUUCUCCAUUUUUUUUUCUUUUUCUAAUUGAAAUUGUCAACUUCAAUACAUUGUGAUAAUUUGUUCUAUCUUCCUCCAAAUUUCUAAAACUAAAGUAAUUGAUAAGUUCUUUAACCAUCCACUGAAUUUAAUUGAUGAUUUAAAUUGGCUUAGGAAGUUCUUUAAUUUUUUUGAGUUAAAGUAUAAUUUUUCGUGAUUGCUUUUAAUUUAACUAAUAUAAAGUAAUAGUUUGUAUUCAGAUUAUCAUAAAUAUGAAAAAAUAUGAUUUUAUAUUCCCAUGACCCGGUGCCUUGUCUAUCUAUAUUUUCUUAAAAAAUAUGAAAAUUUUUUUUACUAAUCUGUAAAAUUCAAAAUAUUUUCUUUUAUAUUUUUAUUUUUGGACAAUGUCAUAAUUUUUUUUUAUUAUAAAUCGAAUAUAAUUUUUUUUUUUUUAGUUAAUAAGUAUAAUUUUUUCAUGAUUGCUUUUAAUUUAACUAAUAUAAAAUAAUAGUUUAUAUUUAGAUUAUCAUAAAUAUGAAAAAAAAAAUAUCAUUUUAUAUUCCCAUGACCUGUUGCCCUGUCUAUUUAUAUCUUCUUGUUGAUAAUUGGUUGAUCUAUUUAACAAAAUUAUAUAAUAGUUCCAAAGUGCACAAAAAUUACUAGGAAUUAUAUCUAACAAAUUGGUACCUUUUGAUGCAGGGGUUUACAAGUUUGGAAACAUUAACUUUGUCCUACGUGCUUGUGCCUGACUUGAGGUGUAUAUGGAAGGACCUCAUGCCGAGCCAUUUGACUUCUUUGACGGUGUAUAGCUGUAAGAGACUGACACGUGUAUUCACACAUAGCAUGAUUGCUAGUCUUGUUCAACUGCAAGUUCUAGAGAUAUCAAAUUGUGAGGAAUUGGAGCAAAUCAUUGCUAAGGAUAAUGAUGAUGAAAAUGAUCAGAUAUUGUCAGGAAGUGAUCUCCAAUCUUCAUGCUUCCCUAAUCUGUGGCGACUUGAGAUCAGAGGAUGCAACAAGUUGAAGAGUCUCUUCCCAGUAGCCAUGGCUUCAGGUCUCAAAAAGCUCCGAAUACUUAGAGUAAGAAAAUCCUCUCAAUUAUUGGGAGUAUUUGGACAGGAUGAUCAUGCUUCACCUGCCAAUAUUGAGAAGGAGAUGGUGCUCCCUGAUCUGCAGGAGUUGUUGCUUGUACAAUUACCAAGUAUUUCCUCCUUUAGUCUCGGAUGUUCUAAUUUCUUGUUCCCUCAUUUGAAGAAGUUGGAGGUGGAUGGAUGCCCGAAGCUGACCACAAAAUCUGCUACUACAUCAAAUGACUCAAUGAGUGCUCAAUCAAAGGUACUCCUGAUUUGACUUGAUUUCUUGCCUCUCGUUUAGUUUUAAAAGUGCACAAUAAUUACUAGGAAUUACAUCUAACAAAUCGGUACCCUUGUUUUCUUUUGAUGCAGGCGUUUAUGAAUUUGAAAGAAAUAUCUAUUGGAAACUUGGAAGGAGUACAAGAUUUAAUGCAAGUUGGACGUUUGGUAACUAAUAGAAGAGGUGGGCAUGAACUUUCACUCGUGAGUUUGGAAACAUUAUGCUUGAACUUAUUGCCAGACUUGAGGUGUAUAUGGAAGGGUCUCGUUCCGAGCAAUUUGACUACUUUGAAGGUGAAAGAGUGCAAGAGACUGACACAUGUAUUCACAGACAGCAUGAUUGCUAGUCUAAUUCAACUUCAAGUUCUAGAGAUAUCAAAUUGUGAGGAAUUGGAGCAAAUCAUUGCUAAGGAUAAUGAUGAUGAAAAUGAUCAGAUAUUGUCAGGAAGUGAUCUCCAAUCUUCAUGCUUCCCUAAUCUGUGGCGACUUGAGAUCAGAGGAUGCAACAAGUUGAAGAGUCUCUUCCCAGUAGCCAUGGCUUCAGGUCUCAAAAAGCUCCGAAUACUUAGAGUAAGAAAAUCCUCUCAAUUAUUGGGAGUAUUUGGACAGGAUGAUCAUGCUUCACCUGCCAAUAUUGAGAAGGAGAUGGUGCUCCCUGAUCUGCAGGAGUUGUUGCUUGUACAAUUACCAAGUAUUUCCUCCUUUAGUCUCGGAUGUUCUAAUUUCUUGUUCCCUCAUUUGAAGAAGUUGGAGGUGGAUGGAUGCCCGAAGCUGACCACAAAAUCUGCUACUACAUCAAAUGACUCAAUGAGUGCUCAAUCAAAGGUACUCCUGAUUUGACUUGAUUUCUUGCCUCUCGUUUAGUUUUAAAAGUGCACAAUAAUUACUAGGAAUUACAUCUAACAAAUCGGUACCCUUGUUUUCUUUUGAUGCAGGCGUUUAUGAAUUUGAAAGAAAUAUCUAUUGGAAACUUGGAAGGAGUACAAGAUUUAAUGCAAGUUGGACGUUUGGUAACUAAUAGAAGAGGUGGGCAUGAACUUUCACUCGUGAGUUUGGAAACAUUAUGCUUGAACUUAUUGCCAGACUUGAGGUGUAUAUGGAAGGGUCUCGUUCCGAGCAAUUUGACUACUUUGAAGGUGAAAGACUGCAAGAGACUGACACAUGUAUUCACAGACAGCAUGAUUGCUAGUCUAAUUCAACUUCAAGUUCUAGAGAUAUCAAAUUGUGAGGAUUGGNNNNNNNNNNNNNNNNNNNNNNNNNNNNNNNNNNNNNNNNNNNNNNNNNNNNNNNNNNNNNNNNNNNNNNNNNNNNNNNNNNNNNNNNNNNNNNNNNNNNNNNNNNNNNNNNNNNNNNNNNNNNNNNNNNNNNNNNNNNNNNNNNNNNNNNNNNNNNNNNNNNNNNNNNNNNNNNNNNNNNNNNNNNNNNNNNNNNNNNNNNNNNNNNNNNNNNNNNNNNNNNNNNNNNNNNNNNNNNNNNNNNNNNNNNNNNNNNNNNNNNNNNNNNNNNNNNNNNNNNNNNNNNNNNNNNNNNNNNNNNNNNNNNNNNNNNNNNNNNNNNNNNNNNNNNNNNNNNNNNNNNNNNNNNNNNNNNNNNNNNNNNNNNNNNNNNNNNNNNNNNNNNNNNNNNNNNNNNNNNNNNNNNNNNNNNNNNNNNNNNNNNNNNNNNNNNNNNNNNNNNNNNNNNNNNNNNNNNNNNNNNNNNNNNNNNNNNNNNNNNNNNNNNNNNNNNNNNNNNNNNNNNNNNNNNNNNNNNNNNNNNNNNNNNNNNNNNNNNNNNNNNNNNNNNNNNNNNNNNNNNNNNNNNNNNNNNNNNNNNNNNNNNNNNNNNNNNNNNNNNNNNNNNNNNNNNNNNNNNNNNNNNNNNNNNNNNNNNNNNNNNNNNNNNNNNNNNNNNNNNNNNNNNNNNNNNNNNNNNNNNNNNNNNNNNNNNNNNNNNNNNNNNNNNNNNNNNNNNNNNNNNNNNNNNNNNNNNNNNNNNNNNNNNNNNNNNNNNNNNNNNNNNNNNNNNNNNNNNNNNNNNNNNNNNNNNNNNNNNNNNNNNNNNNNNNNNNNNNNNNNNNNNNNNNNNNNNNNNNNNNNNNNNNNNNNNNNNNNNNNNNNNNNNNNNNNNNNNNNNNNNNNNNNNNNNNNNNNNNNNNNNNNNNNNNNNNNNNNNNNNNNNNNNNNNNNNNNNNNNNNNNNNNNNNNNNNNNNNNNNNNNNNNNNNNNNNNNNNNNNNNNNNNNNNNNNNNNNNNNNNNNNNNNNNNNNNNNNNNNNNNNNNNNNNNNNNNNNNNNNNNNNNNNNNNNNNNNNNNNNNNNNNNNNNNNNNNNNNNNNNNNNNNNNNNNNNNNNNNNNNNNNNNNNNGUGUCGUUGGGCAUUAUCAGAUUCAUGAGUGGCUCAAUCAGAGGUGCUGUAUAUUUGACAUGAUUUCUUGCCUCUCUUUCAGUGUUUUUAUUUCUUGUUUCCCUCACUAAUAAGACUUACAAGUUAGAAUGUGUAUGCCAUGCUUGAAUUGGUUUUGCAGGUAUCUCAAGUAGCUGAGGGUUCCAGCACUGGUUGCUCCGUGCCAACCAGCACUGCUAGAAGUUGGACCCGAAGAAAUGGGUGGAAAGAGGAAAAAGAGGAAGAGGAUGGAGUCAGAUGAUUAGUUUGGCAUUGGAAUUUGAAAAACAUGGUAGUAAUUCAUUCUUGCAGGUAAAAUGGCUGCAACUAUUUAUCUUCUAUCCUUGUUUAAAUGGUUGGAUUAAAUCAACAAAUACGAGAUGCCUGGAUGAUCUUUGUUCUUGAUGUUUGCAUUAGGUUGGUUGGUUACCUAUGUGAUGAUCAACUCGACAUUGGUGGGAAGUAAUUCCAGCUGUUUCAUUAGCUACAACAAUUUGUCUUAUUUCAUGUGUUUGUUGUGUGAACUUCCAGAAAUAAGGGUAAUGUUAUGUGUUUAGUAAUUUAUUGUACGAACCUUCAAAAACGAAAGGCAUAAUGUUUACUCAUUUGUGUGCUUAUUGUUUAAUGUGUGGAUUCUUAUUCUCCUCAUUUUGAUGUUCUAUUUCUAUUACGGAUUCUUUAUGUGGUAAGAUUAUAUAAAAUAAUAAAUCAAAAAGCAUCAAUGAAAAAUAAAUCACCUCAUGGUGAUUAACCUCCUAAGGGACAAAGUUAGCACAAUGGUGAACUACAUGGAAGAUUAUUCAAGGGCUUCAUCCUUGUGGUGAACUACAUGAUAAAUCGGCUAUAAAUUACAAAAUCAAAAUAACCUCAGCCAACAUUGAUUACUCCAAAUUAAUUUUAAAAUUCGAUUUAUUUGACUUAAUAAAAAAUAUUAAUCUGAAUUGCUUCCUAUAAAAAAUAUGUGAGCAGAGUAUUUCAUGAAACCUAAUAAAAAUAAGAUUCUUCUUCAAUUUUUUAUUUAUCAUCAUUUGUAAAUCUUGAUAGAAAAAAUGAGGAAUGUAUUUCUCAUGCCUCCAAACCUCAUCACUCCUAUAUUUGUUUAUUAUAUUCUAAAAUACUAAAUAAGCACAACCUAAUUUUUAAAUCUGAAUUUCUUAAAAGCAUUUAAUUAUCACAACAUAGGAAUAAAAGUUUUUAAAAAAACACUGAACAGGCCUACCCAACACAUAAGCAAAUUUGUGCUCCAAAUGACAAAAUAAAAGCGCAUUCCAAACUAUCAAGUCAAGUACUGAACCUUUUUAAAAUUGCUUUUUUUUUCAAAUAUUUCUUUUUGUCUAAUUAUAUUUAUUUUUUAUUUUUUUAUUAACAUGAGUGUCCAGACCAGCUUGCAUGCAUUUCGACUAAUCCCAUAAAUUUUAAAAUUAACGAUCAUGUAAGUCUCUAGUGAUUCUAAAAUUUUUAAAAUUUAAAUUAAUAAUUUUUAAAAAAUAAAUUCAAAAUCUGAUAAUUUUAUCCCAUUAUUACAUUCAAUGAUUGGUUGAUUGGAUUAUUAAAUUCAUUGAUCGGAUGAUUGGAUGUUCGAAUUUCAUUUACUUUUGGCAUUACACAAAAACAUCCCUUUCAAGUUACAAAACGACGUGCAGCUCAAUCAAUGCCUUCAUUGCCUACAGCCUUCAAAAAAUCAACUCCUUGGUUAGUUUCGUCCUUGGCUCGCUUGGAGCGACAGCCACAUUAAAUGAUAGCCACCGAAAUGUUUGACAUGUGGCACUUGAGUUUAAGAAACCAUUAAUGCCUGGUCUUGUUUUAGAUUGACACGUGUACGCCAGGGCCGUUGCCAUAGUUAAUUGUCCAAGGUUGAGUUAAGAUUUCCUCGCCGUAAUUGCUUGAUGUUGACGUGGCUCAUUAAAUGAAGACAUUGUCGUCAGCAUUGGACCGCCUCUUUUAUGCGAGUCAGCUUGGUUAUAGCAAAAAAAUAUAAAUAUGCUUAGUUAAGAUAAUUUUAUAAUGAAUUUUUAUUAUUUAAAAACAAGAAAGGUAACGGAGCAUGUUCUCUCUGUUUUAAUUAACAAAUGUUAUCUAAAAAAUUAAGAUGUGAAUUUAUUAAUAUUCUCGUACCUUUUAAGAACUAUAUGAAUUUAUAUUUAUUUUCUUAAAUUAAAGUUUAUGAAAAAAAAUUGAGUUAUGGAUAUCUAAAUUAUUAUGGUAUACCUUCCCUGCAGACUGUAAGGAAACUCCAAUUCAUCAACAAUAUUAUUCGACUACAGCCAAAAAACAAGAACACUCAGUCUUCUAAACUAAAAAAUAAAAGAUUUAUGUUUCGUGACUACUGAAAAAUAUGUAUUUAAUCGAAAUGAUUACCAGAAGCAUAAAUUCUGUACAAAAACUGAAUUGCCACUGCUGUUGGGUAUCAAUAUAUACUAUAUAGAAAAAAAUAGAUAUGUAAAAAAGAAGAAAAAUACUCUACUUAUUAAAAGUGAUAAAUUAUUUUUGUCUUUUUGAAAAAAAAACAUUUUCUUCCUAAUUUAUUGAUAAAAUUAUAAUGAGGUUGUUUUUUAUAAUGUUUUUUUAUAUAAUUAUAUCAAAAUAAUACAUAUUUUUUAUUUUUUAAAAUUUAUUUUUGGUAUCAUUAUAUUAAAAAAAUAAAAAAUAAAAUAAUAAUUUUCACCUACUAACUAGACGGUGUUUUUUUUUUUAUUAAUAUUGCUAAUCAGGUCAGCUUGCUAGUACUUUAAUUAAUCUCACGAAUUCUAAAGUUAAUAACUAUAUAAGCCUCUAAUGAUCCUGAUGUUUAUAAAACUUGAAUUAAUAACUUUUAAAAAACUAACUUAAAAUCUGAAUAGUUGAAUUAUACCCAUCAAGAUUCCAGUCUCUAAGUUAAACUAAGAAGCUAGCUUGGCCAACACUUGAAAAUGUUAAAUAAAUAAGGAUAAAAUAGACUUUUCAGUAUAUUAUAUCAGUAAUUUACUGGCUGGUCGUGGUGACUCACAAGGUCUUUGGUGAUGAGAGAGAUGAAUAAAGAAGAAGCAGAGGUCUCAUUGGGGACCCAGUGGGGGAAUUAAGUUUCACUCUCAUGAUAUGCGCGUGCGUCGAACGCACAAUUCUUUGUCUUAUUUUAAAAGAUCUAUACGCGUGAAACACACGAGUAGGUAGAUGGUUGAAGAUUAUUACGAAAGUAGACACAUCUCUGUCAUAAAAGAUUGUAGUCAUAGUACAAAUAUUUCGGGAAUUUCAUCAUUGCCGGCAUUAAUGAUCUCAUUUACUCAUAAGUUCCAGACUUGAUGAGAGUUCUGACCGGUCAAUGAUUAUUCGUCGUGUUAAUCUUUUAAAUUGAUAUCGGAAUAAUUUUUUUAAUUUUAUAUUUAUGGAAAAAGAGUAAAAAAAUUUUAAAUUGAAUUUUUUUAUAGUUUUAUAAAAAAAUAAACUGAAAUAUAACUUAUUAAUAUUUUUAAAAAUUUAUUAAAAAAAACCAUAACUGAAAAAUAAAAAAAAUAAAAAAUGAUAAAAUUUAAAAAAUAUUAUAAUUUUAUAAAUUAUUUAAAAUAAAAUAAAUAACUAUUAAAGGAAUAAAAAUCAAAUAUAGUAGAUAAAAAAUUUAAUUAAAAAAAUAAUAAGAUAAAAAUAAAUAACAAUAAAAAAAUAAGAAUCCAAGUUGAUAUAAAAAUUAAACCAAAUCAAAAUUUAAAGGAUAAAAUUUAAAAAUAAAAAAAAUUUAAAAGAUUAAAUAUUAGAUUUAAUAUAAUCUACAAAUAACAUGAUUUCUUUUUAAUUUCUUAAAAUUUUUAAAAGUAUAAUAUGUAAAAAUUAAAAGAAAAAUACUAUUCUAAAAACAAAUCAAAUUUUUUGUGUGAAAAGUAUUUUUUAUCAAUUUUUUAAUAAUAAAUAAGCAUGAAAAAAUUUAAAAUAUAUAUUGUUUUUAAUUACUAACCUAUCCCAGAUAGGUUUUAAAAAAAUCACAUGAAAGUUAACUCUACGAAACAAAAUCUGUUUGAUUUUAAUUAUUUUAAUUAACCUAAGUUAAUUUAUCAGAUCCAUGUACUGAAUUCACUCAAUCGAGUUUAAUAACAUUUAUUGAAAUUUGUUUCUUCUAAGUUAGGGAAUCAAUCAACCUAAGCACACAAUUCUGCAAGGAGAGAGGCCCAUUUCCUCAAGAGUAAUGAAAGUUGGAAAUAUAAUAAAGGCUCAAAGUGAAAAAGUCCCACUUGAACUGAACCUAGUCGUAUGCUUUGGAUUCCUUGAAAACCCAUAUGAUUUAGGUGUCAAGAUAAAUGAAAAUUUCUUGCUUUUUUUUCUUCUCUCUCUCUCUUAUGAAUAUGGAUUCCUCGAAACCCCAUAUUUAUGUUAUUAUUGGAAAUUCGAACUCUACGAAAAAAAAACUAUAAGAUAUGAUCGGUUUGGACGAGGAUGACUUGAUUUGAAAAAGAAUUAAUUAUGAUAAGUGAAAGAUGUCUUAAGAGUACUCUAAUCCAUACUUUUUUUUUAUUGGGGCCCCUUGUGUUUUUUUAUUUAUAAUUGAUUGAGAGUCCCUCUACUCUUUAUUUUGUUUUGUAAUAGUCCUUCCAUCAUAAAUAAAGACCCAUAUUUUUUGCUCAAGGAGUGACUUGUCUAUGAAUUUUAAAAUUAUAGCAUAGUUAUUAAACAUGAUUUAAUGCGUUGAACUUUUAAAUUAAAAUUUAUUCAUAGUCAUUAAUUUAAACAUGAUUUAAAAUUAUAGCAUAGUCACUGCCUAGAAGAUGCAUAUUUAACAAUUAUCAACUGAUAGAGGAAGCCUAUAUCCAAACCAAUCGCACAUCCUUUCGUCCUCCAAUUUCCUUCUAUUUUUUUUUAUGUACACAAUUAACAUAUCCUCAAUUACCCUUUUGAUUUUUAUAUUUUUUGUUGUGAACAAAAUUAAACAGUCAGAAGAAAAUCCAGACCCCUUUUUUUUAAUGAAUUAAUUAUGUGAAUAAAAUUUAUAAAAGAGGUUGAGGAGGGCAUGAACAGCACUAGCUAGAAGUCAAUGUAUCAAUGUUGAUACUCCUCAAAAAGUCAAUGCUGGUGGAGUUGGCAGCAAAAAUAAAUAAUAAUAAUAAUAAUAAUAACAACAAAAUAAUUGAGGAGCUACAAGCUAGAGAGCCAAACGAAAUUGCCAAAGACGAGUAGCUAGUAUGCGGUGUCGUGAUGAUCGUUUAUUCUGGUAUGUAUUUGAAAAAUAGGUAAGAUAAAAAAAUUUUAUUUUUUAUCAGUGAAAAGAAAGAAUGAUAAUUGUCACUUAAUAUUUUGAUUACUAGAAAUCUUAACUGGUCUUAGAGAUCGGGCAUGGAAACUGGUUGCAUAAAGACAAUGUAUUAGCACCCCAAAUACGUCAUACUAAGGUAAGAUGCAUUAUUUAAUUGUCUGAUAUAAACUAAGAUAUUGUCGUGUUUUCUAAUGAUUGGUCCGUUUAAGGUUUAAAAAAAGUCAUUCUCGGUAAGACGAUUCUUAUCUUAUCGAGUAAAAUCUAACCAUUCUAAUAUCAACAAAAAGAAAAACUAACUCUUAUUUAAUAUUAGAAAUACGUCUUACGUAUAAGUUUGUAAUCUCAAAUAUUAAAAGAAAACACAAUAAUUUUUUUGUAUUUUUGAAAUAUUGGCUUAAUUCUCAUGACUUUAAUAAACUGGCUAUUAAAACUCAAAAUGCAUGCUAAUACAUAUUUUUUGAAUUUUUAAAAUUCUCAGUUUUCUCCAAAAUGUUGCAAAAAAAUAUAUAUAUAUCUUGUUUUCAUGCAUACGACUAAAAAAGAUAAGAAAUUUCAUAUUGUAUUUUCAUACUAAAAAAAAUAUCAAAUUUGUAUUUUUACAAUAUAAAAAUACAAACUAAUAUUAAUCAAAAUUGGUAGAAAAAUAUACGAGAAAACCACAAAUUAUUUUAGAAAAGAUUUUGAAAUUUUUCAGAAUUGCAUAAAGGUAAUGUAUUAGCACCCCAAAUACGUCAUAUCUAAGGUCAGAUGCAUUCUUUAAUUGUCUGAUAUAAUUAACUAAGGGAUUGUCGUGUUUUACAAUGGUUGGUCUGUCUAAGGUUUAAAAAAAGUCAUUCUCAGUAAGGCGAUUCUUAUCUUAUCGGAUAAAAUCUAACUGUUCUAAUAUCGACAAAAAGAAAAACUAACUUUUAUUUAAUAUUAGAAAUACAUCUUACGUAUAAGUUUGUAACCUCAUAUAUUAAAAGAAAAAAAAAUAUUUUUUUCGUAUUUUUAAAAUAUUGACCUAGUUCUCAUGGUUUUAAUAAACUGGCUAUUAAAGCUCAAAAUGCAUGCUAAUACAUAUUUUUUGAAUUUUUUGAAAUUCUCAGUUGUCUCCAAAAUGUUGCAAAAAAAUAUAUAUGGAAAAAAUAUAUAUAUCUUGUUUUCAUGCAUACGACUAAAAAAUAUAAGAAAUUUCAUAUCGUAUUUUCAUACUAAAACAAAUACCAAAUUUGUAUUUUUACAAUAUAAAAAUACAAGUUAAUAUUAAUCAAAAUUGGUAGAAAAAUAUACGAGAAAACCACAAAUUAUUUUGAAAUUUUUCAGAAUUGCAUAAAGGCAAUGUAUUAGCACCUCAAAUACGUCAUAUCUAAGAUAAGAUGCAUUGUUUAAUUGUCUGAUAUAAACUAAGGCAUUGUCGUGUUUUUUAAUGGUUGGUCCGUCUAAGGUUUUAAAAAAAUCAUUCUGGGUAAGACGAUUCUUAUCUUAUCGGGUAAAAUCUAAACGUUCUAAUAUCUACAAAAAGAAAAAUUAACACUUAUUUAAUAUUGAAAAUACAUCUUACGUAUAAGUUUGUAAUCUCAUAUAUUAAAAGAAAACAAAAUAAUUUUUUUUUAUAUUUUUCAAAUAUUGACCUAGUUCUCAAGACUUUAAUAAACUGGUUAUUAAAACUCAAAAUGCAUGCUAAUAUAUAUUUUUUGAAUUUUUGAAAUUCUUAGUUUUCUCCAAAAUGUUGCAAAAAAAUAUAUAUGGAAAAACAACAAAAAAAAUCUUGUUUUCAUGCAUACGACUAAAAAAUAUAAGAAAUUUCAUAUCGUAUUUUCAUACCAAAACAAAUAUCUAAUUUGUAUUUUUACAAUAUAAAAAUACAAACUAAUAUUAAUCAAAAUUGAUAAAAAAAAAUAUACGAGAAAACCACAAAUUGUUUUAGAAAAGAUUUUGAAAUUUUUCAGAAUUUUGUCUCCUCUUUUUAAUAUAUAAUAUUAUAUUAUAUAUUAUUAUAAAUAUAUAAUAAAAAACAUUGGGAUGGGCUGGCCCAAAUAUAUGGGUUGAGCCCAUCCUUGUUAGGUUAAAAUUGGCCUAGGUUGGCCCAAAGGAGUUGGGCCAACAUCGGCCCAAGAAGUAGGCAGGAGAGCCGAAGAGUUGCACCUUUUUGAUGAAGUUUUGAUAGCUACGGUGUCCCAGAAUCCAAAUGUCACAGGCAUCCAGGAUCAAAUGGCAGAUAGUUUAGAUCUGAAAUUUGACAAGAAGAGUAAAGAAGGGAGAGCAAAUGAACUAUGGCAGAGACUGCAGGGAAAGAAGAUGCUUAUAGUCCUGGAUGAUGUUUGGAAAGAUAUUGACUUCCAAGAGAUAGGGAUCCCAUUUGGUGAUGAUCACAGGUGUUGUAAAAUUCUUCUAACAACACGUCUUGAAGACAGGUGUUCUUAUAUGAAGUGCAAGGAAAAAGUGUUUUUAGGUCUCUUUUCUGAAGAGGAAGCAUGGGCUUUAUUCAGAAUCAAUGCAGAUUUACGUGACGAGGACUCUACCUUGAACACGGUGGCAAAGAAGGUUGCGAGAGAAUGUAAAGGAUUGCAUACAGCACUUGUGACAGUGGGAAGGGCUCUAAGAGAUAAAUCUGUUGUUGAGUGGGAAGUAGCGUCUGAAGAGCUCAAAAACUCUCAAUUUCGGCAUUUGGAACAAAUUGACGGACAAAAAAAAUGCAUAUGCAUGUCUUAAGUUGAGCUAUGAUUCUUUGAUGUCCAAUGAAACCAAGUCAUGUUUCUUGCUAUGCUGUUUAUUUCCAGAAGAUUACAACAUUCCAAUUGAGGACUUGACGAGAUACGCAGUUGGCUAUGGGUUACAUAAAGAUGCGGAGUCCAUUGAAGAUGCAAGGAAACGAGUUUAUUUGGCAAUCAAAAACCUCAAAGCUUCUUGUAUGCUGUUAGGAAAUGAAAGUGAAGAAUAUGUGAAAAUGCAUGCUUGGUUCGUGAUGUUGCUAUUCAGAUAGCAUCUACAGAACAUGGAGUCAUGGUAAAGGCUGGCUUUGGGUUGAAGGAGUGGCCAUUAAGGGAUAAAUAAACUAGCAGAACUUCCUGAAGUAUUGGUGUGUCCACAGCUCAAAGUUACUUUUUAUUUUUUUUAUUGGGGCCUCUUAUGUUUUUUCAUAAUUGAUUGAGUCCCUCUACUCUUUAUGUUGUUUUGUAAUAGUCCUUCCAUCAUAAAUAAAGAAAAAAAUGUUAACUAGCUAGCUCCAUUAGAAGAUGCAUAUUUAACAAUUAUCAACUGAUAGAGGAAGCCUAUAUCCAAACCAAUCGCACAACCUUUCGUCUUCCAAUUUUUAACUUAGAAUCGGAUUGAGCAGGUGUUAUAUUAACAUUUCAAACCAAAUCAAGUUUAAUUUCCAUUAUAUAUCGUAAUAGUAUUCUUGAUUCAAUUUAUACAUAACAAGACUAACAAGGUUUAAGAAUAGUUGUAAUCCCUCUAUAAUACAGAAGUAAUUGAUUCUCUUUAUAUAUGUAUAUAUAGUAGUUAGCAAAUCCUAUAUAAUAGGAAACAAAUAAAACCUAACAAAAUAUGUAUCUUACAAGAUAUAAUAACAAACGACAUGUUCUUUAAUUCUAUUACCUUCGUAUAAAAAUUUUCGAACAUUCAGACAAUUAUCAGGGUUUCACCUAUCCUACAUUGGCCUAAGACAUAUAAAAGGAAAAACCUAUUUUUCAUACACAGAAUUAUAAUUUUUCAUACAAAAGGAAAAACCUAUCCUACAUUGGCCUAAGACAUAUAAAAGGAAAAACCUAUUUUUCAUACACAGAAUUAUAAUUUUCAUAUUGGAAGAAGGCUAAAUAUUAGCCGAUUCUUUAGCAACAGUUAUUUGAUACGUAAAGGAUUAAUUAUGCCAAUGCUUUUAGGAGAAAGAUAUGCAGCCCUUAUAAGAUAAAGAUUGUCUGUUAGAUUCAACUUCUACUCAUGCCUCUGCUGCGUUGUAUAUAUAUAUAUGAUACAUUACAUAAUAAAGAUUACAUUGCAUUCCAAAGCAGCAGCUCUGUUCUCAAUAUUGUUGAUUCUCUGUUCUUUCUUUUCUUCAUGGUAUCAGAGCUGGUUUCGAUUGACUUGCGUUUUACUUAAAGUUUUCUAUGAAAGACUCUUCUAAAUAUGUUGGUGCUGAUGACAUCAACAGAUCUUCUAAUACAUCAGAAGGAGAACAAAAUAAUCCAAACCAACAUCUAGGUUCAGUUUUGUUGAAUGAACUCAACUAUCUUUCUUGGUCAAGAGCUGUGACGAUUGCUCUUGGGGGAAGGUCCAAACUUGGCUAUGUUAAUGGCCAUAUCAAGGCCCCUAACCCUUCCUCGUAGAACUAUGAAGCAUGGCAAUACAAGGAUCAACUUGUCAUGUCUUGGUUACUCAAUUCUAUAGAGAACAAUAUUGCUGAAAUAUUUAGUUAUUCAGAAUCUUCAAUGGACCUCUGGGAGGCUGUGAAGGAAAUGUAUGGAAAUCAAAACAAUGCAGCUCGCAUUUUUCAAAUCAAAAGAGAUCUUGCUAAUUUGUAGCAAGAUGGCAAGACUUAUGUGCAACUACUUGGAAUUCUGAAAGGUAUGUGGAGUGAACUUGCUUUAUAUCGAACUCACACUGUUGAUGUUGCAGCAUUGAAAAAACAAGAUGAGGAAGAUAAGAUAUUCCAAUUACUAUCCAGUCUUGGUAUAUAUUAUGAAGACCUUCGAAGUCAAGUUCUGAUGAACUCUGAUCUUCCAUCCCUUGCGAAUGUAUGUGCUGCAAUACAGCGAGAAGAAGCUCGCAGAAAAAUCAUGAAUCUAGAGCCAAGAAUCACCUUUCCAGAAACCCGUGUAUACACUGUUACCAGACAGAUGAAAAGUAAUAAAUCUUACAAAGGAAAGCGACCAAAUUUGAAGUGCACUCAUUGUCAUAAUCUUGGACACACAAUCGGGUGGUGUUGGAUCCUUCAUCCGGAAUUAAAGCCUAACUUUGGAAAGGAAAAGGGACUUCAAAAGGGUUAUGGAUAUAAAGCUCACAUUGCUGCUCGCUCUACUGAUAAUUCUUCUCCAAGUAAUGUAGUAAACUUUUCUACCAACCCAUCUACUCUUAAUGAUUUUGCCAAUUAUCUUAAGGAAAAGGGUGAUGCCAGCUUGACAGCCUCAAGCAAUUCUGAUUCUACGGCUAUUCUUGGUAAGUUUGCUGGUUUCAUGGCAAACUCUGAUCAUCUAUCACAAGAGAAUUUGGAAGGUAUUUUGACUGCUUUUAAAACUGUUUUAGUUCCUAGUACUGUGCAUAAUUUUUGGGUCAAUGAUUCGGGUGCUUCUGAUCACAUAACAAAUAAAAGGACUAGCUUACAUCAUUUCGAAAAAAUCACUACUCCAACUCAUAUUUCUGUUGCAAAUGGAAAACAUGUCCCUGUCGAAGGUAAAGGGAAAAUUAAAUUGCUCUGAAAAUAUUGAGUCUUUGGUUUUAUAUGUUCCAUCUUUUCCAUUCCAAUUGAUUUCCGUUGGCAAGGUCACCAAAACACUAAAUUGUCGUGUUAUAUUUGACUCUCACCGAGUUCUUUUUCAAGAUCGCGCCACCGAGAGGAUGAUUGGUGAAAGUUUCUUUUUUCAAGGGCUUUAUUAUUUUUCAAAUAAUUCUAAGCAUCCUCAAAUUUCUGCUCUUUCUUCCCUUAGUCAGGAUCAAGUUUUAUGGCAUCAACGUUUAGCCCAUCCUUCCAAGAAUGUUCUUACAAAAUUAAUGCCCAGUCUAGAUGCCAGAAAGAUCACUUGUGAUACAUGUCAUCUAUCAAAAUCCACCAGACUGCCCUUUUCACCCUCUAUGUCUAGAGCUAAUGAGAUGUUUGAACUUAUACACUCUGAUGUUUGGGGACCAACUAUUGAAUCCUUUGAUGGCUACAAGUAUUUUGUUACUUUUGUUGAUGAUUUUUCUCUUGUAACGUGGAUAUAUCUUUUAAAAUUCAAAAGUGAGGUUGUUGAUGUUUUUAAGGAUUUUCAUACGCUAGUCAUUACUUUUUAAAAUUCAAAAGUGAGCUAAUGAGAUGUUUUAAAGACCUUCUUCUAGCACAAGGGUUGUUAGUCCUAUUAUGGCUAAUCCUAAGGGUGAUUCCCUAAAUGAGCAAUCUGAAUUGGAGACUCAUGUUAUUCCUUUGCCACAUACUUGCAAAAAUCCAGUUCGUAAUCGUGCUCCUCCAAUUAAAAUGCAAGAUUUUGUCACCUUUGCAGCAAGACAUCCUAUUUCAAAUUCCCUUACAUACCAACAACUCUCACCUGAUCAUACAUCAUUUCUUUCUGCUAUAUCUAAUGUUCGAGAGCCACGAAAUUUUUAGGAAGGUAAUACUCAAGAUGAAUGGAAACGUGCCAUGGAUGAUGAACUCCUAGCUCUUGCUCAGAAUCAAACCUGGAGUAUUGUCAAACUUCCCAAAGGAAAACAUGUUGUUGGCGGCCGGUGGGUGUAUAAAACAAAGUUUAAUUCCAAUGGCACCAUUGACAGACACAAGGCACGUCUUAUAGCUCAGGGAUUUACUCAAACCUUUGGAGUGGAUUACAAGGAAACCUUUGCUCCUGUUGCAAAGAUGAACACUGUUCGUGUUUUAUUAUCAGUUGCCAUAAACAAAGGAUGGUUAAUGUGUCAGAUGGACGUAAAAAAUGCCUUCUUGCAUGGGAACCUUGAGGAAGAAGUCUACAUGAAAUUGCCUCCUGGUCAUCCUUAAGCUUCAGAUCCUACCUUAGUGUGCCGACUUCACAAAUCACUUCAUGGUUUGAAUCAGUCUUCACGUGCUUGGCAUGCUCAAUUAAGUUCUGUUCUUGAAGAGCUUGCUUUCAAAAGAAGUAAUGCAGAUUCAUCUUUAUUUGUUCAUCUUGGACCUAAAGAAACAUUGGUGGUUCUUAUGUACGUUGAUGAUCUUAAUUAUUUCAGGAAAUAAUAGUGAGGCUAUAUCACGUCUCAAAGCCACCUUACAACAUCAUUUUCCAAUUACAGAUCUUGGCAGAUUGAAGUAUUUUCUUGGAAUAGAAAUGGAAGCUUCUCAUAAAGGGUUAUUUCUUAAUCAACGCAAGUAUGUUCUUGAUUUACUCAAAGAUGCUGAGAUGAUGGAUGCCAAGCCUGCCCCUACUCCAUUGGACAAUAAAUUGCAGCUUCCCAAAAAUAGUGAGCCCCUUCAGUCUAUCAAUCACUACCAGCAUCUUGUAGGUAAGCUUAUUUACCUUACCAUUACGCGACCUGAUAUAGCCUAUGUAGUUAGUCUUGUUAGCCAAUUGAUGCAUGCACCUACUAUUUUCCAUCUGAGUAUUGUCAAGGGCAUCCUACGCUAUCUAAAGGGUUCUAUUGGACAUGGAAUUGUGAUUAGUACUUAAAAGUGUAUUUUUAUCAAGGUUUUAUAUCAUCAUUUUGCACUUGAAGUAUCAAUAACUCCUUAACUAGAGCAUGUUUUAUAAUAACAAGUCUGAUAAUAUAAGAUACCUUUAAUUUAUGGUAAAUGCUCAUUUUAAAUCCAGGCAUAUCUCACAAUUCAAAGGAUUGAUUGUUGUGAUUAACUAUUGGAAGUGAAAGGACAAAGAAAAGGCUAAGCUUAGAAAGGAGAUGCCGAUUCAAUUCAAAUUUGAACACUAUUCAGUCAUUGAGUCAUAUCUAGAGCUAUAGAUCUUGGAUUUCAGUUUGGUUUAUAUGUCUGGAAAGAUAAGAAAUAGGCCUACAACUUUCAUGAAUAGGAAAAGACCCAAAUCUGCCAUUUUCAAAUUCAAAGUUUGGCCACAAAAAAGAAAUCAGAAUCUGUCCUGCAAUCCAGCCCAAACACUGCUCAGAAUUUUACCCAUAGCUAGAGUUCUAGAAGGCCAAAUGAAGUGAAAUUCGGUGGGUAUAAGGACAAGACAAUUUCAAACAACUUUCAUGAGGAAGACAUGCUCAAAUGCUGAUGGUAAAAAUGACAUUUCAUCCAGACAAGAGCUUGAGGGCUAUCUACCACGUCCACCAGCAGCACUACUCAGUAUUGUAGACAUAUCUCGAGCUGUAGUGAUCCAAAUGCUUUGAUAUUUGAUGGGUGGAAGGAUAAGAUGAUUUCCAACAACUUUCAUAGCACUUUGCCAAAUUCUGAUUGCAUCAAUGUCAUUUCAUCCAGCCAAAAUACUUGAGUGCUGCUAUCCACCAAGUCCACUAAAUCAAUAGUUGGCCACUACAUCAAUAAUCAAUUACCAAAUGAAUAGUUCUGAAUUUUAGCCUAUAAAAGGAGGCAUUUGCCAUUCAUUUAGGAAUCUUGGUUUUCAGAUCAAGAUCAUGUUCUUGCUCUCUUUGUAUUUUGUAGUGUUCAAGUUUUAUUCCAUGUUAUAUUUUCCUUAAUCUCUUGUUUAUGCUUUUCAUUUCCUUUACUAUACUUAUAUAAUUAUGUUCUUAUUUUGUUUAUUUAUGUUCUUCUUCUUCAUAAUGUCUAGCUAAGUUAAUUAUGUCAAUGUGAAAAGGUUUCACUAAUGGUGUUAGGAUAAGUAUAAUAUAAACUCAAUAUGGACUUUAAUGCUUAUGUCCUAAACAAUUUGCAAUUAACAUGUCUUAUCAUUUUUAUCUUAUUAAUUAUUAAUACAUUGCUUGUUAAAUGGUUAAUCUAGAUUUGUGUUGUAUAACACCUGAUACAUCAAAUGCUUGAUCCUUCAUAGUCUUCGGCCGACAUCGUUGUUAUGAGAGGAACUUGAUUUGUUAUCAACAUAAGUUAGCAUCAUAAAUAUCUGAUAAAAUUUAUAAGUAUGGUAUUACGUAAAUAAGAUGAUUAAUAUGAUCAUGUUGAUAAUUUAUAAAGAGUUUAUACUUUACUUAUCUCUAAUACUAUUAGUGGAUCCUCUAACCUUAACAUUUGUUUUUAUCAUUAUUUAAACCUCACAUUAAUCUUACAUCUCAAAGUCCUCUUUAACUCAUCAUCACCAUCAUCACCAUCAUUGUUCUUAUUAUUAUUAUUAUUAUUAUUAUUAUUAUUAUUAUUAUUAUUUAUAAUUUAUAUAAUUAAACUCCAUGUGGUUCGACCCCGGUCUUGCCGGGUUAUUUAUUACGUUGACACUCCUACACUUAGGAUAAGACAUCAACUCUUUGAUUGUGUCAAGUUUUUGGCGUCGUUGCCGGGGAGGUAAAUUCUUGUAUAAAUUAUAAUAUUUAUAUUUAACUUUUCACUUUUCUUGUAUCUAACUUUUGUUUCUUUUGCUUUGUUUCUUUUUCUUUUGUUUCCUUCUUCCUUUUAUUCUCUUCCUACACGUACAUGAGAGUUUGGUCACGUACAUUAAGUGGUAGACUUUGUAGGGUAUCCUCAUCAUUUUUAGAAAAAUAUGGCCGAAGAAGAUAACCAGUCGCUUCAUAAUGAGAAUAAUGAGAAUAACCGAGUUAGAACACUUAGAGACCACAUGAAUCCUACAAGAACAAGUGCACCCUCAUGUAUAGUUUUCCCUCCUGAUGCAUCUCACUUUAAUUUUAAGCUAGGCAUUAUUCAACUUUUACCUUCUUUUCAUGGCUUAGAUCUAGAAAAUCCAUACUUGCAUUUGAGAGAAUUUGAAGAAGUCUGUAACACCUAUAAUGACUUAAAUUGUAGCAUGAACACCAUCAGAUUAAAGCUUUUUCCUUUUUCAUUAAAAGAUAAAGCUAAAACAUGACUACAAAAUCUUAGGUCAGGAUCUAUUCAUGCUUGGGAUGAAAUGAAAAAAUAAUUUUUAAAGAAGUUUUUUCCAUCUCACAGAACAAACUCUUUCAAAAGACAAAUCACCACUUUCACUCAAAAACCAGGAGAAACAUUUUACCAAUGUUGGGAUAGGUAUCGAGACUUGCUUAAUACUUGUCCUCAUCAUGGUUUUGAAACAUGGAGAUUGGUUUCACAUUUUUAUGAAGGGUUAACACCUAAAGAUAGACAAAUGGUGGAAUUGAUGUGCAAUGAAACUUUUGAAAAUAAAGACCCUGAUGAAGCAAUGAAGUACCUAGACUUGUUAGCUAAAAAUGCUCAAAAUUGGGACACUACAGGUAUUUAUGAGGCACCAGGUAAAACUCAACCUCAUACAUCUAGUGGAGGUAUGUACAACCUUAGAGAAGAUCAUGACCUCCAAACUAAAUUUGCAUUUUUAGCUAGAAAAGUUGAGGCACUAGAAUUAAAAAAGAGUGGUCAAUUAAAAUCUGUUUAAGACAUUGUGUGUCAAAUCUGUGAAACCAAUGAACACUCAACCAAUGACUGUCCAAUUUUUCCUUCUUUCAAAGAAUGCCUCCAUGAACAAGCUCAUGCUUUAAAUAGUUUUCAAAGGCCCAAUCAUAACCCAUACUCGCAAACAUACAACCCUGGUUGGAGAAAUCACCUAAAUUUCAGUUGGAAGAGUGGUAACAAUAAUGCACAAACUUCACAGCCACCGUUUCAAGCACACCAUAAUUUCAAAAAUUCUCAUGGAUAUACACCUCUUUAUGCUCUACCUCCUAGAAGAAAUCUUGAGGAAACAUUACAUGCAUUCAUUGAAAAGCAGGAGACAAUCAACACUCAUAAUGCUUAAACCAUGGUAGAUCUAAAAGAUGCUCUUGCAAAAUUCACAUAUACUCUCAAUUUUCAAGAGAAAGGUAAGUUUCCAUCUCAACCACAACAAAAUCCCAAGGGGCAAUACAAUGCAAAUGCAAGUAGUUCCGGAAGCCAACACAUGGAUCAAGUCAAAUCAGUCAUCACUCUUCGCAGUGGUAAGGUUAUUGAAAAACCCACUCUUGAACCUUGUGAGAAAGAUGAUGAGUUAAGCAUUUUCAAGAGCAGGCAGUAAAGUAUGAUAAGUGAACUUCAACUAUUUAUCCUGUUAUUUUUAUGUAGUGGUCAUCCAUUUUCAAAAGUUAUUUGUUGAUAACAUGACAACAGUUGUCGCGGGUGGGCGGCGUCGCGACGAGUAUUCCACUUUUUUUAAAAAUAGGAAGUGUAUAUGGUAUCUAUCUUUAUUUAUUUGGCCAAUAUGAGGGAUAAGAAAAUCCAAUCUUUUAUUGGUGGGAAAUGGAAUGGGAGUCGCCACCUAGUAUUUUGGUCACUAGGAACCCUAACUGGUCUCAGAGAUUGGGUACGGAGACUGGUUGCGUAGAGGGAAGGUAUUAGCACCCCAAAUACGCCCUACCUAAGGUAAGCUGUAUGGUUUAUUUGUCUGAUAAAAUUCAAGGUUUCGUUGUGUUUCCUAAUUGUUGGUCCGUCUAUGGUUCAAGAAAAGUCCUCCUCAAUAAGGAGGUCCUUAUCUUAUCGGGUAAAGCCUAACCGUUCUAAUGUCUAAAAAAAUCAUAUUUUUAAUAUCAAGAAUACGUUUUACAUAUAAAUUCGUAAUCCCAAAUACUAACAGAGGACAAAAAUAUUUUUUAGAAUUUUUGAAAUAUUGGCCUAGUUCUCAUGGCUUGAAUAAACUGGUUAUUAAAGCCAAAAUGCAUGUUAAUACAUAUAUUGUUUUGAAAUUUUCUUUGUUAUAUGAAAAAGAUGAUGUUAUAAUAUUUAUAUAUAUAUAUUGGAGAGACUAGACCGUAUUUUAAAACAAAAUAUUUUUUAAAUAUGUAUUUUUGUACGUUUUGACGCAAAUCGGGUAUUUUAAUACUGGGUUUGUAUCCUUACGGUAUAAAAAUACAACCAAAUAUUAAUCCACUUUAAUAAAACAAAUGCAGAAAAAUCAACAAUAUUUUCAAAGAUAUUUUUAGAAAAUUUUUGAAAGCAAAAGACAUUUUUUAUUUUGAAAAUCUUUGAUGUUUUGAUGAAAAUCGGGUAUUUUAAUACCGGAUUUGUAUCUUUACAGUAUAAAAAUACCAACCGAUAUUAAUCAAAAUAUAGUAAUAAAAUUACAACAAAAUCACAUAUAUUUUUUAUAAUUUUUUGCAAAAUUUUUAUAAUUUGUUUUCAUAUAUAUAUAUAUAUAUAAAUAAUACAAAAUAUAAUAUAUAUAUAAUAUUAAAUGGGCUGGGCUGGUCCGGCCCAACCGACUGGGCCGGACUCAGCCCAAAAAGUGUUGGGCCGAUCUCGGCCCACAAACUGGUAUUCUCCUCUGGGCCAGACCCGGCCCAGAAGGCAGGACUGGGCCAGGAUCAGCCUGGCCCAUCAACUAGACUAGCUGGGCCAGAACAAGUCUGGCCCAGCACAAGAAAUCAACGGGGGGAAUUAUUCCCCCCCAUCCUCCUGCAUGCAGAACUAAUGUUCUGCAUGCAGAAGGAAACGCCGGUCACGGAAAUAAUAUGAGGGGGAAGGAACGUUUACCUGGCGCGGAGGAGGCGGUGGCGCUGGUGCUACUGCUGCUGCCGGAGGCGGUGCUGUGGCGGAGGCCGGUGGCGGUGUCAAGCGGCGCUGCGGUUCCAACGACAGCUCCAAGCGGUGCUACUGUCUCCCACGGUGCAGCGACAUUCUUCCCGGCUGUUCUUGCGUUUUCUCACGUUCCCUCGCGGUUUCUGGCUUUCCUUCCUCUCGGUCUUGGGUUUUUGGUGGUUAUCUCCCUCUUUUUCUCUGUUUUUUUUUCUUUUUUUUCUCCUCUCGGUUUCUCUCUUCUUUUCAGUCCUCCCUCCUCUGUUUUUUUCGUUUUCUCCUUCUUCCCCCUCCGUUCUCCCUCCUCAGCGUUCUUGGGGUUCUAUUUAUAGAGCCCAGGGCGUGGCUUUGCUGUGGAGCAUGGGGAGCAACCGGCCGGUCGGCUAUUGGGCACGACUGCCAAGGUCCGCCCCCCCCUCUCGGCUUUCUGGUAGGUGCGCGGUGGGUGGUCGGCCAUUGUGUCCGGUCGGUGGGCUCCAGGCGAGAGAGUGGCCGGCAAAAAUUCAAAAAAAAGCUUCCCUUUUUCCUUCUUCCCCGCUGCAUGAUCGGGGGAAGAAGAUGAACAGUGUCGUUCAAAACGACACCGUUCUGCUCUUUCCCUUUUUUUUUUUUUUUUGAAUGCAUGAAACGACGUCGUUUUGGAGAAAAUGCGCCGUUUCAUUUAAAUGUGGCGCCAAAACGCGCCAAAUUUCAACUCAGCCCUCAAUCCUCUUUUUUUCUUUAAUUGCAUCCCUGCCAAUUUCGGUCUUCGCCCCUCUUGUUGGCCGCGUUUUUCACUUUAGUCCUUGGCCUCUGAUUUAUGCAAUUGAGCCCUUAAUUGAUCAAAAAACUUCUAAUUUCUUCAAUUAGGCCCCUGAAUCAAUUAAUUCCAGCCCCUCCAUUUACGCGCCUCUUCCAAUUUGGUCCCUGGUUUCGAAUUUUCUUAAUUAAGUCCCCAAUUGGCCCUUAAACUUCAAUAUUUAUGCAAUUAGGCCCCUGAUUUGACCUAAUAAAUUCCUAAAAAAUAUAUUUUGGCCCCAGAACUUAAAUUUCUUCUAAUUAAAACCCAAAUUGACUUAAAAAUCAAUUUUUCUUACAAUCAAAUCUCCUAUAAAUUCAUUUAAAAAUCCAAUUAAGUCCAUAAACAUCCAAAUUUAGGCUUUUCUCCUCAAAUUUCAAAUUUUCCUUCUCAACAGGGCUCUCCUCCUUCAAGAAUAUACUGUCAAAAAACCAAUCUUUGUAUUUUUAACCUCAUUGACCAAUUUUCCAACCACUUUCUGAGCGCUUCUGCCUCUUGUUAUUUUUCUAACCUCCUUUGGCUAUAUAUUUUUAUAUAUAUUUUGUGGGGACCCAAAAAUGGGUUACAACAGAUGCCCCCUCUUUAUAAUGCUUACGGAGCAGAGGUUUUGCACAGUAAGUUUUAUAAAGAUAACCCAAAAUGGAACUCCCGAAACUGAUCUGGUUGAAGCUUGAUUGAUCUGAAACUUGUCUUUUAUAGUAAUCCUCCUCAACUGGGAAUCCCAUCUGGCGAUUCCCUUUUAACCAACAUGAAAAACGAGGUCCCAUCUGACGACCUCCAAAUAACGAAACAUGAGAUCCCUUCUAGCGAUCUCCUUUAACCAACUUGGAAUCCCAUCUGGCGAUUCCUUUUAUUCAAUGAAAAACGAGGUCCCAUCUGGCGACCUCCAAAUAAUGAAACACGAGAUCCCUUCUGGCGAUCUCCUUUAAUCAACUUGGAAUCCCAUCUGGCGAUUCCUUUUUUUUCAACAGGUAAUACGAGGUCCCAUCUGGCGACCUCCAAAUAGCGAAACACGAGAUCCGUUCUGGCGAUCUCCUUUAGUCAACUUGGAAUCCCAUCUGGCGAUUCCUUUUAUUCAAUGAAAAACGAGGUCCCAUCUGGCGACCUCCAAAUAGCGAAACAUGAGAUCCCUUCUGGCGAUCUCCUUUAGUCAACUUGGAAUCCCAUCUGGCGAUUCCUUUUAUUCAAUGAAAAACGAGGUCCCAUCUGGCGACCUCCAAAUAGUGAAGUAUGAGAUCCCUUCUGGCGAUCUCCAUCAACUUGGAAUCCCAUCUGGCGAUUCCUUUUAUUCAAAGCGAUAUGCGAGGUCCCUUCUGGCGACCUUCUUUGACCAAUAUCGAAAUACAAGAUCCCCUCUGGCGAUCUAAGACAACUUGGAAUCCCAUCUGGCGAUUUCCUUUUAUUCGAAGCUGAAAUAAUGAGAUCCCUUCUAGCGAUCUCCUUUAAUCAAAAACCAAAAAAUCUUUCUUGUAAAUCGGUUAACCUGGAGUCCCCUCUGGCAAUUCCCUUUUACUGAUUGCUCGAUGUCGUUCUUCCUGAUGGCAAGGUUCGAAAAUUAUUAUCUUCUCUUCUCGUUGUUCUAGAAUCAACUCAAUGAUUCUUUCUUCGUCUCCAAUUUUGUUGGAAUGUAUUAAGGUCUCCUCCUGUAACGAUCCAAAAAACAUAUAUGCAAUGAUUUAUGAUUAGAUGCCAUGCAUGCAUUCGUACCUGGUUUUGAAACAUAGGCCCCAUCAUCUUCUUCGAGUUCAUGAGAUUCCCUCUUAACAUGAGCUUGCUUUUGAAGUCGUAUGCUGGAUUCAUCUCUCGUGUUGCCUCCUAUCAUAUUCUUGGAGAAGAAAUCUCUGACUUUCUUCAAAUAGUCCUUUUUCCAAAAUGUAUGACUUGUCAUUGCCUCUUUGUCAUGCUUUUGUCAAAUGUUUUAGCUUGGUUUUUAAAUCUAUAGGCUUUCGUACAUGAAAAUAUCUCUUAUUGCCCCCAGUGUAGGGGUGUGAUUCUAGUCUAGGCUUUUAUAGAGAGAAGAAAUUCGUUCAGCCGAUGCUAAACUUUUUAAAUGAGAUAACACAAGACAUGCACUGUUGGGAUUAAUGCAAAAAUGACUGUUGUGAGAUCAAUGCAAAAGAGAAAGAAGUCAAUGGCCAAACUUUGCUUUAUUGAUUUAGGAGCCUACAUCAAGCAUAAUAUCUUUUUACAGAGUCAGAAUUCACAGGUCGAGCUAGGUCUUCUCCAUCCAUUCUAGCCAACUUCAGCGCUCCUCCUGAGAAUGCCUUCUUUACUACGUAAGGACCUUCGUAAUUCGGUGCCCAUUUGCUUUGAUCGUCUCCAGGUAGUGACAAUAUUUUCUUCAAUACUAGAUCCCCUUCUUGAAACAACCGCGGUCUAACCUUCUUAUCAUAUGCCUUGGCCAUUCGUUUCUGGUAAAGUUGGUGAUGACAUAUUGCGGCCAUCCUCUUUUCACUGAUCAGGUUCAGUUGCUCAUAUCUCACUUUGGCCCACUCGGCCUCUUCUAAUUCGGAGUCCAUCAAUACUCUUAACGACGAGAUUUCUACUUCCAAAGGCAUCACUGCUUCCAUACCGUACACUAGAGAAUAUGGGGUAGUUCCUGUCGAGGUCCUGACUGUAGUGCGGUAUGCGUGAAGAGCAAACGGCAACAUCUCAUGCCAAUCUUUAUACGUGACUACCAUUUUUUGAAUAAUCGUUUUGAUGUUCUUGUUGGCGGCUUCUACUGCGCCAUUCAUUUUCGGCCGGUAUGGCGAGGAGUUCGAAUGCUUAAUCUUCCACUUGGUACACAACUCCACUAUCAUUUUACCAUUGAAAUUCUGUGCAUUAUCGGUCACUAUCUUUUCCGGAGGACCAUAUCGACAAAUCAGAUCCUUUUCUAUAAACCUCUUCACUACCUUCUGUGUUACAUGGGCAUACGAAUUAGCUUCCACCCAUUUGGUGAAGUAGUCAAUAGCCACGAGGAUGAAUCUAUGCCCAUUGCUAGCUUUUGGGUUAACCGGACCGAUUACAUCAAUUCCCCACAUUGCAAAUGGCCAAUGAGAUAUUAGAUUAAACAGAGGAGCUGGUGGCAUAUUGACCUUGUCACUAUAAACUUGACAUUUAUGACAUUUCCUGACAUAGUCGAUACAGUCUUUCUCUAGUGUCAUCCAAAAAUAACCAGCCCUUUGGAUUUUCCUUGCUAUCAUAUGCCCGCUAGCAUGGGUUGAGCAAAUCCCCUCAUGGACCUCCCGUAAUGCCUUUCUAGCAUCUGCCUCAUUCAAACACCUUAGCAAGGUUCCAUCAAAUGAUCUUUUGUACAAAAUCUCUCCAUCUAAAUAGAAGUCUGUAGCCAACCUUCUCAAGGUUUUCUUAUCCGUUUUGGAGGCUCCCACCGGAUAUUCCUGAUUUUGCACAAGGUUCUUGAUAUCAUAAUACCAAGGCUGUCCGUCUAUCUCUCCUUCAACUAAGCAACAGUGAGCUGGGUCAUUUCUAAUGUCAAUGUGUACCGGUUGUACUUUGCACUUGAGAUCAAUGGUAGUCAUAACAGCUAGUGUGGCCAAAGCAUCUGCAAAAUGGUUCCUCUCUCUUCCCAGAUGGGUGAAUCUAAUUUCUUCAAAUUCCUUUGCUAGCGUGGACAGGUAUUCCUGGUACGGCCUCAACUUUUCCUCUUUGGUCUGCCAUUCCCCCUUAACCUGACAGAUAAUCAACAUUGAAUCUCCGUACACAUCUAACUUCUUUAUCUUCAGCUCUAAUGCCGCUUCUAGACCAAGGAUACAAGCUUCAUACUCAGCUGUAUUGUUGGUGCACUCGAAAUGUAGUUUAACCGAGACUGGAUACUGUUUCUUAUCGGGAGAGAUUAUUACCGCACCGGCCCCGUUACCAUAUACAUUCACUGCACCGUCAAAAAACAUCGUCCACCAAUCUGUCUUCUCUUCUUCUUUCUCUAUUGACAAUAGAUCUUCAUCAGGGAAGUCAAAAUCCAAAGGUUCGUAAUCUUCAACAGCAUGAUCGGCCAGAUGGUCCGCGAUUGCACUUCCUUUUACGGCUUUCCUUGUCAUGUAUACUAUGUCAUAUUCUGCUAAUAGAACUUGCCACCUUGCAAUUCGACUUGAGAGAAAGGGCUUGUUACAAAUGUACCUUAGAGGAUCCACUUUUGAAAUCAACCAAGUGGUAUAGUAUAACAUAUAAUGUCGCAACCUCUUUGCCGCCCAUACCAACGCACAACAAAGCCUUUCUAUCUCCGUGUAUCUAGACUCACAUUCAGUGAAUUUCUUACUUAAGUAAUAAAUAGCUCUUUCCUUCCUUCCGGUUUCAUCAUGCUGACCCAAUACACAUCCCAUGGCUGCUUCAGUUACUGUUAGAUAUAGUACUAGAGGUUUUCCUGAUACCGGAGGAACCAGUAAAGGUGGAUUUUGUAAAUAAUGCUUGAUUUUAUUGAAUGCCUCCUCACACUCCUCAUUCCAGGUUCCAGGAUUCUUUUUCCUUAGUAGUCGGAAUAUAGGUUCACACGUCGUUGUUAACUGAGCUAUGAACCGAGCAAUGUAGUUUAACCUUCCCAAGAAUCCUCUUACUUCUUUCUCCGUCUUAGGGGAUGACAUAGCUUGGAUGGCCCUUACUUUAUCUGGAUCCACCUCUAUACCUCUAUCACUUACUACAAAUCCUAACAGCUUGCCCGAUUUAACUCCGAAUGAACAUUUUGCAGGAUUAAGCCUUAGUUCAUACUUCCUCAACCGCUCAAACAACUUCCUCAAAACUUCAACAUGAUCCUCUCCCCUUUUAGACUUGGCAAUCAUGUCGUCUACAUACACCUCAAUUUCCUUGUGCAUCAUGUCGUGGAACAAAGUCACCAUUGCUCUUUGAUAGGUUGCUCCUGCAUUCUUCAAUCCAAAUGGUAUGACCUUGUAGCAGAACGUCCCCUAAGGUGUGACAAAGGUUGUUUUCGCCUUAUCCUCCGGAGCCAUUUUUAUCUGGUUGUAUCCUGAAAAACCAUCCAUAAAGGAAUAAGUGGAACUCCGGGCAGCGUUAUCCACUAAAACAUCUAUGUGUGGUAGGGGAAAAUCAUCCUUAGGGCUAGCUCUAUUCAAAUUCCGAAAAUCCACACAAACUCUAAUCUUCCCCUCCUUCUUAGGCACCACAACAACGUUAGAUACCCAUUGUGGAUAUCUAACUACUUCUAGGAAGCCAGUAUCCCAUUGCUUCUCAAGUUCUGCCUUGACCUUGAUCCAGACAUCCGGGUGGGCCCUCCUCAGCUUCUGCUUGACUGGCUUACAACCUUCUUCCAACGGUAUCUUGUGUACUACAAUAUUUGUAUCCAAACCAGGCAUAUCUUCAUAGGACCAAGCAAAGACAUCUGAAUAUUCUUGUAAUAGGGUGAUCAUUUUUAUCCUUUGUUCAGAAGUAAUUAAGGUACCUAUUUUCAACUCUUUCUUGAGUUGAUCACUACCCACAUUGAUGGUUUCGAGUUCUUCGGCGAUAGGCUUCCAAGUCUGUUCCUGUUGUUCUACUAGCCUGGUGAAUUCACUAAUAUUGCUUUCAUCCCAUUCUUCUUCCAUAGCUAUCACAUGCUCGUUCAAGUUUGGCCAUUUAUUCUUGAUGCUAAAUAUAUGUGAUGUUGUAGGAGAUCCGCUUUCAGGAUUCCUGAAAGCGGGAAGUGUUUGGUGUAAAUGCAUAAAAAAAAGAAGGCAAUUUGUGGAAAGUGCAUGAUCUCACAAUUUAUUUAAAGAAAAAGUGGGCUCCAUGACAAACAUAAAAUCUAGCUGACAUCAUGAGCCUUGAUUGUCAACUAGAGGAAAUAAAAGCAAACAUAAGCAAUGACGAAAGCAUGCUAAGGCAAAUAAAGUUGGUUUACAUUUUGAAAACCACUGGAGCUUCUUGGGUCACCCAGUUCUGAAACUUCUCGUCCUGAGCCAACUUGCGCACAAAGGUCUUGGCGGAGACUUCUUCUAUGGUGUAGACCGUCAGUUGUGGGAGUGCUUCAUCUCCCUUUCUUGCUACUGUCUUCCUGUCAUCUCCUUCCAUCUUGUUCUCCCCCAAGGUAUUUACGCUCAUGUUUGACAGCUCUUGAUCAAGGCUUUCGGCCUCUUUAUCAUGUUGCAUUAUGUAUGCAGUUUUGGGGAAUGACACGCUAAGGGGAGGGAUUUCUAGCUUUUCUUCAUCAGGCUCUCUUCCUUUAAUUCUAGCCAUCCUUCUUGCCCUUCUCCGACCAGCAGCCCACCGAUAAUCCUCUUGGUUAGGUUGGUACCCUAACCCAAAUCUUUGAGCAGCACUUUUCAUCCUUGCCAGAUUAACCCCUUCUGGUAUCCCGAUAAUAAGGUUAUACUGAAAUGGGAUCCCGCGGUUCAAGAAGCAUAGACUUGUCAUCCUUGCUGCUUCUGAGAUCCUUGGCCUUCUUAGCACUGUAUUCUCUGGCACCCAGUCGGUGUUCACAAUCUCAAAGGCAUGGAUAUUGUUAUCCUUGCAAUCAUUCGCUUCGAUAAAAGGCACAACCACAUUCUUUAUCAUGGAUACUGUCUCCUCAGCCUUGACAGUUACCAACAUCCCAUUCAUGAUAUACUUCAGGCAUUGAUGCAAUGACGAAGCUACUGCCCCCACUGCAUGAAUCCAAGGUCUUCCUAACAACAGACUAUAGGAAGGGUGGAUAUCCAUAACCUGAAGUGUUACUAAGAACAUUUGUGGUCCCACAUAUAGCUCCACUUCUAAAGUCCCAAUUAUUGGCCUAGGCGAGCCAUCAUACGCUCUAGCCAUCAUAGUACUGGGCUUUAUAUGGGAUUCAUCGAUCGGCAUUUCUUCCAGCAUGUGCUUUGGCAACACAUUAAGGGCCGAGCCGUUAUCAAUGAGUACUUUUCCUAUGAGGCAGUCCUUGCACCUAACCGUAAUGUAUAAGGGCUUGUUAUGUCCGGUACCUUCAGCAUAUCAGCCGUGAAGUACAGGUAAUUAGUUGCAUGGAUCCUUCCUACUAGAUGCUCCAUGGUUUUAUGUUCAAUGUCUUGGGGUACAUAUGCCUCAUUCAAUACCUUCUGCAAGGCGUUUCGAUGCAGCUCAGAGCUGAGUAUCAGGGACAUAAGGGAGAUCCUAGCUGGAGUCUUCUUUAGUUGAUCUACUAUGCAAUAUUCACUAUGCUUGAUCAACUUCAGGAAUUCAUUCGACUCUUCUUCUGUUACUGGCUUAUUAACUUCUAGUGCUUUGUCAAGAUCUACCACUUCUUUACCCUUUUCCUUCCUCAACUCCUCAGAAGUAAAGCAACGACCACUCCUGGUCAAACCACUUAUCUCAGUCUGGAACAAAGGAAGAGGAGCUUGAACGUUGGAGGCAUAACCAUAAUUAUAAGGCAUGGCAUUGUGAUUCCCUUUUGUGUAGGACGGUUUAACCAAGAUUAGCCUUGGGGGACCAUUAGCUGUUUGUUGGACCCUGCAUACUCCUGUCAUCUCCAUCUGACCUUCCAUCAUACUCACCUCACCCCUGUUCUCCAUGGGUUCAAUUCUCAAUUGCCCCAUUUUUAACAUUUUUGCAAUCUUUUCGUAAAACUCGAUGCAAUCCUCAAUAUGGUGUCCAUCUCUUCCAUGGAACUUACAAUAACUACCUCCCUCCGAAUGGCCUUCCAUAUUUGCCUCUAGAAAUCCUGAUCGUACUAACAAGUAGUACAUCUUUUCCAUAGACACCUUCAACACCUUGCAUUGAUUUCCAACUUCUAUCAUGCCUAUUCCACUACUACUUGAGGCAUGUUUAGGCAACGGGUUUGAAUUAACAUUGGGCUUGUCUUCAAAGGAUACCCAUCCUAUCUUAAUAAGCUCCAGCAAUCUUUUCUUGAAAGCGUAACAGGUUUCAAUCCCAUGCCCAGGAUUACCCGCAUAGUACUCACAAGUUAACUCGGGCUUGUACCAAAUUGGGAAUGGUGGUUGUAAUGGUAGUGUAGGGAUAGAAGAUAUGUGCCCAAUGCUCAAUAGUUUGGCGUACAUGUCCUUCAAAGGCAUGGGUAAUGGUGGCAGUUGUUCUGAAGUGUAUCUUGUAUGGGGUCUUUGGUAGUGAUUUUGGUAGUUUGACUGGUUAUUUGUUCGAUUAGGGGAAAAGUUUAUGCGUGAGAAUUGAGAGGUAGAUACUUGAGGAUUGUGAAAAUCUACUCUUUUGCCCUUGUACCCACCUUCCAGAUUGUUAACAUCACCUUCUCUCUUUCUUCCAAUAAAACCCUUCUUUUCCACUGGCAUCGCUAUUCGCCCAGCUUUAAUCCCUUGUUCUAUUCUUUCAGCUAUGCGUACCGCAUCAUAGAAAUGUUGAGAGGAACUACCCAUUAGGUGCUCAUAAUAAGGUGCCUUGAAGGUAUUAGCGAACAAGCUCACCAUCUCUGUUUCUAUCAAAGGGGGUUGGACAUGCAUUGCCUCAUCCCUCCAUCUUUGCGCAUAAGCCCUUACUGACUCCUGGCUCCUUUUCUCCAUUGCCAUUAGACUUGUUCGAUCAGGAGCGAUUUCCAUGUUAAACUUGUACUGCUUGAGGAAAGCCUCCACCAAGUCUCUCCAGCUUCUGAUCUUGACACUAUCUAACCUCAUGUACCAACUCAAAGCGGACCCUGAGAGGCUAUCCUGAAAGAAAUAGAUUAGCAGCUUAUCAUCGCGGAUUACUUCUGCCAUUUUAUUGCAGUAGGAACGAAGGUGAGUGUUUGGGCAUUCCAAACCAGUGUACUUAAUGAACUCUGGUAUCCUGAAAUCUUUUGGUACCACGAUGUUUGGUACCAGACAUACUUCAGCUGCUCGCAUAGGGUCAAACCAGUCAUUACCCUCAACUGCCCUUAAUCUUUCUUCCAAGGCAAACAACUUGUCCUGGUCCAUCAGAUUGGGAAACCUAUUAUCCGGGGUUCCUUCCGUUGUUAAGUCAACAGUGACUGGCGUAUGAGUUGGUAGGAUAGGAGUAAUAGGCACAAACUGCUGUCCAUUGGCCGAGUUUGCCCCCUGGCUUUGAGAUGCUUGAGGGAUGUGAGCUGCUGGCGCUCCUUCAAGUUGUUGUGUUGAUGUUCCCUCCCCAUUCUUAGCUCUUAGAAGCUGCCCAAGUAAGUCGGUUAGCCGAGAAACUUCAUUCUUUAUGGACUCCAACUCGGUCUGAUAAUGUGACUCUAAGUGAGCUCUCUCUUCGUUCUCCAUUCUCGCUCUGGACCGGGUGUUGUGGAUUUUGGAUGUGGGACCUAUGUUUCACGAUCUGGCAUGCAUAUGAUGAAUUAAAAACAAAAUGUGAUGAAAAUAUGAUGCUCAUGCAAUGUAUAUUUUAGAGCCGACUCAUGACUUUCGUAAUCCUUUAGGCAAGAUUUCUGAGUUGACCCGAUUACUGUAAAGGAGGGUUUGCCAAGUUCUUUAUCAUAGUAGCUUACCAAAACAUAUUUAGAAAGAAAGAUAGGUCAUGCCUUCUUAUAAAUAGAAGAAGCUCAUACAUUGAUAACAGAACAAGGCGUUAUACAUUGCUACCCUUUAAAAGGCAUUUCCUCUAUUAGCUAAAUCCCCAAUAAAACAGGUGAUGGCCGCCAUAUAUUCUCGAUACUUUGAAGCAUCAUUUCCCACUUGAGUAGCUUGUCGUUGCAACCUUUCCGCAUAGCGGGCUGCUUGCUCGACCUGCUUCGUUAUAUGCCUUAUCUUAUCAUGGAACACAGUGUUAUCUGCAAUUAUCACUUCGUUGCUGGCUCCUAGGGCUUCAUUACUUCUUUCCAACACUCGAACCAUAUCAUCCGACCGGGCCAACUUAUCCCUUACCCUCUGCAGUUCCUCCUUUUCGAUAUCCAGCUCGGCUAUUUUGGAGUUAAUUUGGACUGUAAAGCUGUCCAUGUAGCCUUGACAUUCUUGAUGCUCUUGCUUAGCCUUACUGAGAUCCUCCUCCAUCUCGAAGUAAUGGCUUCUCAACUCCCUCAACUCUUCUACUUGUAUCUCGAUCUCAGAUUGUAAAGUCAUCAUUCUUCCUUUCGAAGACUCAGCUCUUUUCUGGUAAUCUCUCAUAUCAGACUCGGCGGCCUUUCUUGCACUCCUCUCUUCCUCAAGCUGCACCAUAUAUUGAGCUCUAAUCCUUCUUUCCUCUUCUAUGUCGAGCUGGGCCAGCCGAUUCUUCUCCUUUUCAACUUCUAUUUUCUUUGAAAGAAUGCUCUUUCCCUUCUUCAAGGAAUCCAUCACCUUUUUGUCAACAUUCAUCUUGCCUUUUGUUGAUCUUUUAACCUUUGCCAACUCUUUUUCUGCGAGCCCAUUCUUCUUAACCAGCUCAUCAUAUUCGGUCAUUCGUUUCUUUAGCUCAGCCUGGACCCCUUUUGCUAUUUCUUCCGCUACCUCGACCCUUUUCUGCCAUUCCUUUAAAGAUGUCAAUUGUUUAUCUUGUUUUUCCAACUGCUGGUUCAAGUAAACCCUCAUCGUGUUUUCUUCCUCUAAUUGAUUUUCCAACAGUCGCAGCUGCCCUUUGCUCUUGCUGAGAUCAAUUCUACAUUGUUCUAGCUGCUUUCUCAGCUCUUCCUCAAUAUCAGUCCUUUUCCUUUUUGGUUGUUCUAUUGCGGAUUCUGGAUGUUUUGGUAUGGAGAAACCCCUUUCUUCAAAAAGCUCUUCAUUCCUCCAAACUACAUAAUUCUGGCUGAAUGAUGUUUCAAAUGUGCUCCCUUCUUCCCUUUUUACCAUCAGGGGUCUUUCCCAAUCCUGUCGGAUAAGCUCCAUCUCUUCGAGGAAGGGUUGGUGCUUGAAUAAACCGAUGAAAUCAGCUAAACCCAGAGUUCUUGGCGCGUACUGCAUUCCACCCAACUGUCUUGUUACUAGGGCGGGCGCGUAACUGAUGUACCCGGUUAUACCAAUCAAAGGAACCCAUAUCUUAUUUCCACAACUCAUUGUGCAGAUGGCAUUGUUCAUCCAUGGUGCUUUCCAUUUGAAGUUGCUCCUUGGCAAUGCUGCAUACUUAUCUAUCCAUGCUUUCUCAUCCCAAUUCUUCCAAGUCUCAUCCAUGGUAACCUUUAAUGGUCGUAGGUCAAACCACCAAAAGUUGUUAAAAAUGUCCCUUGGUGUUUCGAUAUGACUGAUAAUCCAUAAAUACAACAUAGGGGUGCAACAUCUCAUGGCUCCUUUUCCAUGCAUUCUGCAGUGAUUGAGUGAUAACAUGGUUUCUCCCAAAAUAGCUGAUGAAGGAUUGAUCUGGUCACGCUCGUAUUCGAUGAAGACACUUGCUGCUUCCAAACUGAUGACUCCGAUUUCUGAAGGGAACAAUACUAGCCCAAAAAUGGCGAAGGCCACCAACCUGUAUCGUUCCUCUCCUAACUUGCCUUCCUCAGCAUUUUUCUUCAUUCGAGCUUCUAUGACCUUCCAUUUGAAACCCCCCUCGGCGACUCUACAUUGACUGAUCUUUCCCAAGCCUAAUAAACUGACUACCUCCGAAGCUGUGUCUUCAAAUCUUCGCCUUAGAUAGAUCCUGUGACUGUUGUUUGGAAAAUCUAGAAUCCUUUCAUAUUCCUCCAAAGUCGGUGUCAUAUCAAUGUUCCCAAAGGUAAAACUCCGAUAACUAGGAUCCCAAAAAUUCAGUAGGGCUUUGAUUGUUGCUGCUUGUACGGGUAACCUCAUUAGUUGUGCAAUUCUCCCGUAUCGCCUUUCAAAAAUAGUCUCAUCAAUAUAUUCCAUAAUAGACACUAACUUCCCCAAGUCAUUUACCAUGUGAUUUAUCUUGGUAAUGCCAGGCAACCUACUAGCAUCGAUUCUUGGGCAUUUUCCUUCAGCUACUUGAGUCAACUCAGAUUCUUGUCCAAACUCUUGGAAAGAUAGGUACUUAGUCAUGAUUUCAGCUCAAAAACCUGGAUUGAUGAUUUUAACAUUAUUAAUCAUGAUGAAGAUGAACGUAAGAUAGAUAUCCUAAGGACAAGUUCUAUUUAUUAGGUGAGAAUGGGUAGGUUUUCUAUUUGGUCUUUAAAAUGGUCUCAUAUCUGCCCAGUGACGUUCUUCGUAAAGACAGUAUGGGGGCGUUGCAAGGAACAGUUAAGGUAAGUAUACCCACCAUUACCAAGCAGGCACUCAGAUAUGAGUUGGGUGUUUCACGCAUCUGAACCCUGACCAAUAGUCAUAGGGCAGAUCGCUAAUCCCACUCCUAGCUUAAAGCUUGUGUGUGCUUCUCAAAAUCAAAGUAUGUGAUGCAUGUGACAGUUCUAUAAGAUGCAUGAGACAAUUCUAUACAAAUGCAUGAACAAUAUGCGUAAAAAAAUUUAAAGCAUAUAAGCAGAUAACAAAAGGAAAAAAAAACACACGAAAACAAAAACAAUUCAGACAAAAACAAAGCUUAGUCCACAAGGUCCCCAGUGGAGUCGCCAUUCUGUCGCGGGUGCGCGGCGAGUAUUCCACUUUUUAAAAAAAUAGGAAGUGUAUAUGGUAUCUAUCUUUAUUUAUUUGGCCAAUAUGAGGGAUAAGAAAAUCCAGUCUUUUAUUGGUGGGAAAUGGAAUGGGAGUCGCCACCUAGUAUUUUGGUCACUAGGAACCCUAACUGGUCUCAGAGAUUGGGUACGGGGACUGGUUGCGUAGAGGGAAGGUAUUAGCACCCCAAAUACGCCCUACCUAAGGUAAGCUGCAUGGUUUAUUUGUCUGAUAAAAUUCAAGGUUUCGUUGUGUUUCCUAAUUGUUGGUCCGUCUAUGGUUCAAGAAAAAUCCUCCUCAAUAAGGAGGUCCUUAUCUUAUCGGGUAAAGCCUAACCGUUCUAAUGUCUAAAAAAAUCAUAUUUUUAAUAUCAAGAAUACGUUUUACAUAUAAAUUCGUAAUCCCAAAUACUAACAGAGGACAAAAAUAUUUUUUAGAAUUUUUGAAAUAUUGGCCUAGUUCUCAUGGCUUGAAUAAACUGGUUAUUAAAGCCAAAAUGCAUGUUAAUACAUAUAUUGUUUUGAAAUUUUCUUUGUUAUAUGAAAAAGAUGAUGUUAUAAUAUUUAUAUAUAUAUAUUGGAGAGACUAGGCCGUAUUUUGAAACAAAAUAUUUUUUAAAUAUGUAUUUUUGUACGUUUUGACGCAAAUCGGGUAUUUUAAUACUGGGUUUGUAUCCUUACGGUAUAAAAAUACAACCAAAUAUUAAUCCACUUUAAUAAAACAAAUGCAGAAAAAUCAACAAUAUUUUCAAAGAUAUUUUUGAAAGCAAAAGACAUUUUUUAUUUUGAAAAUCUUUGAUGUUUUGAUGAAAAUCGGGUAUUUUAAUACCGGAUUUGUAUCUUUACAGUAUAAAAAUACCAACCGAUAUUAAUCAAAAUAUAGUAAUAAAAUUACAACAAAAUCACAUAUAUUUUUUAUAAUUUUUUGCAAAAUUUUUAUAAUUUUUUUUCAUAUAUAUAUAUAUAUAUAUAUAUAAAUAAUACAAAAUAUAAUAUAUAUAAUAUUAAAUGGGCUGGGCUGGUCCGGCCCAACCGACUGGGCCGAACUCAGCCCAAAAAGUGUUGGGCCGACUUCGGCCCAAGAAUGGAUUGGGCCGAUCUCGGCCCACAAACUGGUAUUCUCCUCUGGGCCAGACCCGGCCCAGAAGGCAGGACUGGGCCAGGAUCAGCCUGGCCCAUUAACUAGACUAGCUGGGCCAGAACAAGUCUGGCCCAGCACAAGAAAUCAACGGGGGGAAUUAUUCCCCCCCAUCCUCCUGCAUGCAGAACUAAUGUUCUGCAUGCAGAAGGAAACGCCGGUCACGGAAAUAAUAUGAGGGGGAAGGAACGUUUACCUGGCGCGGAGGAGGCGGUGGCGCUGGUGCUACUGCUGCUGCCGGAGGCGGUGCUGUGGCGGAGGCCGGUGGCGGUGUCAAGCGGCGCUGCGGUUCCAACGACAGCUCCAAGCGGUGCUACUGUCUCCCACGGUGCAGCGACAUUCUUCCCGGCUGUUCUUGCGUUUUCUCACGUUCCCUCGCGGUUUCUGGCUUUCCUUCCUCUCGGUCUUGGGUUUUUGGUGGUUAUCUCCCUCUUUUUCUCUGUUUUUUUUUUCGUUUUUUUCUCCUCUCGGUUUCUCUCUUCUUUUCAGUCCUCCCUCCUCUGUUUUUUUCGUUUUCUCCUUCUUCCCCCUCCGUUCUCCCUCCUCAGCGUUCUUGGGGUUCUAUUUAUAGAGCCUAGGGCGUGGCUUUGCUGUGGAGCAUGGGGAGCAACCGGCCGGUCGGCUAUUGGGCACGACUGCCAAGGUCCGCCCCCCCUCUCGGCUUUCUGGUAGGUGCGCGGUGGGUGGUCGGCCAUUGUGUCCGGUCGGUGGGCUCCAGGCGAGAGAGUGGCCGGCAAAAAUUCAAAAAAAAGCUUCCCUUUUUCCUUCUUCCCCGCUGCGUGAUCGGGGGAAGAAGAUGAACAGUGUCGUUCAAAACGACACCGUUCUGCUCUUUCCCUUUUUUUUUUUUUUUGAAUGCAUGAAACGGCGUCGUUUUGGAGAAAACGCGCCGUUUCAUUUAAAUGUGGCGCCAAAACGCGCCAAAUUUCAACUCAGCCCUCAAUCCUCUUUUUUUCUUUAAUUGCAUCCCUGCCAAUUUCGGUCUUCGCCCCUCUUGUUGGCCGCGUUUUUCACUUUAGUCCUUGGCCUCUGAUUUAUGCAAUUGAGCCCUUAAUUGAUCAAAAAACUUCUAAUUUCUUCAAUUAGGCCCCUGAAUCAAUUAAUUCCAGCCCCUCCAUUUACGCGCCUCUUCCAAUUUGGUCCCUGGUUUCGAAUUUUCUUAAUUAAGUCCCCAAUUGGCCCUUAAACUUCAAUAUUUAUGCAAUUAGGCCCCUGAUUUGACCUAAUAAAUUCCUAAAAAAUAUAUUUUGGCCCCAGAACUUAAAUUUCUUCUAAUUAAAACCCAAAUUGACUUAAAAAUCAAUUUUUCUUACAAUCAAAUCUCCUAUAAAUUCAUUUAAAAAUCCAAUUAAGUCCAUAAACAUCCAAAUUUAGGCUUUUCUCCUCAAAUUUCAAAUUUUCCUUCUCAACAGGGCUCUCUUCCUUCAAGAAUAUACUGUCAAAAAACCAAUCUUUGUAUUUUUAACCUCAUUGACCAAUUUUCCAACCACUUUCGGAGCGCUUCUGCCUCCUGUUAUUUUUCUAACCUCCUUUGGCUAUAUAUUUUUAUAUAUAUUUUGUGGAGACCCAAAAAUGGGUUACAACAACAGUUUCCACAGUUGGGAAGAAAGUGUGUUUGACCUACUUUUGGGUAUACAUUUAAUAAAUUUGGAAGUGCCGCCUUCAUAAAGCAUAAAAUUUAGCCCACGGUUGUCCUCUUAAUAUCUGCUGCUAGAAUACUAUUUGUGCUUAAAAUGUUGGAAGUAAAAUAAACAGGAGCAGAAUAUGAGUAUCUAUUGGAGCUUAAUGCUGCAGAACCUAUAAAAAUUCUACGUGUCACUUCCUCAAUUAAAAUAAUGCUGCAGAAUUCACUCGCAUGGUUGUAUAGAAUGCUCCAUUCAAAGGACAGCUUGCUAUUGGGUUUUCUUGGUGUACUAAUAUACAACUUGUUGGGAACAACUGAUAAUAACAUGAUAGCAAAGGCUUAUUAGAUAUCUUUUGUUUUUUUAGCUGCUUUUGUUUUUUAGUUGUUCUUAAAGAGGGUGUUUUCCUAUUUUAGAUGAAUGAUUUUGAAACCUACAAAAACUUUGAAUCAGGUAAUGUUUCUUAAAAACUUACACCUUUUAUUUUAUGAUUUAUUAAUUAACACAUUUUUAUUCUAACAUGUUUAAUUUUUUAUUUUAUAGAAUUUGGUGGAAAGUUGCAUCUAGCAACAGAUGAUAAUUAGUUCACAAAUUGUGAUGCAUUUAUUGAAAACAUAUGGUAAAAAUACAAUUUUUUUAUUUUUAUAUCUUCUAAUUUAAUUUAUCAUGUUAUAAUUCUAGAUUAUAAAUUUCAAGAAUCAAAGUGCAAUGUUCUUGAAGAGUUUUUUUUAUUAAGAUGAUGUGCACAUGAGGAUUUUUUUUUGUUUGGAGUGUUUUAUGAUAAUGUUAUUUGUUGUUUUUUCUUUAAGCCCUUUGAAGGCAAUGGUUUGUAAUUUGGAUUUUAAGUUAUUGGUGUGUGAUUGUGAGUAUGUGUUAUUUAAACUUUUUGGAAGCAGAAAAAUAUUAAGAAGGUAAAAAAUAUAUUGAACACAAGAUUGACAUUAAUAAUUUCAUAUAAAUGAAUACUCAGUGGCUAAAAAACAUAAUAAACAUAAGAUUGACAAUACCAAUUUAAUACAAAUGAAUAUUUAGGGGUAAAAAAAUUAAAUGUACUUUGGAAUCUUCAAAGAAAAUGAGACAAUAUCAACAUUAAUUGCAAACCCAUUAGAAAUCCAUUAAAAGCUCGUUACAAAUCCCAUUAUAAAGCCAAAAAAGCCCAAAAAAAUGCAUAUAGGUUUUUUCGGUUUUUUGCAUAAAAAACCAAACUGAAACCGGACCGAAACAGGUUAGUUUGGGCUGGUUUCGGUUCGGUUUCGGGUCUUUUUUUUGGGUUUGGUUGUUUGUUUUGGGUAAAAACCAAAUCGAACCGAAAAUGAUCACCUGUAAGUUUAAUACCCUCACUUGAACAUAUACUUAUUGGAGGCAUGAGAAAUUCAUUCCUUAUUUUUUUUAUAUCACGAUUUACAUGUUAUGAUAAAACAACAUUGAAGAUUUUUUUUUUAUCAGGUUUCAUGAAAUAAUUUUUCAUAGGGAGAAAUUCAUAUUAAUAUCUUUAAGAUAUAAGUCAAAUAAAUUUAAUUUUAAAAUUAAUUUGGGGUAAUCAAUAUUGGUUGAGGUUAUUUUGAUUUUGUAAUUUGCAGCCAAAAUCUGCUAAUGUAAUUGUGACGAUUUAAUUAGCCCACAUUUAUUAUGUAGGUGUGUGGCCUUUGUGUUUUUCAACUUUUAUCCUAUUUUAUGUUGUAACAAUCAAAUUCUUUUAAAAAAAGAAAUCAAAUGAAAAAAAUUAGUUAUUUAGGUUACGUUUAGGUAAUAUUUGAUUAUAGAAAAAUAUAAAAUAAAUCAAUAUUUAUAACAGUUUUACAGUAAAUUUACAUACUUCAAAAAAAUAAUAAAUACAAGGAGACACGUCUUUUUUAUUUCUACCGUCUCUCUUCUUCUUUUUUUUCUUUUUUCUUUUGGUGAUAGUAACCAAACACAAAUUUAGUAAUGAAUCUUAAUACUCUCUCCCCCUCCACACGUAGCAUGAAGGCUGGAACCAUUACGUAUUAGGUGGAGGAGAAAUAUAUUCCUCGUUUUUUCCAUGAAGACUCAUGAAUCUUAAUGAAAUUAUGAAGAAGAAUUUAUUUGAUCAAGCUUCACACACACAUUUUAUAACAAGAAUCUCAUUAGAUAUAAGUGUCCAUUUUACACAACUAUUAUUAAAAUGGUACUUAUCAUCAAGCCAUGGGGCAUAUGAGUUGUAUUAUUUCGUUGAUUUAUAGUUUCUAAGAUAUGUCUCCACAAGAUAAAGCCCUUAAAUAAUUCUCUAUGGAGUUCACCAUGGGGAGAAGUUGCUUGAGUUCAUAAGUCUUAUAGUGGGCCUCUUGUCUUGGGUUCCUAUUUUGGUUCCAUCGUGGGGUGACUGAUGAUGUUGAAUUUAGUCCAAAUAGAAAAAUAUUUUUUUUUCAUUGAUCCUUUUGAUUUUUUAUUUUAUAUUUGGCAUAAUUUUUAAUUCUUGUUGAUCAUUAUAAUAGAAUAAUAUGUUAAUAUUGACAUGUUAACAAUUCUCCAAAAAGUUAUAUAUGUGUGUGUUAUGGUAAAUGAAAAAUUUUGUCUGCUAAAAAAAUCAGUUUUAAAAUAGAGCUAUGUUUUAUUUUAAAUACAAAUUUGUGUCUAUUAAAUAACACAGAUACCCUUUUUUCUGGAAGUUCACACAACAAAUACAGAAGAUAGAUAAGUCAAUAUUGUUCUUUUGAGAGUUCUAUAAAAUUACAUUUGCAGCACCAUAGCUCAAAGACAUGAAUCUCUGUGAAACCAAUUAUGUCGAGGUGAACAUGUAAUAGGUAACCAACCUUGCCUGAUGCAAACAUGAAGAACAAAGACCAUCCAGGAAUACCGCAUAUGUUGAUUUAAUUCAACCAUUUAAAGUUAAAGGAGAAGGAGAAAACAUAAAUAACCACCUCAAUCAUAAUGACCACAUUUAAAUUAUUACCUGAAAGAAUUAAUUAUUAGCCCUCCAUCAUCUCCCUUUUCCUCUUCCUCUUUCUCUUCCCACCCAUUAUUUCGGGUCCACAUUCUACAAGUGUUGGUUGGCAAGGAGCAACCAGUGCUUGAAUCCUCAGCUACUUGAGAUACCUGCAAAACCAAUUCAAGCAUGGCAUACGCAUUCUAACUUGUAAGUCUUAUUAUUGAGAAGAAACAAAAACACUAUGAAAUCAAGUCCAGUAAGCAGCACCUCUGAUUGAGCACUCAUUGAACCAUUUGAUGUAGUAGCAAAUUUUGUCGUCAACUUUGGGCAUUGACGCACCUCCAACAUCCACAAAUGAGGGAAUAAGAAAUCAUAACAUCCAUGACUGAAGCAUACAAUACUUGGUAAUUUUUCUAGAAACAGCCAUUGCAGAUUAUGGAGCACCAUCUCCUUCUCAACAUCGACUGGUGAGGCAUGACUCUUUAACUUGUUGUCUUCUAUGAUUUCAUUUGAACAUGAAUUGGGGAAGCAUAAAGAUUGGUGACAUCUUCCUAACAAUAUCUUAUUCUUUUCAUCAUCAAUAUCCUUAGCGAUGAUUUGCUCCAAUUCCUCACAGUUUGAUAUCUUUAGAUAAUUCAGUUGAACAAGAGUAGCAAUCAUACUGUCUGUAAAUAUAUGUGUCAGUCUCUUACACUCAUUCACAACCAAAGUGGUCAAAUUGCUCGGCACGAGACCCUUCCAUAUACACCUCAUGUCAGGCAAUAAGUUCAAGUGUAAUUUUUCCAAACUCAAGAGUGAAAGUUCAUGCCCACCUCUUAUAUUAGUUACCAAACUCCCAACCUGCAUUAAAUCCUGUACUCCUUCGCAGUUUCUAAUAUAUAUUUCUUUUGAAUUUAUAAAUACCUGCAUCAAAAGAAAACAAGGGUACCAAUUUGUUAGAAGUAAUUCUUAGUAAUUAUUGUGAACCUUUGGAACUAAAUGUUGAAGUUUGGUACCUAAGCUAGAACAGGAUUACUUAACAGUAAUCUACUGCAUGAUUAUCUAGUUGUUAGCUGAGAUUACUAUCUAGAUUAGGAUAUGUUUUUGAAUUCUUUUGUUGAGUUUAUCUAGGAUUAAACUAACUUGUAAACAUCUCCUUAAACAAAGGAGAAGUUGGCUGGUACGUUUCUAGAGUUUAUUUUUCUUUGUAAUUCUGUUUUCUUUUCCUAUAAAUAAAAGGGCAUGGGAUGGCAGUAACCAAUAACUCAAUUCUGCUCUUUGUUCUUUAUACUUAAAUACUAAGUUCUGUGUUCUUUCUUUUGUUCUUUCUAUCGUGGACUUAGUUCUUUGUUCUUUUCUCUUUUAUCAGCAAACAUAAGGUUGUUCUUUAUAUUUCUACAAUUGGUAUCAGAGCAUCCUUAGGAUCUUUGAAGGGCUUUCUUGUGAGUGAGAAAGACGAGAGUACAAAGAGGAUAAAUCAAAUUUUUUACUUUGAGGGUUGGUGAGUGAAAAACACGAGAGAAUAAAGUGAGUUUUUUUUAAUGGAUUCUGCAAGUUUUUCACCAAAAACACCAUUGUUUACGGGACAAAAUUUUGGUGUGUGGGCUGUAAAAAUGGAAACCUAUCUCAAAGCUCUUGAUUUAUGGGAGAUAGUGGAAAGUGAUAGGCAACCUACUCCUUUAGGUAACAAUCCCACAAUUGCACAGAUGAAGUUCUUUAAUGAAGAAAAGGCAAAGAGAUUCAAAGCUCUUUCUUGUCUUCAUAAUGCUGUAAGUGAAGACAUCUUCACAAGGAUCAUGGCAUGCAAAUCUGCCAAGGAAACAUGGGAUAAAUUAAAAGCAGAGUUCCAUGGUGAUGAGAAGUCAAGAAGGAUGCAGAUUCUGAAUCUGAGAAGACAAUUCGAAGGUCUGAAGAUGAAAGAAAAUGAGAGCAUCAAAGAUUUCUCUUCUCAAAUUUUGAAACUUGUGAAUCAAGUAAGACUUUUGGGAGAAGAUUUUCCAGACUCUAGAAUUGUAGAGAAAGUCCUGGUGAGUCUGCCAGAAAAGUUUGAACAUAAAAUCUGUUCUUUAGAAGAUUCAAAAGAUUUUUCUGAAAUGAGCUUGCAAGAACUAGUAAAUGCAUUGCAAGCUGUGGAGCAAAGGCAAGCAUAUAGACAAGAAGGAUCAAGUGAAGGAGCUCUUGUAGCAGUUUACAAAGAUAAGAGUCGGGCUAAGAACAUCUUCAGAAAUAAUCAAGAUGGAAAAAGAGAAAAAGGGAGAAGCUGGAAAUCUGCUAACUGGCAACAGAACAUCAAUAACAGCUUCAUGAGGGGGAAAGAGAAGAAAGAGCAUUUUCCUGCUUGCAAAUACUGUCAGAAAACUAAUCAUCUUGAAGCCUGGUGUUGGCUCAAGAAUGCUCAAUGCCGAAACUGCAAGCAAUUUGGGCACAUCCAAAGAUUUUGCAAAAAUAAAACAGAAACUGAACAACAAGCUCAAGUAGCCGAUUGUUCAGAAGUCAAAGAAGAUCUUUUAUUCAUGGUCACAAUUCAGGACAUGUGUAAUUCAGCAGAGCCAAAGGACUCAUCAUGGCUCAUUGAUAGCGGCUGCACUAACCAUAUGACAGCAGACUUAAACUUAUUCAGAGACUUGGAUAAAAGCUACCUAUCUAAAAUCAGAAUUGGCAAUGGAGACUUUGUGAAGGUUGAAGGAAAAGGAGCAAUUGCAGUAGAAACACUGUCAGGUACAAAAAUUCUUAAAAAUGUUCUUUAUAUGCCUAAGAUCAACCAAAAUCUAGUUAGUGUGGGUCAAUUGAUUGAAUCUGGCUAUUCAAUAGUCUUUAAUGAUGGAGUGUGUGACAUUAAAGAUAAAAAUGGAGUACUUUUACUUUCUGCAAAAAUGAUGAACCGAAGUUUUAAUGUUAACUGGAAGGAAGUUUGUUUGAGUGCCAAUACCUAUGAGAACAAUGAAUCUGUUCUUUGGCACAAAAGGUUGGGACACUUCAAUUAUGCAACUCUAAAAAGAAUGGCUGACUAGCAGAUGACUCACGGGUUACCAGAUAUUCAAGAACAACAAAUUAUGUGUGAAGCUUGUCAGCUGGGAAAACAAACCAGAACUGUUUUUCCUGACAAUGCAUAUAGGGCAGUGUCUAAACUCCAGCUUGUACACACAGAUGUGUGUGGACCUAUGCACAAUGAAUCAUUAAAUGGUUCAAAAUACUUUCUUCUAUUUAUUGAUGAUUUUAGUAGGUACUGCUGGGUUUACUUUCUAAAAUCCAAAGCUGAUGUGUUUGCUGAGUUUGUUAAGUUCAAGGCAGCAGUUGAACUAGAAACAUGAAACAAAUUGAAGAUAUUGAGAUCUGACAAUGGAGGAGAGUAUACCUCUCGACAAUUUGAAGAAUACCUUGCUAAAGAAGUGAUUAAACACCAGCUGACUGUUCCCUACACACCACAGCAGAAUGGUGUCAGUGAAAGAAGAAACCGAACAUUGAUGGAGAUGGCAAGAUGCUUGCUAUAUGAGAAGAAGCUGCCAUUGAAUUUCUGGGCAGAAGCAGUAAACACAACAUCAUAUCUUAUAAACCGAAUGGCUUCAAGAGUUUUAGCAGAUAAAACUCCUUAUGAACUCUGGUAUGGUUUUAAACCUAGUAUUGAUCAUUUAAAGGUGUUUGGUAGUAUUUGUUAUGUUUUGAAACCUGAAGUUAGAAGAAGAAAACUUGAUCAAAAGGCUGAUAUAGGGAUCUUUAUAGGCUAUAGUACAACAUCUAAGGCUUAUAAAGUUUAUGAUGGCUAUAGAAAUGUCAAAGUUGUAGAAAAUGCUACUUGGGAUUGGAAAAAUUCAUCAGGUGAAGGAUCAAAACAGAUACAACAAGAUGAUUUGGAUGUUGCAAACAUGAUUGAUCAACAAACAGAUGUUGCUGGGAAUAUUGAGCAACAAACUGAGUGGGAUGCUGCAGAGAAUAUUGAUGAUCAACCAGUAAAGGGGACAAGAUCUCUAUCAGAUAUCUAUAGCAGGUGCAAUGUAGCUGAGGCAGAACCUGUAGAUGUUGAAGAAGCUAUGAAUUCUCAAGUUUGGAUAGCAGCAAUGAAGGAGGAGCUUGCAAUGAUAGACAAAAAUCAAACAUUGAUGCUAGUUGACAGACCAACUCAUAAGAAGGUAAUUGGAGUGAAAUGGAUUUUCAAAACAAAAUUAAAUGCAGAUGGUAAGAUCAACAAGCAUAAAGCCAGACUUGUAGUGAAAGGAUAUUCACAAGAGGCAGGGAUCGACUUCACAGAAACUUUUGCUCCAGUUUCCAGACAUGAAACAAUGAAGCUCCUACUUGCUCUAGCAGCACAAAACGGUUGGUAUAUACUUCAAUUGGAUGUUAAAUCUGCAUUUUUGAAUGGUGUGCUAAAUGAAGAGAUUUAUGUUGAGCAACCUGCUGGUUUUGAAAAAUCAAAUUCAACAAACAAAGUUUAUUUACUGAAGAAGGCAUUGUAUGGAUUGAAACAAGCUCCUAGAGCUUGGUAUAGCAGGUUGGAUAAUCAUCUUUUAAGCUUGGGAUUUAACAGGAGCAUGAAUGAGGUAACUUUAUAUGUGAAGCAUGCUGAAGGACAUAAACUCAUUGUAUCAGUUUAUGUUGAUGAUUUGCUAAUCACAGGGGACAAGGAGCAGCUUGUAGAGGAAUUCAAAACCAAUAUGAAAGACGUGUUUGAGAUGAAAGAACUUGGUUUGUUGACAUAUUUUUUAGGAAUGGAAGUAACUCAGUCUGAUCAAGGUUACUUUCUUUGUCAAAAACGUUUUUCCUUGAAAAUACUGGACAAUUUUGCAAUGAGCAAAUGCAAGCCAGUAAGCACACCUAUGAUACAGGGGCUGAAGCUAAUGAAAGAAGAUGGAUCUCCAAAAGCUGAUGGGAAAGUUUACAGGAGUCUAAUUGGGAGUUUGCUAUAUUUAACAGCCACACGUCCUGACAUUCAAUUUGCUGUGAAUUAUCUUUCCAGGUUCAUGCAAGAGCCAAGUCAAAACCACUUUGUGGUAGCUAAGAGAGUAUUAAGAUAUUUGAGAGGGACUGCAGGUUUUGGCAUACAUUUUGUGAAGUUCAGCUCAAUCAAUCUUGUUGGAUUUUCAGACAGUGACUGGGGAGGAAGUGAUGAAGGAAUGAUGAGUACUUCAGGUUACUGUUUUGCUGUGGGAAAGAGUGUGUUUUGCUGGAAUUCAAAGAAACAAUCGGUGGUGGCACAUUCUACAGCAGAGGCUGAAUAUAUAGCUGCUUAUGUAGCAGCAAAACAACUUAUAUGACUGAGGAAAAUGCUAAGUGACUUAGAUUGCAAUCAACAAAAUCCCACAACAUUGUUUUGUGACAACACAUCAGCUAUAGCUAUUUCUAAAAAUUCUGUUUUUCAUGAUAGAACCAAGCACAUGAAGAUCAAAUUUCAUGCAAUCAGGCAGUUUCAGCAAGAAGGAGAAUUGGAACUAUGCUACUGCACUUCUGAAGAUCAACUAGCAUAUUUUUUCACCAAACCGUUGGCUAAAACCAGGUUUGAAGAUCUGAGGGCAAGAAUUGGAAUGACUAGCUUUGGAACCAAGGAGGAGUGUUGAAGUUUGGUACCUAAGCUAGAACAGGAUUACUUAGCAGUAAUCUACUGCAUGAUUAUCUAGUUGUUAGCUGAGAUUACUAUCUAGAUUAGGAUAUGUUUUUGAAUUCUUUUGUUGAGUUUAUCUAGGAUUAAACUAACUUAUAAACAUCUCCUUAAACAAAAGAGAAGUUGGCUGGUACGUUUCUAGAGUUUGUUUUUCUUUGUAAUUCUGUUUUCUUUUCCUAUAAAUAAAAGGGCAUGGGAUGGAAGUAACCAAUAACUCAAUUCUGCUCUUUGUUCUUUAUACUUAAAUACUAAGUUCUGUGUUCUUUCUUUUGUUCUUUCUAUCGUGGACUUAGUUCUUUGUUCUUUUCUCUUUUAUCAGCAAACAUAAGGUUGUUCUUUAUAUUUCUACACUAAAAGAGAGGCAAGAAAUCAAGUCAAAUCAGCAGCACCUCUGAUUCAGCACCCAUUGAACCAUUUGAUGUAGUAGCAUGUUUUGUGAUCAGCUUUGGGCAUUGACGCAUCUCCAACUUCUCCAAACGAGGGAAUAAGAAAUCAUAACAUCCAGGAAUGAAGCAUGCAAUACUUGGUAAUUGUUGAAGCGACAACUCCUGCAGAUUAGGGAGCACCAUCUCCUUCUCAACAUUGACAGGCGAAGCAUGAUCAUCCUGCCCAAAUACUCCCAAUAAUUGAGAGGAUUCUCUUAUUUCAAGUAUUUGGAGCUUUGGGAGACCUGAAGCCAUGGCUAUUGGGAAGAGACUCUUCAACUUGUUGCAUCUUUUGAUUUUAAGUUGACACAAAUUAGGGAAGCAUAAAGAUUGGAGAUCACUUCUUGACAAUAUCCGGUCCUUUUCAUCAUCAUUAUCCUUUGCAAUGAUUUGCUCCAAUUCCUCACACUUUGAUAUCUUUAGAACUUUCAGUUGAACUAGACUAGCAGUCAUGUUGUCUGUGAAUGCAUAUGUCAGUCUCCUACACUCUUUUACCUUCAAAGUAGUCAAAUUGCUCGGCACGAGACCCUCCCAUAUACACCUCAUGUCAGGCAAUAAGCUCAAGUGUAAUGUUUCCAAACUCACGAGUGAAAGUUCAUGCCCACCUCUUCUAUUAGUUACCAAACGUCCAACUUGCAUUAAAUCUUGUACUCUUUCCAUGUUUCCAAUAUAUAAUUCUCUCAAAUUCAUAAACCCCUGCAUCAAAAGAAAACAAGGGUACCAAUAUGUUAGAUUUAAUUCCUAGUAAUUAUUAUUGUGCACUUUUGAAACUAAACAAGAGGCAAGAAAUCAAGUCAAAUCAGCAGCACCUCUGAUUGAGCACUCAUUGAACCAUUUGUUGUAGUAGUAAAUUUUGUAGUCAGCUUUGGACAUUCAUACACCUUCAACGUCUCCAGACGAGGGAAUAAGAAAUCAUGACAUCCAAGACUAAAGCAGGCAAUACUUGGUAAUUGUAUAAGCAACAGCUCCUGCAGAUCAGGGAGCACCAUCUCCUUCUCAACAUUGACAGGUGAAACAUGAUCAUCCUGUCCAAAUACUCCCAAUAAUUGAGAGGAUUCUCUUACUUCAAGUAGUUGGAGCUUUUUGAGACCUAAAGCCAUGGCUAUUGGGAAGAGACUCUUCAACUUGUUGCAUUCUUUGAUUUCAAUUCGACACAAGUUGGGGAAGCAUGAAGAUUGAAGAUCACUUCCUGCCAAUAUCUGAUCCUUUUCAUCAUCAUUAUCCUUAGCAAUGAUUUGCUCCAAUUCAUCACAAGUUGAUAUCUCUAGAACUUCUAGUUGAACUAGACUAGCAAUCACGUUGUCUAUGAAUACAUAUGUCAGUCUCUUACACUUAUACACCACCAAAGAAGUCAAAUGGCUCAGCACCAGACCCUUCCAUAUACACCUCAUGUUAGGCAAAGGCAUGUAGACCAACUCUAAUGUUUCCAAACUUGUUAACCCCUGCAUCAAAAGAAAAUAAGAGUACCAAUUUGUUAGAUAUAAUGCCUAGUAAUUUUUGUGCACUUUGGAACUGUUAAUUUUGGUAAAUAGAAGAACCAAUUGUCCCCAAUACUUUAGCCAAAUACUUAUCAGCAAAAAGACAUAAAUAGAUAGGGCACUAGAAAUAGACAACUGAAACAGACAACUUAAUAUUCUAAUGUGGAGCUUUAUCGUCCUGUCCAGAUACUUCCAUUAAUUGGCGGAAAAGCCUCAAUUUCACUCAAAUUGGGAAAGCAUAAUGAUUGAAAUUAAAGGUCUCAUUUCAUUACAAUAAUUAUUUUCUAACUUUUUAAGCCCUGCAUCAAGAGACAGAGAAUGAUAUACUGAGACGACUACUUUUAAAUUCAAUGAAUAGCUAAAGUAUUUAAUAGCAUUUAUCAAUUACUUUAGUUUUAGAAAUUUGGUGGAAGAAAGAAGAAAUUAUCACAAUGUGUUGAAGUUGACAAUUUAAAUUAGAAAAGGAAAAAAAUUAGUGUAGAAAUAUAAAGGACGUACUUGGAGCUGUGCCAACAAAUUAUCCAAUUCUUCGUGGCCAUAGAUUCUUAGAUUUUGCAAAGAAGGCAAUUGGGCAGCAAAAUUCUUUGGAGCAAAGAAGCUGCAAUUUGAUAUGGAAAAAAGAGACAAUUUUCUUAGCUGAGGGAAGUUGAUGAUGUCAUCUGUGGUGAGUGCAUCUCCUUUUCCCCUGUAAAAUAUUUGCUUUAAAUUGCCAGCAUCUCUAAUCAUUAUCUCUUCCAGGUUCCCAAGACUUGGAGACACACAGUCAGGGAAGACAUGUUCCAAUUUACCACAUUCAGAUAUGAAGAUAGUUUUUAAUUUUGGGAAGCGAAGAGGCUCUGAAAUUAUUUCCCUUUCAUCAUCUUCUUCUCUGAUAAUAUGCUUCAAUUCACCGCAACUGAGUAUCAGUAAUUUUUCUAGAUGAAAAAGACUCUGAGCGAGGGACGGUGUGAAAAUAAAUGUCAGUUUGUGAAGAGAUUGCAACUCCAGAUGAAUAAGACUUUUAAGGCUGACAUGUCUGGUGGGCCCCUUCCAUAUACAUUUGAGCUCAGGUAACCAUUGCAGAUGUAACCUUGUUAAAGAUGACAGCAGCGGCAGCUCCUUCUCCUCGUUAAUUCCUUCAUCAGCCACACCCAAUUCAAAUACCUCUUCCAAUGAUUGGCAGUCUUCAUUUUGCUGGAAACAGAGUGCGAAUAUCCCCACAUCCAUUCACUUCAACAUGUUCUAAUCUUUUUAACAACUGCUCAAAUGUCUUUGCAUUUAAGGAUGUGGCGCUUGUCUUAUCCAAAUAUAAUACUGUCGAGGUUGGGUAUAUUGUUACUGGUACUUGUAACCCAUCCCCUAAUAGUAUAUCAUAUUUGAGCAAGCUGGGAAAAACAAAAUCUCUGGGAAUGCGUUCAACCUUCGGUAUCUUCAAUGAUAAUACAGCUAAAUGAGACAGCGAAUUUAGUUCUGUUAGACUUGCAUUCAUUCCUCCUGCGCUUGUCCCAACAACAUCCCAUGCCGUGAAGCUGUGAUGCCCGAUCAGCAGUUCUUCUAACAUCUUCAACCUUCCAAUCAAAUUCACAGGAAUCCUUGCUAGGUAUAUACAACCUGUCAAAUCCAACAACCUUAAGUCUUUGAGCUCCCCAAUUUCAUCAGGUAAUUCUUUAAUGGAGUCGCACCACAUGAAAACAAGAAUCUUAAGUCUUUGCAGCUUUCUCAACCGAAUGAGGUCCUUGCAUUCACACCCGAUCAACAGCAACGCUUGAAGGUUCGUUGAGAGUUCAAGUGAUUGCAAUGACAAACACCCUCCCUUUAGAGACAAAACUUCAAUUGCUUUCAUCCCUUCAAAAAACCUCUUUGGAACAUUCAAACCAUCAUCCAGUCCUAAUAAUAGAAUUUUGAGCCGUGGACACACCAACCCCUCAGGAAGUUCUGUUAGUUUAUUGCCCAUUAACGAAAUUGUUGUACAGGCUUCAAAGCUUUUAUUGCUCAUUGGCCACUCCUUCAACCCACUGCCAGCCUCUACCAUGAAUCCAUAUUCUUCUGAUGAUGCUAUCUGAAUAGCAACAUCACGAAACAAGUCAUGUAUUUUCACAUGUUCUGCAGUUUCAGUGCCCAACAACAUACAACAAGCUUUGAGGUAUUCGAUUUCCAUAUAAACUCGUUUCCUUGCACCUUCAAUGGACUUCACAUCUUGAUUUAACCCGUAGCCAACUGCAUAUCUCGUCAACUCCUCGAUUGGAAUGUCAUAAUCUUCUGGAAAUAAACAGCAUAUGCAUUUCUUCGGUCAUCAAAUUUUUCCAUGUGCCGAGAUUGAGAUUUUUUGAGUUCUUCAGAUGCUACUUCCCACUCAUUUUUAGAUUUAUCUAUUAGAGCCUUUCCCACUGCCACAAGUGCUAUAGGCAAGCCUUGGCAUUCUCUCGCAACCUCCUUUGCCACUCUGUUCAAGUCAGAGUCCUCAUCACGUAAACCUGCAUUGAUUUUGAAUAAAGUCCAUGCUUCAUUUUCAGAUAGGACUCUUAAAAACACUUUUUCCUGGCAAUCCAUAGAAGAACAUAUGUUUUCAAGACGUGUUGUUAGAAGAAUUUUACAACCCCUGUGAGCAUCACCAAAUGGGAUCCCUAUCUCUUUUAAGUUAAUAACUUUCCAAACAUCAUCCAGGACUAUAAGCAUCUUCUUCUCUGUCUUCAGUCUCUGCCAUAAUCGAUCUGCUCUCCCUUCUUUGGUCUUUUCGUCAAAAUGUAGACCUAAGCGAUCUGCCAUUCGAUCCUGAAUGUCUAUGACAUUUGGAUUCUGGGACAGUGUAGCCAUCAAAACUUCAUCCAACAGCUGCAACUCUUUGGCUCUCCUACCUACUUCUUUCCUAGGGUGGUUUUACCCACCCCUCCCAUGCCGUAUAGUCCGAUCAUAUUGGCAGUGUUAUCUUUGAGAGCUUUCAUAAUUUGUUCGAAAGCUUCUUUUGAGGAUUUCGAGGGUGUGAAUCCCUCUGAUGGAAGAAAUUCUAUGUCUUGAAGAGGUGCUUUGUGGGACACUUUUGGAAACUUUCUGCUAUUCCCUUCAAGUUUUCUCAAAGUCUCCGUCUUCUUUGCCAGUGCCUUGCUUAACUUGAAUUGUCGCAUCCAAUUUGGACACCAAGUAAAGCAUUUGCCAUUUUUUCCCUUUUCAUUUUCCAAACGAUUCACACCUUCAAUUUCGUUUUUUGCAUCUUCCAGCCAUUUGUUGACAUCAAUCUCAAUUUCUUCAGCAUUCCUUUUAGCAACGUCGACAGCAUCUUGCAGACGAUAAAGUGCCAAAGCCAGGCUCAUCAUUUGUUCAUUGACUUCUUGAACAAAAUUGUUGAAACAGAACAUGUAACGGAACUGCCUUAUUGCUGGUUCCACCAAGAGUUCUGCUAUCUUAGAUACAAUGGAUCCACCAGCACUUUCGAUAGCCAUUUUCCCUUAAUUUGUGAAAAUAUAUGCGGAAAGCUCUGGUACUGACUGCUCAAUAAUAAAAUAUAGAGGAACAAAAGGAAAAAGGCCUUUAGCUCUGUAUGGAAGCCAGCUUCAAAAGCAACAAGACAAGGUAAAAGUAGAACGAUAAACAAUUAAUCCCUUGUCCUAACACAACAAUUAUUUACACAAUAGUUCAUAGAUCAUUGUAAUCCCUUUGUCCCCUCAUCAAUAUAUCUAUCCACGCCAUGUGUUAAAAUUCACACUUACCCUAACAAUUAUUUACACACUAGUUCAUAGAUCUCUGUGCCUUUCCAUAAAAAAAGAUAGAAAUACAUUUUUUUUUCUCAAAACCAAUAAAAAUAUUUAUAAAAGAAUUUCAUUAGUGAAAGAUAGCAUAUCAUCAAUCUAAUGAAAAUAUUUAUAAAAGAACGACUUUACGUUAAAAAGAGGAGAAGUAUUAAAACAAAAUAGUUUACAUGGAUUCUAACUUGCGAGUUAGAGCAGCAAUUCCCAUAAACAAAUGCAAUUUGAUGACAUAAUUAAGAUACUAGGCAUAAUAUUAUAUAAAGAUAAUGAUAAACAAAUAGAAUAAUAAUUCUUACAAGUACUCACCUAGCAAAGAGAGAAAUGAAUGGAAGGUUGAUGAUGAUCACUUUGACACGAUACUACCUCCUCAUCGCUUCCAAUAAUUAAUCUAUAAGCUAUGAUCGGUCAAUGUUUUUUUCUUUUGUUUUUUUUUUUGUAAAAUUAUGAAUAAGGAGAUAAAAAAAGACUUGCAAGGAAGUAUAAUUAAUGGAACGAACUCAACAAAAUCUGUAAUGACUAUCUCUGCAACACCCACUCAAGAAAGUAAAAAGAAAAAGGAAGGAAAGAAACAAAGAUUGAAGGUCAACCACGGUUCUUUUUUCAAUGUUCAAGAAAACAAAGAAACGUAAAACAGGAGUUUUUUAAAACCCAGCUAAGUAUAUGGCUUAUUAUAUUAUGAAAUUUUUUGUUAAUUAAGAUUAUAUAACAGUUGAGUUGUAGAGCUGUAACUAAAAUUUUGUGUUAUAUGUAAAUUUUUGCAGAAUUGAAAAAUUUAUGAAAAUAUUGCUUAUACAAACAGAUUUGUACCCUAUAAAUAUAUACUCUUAAACCCAUAUUUGAAUUCUAUAUUCCUAAAUGAAGGAACAAUAAAGAUUAUUGCAUGUACAUAUUCUCCUUCAAAAAACAAAUAAUAAAGUCCUAUAUGUCAAUGAAGAUUUAAUUAUAACUUAGCGCUGUUAUUAAAAUUAAUUAUUUAAUCCUUGUAGUACUAUCAUAUAUAAUUAAACAUCUCAUUAACUAGUGUUAACCACCCUCAAUUUACUAUAUAUAUAAAAUACCUUCCUUCCUUAUGAAAUUUCCCCAACUGCCUGCUUCUCUUUUCCUUUUUUCUAUUUUUCAAGAAGGAAGAAAAAAAAAAUACUUGGAAAGGAACUUGAAAUUGACAGUACUAAACUAUAUAUAACUAAAAAUAUAAGAAUCAAACAUAUAGUUAUUGAAAUUAUGGAAUUGAUUAAUUAGUUUUUAUCAAGACUAAAUUAUUAUUUGUUAAGUGUGCUUUCUAAUAAAAAAAUUAAAUCGAGUAAGGGUUAACUCGAUAUGACCCGGUCAACUUAACAGGUCUAAAAAUAAAUUAGACAACCAUUUAAAAUAUAGUUUGACUAAAUAAAUUCAAGAGAAGAUGUUUUUUUAAAAAAAUAUUGAGACAAAAAUAUAUUGGAUCGACUUAGGUUAACUCGGGUUAACUUGCCAAAUCCACAACUCAGAUCAUGAGACCGGGAUAACCUCAUAAAAAGUAAAUCAAAACCAAAUAUGAAACUCAAUCCCUAAUUAAAUCAAUGUUGAAGGAUGAAAUUAAAAAAAAAACAAUUAAAAAAGAGACAAAAAAACUGGGUCAUGUGACUGAAAUAACUCCAUAGAAUGCAAUUGAAACAAAUUAUGAAACUUAAUCCCCAAUUAAUCAAAUGUUGAAGGAUGAAAUUGAAAAAAAUAUUAAUUAAAAAAUGACAAAAAAAGACCGGAGGCAACCCAAGUUAAUCUGGCAAACUUGUAACCCAAGUAAUGAGAUUGGAAUAACCUCAUAAAAAGAAAUAAAAUAAGAUAAAUAUGACAUCUGAUUCCAAACCAAUCAAAUAUUGAAAGAUGAAAUUGAAAAAAAUAUCAAUUAAAAAAUGAUAAAAAAAAAAGAAUCGAGGCAACCCAAGUUGAUAUGGCAAACUCGUAACCCAAGUUAUGAGAUUGGAAUAACUUCAUAGAAAGAAAUAAAAUAAGAUAAAAUAUGACAUCUGAUUCCAAACCAACCAAAUAUUGAAAGAUAAAAUUGAGAAAAAAAAAAGCCAACUAAAAAAUGGACAAAAAAAAGCUGAGUUAACCCGCGACUCAGGAUAAGCAAAUCCAACGUUGAAGAAUAAAAUUAACAAAGAUAAGAGAGAGAGAGAGAGAGAGAGAGAGAGACUAGAUUCAACUCAGGUUAACUCGCUAAACUUGUGACCUGGGUAAUGAGAUUCGGAUAACUAUAUAGAAAGUAAACAAAAAAAAAUAACGUGAGUCAACUUAGGUUAAACUGUCAAACUCGCGACCAAGGUCAUGAAUUGUGAUAAUCCUAUAGAAAGUAAAUUAAAAUAAAUUAUGAAGCUCAAUUUUUAAUAAACUUAUUGUGAAAGGUUGAAAUUAAAAAAAAAUCAAUCGAAAAACAUUAUACAAUAAGAAGACUUGAGCCUACAUGGCUUAACUCGCAAAACACUUGACCUGAGUCAUAAAACCAAGAUAACCUCAUAGAAAACAAACCAAAAUAAAUCAUGAAGCCUAAUUUAUAAUCAACUCAAUGUUGAAUGAUGAAAUUGAAAAAAAUACCAAUUAAAAAAGACAAAAAAAAAAUCUAACCCAUCAAACUCGUAAUACGAUUUAUGAAACUGAGCUAAUCAUGUAUAAAGCAAACCACGAUAAAUUAUUCAGCUCAAUCUUCAAUAAACUAAAUGUUGAAGUAUGAAAUUAGAAAAAAAAAACAAAAAAAAACACUAUUAAAAUGAAUAGUGUUUUGUGAGGUGGUAAAUAGUAAUUAAAUUCACCUCCUCUUUUGGUUUAUAGUGUAAAGAGACUGGGCUAACCAUAUAUAAAGUAAACCAUAAUAAAUUAUGAAACUCAAUCUCUAAUAAACUAAAAGUUGAAGUAUGAAAUUAGAGAAAAAAAUAUAGAUUUAGAAAAAGAGAAAACCAAGUAAAAAAACACACUAUUGACGAUACAAUUUCUUUUAAAAUUUAAGAUUUUGGUCAUUGACUUGAGAUAAAAAAAUAUUAAAAAGAAAUGAAAAAAAAAGACCUGGGUCAAACUUGGUAAACCUGUUGAAUCCAUGAUCUGAGACAUAAUAUCAUGAUAACUCUAUAGAAAAAAAUAAAAAUAAAUAAAGAAUACCAAUUUAAAAAUAAUAAUAAUAAAAAAUUCUUUUAAUUUUAAAAAAAUUCCUUUUAAAGAAGCGAAAUUUAACAAAGACCGGAAAAAGAACUCUGAGGCAGCCCUUGUUAUUUUAAAAAGAAAGAUAGAUACUAUAGAAAGAGAGUAAAAAAGAAUGUUAAAGGUUGAAAUAUGAAAAAAAAAAGUGCUAAAAAAAAGAAACAAAAACCAAAGAAGCCCGAGUGAACCUUGUAAACUCGGGAUAAACUCUUAAAUCCGCAAUCCAUUAAUUUCUUGACCUGGGCUCAAUGCAGGAGCUCAACACCUAAAAAAUUAAAUAUUCAAGGAUGAAAUCAAUCAAUUUAAUUCAAUUUAAAAAUAAAAUUUCUUCAUAAAAACUAAAUUUAACAAAAACAAACCAAGGCAACCUGUGUUAUUUUCAAAAAGACUAAAAAAAUACCAUAUAAAGUGAAUUAAAAAAUAAUAAAAUGCUGGAGGAUGGAAAAAAGGAAAAAAAACAGGGGUCAAUAUUUUAAACCCGCAAACCAUUAAAUUCUAGACCCGGACUCAACUAAAAAGCUAAAGACCCAGCUAAUUAAAUUUUAGAGGAUGAAAUAAUAAAAAAAUCAAUCUAAAAAAAAUCUUGCAAGGUAAAAAAAAAUACAAUAAUAAAAAAGGAUUAGAUUUGACAAGAAAAAAACUAAAGAAUAAUGAAAUUUUAAAAAUAAAAACAAUUAUAAAAACCAUCUAAAAUUGAAAACAAUUUUUAAUUUGAUAAACUAUUUUAAAUAUAAAAAAAUCCAGCAAAGAGAACAAGGAUAAAAUUGAAAAAACCACAUAAGUUCAUAAAGUAUUCUAAAUUUAAAAAAUUGUAAUAAAGAUAAUAGGGAUGAAAUCAUAAAUACAACAAACUUUAGGGACUGAUUGAUUUUUUAAUUCCAACAUGAAAAUUGAGUAGGAGAGAGGGGAAAAGAAAAAAAAAAGGCUACACAUGCCACACUAGCUGCUAUAGUGCUACAUGCGCCGCUGAUUCAUGGAGGGUACAUCAAGAUCCUUUAGAAGACGCCUUGGAAUCAUGGUUUUGGCUAUCGGAUGGCGUCGCACACGCCGUUUGAAGAUGGCAAACAUUGUUCACCCAUUUUUUUUAAUUUCAUUUCCUUAUUUAUCAAAUUAUAUUAUUGUCUCCAAUGACACCCAAUAACUACCAAAUGACCACUUCUAAAUGACAAAACAAGCCUUAGUGUCAGACAAUUGUUUUAAAUUUUCAAGAGCAAUGAAGGAACUUGUUGAAAAAUCAUGUCAAGGACUAAAAAGACCCUAGACCCAAGUGAUUUUUUUUUUGUUUUCCAAGGAUAAUUAAUAAAUCAUAUUGUGCAAAGAAAAUGCAAAAAUACCAUCUAAUCCCUCUCUUUUAAGUAAUGACCAAUGUGUCCCAUGAAAAAGAUCAGCAUGCCCCUAGAUCCAAGGCAUGCUACUUUGCCCAUCAAAAGGUAAAAUCAACCUUUUACCAUGUGAAUCUACAGUAAAAGGCUGAUCUUUUUUAAUAUAGAGUAUAAUAUCAAGGAAAAACUCUUUUUUUUUUCUUUUUCUAAACAAGAGUAAUUGAAUUCUAGCUUAACAAAAACACCGAACUUAUUUACUCGAUUGAGAGCCUUUAUCGGAUAAGCCAUUAAGCUGCUAAGUACUUGUUAGGCUUUUACAAAGACAUAUUGAGUGCAUUGUUUUAAAACCUGACAUAGGUUGACUCAUGAUUUAGGUAAUUUGGGGUUUAAGUCGGGCUAAGUUUAAUUCAAUAAAAAUAGAAAAAAAAAUUAAUCUCGUGUUAACUCGAUUAAAAACUCGAGGUGACCCGAUCAUUCUAGAAAAACUCAAUCAAAACUUAUUUAUGAAUACACCUGUUUGAGUAUCAAUGACAUAAUCUAAAUCCUAAUCAAGUAUAGGUCCGAAUUCUUUGUACGUUGUCUAAAUUUGAAAAGGAGUUUCAAUUCAUUUAAUAACAUAUAUACAUGGUUCAACUGUUGGAUCGUUUGUGUUUAUUAAUAAGAAGCUUAUGCUGUAUAGGACAUUGCCAAUUUUAUGGGUAAGAAUAUGAAGCAUACUAUAAGCUAAAUUUAAGUUAUAUAGGGUAUUAAUUACUUUUAUAAUUUGAUGUAAGUUAUUUUUCAAUUGUUUACUUAAAAAAAAUUAUAAGUAUGUUUAGUUGGAAAUCAGAAGGUUAUUCCAAAUUUGAAUAAAAAAGUUAAUAUUUUUUAACUUUUAACCUAUCAGUUAUAACUCAUGUUACAUUUUUCAUUAAAACAAGUUAAUUUAAAUCAUUUUUACCAAACAUCUUUAUAACUUGAAGUUAUUUUUUUUCAUAAGUUAUUUAUGAAAAAUAAUUUUUGGAUUAUGACAUAAACCAAAAAAAAAAUCAUAAUUUAAAAAUCUUACCGAACAGACUUCUUAUUUCCAACACAGAACAAAAUGCUUAUGAAAAAAACCAAUAGCAUGAAGAGAGAUAGGGACUAGUAAUAAGCUGGUUGGGGGGUGUGAUUAGUACUUAAAAGUGUAUUUUUAUCAAGGUUUUAUAUCAUCACUUUGCACUUAAAGUAUCAAUAACUCCUUAACUAGAGCAUGUUUUAUAAUAACAAGUCUGAUAAUAUAAGAUACCUUUAAUUUAUGGUAAAUGCUCAUUUUAAACGCAGGCAUAUCUCACAAUUCAAAGGAUUGAUUGUUGUGAUUAACUAUUGAAAGUGAAAGGACAAAGAAAAGGCUAAGCUGAGAAAGGAGAUGCCGAUAGGCUAAGCUUAGAAAGGAGAUGUCGAUUCAAUUAAAAUUCGAACAUUGUUCAGUCAUUUGGUAAUAUCUAGAGCUAUAGAUCUUGGAUUUCAGUUUGGUUUAUAUGGCUGGAAAGAUAGAAAUAGGCCUACAACUUUCAUGAAUAGGGAAAGACCCAAAUUUUCCGUUUUCAAAUUCAAAGUUUGGCCACAAAAGAGAAGUCAGAAUCUGUCCUGCAAUCCAGCCUAGACAAUGCUCAGAAUUUUACCCAUAGCUGGAGUUCUAGAAGGCCAAAUAAAGUGAAAUUUGGUGGGUGGAAGGAAAAGACAAUUUCAAAUAACUUUCAUGAGGAAAACCUGCUCAAAGUCUAAUGGUAGAAAUGACAUUUCAUCCAGACAAGAGCUUGAGGGCUAUUCACCACGUCCACCAGCAGCACUACUCUGUAUUUUAGACAUAUCUUGAGCUGUAAUGUUCCAAAUGCUCUGAUAUUUGGUGGGUGGAAGGAUAAGAUGAUUUACAACAACUUUUAUGAAGAAUACCGUGCCAAAUUCUGAUUGCAUCAAUGCCAUUUCAUCCAACCAAAAUGCUUGAGUGCUGCUGUCCACCAAGUCCACUAAAUCAAUAGUUGGCCACUACAUCAAUAAUCAAUUACCAAAUGAAUAGUUCUGAAUUUUAGCCUAUAAAAGGAGAUAUUUGCCAUUCAUUUAAGCAUCUUGGUUUUCAGAUCAAGAUCAUGUUCUUGCUCUCUUUGUAUUUUGUAGUGUUCAAGUUUUAUUCCAUGUUAUAUUUUCCUUAAUCUCUUGUUUAUGCUUUUCAUUUCCUUUACUAUACUUAUAUAAUUAUGUUCUUAUUUUGUUUAUUUAUUUCUUCUUCAUAAUGUCUAGCUAAGUUAAUUAUGUCAAGGUGAAAAGGUUUCAGUAAUGGUGUUAGGAUAAGUAUAAUAUAAACUCAAUAUGGACUUUAAUGCUUAUAUCCUAAACAACUUGCUAUUAACAUGUCUUAUCAUUUGUAUCUUAUUAAUUAUUAAUACCUUGCUUGUUAAAUGGUUAAUCGAGAUUUGUGUUGUAUAACACCUGGUACAUCAAAUGCUUGAUCCUUCAUAGUCUUCGGCCAACAUCGUUGUUAUGAGAGGAACUUGAUUUGUUGUCAACAUAAGUUAGCAUCAUAAAUAUCUAAUAAAAUUUAUAAGUAUAGUGUUAUGUAAAUAAGAUGAUUAAUAUGAUCAUGUUGAUAAUUUAUAAAGAGUUUAUACUUUACUUAUCUUUAAUACUAUUACUGGAUCCUCUAACCUUGAUAUUUGUUUUUAUCAUUGUUUAAACCUCAUAUUAAUCUUACAUCUCAAAGUCAUCUUUAACUCAUCAUCACCACCAUCAUCAUCAUUGUUGUUCUUAUUAUUAUUAUUAUUAUAAAUUAUUUAUAAUUUAUAUAGUUAACCUCCCUGUGGUUCGACCCCGGUCUUGCCGGGUUAUUUAUUACUUUGAUACUCCUGCACUUGGGAUAAGACAUCAACUCUUUGAUUGUAUCAAAUUGUCAUGACCAAAAAUGGUCACACUCAGAUAACCGGAUACAGUGAUUCAGAUUGGGUUGGCAAUGCUAUUGAUCGCAAGUCAACCAUUGGCUAUUGUAUGUUUGUUGGUGGUAAUCUUGUCUCUUAGCGUAGCAAGAAACAACAUGCCAUUGCACGUUCUAGUGUCGAAGCUGAAUAUUGUGUCAUGGCAUCAGCUGCUUGUGAGUUAAUUUGGCUUAAAGGUCUCCUAUCUGAACUGGGUUUUAUAAGUAGCAUCCUUAUGACCUUGUUUUUUGACAACCAAGCUGCCAUGCAUAUUGCAGCCAAUCCUGUGUUUCACGAAAGAACAAAACAAAUUGAAGUUGAUUGUCAUUUUAUUCGUCAACAAGUUCAGUCUCAGAUUAUCCAAACUCAUUACGUCCGCAGUCAUGAUCAACUAGCUGAUGUGUUCACAAAAUCCCUGACCUCUGCUCAUUUUCACCUACUGUUGUCCAAGCUUGGAUCAAUUAAUCCCCUUGAUCCAGCUUGAGGGAGAGUAUUGGAAGAAGGUUAAAUAUUAGCCGAUUCUUUAGCAACAGUUGAUACGUAAAUGAUUAAUUAUAACAAUGCUUUUAGGAGAAAGAUAUGCAGUCCUUAUAAGAUAAAGAUUGUCUGUUAGAUUGUUAGUUUUCUUUAUAAUCAUAGACUUCUAUUCCACUUUUACUCACGCCUCUGCUGCGUUGUCUAUAUAUAUAUAUAUAUGAUACAUUACAUAAUAAAGAUUACACUGCAUUCCAAAGCAGCAGCUCUGUUCUCAAUAUUGUUGAUUCUCUAUUCUUUCUUUUCUUCAUUUCAAGAAUUCAAGUACACAGGACUUGACUAGUUCUCCUCUUUUAGGAAUCUUGAAACAUGAUUACAGAAUCAAAGUGAAGCAUUGAGGUCAAUUCUGGGCUUCUUUGUAACUAAUGGAGAUGGAACAGUGAAGUUGCAACUAGGGCACUUGGGAUUUGUCUUCAAUGUAAUCACAUAUAGCAAGCAACCAGGGCAAGCAGCAGCAAAUACUCCUGUUGAAGAGAAUGUAGUGCUAAUCUCAUCUUCUUUAAUGUCACUGGCUGGUGGGGUUGGUGGUGGUCUCUCUCUGCUCUUUGCAAAGCAGAAUUAACCUUAUCAAGAGUGCAAACACUUUCACAAUGACUUGAAGGUACAAGUUUUAAUUCCAAGCAGCUUUCUUCCAAGAACCUCAAUGGCGGAGACUUGGAAUCUUGAACCUCUGAUUCUUGGGUGGUUCUCUGUUUGUGAUGAUGCUUCGUGAUGUUAAGGGAUGGUAAUGACGAGCUUACAGAAUUGCAUCUCUGCGAGUAUACCUUCUCUGUAGACUGCAAGAACAUCCCAAUUCAUCAACAAUAUUAUUUGACUACAGCCAAAAACAAGAACACUCAGUUCUUCUACACUAAAAAAUAAAAGAUUUAUGUUUCGCGGCUACUGAAAAAUAUGUAUUUAAUCGAAAUGAUGACCAGAAGCCUAAAUUCUGUACAAAAACUGUUCAUCAAUAUGAGAGAAACUAUCAAGAUUGUUUCUUGGCUAUAAAAAAGAUUGGGGAUAAAACCAUAUAUACCUUUAAAUUAACAGGCACAUCCCAAGUUUUUGUGGAGCAGUUGCCAGCCGAUGCACAGUUCUAUAUCGACUUUGAUCUUCAAGUGCUUAUGAAACUUGACCAUGUUUCAUAACAAUCAUAGUUAUACCACGUGUAAUCUUUAAAAAUCAUUUACCAUGAGAGAAGACACAUUUUUUAAGUUUUUGCAUCAAUUUUUUUUAUGCGAUGAAUCCAUUCUAAAAUCAAAUGCAUAGAUAUUAAACAAUGGUUUGAUAAUUUAUCUACACAUAACUUAGUUUAAACUAAGUUUUAUUUUAAAUUGAUUUAUAAAUAAAUCUAAAUAAAUUUAAAUUGAUUUGGUUAAAUCUAAACAAUUUAAUUUAAUUAGACUUGAUUGGUUUAAAUUAUCUUUAAUUUUUUUAAAGAUUGUUUUUUAUGUCUAAAACUAUAUUAUUUUAUUAAAUACUAAAACAACACUAUUUUAAGUUUAAUUUCAUAACUAAAAUUUUCAUCAGCAAACUUUGAAAAGUAAUCGGUGGUUAUUAUUAUUUUUUAAAAUGCUUUUCACCUAAAAAUAUAAUAAAAUAAUAUAUUUUUUAUUUUAUAAAAUCUAAUUUUAACAUAAAAAGAUUAAAAACAUAAAUAAAUAAUUUAAAAAUAAAAAAAUAAAUUUCCACAAAUCUUUGGCUUAACAGCACUGCUAAUCAGGUGUAAAUUACCCUAAGAGUCUAUCUGGGAGUGUGAUUGCGGUUAUUUUUCAAAGUAUUUUUUACUUAGAAAUAUAUAAAAAUAAUAUUUUUUUUAUUUUAAAAAAAUAUUUUUAAUAUUAACACAUUAAAAUAUUUAAAAACAUAAAAAAAAAACCAAACAAAAAAAAUUAAAAAACUAAGCUCGGAAAUGCUAAAUGAAUAAGGAUAAAAUAGACUUCUUUACUAGGUGGUCGUGCCGUCGUGGUAGCUCACAAGGUCUUUGGAGACGAAAGAGAUGAAUGAAUAAGAAGCAGAGGUCUCUUUAAUGGCAGCCAUUCAAUGCAUUUUGUUCUCUUCUCUCACUACAUGCGCGUGCUUCUACGCAAUUCUUUCUCUUAUUUUAAAAGAUCUACACUCGUGAAACGCACGAGUAGCUAGCUGGUUGAGGGUUAUUACGAAAGUGGACACACCUCUGUCCUCCCAUUCAUUAAAGAUUAGAGUCGUAGUACAGGUUAUUCACAUGGAAUCAGGAAUUUCAUCAUUGCCGGCAUUAAUGAUCUCAUUUAUAAUUAUAGGGUUUCACCUAUAAUUAUUUUUCAUACACAGAAUCAUAAUUUUCGAGAAUUCAAGUACAUAGGACUUGACUAGUUCUCCUCUUUUAGGAAUCUUGAAACAUGAUUACAGAAUCAAAGUGAAGCAUUGAGGUCAAUUCUGUGCUUCUUUGUAACUAAUGGAGAUGGAACAGUACUGAAGUUGCAAGUAGGGCACUUGGGAUUUGUCUUCAAUGUAAUCACAUAUAGCAAGCAGCCAGGACAAGCAGCAGCAAAUACUCCUGUUGAAGAGAAUGUAGUGCUAAGCUCAUCUUCUUUAAUGUCACUGGCUGGUGGGGUUGGCGGUGGUGGUGGUGAUCUCUUCUUAGUCAUGGUCUCUUUCUCUGCUCUUUGCAAAGCAGACUUAACCUUAUCACUUUCAAUUUACAAAACGACGUGCAGCUCAAUCAAUGCCUUUAUUGCCUCCAGCCUUCAAAAAAUCAACUCAUUAGUUAGUUUCGCCCUUGGCUCGCGUACAAAUACAUCCACUUUAAAUGACAGCCACCGAGAUGUUUGACCUGUGGCACAUGAGCUUAGAAAAAGAAUUAUGUGUUGGAAUUUGAUAUUUUUUUUUUAGUUACAGUGGCUAUGGCUAAUAUGUAGCAUUAGGGUAUGUUUGAGUGUGUGGUUGUGAUUGUUUUUUAAAUAAUUUUUAUGCUGAAAUGUAUUAAAAUGAUUUUUUUUUAUUUUUAAAAAAUUAUUUUUAAAAUCAGCACGUCAAAAAUAUUUUUAAUUUUUUAGGAAUGCUGUUUGCACCGCGAACCGGUAAACCAAAGUAAUAGACUGUUACUUGUAAAAAGUUAUUUUUAGUAGAUAUGAGGAUUUUUAAAUGUUUAAGUAUCUACUUAGAGAGGUGAUAUUUUAGAAAAAUAAACUUUGAAAAUAUAUAUACUAAAAAUAUUAAAAAUAAAAAGAUUAUAAACCUUAAACUUUAAGUAUUCAUGGAGUAUUUAUAACUUAUAAAUUUUGUUUUUUUAUAAAGAGAAGUUAAAAAAUAAUUUUAUCUUUGUGAUAUAUUAAAUUAUAUUUCAUUUAAAAUAAUAUAUAUUAAAUUUAUAAAAUAUUGAAGAAUAUCCGUGAAGUCUUGAAAAAAAUUUGAAUGGAGUGUUGAGUUUAAUUGAGUUGCUUGAGCUUAUUAAAAAUAAAAAAUAAAUUAACACAUGCUACCUGAUCCAAAUAAAUUGUACCCAAGAUGCACACUCGAGCCCAUAAAAAUACUGGGAUGCAUGCCCAACAAGGUAAAUGGGUAAAGGCAACGCUUGGACCCAACCAAGAGCAGUUAGGCUUUUGGAAGUUUCAAAUUUUGGUUUAAAGCAAAUAGAAAGCAAUUAAAUUUCUAUUCAUUAGUCUUUUUCUUUCAUUGACUCGGUUUCUGGAGGUGCUGACUAGUUAUUUAUGGUGAAGUGAUUCUUUUCUUCUACUGAAAUUCUUGAUGUUUAGGCUGGGAAUAAAUUUAGCUCCUCUUGUCUACCUAGAAAAUUGAGGGAGGGAAAGUAGCUGAAACCAUUUAAGAUUUUUGUCAGUGUAGUUUAUUCGUUCACUUUCGUGUAGUUUCUGAGAUAGGCAGCGCUUGGACCCACCCCAAAGCAGUUAGGCAUUUGCGAGUUUUUUUUUAGCCAAUUAAAUUUUGGUCUAAAGCAAAUAGAAAGCUAUUGUUCUGUUGAUUGAUUUCUAUUCAUUAGUCUUUUUCUUUCAUUGACUCAGUUUCUCUAGGUGCUGACUAGUUAUUUAUGGUGAAGUGAUAAUCUCUUCUUUUCUUCUACUGAAAUUCUUGAUGUUUAGGCUGGGAUUAAAUUUAGCUCCUCUUGUCCACCUAGAAAAUUGAGGGAAAGUAGCUGAAAUAAUUUGAAAGCAUUUAAGAUUUUUGUCAGUUUAGUUUAUUCGUUUCACUUUCGUGUAGUUUCUGAGAUAGUACCAAAACAUUGUUAUGUGUUGAAUAAAUAAUUAACCACCAAUUAAAGCAGAAGUAACAUUUGUGUUUGAAUCCUGAGAAAAUUGAGUAGGAAAAUUUUGCAUUUUAUGAAGUUUUUUUGCUUAGUUGUGAUGAUUUAUUUUUUUGGAGGUCCCUAAAAGUGGAAUAAUGGUCCCUAACAGUGCCUUUUUGAAACUGCUCAAUUACUUGUUCUCUACUUGUCCGUUCAAUUGACUUCCUACAACCACAUGCCUGUAUUAGAGCUUUCUCUACUAGUGAAGAUAGCAUCAAAUGAUGAGCUUGUUAUUGUUGUUGAUUAGAGCUCUAUCUUCCAAAGUUCAAUCUUCGAAUCUUCUUCUAAAUUCUUUAAUUUUGCUCUCAUAUUGAAUUUAUAAAAAUGUUAUUAUUCACAGAAUUCAUAAAAAUAAUUACCUUUUUUAAAUUAUUGAGAAAGGAAUGCCUUUGGCUUUCUUCAUAAGUAAACCAAACAUGAAGCAAGGAAUGCCUUUUCUAUUCUUUGUAUAUAUAUAUAUAUGUGUGUGUGUGUGUGUGUGUGUGUGUGUGUGUGUGUGUGUGGGCAAAUCAUAUUCCUUGAGUGGGAUUAGAGGGACAAUCAUAUAGCUCGAGUUUCAUUCUUGGAAGUGGCAGAGAGUAUUCCUCAUUUAAUUAAUUAUUGUCUUCUUUUCAGGUCCUUUCGUUUUUUUUACCCCAAUCAUCAUAAUUAUAGGAACACUACAUCCAUUAAGGAUUAUAUUUGUGGUUGCAAUCUAUUGAUAGAGAGGCUGUGGGUGUCUAAGUGAUCGUGAACCUUUCAUUCGUUCCGGUCUCUGCUAUAUAAGGUGUGUGUAUUUUAACUAAUUCUUGUAUUAUUAAUUUGUUUUUGUCUUUAUAUUAUAUUGUUAUGCAUAUAUUAUGUGUUCAUACAUGUUUGCAAGUAUGAUCCAUGAAGAAAGAAAGUGAAAUACUUGUUCAAUUUAAUCCUUAUUCUCUCCUACUAGACUCAAUCAAUCUCUAUAUAUACAAGUUUAUAUGUAAGUCUAUAUAUCUCGUUGUAGGGUUGAAUAAUUGUAAAUACAGAUCAAACACCCAUUAUUAAAAAGAUUAUGGUGUUUUAAUUUAUUAGUCAAUUAGAAAACUAAUUAGUUUUAAAAUCUUCUUAAUAAUACAUAUAUAAAAUUAAAUUAAGACUUUAAUCUUGAUAGCUAACAUUUUGAACUUUUACCUUAAAUUUGAUAUGGAUGUAAAAUCUACAAAUUCACAAGACUAAAAUUUCUCUGUGUUUGGUGAAUUAAAGUAGGGUAAUGGUCUAAAUAAUAUUACUCUUGUAAAAGUUGGAUCUCCUUCAAUUUUCAACCUCAUCUUUCUAUUAUAGUGAAAGUAAAAAUGAAGAACAUUCUAAUUAACUAUAAUGUUUGGAUUUAAUAGUGCAUGGCUAGCUUUCACCACCAUAAUUUGAUCUUGACACCAUCAUUCCUUUUCUUUUUCAUUUUUUUUAUUAUAUCACUCAUUUUGUUUUAUAUUGGAAAGCCCCAAAAUCCACGUAGUAAGAGCAGACCUUCCCAUUACUUAAUAAUUGAGGAAAUUAGAUUCAUUUUAAUCAAAUCAUCUUCAAUAGAUAAAGCUAUUAUGUAAUUAUUUGCUAGGCUAAACGUAUUUGUAUAUUCAUAGUUCCUGUUAAAUUCUAAAUACUAUAAAUCUACAAGGAUUUCUAUGAUGUUAAGAGAAAUAUCCCCUUUUAGCCAACACUAGAUAAUUAAAUACUAUAUAUACUAGAUUGACUUGGAUUUACGAGAAUCAACUCAGGUUAACCUGCCAAGUUCCUGACCUGAGUUAUAAGACCUUAAUAACCCUAUAAAAGAUAACUAAGAAAAAAUAUUAAGCCUAAUUUUCAGUGAACAUAAUAUUGCAAAAUAAAAUUGAAAAAAAACUUAAUUAAAAAAAUGACACAAAAAACCACCCUAGUCAACCCAAGUUAACCAACCAAACUCGUAACCUAUAUCAUGAGGUUAGGAGAAUCUCAAAGAAAACAAAAUAAAAUAAAUUAUGAAGCCUAAUAAUCAACUCCAAAUUAAAAAAUAAAAUUGAAAAAAAAAUAUUCAAUUGAAAAAGGAUAAAAAAAAAACUAAGACAACUAGGCUAACCUGCAAUAGAAUCAUGAGACCGUGAUAAACCUAUAGAAAGUAAAUAAAAAAAUUAUAAAACUCAACUCUUAAUUAAUACAUUAUUGAAUGAAUAAAUUAAAUAAAAUCAAUUAAAAAAUAUCUCAGGUCAACUCGGAUUAACCUGUUAAAUUUGAGUUUUAAUAUCAAAAUAAAUCUAUAAAAAGAAAAAAAAAACAAUUAUGAAGUGAAAGCCUUGAUAGCUAACAUUUUGAACUUUCACCUUAAAUUGAAACGGAUGUAAAAGCUACAAAUUCACAACAGUAAAAUUUCAAUCUGUUUGGUGAAUUAAAAUAGGGUAAUGGUCUAAAUAAUAGUACUCUUGUAAGAGAUGGAUCUCCUUCAAUUUUUAUAACCUUAUCUUUCUAUUUUAAUGAAAAUAAAAGUGAAGAGGAUAAAAUUGGAAAAAAAAAGUUUAAACUUAAAAAAAACAACUUGAGAACUAAAGUGAAAAAGACUAAAGCAUUUCAUUAGUCAUUGCUACAAUGAAAUACCAAGUUCUCUUAAUAUAUGUUAAUUAUUCAAUUGUAUGGUUAGUCUAUAAAAAAUAAAAUUCUUAUAAAUUCCUUAGUUAAGCAAAAUAGAGUGUAGGAUUUUUUUAACAAUAUAUAAAAUAUUACACAAGAAUCUUGACCAUGAAAUAAAAAUUAAUCCAAACAUUUUAAUAAAUUAUUCUAAAACACAAUAAUUUAUAUAUCUCUAUCUAUCUACAAAUCCAAAUAGAUUAUUGUUUAUUAUGUCUAAAUCAAAUGACCUAUAUCUUUACAAUAAUUUUAUUUAUGGUUAGGGUCAUAGGAUUGUUUGGCUUUAACAGAGUAAUUUUUCAAAUACUUUUGGUUCCUUUUAAGUUGGUAAACUAAACAUCUUUUGUUAAAAAGAUAUCUUGGGCUUCAAAGUACAUUUUCUAAUUCUUAGAGCCUUUUGUGAAGUUAGCUAGUAUUUUGUGAAUUUAGCUAGUAUUGUAUUCAACUUAUCAAACUUUUCUUGGAAGGAUUUAUUUUCUUCUUCAAGUUGAUUAACCUUUUUAUUUUCAUCAAUGUCGCACGUGUGCAGCAUCGCGGCGAAAACAUUCACCCUCAAAAUAUCUAUCUAAAUGUGGCAAAUAUGUGUGGGGAGACAAGGAAUUCUUGUCUUUUACAUGUGAAAAGCAGGAAUGGAGAGUCGCCACCUAGUAUUUUGAUCACUAGGAACCCUAACUGGUCUUAAAGAUCGGGUACAGGGACUGGUUGCGCAAAGGGAGGUAUUAGCACCCCAAAUACGCCCUACCUAAGGUAAGCUACAUUGUUUUAUUGUCUGAUAAAAUCUAAGGUCUUGUCGUGUUUUUUAGUUGUUGGUCCGUCUAUGGUUCAAGAAAAGUCAUCUUCGGUAAAGAGAUCCUUAUCUUAUUAGGUAAAACCUAACCGUUCUAAUGUCAACAAAAGAAUUUAAUAUCUGGAAUAUGUCUUACGUAUAAGGUCGUAACCCUAGAUACUAAAAGAAAACAAAAUAAUGUUUUUUAUAAUUUUUAAAAUAUUGGCCUAGUUCUCGUUACUUUAAUAAACUAGUUAUUAAAGCCAAAAUGCAUGUUGAUAUAUAUUUUUGAAAUUUUCUUUGUUGUACGAAAAUACAAUUUUUUUUAAUUAUUAUUAUUGAGAGACUUGGCCGUAUGCAUCAAAACAAAAUAUUUUUUAUUUUUUUUAAUGUUUUGACGAAAACGAAGUAUUUUAAUACCGGAUUUGUAUCUUUAUAGUAUAAAAAUACAAACCAGUAUUGAUCAAAAUACAGUAAAAAAAUACACGGGGAAAUCACAAAUUUUCCAAAAAUAUAUUUUUAAAAUUUUUUCCUUUUAGGCCGGGCCGGACCCGGCUCACCCAUUUUGGGCUAGGCCGGCACUGCCUGGCCCAGUAAACAAAAACAAACAGUGGAGAACUCUCCACUGUUCACUUGCAACGUGAACAAUGGAGCAGCCCGGGCGAGGAAGAAGAAGAAGAAGAGAAGUGGAGGCUUACCUGGCGGUCGUCCGUUCUUGCGGGAGCUGGAGCUGCCGGUUCUAUGCUGUUGGACGACGGUUCUGUUCCUUCUCUGUUCUAUUUUUUCUGUGUUCCUUCUUCUCCCCGCUUCUGUCUCCUGUUUCUCUUUUUCUUCUUCUGUUUCUAAUAGUGGUGGUGUCGUUGUUGAUGGUGGCGCUGGUGGCUGCAGACGGUGGCUCUUCUCUGCGGUGGCGGGCAGUGUUUGCUGCUGUUCUUCCCGUCUGUGCAGAGGCGCAGGCUUCUUCUUCUUCUUCACGGGUGUUGCAGCAGGGGGAGGAAGAUGGUGAGAGGCUGAUGGUGGCGCUGCUCCAAACGGCGGAGAGAGAGAGAGAGACCGAAGAGAUUGAGGUUACUGUUAUUCUCUUCUCCUCUGUGUUCUUGUUUUUCUGUUCCUUUCCAUCUCCCUCAGAUCAAACUCUUUUCCUCGUCUCCUCUGUUUCUCGUUUUUUACUCCCUCCUAUGUCGUCUUCUUCGUUCUCUCCUGCCUCUGUUUUUUUUCUUUCCUCUGUCCUGUUCUCCCCCCCCCCCCUGUUCUCUCUUUCUCUUCCAAGUGCGGCAAUCUACCCUGUUGUCCUGGCUCUUUGAGAUGAAGGAAUGAAGACGAUGGUGAUGCCUGUUGUCAGUGGUCUUUUUCUGCGUGGUUCUUAUUUUUCUGCUUGUCUCUGUUCUCCUUUUGUGCCCACUGUUUCCUCUGGUUCUAUCCCCCUCGUCUUCUCUUUGCCUCUGUUCUUAAAGAAAAGAGAAUCACCCUGGUUCCUGGAACCUGCUGCUUGCAGUUGCAGACGAAGACGACAGUGUGGAAGGGGGCUGUUCCACCAACACUGCUUCCUCUCCUCCUGUUUUUUCCCCUGUCUCCCCCCUCUAGUUCGUUCUCCUCCCUGACUUUUUAUAGCCAAAACUACAUGCGUUUUUUUUCUUUUAUAAUAAAGACAUUCGCGAUAUUAUUGCAGUGGUAACGGUCGGCGGUGUGCAGAGAGAUUGUAGCUGUGAAACGUUCCCCAUAACUGAAGCAAUCUGCGGCAUGUUAUUGCUGAAACUGUUGCUGAGGAGAAGACGAUGAACAGUUCAUGAAACGUCUCUGUUUCUCCAAUUCAAAUGGCCAUUUUGAUUUGGUCCUUGUGGUUUCACAAUUUUGUAAUCAAACUCUUGGACAAAUUAUAAUUGGAUCCCUGAACUUUAAUUUCUUCCAAAUAAAGCCCAAAUUGACUUAAAAACAUUUUUUCUUGCAAUCAAACCCUCCAUAAAUUCAAUUAAACCUUCAAUAAAAUUUAAUUGAGUCCAUAAAUAUUUGAUUUUGAACUUUUGUUUUCAAAAAUUGAAUUUUUCUUAUCAACAGGGCUGAUAUACUAUUAAAUUUCAAUUUUUGUAUUUUUAAACCUCCUCAACCAAUUUUUGGUCAUUUUAUGGGCAUUCCAGCAUCAUUUUCUCGCUUCUAUUAUUUUUUGGAUUUCUUCUGAAUAUUUUUUGAUAUAUUGUUUUUGUAUUUUUUUUAUUUUUUGUGUGGGAACCCAAAAAUAGAUAACAACAAUCAAUAACAAUGCAAUCUUUAUUUUCUAGAGUUUCUUUUUCCAGCAAACAAGUAUGCAUAAUUCUAUUUCAAUAAACUAUAUUUUAAACCUAAUUUUUUAAAUUCAUCAUAUAAAGAUUCAAGAGCAUCAUGCAACUCAUCAGAGGUAGAGUCAGAUUCAUCAUCCAAAUACUGUACCUCAUUUUCACUUUUGAUAGAAAACUUCUUAAUCACCUUGUAAUUAAGGCAAUGUCCUCUUCAAUGCUUUCUUGAUCAUCAUCAUCAUCCUCAAUGUGGUGAACGGUUUCAAAUGCCAAAGAGUAUUCAUUUUUAUUCCCUCACCAAUACCAUGAGUUUUUACUUAACUCUCAUAGGUUUACAAGUAUGGUUUUGUUUACAACAAACUCUUUCAUAGAGUGAAUGAUAUAAAUAAAGUUCUAGUAUCUCCAUAACUCACUAAAUAGCACUUAUAGGAUUUAAAAGUGUUUAAGUAUAGUUCGAAUGAAAAUGUAUACUCUUUGUUCUAGAAUAUAAAGGUUUAAAUCCACUAGUUAGAGUAUAAUCAAUAAUUUAUAAUUUUAUUGUUAUUUUGAUCUUAGAGUAUGUUGUUUAUCAUAUAUGUCCGGAAUCCCUUACUAAUUUUACAAUUAGACAAGCUAUAUAAUUGUUUCUAAGAAAAACUAGUCAUUGGAACCCCAUUAAUAACUAAAACGAUCGAUUGGUUCAAAUUGAUCAAGCCAAUCAAUCAACCGGUUCCUACAAAAUUCCCAAGUUUUCAUCACUGAUAAACAAGUGAGCGCCUGAUUCAUGCAGAAUUCUCAAAUGUUUUCAUCAUUAAUGAACAAAUGGUGGUUCGUUUCAUGUAGAAUUACAUAUUUAAUAGUUUUAAACUAGGUGAAUUCCUAGAGCCAUCCAUCUUAGAUCAUCUUUUAUAUCAAUCCUAAAUGUAUGUAAAGUAGUGUGUGUGAGUUUAUUUUAAUUAUACCAUCAAGUAAGAUGUAAAGAUUUAUAAAUUAAACACUAAAAUGAAUACUUGAACUUUUUGAUUAAUUUUUUAUGAAAUCCUUCAUGUUUAUUAAUGUGAUCUUAAUAUGAAACAUGUUUAAAACUUAUUCUCAACUAGACAUAUUAUUAGUCUAUGUUCUUUUUUUUUUUUGUUAUCAUCAAAAUAUAAAAAAAUAUGAAUGUGUGACUCUAAAGGUCAAUAAAAUCAUCACCAUUUAGAGUAAAAAUAUAUCUAGACUAGGAUUUGCUAUCAUUAAUAUCUAAUUUAAAUCUAGCAUUUGAAUAUCCAUAAACUUCUAGUUUAUCUCCUUUAUAGAUCAUAAAGAAAUUCUUAGUUCUUUUUAACUACUUCUUAGAUUCAAAACCUUUAGGUAGUGUAAUAUACAUAUCUUUAUGAAUUUUCCUAUAUAGAAAAGCAUUUUUUAUAUCUAUUUGCUAAAAUUCAUAAUAUUAGCAUGUAGCUAUAGCAAGAAGGUUUUUACAUAACUACUAAUAAAAAGGUUUCAUCAAAGUCAAUUCUUUUUCUUUGCUUGUAACCACUGUCAACUAUUCUGGUUUUGUACAUCUAUACAUUGCCAUUAAUAUUAAUUUGUUUCUUAAAGAUCCAUUUACAUUCAGUGAGUUUUACCCUUUUAGGUUGAUAGUCAAGUUAUAUUUAAUCCAUUUAGAAUUUUACAUCCUUGAUUCAUUUUAUGGAAUUAAUAUUAGAUAUUGCUUUCAUGUAAUUGGUAGGCAUAUUAAAUGUAAGUAACUCAUCAUUUUUAGCUUCUAUAAAAAAUCCAUAUCUCAUUAGUGUAUGACAUCUUCUAUUAGAUCUAUGAAGUUAUUGUGUUUCUUGAGCUUUAAGUUGAGUAUCUAAUGUUAUAUAUUCUAGCUCAUGUUCUAAUUAGAUGUCAGUUUAUGGUUCUUGAAUUUCUCCAAAUUUUAUUUUUCUUUCACUACUUCUUUCAAGAAUAAAUUCUUUUUAAAAAUAUAGCAUGUUUGGAGACAAAUAACUUUUGCUCAAUGGAAUGGUAGAAAUAUUAUCCAAUAGUUUUUUUAAGAUAUCCUAUAAACUUAAAUUUAUUUGAUUUAGCUCAUAACUUUCAUAUAUGAUAUGCUUUACAUAAAUAUCACAUCCCCAAAUCUUCAAGUAUAAUAAGUUAAGUCUCCUAUCUUUUCAUAUCUUAUAUGAAGUCUUAUUACUAAAUUUUGUUGGAACUUUAUUUUAAAACUAAGCAACAAUUUUUUAGGCCAUAUCCCUAUAGCUCAUAAUGGAUCGUACCAUACCCAAUAGGGUACGAUUUGUCCUUUUGGAAACUCUAUAAUAUUAUGGUAAAUGUCAUAAUUAUUGAAUCUUUGGAUGAGAUUUGAAACUCAUCUUACACAUGAAUUUUAUAAUUAAUACUAUUUAAAAACAAAUAAAACAUUUUUUUUUCUUCUAAAUUCACCUAUAAUGAUGAUACCUAUCUUAAUCAUAUAGUUUCUAUUAUACCAAAUAUAUAUUCACUUAUUACUUUUGAUUAAAGCAACAUAUUGUUAGGAUUGAAAAAUAACAGUUGCAAUAUCAACCAACUAUUUCAACUACUAUCUCCUUCUCACCACCACCACUAACAUCUUUUCUUUAUCCACCACAACCAUCUCACCACCACCUCUUCUUGUAUCAUCACCACCACCACCACUACUUUUAUCAUUUCACAACCACUACCACUUCACCACAAUCUCUUUCACCACCAUUGUCAUCUCACCACCACCUCUUUCACCAUCAUUGUCAUCUCACCACCUCCAUCACCACCAUUAUUAAAAAUUAUUUUACAUGUAAAAUAUUUAACGGUAAAGUAUUUUUCAAGCCAAACAUUGAAUUUAAAAGUAAACCAUUUUUUAUUUGUAAAAUAUUUUAUGCAAAACAAACAUACUCUUAACAUAUAAUUUUAUCUCUUCUAGAAAAUUCAAUAAAAAAAUUCAUUUUUUCAUGUUUACCUAAGGUUAGCCUUCACAAUUAUAAUUCCGUUAUCUAUCUCUUUAUUGGGAUAUUUUCAGUUAGAAAUAAUUUCCAUUCUAUAAUUCUCUUUUAGGAUAUCUCAUUUAGGAUGUUAAUUUUUAUAGUGUUUUAUAUUUUUUUAAAAACUUUCUUCGUACUGAACCGUUAUUGCUUUAAAUUCCCUCAUGUAUACAUAACAUGAUUAAUGAGCUGUACCAAAUUUUUAUUUUGAUCUUCUAAGAACAUUCCAAAAGUGUCAUUUGAAAAUGAAUUUAAUCAAACUUCUAUACAUUUUAUCCUUGUUGAAUAUGUCAUCUUUUUCUUCAUCUUUUAAACAUUUUUUAUUUUAUUUUGAAAUCAUCCUCACCAUGUUAUUUCAUACAUUUUCUAUUUUUCUUAUAUAAUCUUUUUAAUUUGAAGUUGUCUUUAAUUUUUUGAUUCUCUACUUAGUAACAAUAUAAUCUUCAUCGUCUUCAAUUAUGUAAAAAAAAUUAAAAAUUGUUAUAGAAAUCUGCCUUUCUUAUAUAGCUAGGAAAGUUAAAUUUUAUUCAAAUAAAUGAAUUUUAAUGCAAUUGUAUAUAAGAAAAUACACUCUUAGAAAUGUAUAAAGAUAUCAAAGGAAGAAAAAAUCUUAAAGAACUAAGAAGGGAAAGAUAUUAAUAAUCUAUAUCUUUUUUUUUAUUAACGUGGGUGUCCGGGUUAGCUUGCGCGCACCUCAACUAAUCUUACAGACCCUGAAGUUAACAACAAUAUAAGUCUCCAAUGACCCUGAGGUUUGUGAGACUCAAACUGGUGACUUUUAGAAAGUAAACCUAAAAUUUGACUAGUUGAGCUACACUUCUAUAGAGUGUAUUUUCUAUAUUCUAUAGAGUUUAAUGUAUAGAGUUUUUUGAUUAACAAUACAACCAUAUCAAUAUUCUAUAUUUUAUUAACAACACUGUGACAAUUUAAAAUUAAUAACAAAUUAAUUUAAAGAUAUUAUAGUCUUCAACAAAAGAUAACACCCUAACUUUUGUAGAUGGCAUAGAUAGAUAUAGAUAAGGGGACAAGGAAUUAAUUGUUCAUUGGUAUACUUAUACCUUGCCUUGUUGCUUUUGAAGCUUGAUUCCAUACAGAGCUAAAGGCCUUCUCGUUUUGUUCCUCGCUGAGCAAUCAACACCAGUGCUUUUCGCGCAUAUUUUCACAAAUUCAGGUAAUAAAAUUCCUAUUCUCAUUCUCUCAAUGCCUAUUUUACUUGUAGUGAACUCCUCUCACAGUCAGCAUCCUUAUUUCUCUGAUUUUCAGACUGGUGGAAAAUGGCUAUCGAAAGUGUUGGUGGAUCCAUUUUAUCUAAGAUAGCAGAACUCUUGGUGGAACCAACAAUAAGGCAGUUCCGUUACAUGUUCUGUUUCAACAAUUUUGUUCAAGAAUUCAAUGAACAGAAGAAGAACCUGGCUUUGACUCUUGAUCGUUUGCAAAACGCUGUCGAAGUUGCUGAAAGAAAUGCUGAAGAAAUUGAGAAGGAUGUCAACAAAUGGUUGGAAGAUGCAAAAAACGAAAUUGAAGGUGUUAAUCGUUUGGAAAAUGAAAAGGGAAAAAAUAGCAAAUGCUUUAAUUGGUGUCCAAAUUGGAUACCACAAUUCAAGUUAAGCAAGGCCCUGGCAAAAAAGAUAGAGACUUUGAAAAAACUUGAAGAAAAUAGCAGAAAGUUUCCAAAAGUGUCCCACAAAGCACCUCUUCAAGACACAGAGUUUCUUCCAUCAAAGGGAUUCACACCCUCAGAAUCGUCAAAAGAAGCUUUUGAACAAAUUAUGAAAGCUCUCAAAGAUGACAAUGUCAAUAUGAUCGGACUGUACGGCAUGGGAGGGGUGGGUAAAACCACCCUGGUGAAAGAAGUAGGCAGGAAAGCCAAAGAGUUGCAGCUUUUUAAUGAAGUUUUGAUGGCUACGGUGUCCCAGAAUCCACAUGUCACAGACAUGCAGGAUCAAAUGGCAGAUAGUUUAGGUCUGCAUUUUGACGAGAAAAGUAAAGAAGGGAGAGCAGGUCGGUUAUGGCAGAGACUGCAGGGAAAGAAGAUGCUUAUAAUCCUAGAUGAUGUUUGGAAAGAUAUUGACUUGAAAGAGAUAGGGAUCCCAUUUGGUGACGCUCACAGGAGUUGUAAAAUUGUUAUAACAACACGUCUUGAAAACAUAUGUUCUUAUAUGGAGUGCCAGCAAAAAGUGUUUUUAAGAGUCUUAUCUGAAGAGGAAGCAUGGGCUUUAUUCAAAAUCAAUGCAGGUUUACGUGAUGAGGACUCUGACUUGAACAGAGUGGCAAAGGAGGUUGCGAGAGAAUGCCAAGGCUUGCCUUUAGCACUUGUGGCAGUGGGAAAGGCUCUAAAAGAUAAAUCUGAACAUGAGUGGGAAGUAGCAUCUGAAGAGCUCAAAAAAUCUCAAUCUCGGCACGUGGAAACAUUUGAUGACCGAAGAAAUGCAUAUGCAUGUCUUAAAUUGAGCUAUGAUUAUUUGAAGCACGAGGAAACCAAGCUAUGUUUCUUGCUAUGCUGUUUAUUUUCAGAAGAUUACAACAUUCCAAUCGAGGAGUUGACGAGAUAUGCAGUUGGCUACGGGUUAUAUCAAGAUGUGAAGUUCAUUGAAGGUGCAAGGAAACGAGUUUAUAUGGAAAUCGAAAACCUCAAAGCUUGUUGUAUGCUGUUAGGAACUGAAACUGAAGAAUAUGUGCAAAUGCAUGACUUGGUUCGUGAUGUUGCUAUUCAGAUAGCAUCAUCAGAAAAAUACAGAUUCAUGGUAAAGGCUGGCUUUGGGUUGAAGGAGUGGCCAAUGAGCAAUAGAAGAUUUGAAGGUUGUACAGUAAUUUCGUUAAUGGGCAAUAAACUAGCAGAACUUCCUCAAGGAUUGGUUUGUCCACAGCUCAAAGUUCUAUUAUUAGAACUGGAUGAUGGUCUGAAUGUUCCAGAGAGGUUUUUUGAAGGAAUGAAAGAAAUUGAAGUUUUGUCUCUGAAGGGAGGGUGCUUGUCAUUGCAAUCACUUGAAUUCUCAACAAACCUUCAAUCAUUGCUGUUAGUCAAAUGUAUAUGCAAGGACCUCGUUUCAUUGAGAAAGCUGCAAAGACUUAAGAUUCUUGUUUUCAUGUGGUGCGACUCCAUUAAAGAAUUACCUGAGGAAAUGGGGGAGCUCAAGGAGUUAAGAUUGUUGGAUGUGACAGGUUGUAUGUACGUUGCAAGCAUUCCUGUGAAUUUGAUUGGAAGGUUGAAGAUGUUAGAAGAACUAUUGAUCUGGGAUGGCAGCUUCACGGGAUGGGACAGCACAGGAGGAAUGAAUGCAAGAGUAACAGAACUAAAUUCGCUGUCUCAUUUGGCCGUAUUAUCAUUGACGAUACCGAAGGUUGAAUGCAUUCCCAGAGAUUUUGUUUUUCCCAGGUUGCUCAAAUAUGAUAUAGUGUUAGGGAAUGGGUAUUCAAUAACAGCAUACCCAAUCUCGAAAAGAUUAUAUUUGGGUGAUAUCAGCGCCACAUCCUUAAAUGCAAAGACAUUUGAGCAGUUGUUUCCUACUGUGUCUCAAAUUGGUUUUAGCAACGUUGAGGGUUUAGAAAAUAUAGUAUUGUCCUCUGAUCAGAUGACCACCCAUGGCCAUGGGUCGCAAAAGGACUUCUUACAAAGAUUAGAACAUGUAGAAGUGGCUGCAUGUGGGGAUAUUCGCACUCUGUUUCCAGCAAAAUGGCGGCAAGCUUUGAAAAAUCUAAGGAGUGUGGAAAUUAAUCACUGCAAUUCAUUGGAAGAGAUAUUUGAAUUGGGUGAGGCUGAUGAAGGAAGCAGUGAGGAAAAGGAGCUGCCGCUGCUAUCAUCUUUAACGGAGUUACAGCUGUCCUGGUUACCUGAGCUCAAAUGGAUAUGGAAGGGGCCCAGUAGACAUGUCAGCCUCCAAAGUCUUAAUCAUCUGGAGUUGUGGUAUCUUAGCAAACUAACAUUUAUCUUCACGCCGUCCCUGGCUCAAAGUCUUAUUCAUCUAGAAACACUACGGAUAGAAUAUUGCCGUGGAUUGAAGCAUCUUAUCAGAGAAAAGGAUGACGAAAGGGAAAUCAUUCCAGAGUCUCUUCGCUUCCCAAAGUUAAAAACUCUCUCUAUAAGUGACUGUGAUAAACUGGAACAUGUCUUCCCUGUCUCCGUGUCUCCAAGUCUUCUGAACCUGGAACAGAUAAAGAUUACUUUUGCUGACAAUUUAAAGCAAAUAUUUUACAGUGGAGAAGGAGAUGCACUCACCAGAGAUGGCAUCAUCAACUUCCCUCGGCUAAGAGAAUUGUCUCUUUCAUGUUGCAGCUUUUUUGGUCCAAAGAAUUUUACUGCCCAAUUGCCUUCUUUGCAAGAGUUAACCAUUAAAGGCCACCAAGAAUUGAGUAAUUUGUUGACACAGCUCCAUGUACGUCCUUUAUAUUUCUCCACUUAUUUUUUCCUUUUUAAUUUAAAUUGUCAAAUGCAAUACAUUGAUCAAAUUUCUUAUUUCUUCCUCCAGAUAAAGUAUUUUUAUUUUAUAUAUAAGAAGUUUUACUAAUAUGUAAAAUUAAAAUUAUUUUCUUUUAUAUAUGUUUUUUUGUUAAUGUCAUAAUUUGUUUUAUUGUAAAUAGAAUAUAAAAUGAUUUAUUUUUUUUAUUUAAUAAGUAUAAUUUUUUCAUGAUUGCUUUUAAUUUAACUAAUAUGAAAUAAUAAUUUAUAUUUAGAUUAUUAUAAAUAUGAAAAAUUACGAUUUCAUAUUCCCAUGCCCUAUUGCUCUGUCUAUUUAUAUCUUUUUGUUGAUAAGUAUUUAGGUAUUCGGGAUAAUUGGUUCAUCACCAAAAUUAUAUAAUAGUUACAGAGUGUACAAAAAUUAAUAGGAAUUAUAUCUAAAAAAUCGGUACCCUUGUUUUCUUUUGAUGCAGGGGCUUACAAAUUUGAGAGGAAUAUAUAUUACAGACUGCAAAGGAGCACAAGAUUUAAUGCAGGUUGGAAGUUUUUUAACUAAUAGAAGAACUGGGCAUGAACUUUCACUCUUGAGUUUGGAAACAUUACACGUAGACUCCUUCCCUGACAUGAAGUGUAUAUGGAAGGGUCUCUUGCUGAGUCAUUUGACUACUUUGAUGGUGAGGAAAUGUCAAAGACUAGCACAUGUAUUUACAAGCAGCAUGAUUGCUAGUCUAGUUCAACUGAAAGUUCUAGACAUAUCAACCUGUGAGGAAUUGGAGCAAAUAAUUGCUAAGGAUAAUGAUGACGAAAAGCUUCAGAUAUUGUCAAGAAGUGAUCUCCAAUCUUUAUGCUUCCCUAAUUUGUGUCGGCUUGAAAUCGAAAGAUGCAACAAGUUGAAGAGUCUCUUCCCAGUAGCCAUGGCUUCAGGUCUCCCAAAGCUCCAAAUACUAAAAGUAAGCCAAUGCUCUCAGCUAUUGGGAGUAUUUGGGCAGGACGAUCAUGCUUCACCUUUCAAUGUUGAGAAGGAGAUGGUGCUCCCUGAUAUGCUGGAGCUGUUGCUAGAAAAUUUACCAGGUAUAGUUUGCUUCAGUCCUGGAUGUUAUGAUUUCUUAUUCCCUCGUCUGAAGACGUUGAAGGUGUAUGAAUGCCCGAAGCUGACCACAAAAUUUUCUACUACAACAAAUGGUUCAAUGAGUGCUCAAUCAGAGGUGCUGCUUAUUGGACUUGAUUUCUUGCCUCUCUUUUAGUGUUUGUGUUUCUUUUUUCACUCAAUAACAAGACUCGGAAGUUAGAAUGUGUAUGCCAUGCUUGAAUUUGGUUUUGUAGGUAUCUCAAGUAGUUGAGGAUUCAAGCACCGGUUGCUACGUGCUAACCAGCACUUGUAGAAUGUGGACCCGGAAUAAUGGGUGGUGGGAAGAGGAAAAAGAGGAAGAGGAAUGGGAAGAGGAAGAGGAAGAGGAAUGGGAGGAGGAGGAGGAAGAGGAGGAGGAAGAGGAAGAGGAAGAGGAAUGGGAGGAGGAGGAGGAGGAGGAGGAGGAAGGGGAAGAGGAAGAGGAAAAGGAUGAGGAUGGAGGUGGUCAUGAGGAUUACGUCAAAUGAUAAGUUUGGCAUUGGAAUUUGAAAAACAUGCUAAUAAUUAAUUCUUGCAGGUAAUAUGACUGCAAUUAUUUAUCAUCUUCUAUCCUUUUCCUUCAACUUUAAAUGGUUGAAUUAAAUCAACAUAUGCGAUAUGUCUGAAUGGUCUUUGUUCUUCAUGUUUGCAUCAGGCAAGGUUGGUUACCUGUUACAUGUUCACCUCAACAUUAGGUGAUUUCUCGGAGAUUUAUGUCUUUGAGCUGUGGUGCUGUGAAUGUUUUUUAAUUUGUGGAAUUGAUUUCAACUGUUUCAUUGGCAAUGGCAUACAAUUUGGCUUUGUAUUGUAAUUUUAUAGAACUCCCAAAAGAACAAUAUUGACUUAUCUAUCUAUGUGUUUGCUGUGUGAACUUCCAGAAAUAACGGAAUCUCCAGAAAUAAGGGCGUAUGCUUGCUUGCCCAUUUGUGUUUCUUUUCAAGUGUUUGAACCUUCAAAAACAAGGACAUAAUGUUUACUUGUGUGUGUUUAUUGUUUAACUAGUUAGAUGACCCGCGCGAUGCUGCGGGUCAAUUUUUUUUUGCAUAAAAAAUAUCAAAAAAGCUAAGAUUUUAAAAGUGUUAGGUCUUUCUGCAAGACUAUACCUAAGAGUUUUGGGUUUGGCUGCAACGUCUGACCCAAGAGUAAUAUUUAUAAUAUUAAUAAUAAUAUUAAACUUGCAUGACCCAAGUUUAAAUGGGUUUGGCUGUAAUACCAGACCCAAUAACCUUGGAUGUGGAUCUGGCUGCAAGGUUGUAUCAUAAAAGUAUGAUAAUUAAAUAGAUUAAGUAAAAAGAAAAAAAUAUAGAAAAAAAAAACCAACAUGAAGAAAAUAACUAAUGAAGAAAAAGAAAAAAAUCCGAAUUAACUGGGUCAACUCUUCAAACCAGGUUAACCCGUCAAGCAUUGGAUUUGUGUCGUGAAAGUUUGAUAACUAAAUAGAAAAAAAACAAUUGACGGGUUACCCCAGAAUUAACUGGGCUAACCCGUCAAACCCAGGAUCCAUGUUAUAAAAGUCUGAUAAUUAAAUAGAAAAAAAUUAAUAUUAAGAAAGUAAAUUAAAACAAAUAAUUAAAAAAGAAAAAAAAGAAAAAAGCCAGAAAAAAACUAAAAGCAUCAGCUUUUUCACUGUGGACUGCACUGUGCAGUCCACAAUAAAAUGCUUAAAAAGGAAAAGAAAAAGGGAAAAAAAACAAAGGCAUACCCACGGGUUAAUUUUUUUUCUUGCAUAAAAAAUAUAAAAAAGGCUAAGAUCUAAGAGUGUUAGGUCUUUCUGCAAAGAUAUACCCAAAAACCUUGGGUCUAAAUGCAACGCUUGACCCAAGAGUAAUAUUUAUAAUAUUAAUAAUAAUAUUAAACUUACAUAACUCAAGUUUAAGUGAGUCUGACUGCAACACCAGAUCCAAGAGCCUUGGAUGUGGGUCUGGCUGCAAGAUCGUGUCAUAAAAGUAUGAUAAUUAAAUAGAUUAAUUAAAAAGAAAAAAACAAAGAAAAAAAUCCAACAUGAAGAAAAAAAUUAAUAAAGACAAAGAAAAAACAUCUGAAUUAACUGGGUUAACCCUUCAAACCAGGUUAACCCAUCAAACUUGGAAUUCAUGUCAUGAAAGUUUGAUAACUAAAUAGAAAAAAAAAAGUUGAUGGGUUAACCAAGAAUUAACUCAAUUAACCCGUGAAACCAGGUUAACCAGUCAAACCCGGGAUAUGUGUCAUGAAAGUCUGAUAAUUAAAUAGAAAGAAAUUUAACAUUAACAGACUAAAUUAAACAAAAAAAAUUAAUUAAAAAGAAAAAAAAACUUCGGGUUACCUUGUCAAACCAGGUUAACCCGUUAAACCCGGGAUCCAUGUCAUAAAAGUCUGAUAAUUAAAUAAAAAAAUUUAACAUUAACAAAAGAAAAAAAACAAAUAAAAAUGGACGGGUUAACCCAGAAUUAACUGGGUUAACCCGCAAAACCAGGUUAACUCGUCAGACCUGGGAUAUGUGUCAUGAAAGUCUGAUAACUAAAUAGAAAGAAAUUUAACAUUAACAAACUAAAGUAAACAAAAAAAAUUAAUUAAAAAGAAAAAAAAACAAAAAAAAAAACUCCGGGUUAACUCGUCAAAGCAGAUUAACCUGUUAAACCUGGGAUCCUUGUCAUGAAAGUCUGAUAGCUAAAUAAAAAAAAUUUAAUAUUAACAAAAUAAAAAAACAAAAAAAAAUGGACGGGUUAAUCCAGAAUUAACUGGGUUAACCCGUGAAACCAAGUUAACCCGUGAAACCUGAGAUAUGUGUCAUGAAAGUCUGAUAACUAAAUAGAAAGAAAUUUAACAUUAACAAACUAAAGUAAACGAAAAAAAUUAAUUAAAAAAAAAAUCCGGGUUAACUCGUGAAAUCAAGUUAACCUGUUAAACCCGGGAUCAAUGUCAUAAAAGUUUGAUAACUAAAUUAAAAAAAAUAUUAACAUUAACAAACUAAAUUAAACAAAACAAAAUUUAUUAAAAGAAAAAAAACAAAGAAAGAAAGAAAAAAGCUAAAGGCAUCAAAAAUGAAAAAAUGAAAAAAAAUAGCUUAAACUAAAUUAAACAAAACAAAAUUUAUUAAAAGAAAAAAAACAAAGAAAGAAAGAAAAAAAGCUAAAGGCAUAAAAAAAAUGAAAAAAUGAAGAAAAAUAGCUUAAAAAAUGAAAAAAAAAAGAAAAAAAAAAGAAACAGGUCAGCCUUUCACUGUGGAUUGCUAGAGUGAAAGGCUGAGCAGGAAAAAAAAUCUGGGUUAACUCGUGAAACCAAGUUAACCUAUUAAACCCGGGAUCAAUGUCAUAAAAGUUUGAUAACUAAAUUAAAAAAAUAUUAACAUUAACAAACUAAAUUAAACAAAACAAAAUUUAUUAAAAGAAAAAAAAACAAAGAAAGAAAAAAAAAGCUAAAGGCAUCAAAAAAUAAAAAAUAAAAAAAAUAAAAAAAUAGCUUAAACUAAAUUAAAUAAAAGAAAAUUUAUUAAAAGAAAAAAAAUAAAGAAAGAAAAAAAGAAGAAGCUAAAAGCAUAAAAAAAAAUAAAAGAAAAAUGAAGAAAAAUAGCUUAAAAAAUGAAAAUAAAAAAAAAGAAAGAGCUAAGCCUCCUUUCACUGUGGAUUGCUACAAUGAAAGGCUUAACAGUUUUAGUAUAUUUCUAAUGUUCUGUUUUUUAUUUGUGCUGAGUAAACCUUAACCAACUAGAUUAAGCCCACAAUGCAUCCAGUAAAUUUAGACUGUUGUAAUAAAUCCAACAUCAUCAGCCAGACCCAUAAUUAAACCAAAAUAGGAAUCCAAAGCAAGAGCCCAAUAACAGAACAGAACGUAUCAACUUAACCAAGCUAGCAUAUAUAUAUAUAUAUAUAUAUAUAUAUAAAACCUUAGGCAACUUCAGCAUAGCAAAGAGAAAGUGAGGAACAAGUGACUCAUGCGAUUCACCUCCUAAGGGACAAAGCUAGCACAAUGGUGAAAUUUCAUGAUGUAAAAAAAAGAUAUAAAAAUAAUUCAUAAUAUAUUUUAUUUGGUAUGAUAAAAAUAUUUUUUUCUUUCUAGAAAUUAAAAAACAAAAAAACAACACUAGUUAUAGCAAAAGCUAUUGUUAUGCCAAGCCAACUAUUAAUGUUAUCACAGUGGAAUCAACCAUCAAUACUAUCAAUAUGUACUAGUAAAAUCAAGAAAAUUUAAGUGUAUUUUGUGAUUAACAUACAUUGAUUGAUUAUGUGUCAACACAUUUAAAUUUUAAUCAUUCAUAUUUUAUCACAUAUUAGAAAACUAAUACAUAAAUUGGGGUUUUUUUUUACUACAUAUGCAGAUAAAAAGAAGAAAAAAAAAUAAACAUUGAUACCAAAUUGAAAAGGAGAAAGUAGGAGAAAAACUUUUCAACUAGAAACUUUGAAUUGUAAUUUCUUAGCAUAAACUUAUCAUUAAAUAAUUUUUACUUAAAUCAAUUGAAAGCUUUGUCAUAAUCCAAUUCUAUGUUAUUUCCCAAAACUUAUCUUUUUCAAAACAAAAAUAAAAAAAUAAAAGAAAAUAAUGUUGUCAUUUUGCAGAAAAUUCAAGACCUAAUUGUACCCCAUUAUGCAAAAACAAAUACAAAUUCAAGGUCAAAUUAAAUUAUUAUUGAAUGAAUUUACAUAAAAAUUAAGUCCAAAGACAUAAUUUAAUUUUUAUUAGGCCAAUUUGAUUUAAUCAUGAGCCAAAUUGAAUUUUAAUUAUGUUUGAAAAAUAAUUUGGGUCCAAUUGAAGGAUUUAAUCAAGUGCAAGGACUUAAUUAUACUUUAAAUGGUUCAAAAUAAUUUUAUUAUGGGCUUAAUUAGAAAAAAAUUAAGUUUGAGAACCCAUUUGGACUUAAAUGAAAAGAUUUGAAUUUUAAGAGACCAAAUUUAAUUUUUAUCAAAUUAUUUGAUUGAAAUUAGGAGCAAAAUUACAAUAAAAAUAAAAUUUUGGGGUCAAUUAGGAGUUAAAUUGAUAAUUUUCACAAUCAAUGACCAUUUUAUAAAAAACAUCAAACUAUGGGAACCUAAUUGGCAAAAAUCGGGGUUGAAAUUGAAGAGAAAUUAAAAUUUUCAAAGUAAUUAGGGGUGAAAUUGACCUAAAUGAACUAUACCAAAACGACGCUGUUUUGGUUACUAUUCAUCUUCAUCUUCAAUUUUCUCUAAAGUAACAACUCAGGGAGGUUAGUUUGUAGGUGCAUUUAAUGCCUCUAACCGUCAUCAAAUUUGGCAACUUUUAAAUCAAAAUGAUCACCUGACAACCCCUUAUCCCUAGGCAUGACAUGUUCAGUUCUCCUGACACUAAUGCAUCCCCGGUGUCGGCCUAAAUUGAACAACUCAGGCAACCACGAAUUGUCAAAUUUGACAGUUCAUGGUGUCUACUUUGAACCAAUGAUUGAGAUUCUUCCCAACCGAAUCAAGAGCUGAAAUUCUUGUCCAGUGUAUACAAGAUUACCCUCUUUCAUCUUCUAUAAAUAAGGGUGGGGGGGGGGGAGGGGUAUGAAAAUCACAAAAAAAAAUAGCUUAUUCCCUAGUUUCCACCACAUUUUUCUCUCUCCUCUUUCUCUCUUCGUCGUGGCCUUCAACCACCACCAUUUUCACCGCCGACUUGACCACCAUCCUCUCCACCAUACUUCUCCCUCUCCACCGAUUGUUUCUCCGUUUUCCUUCACAACGGCAGUAGCCCAUCAACAUCGUCAUCUUCAUUUUCUUCCUUCUUCAGCAUUGGUAGUAACAACAUCAAUAUCAACCUCCACCGUUGCAACAACCAACAAAAACACCAUUCUCUCCAUCAGCAUGACCGCAGAACCUCACCACCUCAGGUGGUCCUUCAUCCUUGCCUUGCAUCAACCUUCCAUGAGAUUUCUAUUGCGAUCGCUGCAUGCAUAAUUCGUUCUACAUGCAACACCAAUAAUUAACCAAAAAUUAAGGUCGACCUCAACCCAGUUUAUAUGGGUCGAGUAUUGCUCCCCCCUUCUGUUUUUAUAUCGAGUCGCUGCCUAGGUCAUAUGGAUCCAAUCUCGGCCCUAUCUUCCUUCAAGGCGGAGUCAUGGCCCAAUUCAUAUGAGUCUAGUCUCGACCCUAGCUUCCUUCUGAACCGAGUCGUAGCCCAAGUCAUAUAGGUCUUGUCUCGGCCUCAUCUUCCUUUAGGGCCGAGCCGCGACCCAAUUCAUAUGGGUUUUCUCUCGGGCCAAACUUCCUUUUGGGCCGAGUCGCGACCCAUUUCAUAUGGGUUUGGUCUUGGGCCCAACUUCCUUUUGGGCCCAGUCAAAGUCCAGGUUAUAUGGGUCCAGUUUUAACCCCAGCUUCAUUCAGGUUCGAGUCGUGGCCUAGGUCACAUGGAUCCGGUCUCGACCCCAACUUCCUUUAGAGCCGAGUCACAGCCCACUUUAUAUGGCUCUCUUCCCCUUGAUCACUUCAGAGCCGAGUCGCGGCCCAGAUCAUAUAGGUCCCAUCUCAGCCCCUAGCUUCCUUAAGGACCGAGUCACAGCCCAGCUCCUUCCUAAGCCAGUUUCAUCCUAAAUUUCUUUAGGUCGAUAUAAACCUAGCCCAGUUAUUUGGGUCGUCCAGCCCACAUGUUUUUAUAAUAUUUAAUUAAUAUAUAUAAUAUAUAAUAUUAUUGUAAACCCACGUAAAAAAAAACAUAGGAUCGAAGUAAUGAGGUCUCGAUGAGUAAUGGAGAUUCGAUAUGAAAUAAAUGAAUAAAUAGUAAGAAUGAUAAUAAAUGUGUCAUGUGAGAGAGAGAAUAAUCUCCAUAAACAUAUUUAAAGGUAUCAUUGAAGUCGAAAUGAGAGUUAUGAUUUUUAGUUUAAAACUCGUAACGUUGGCGAAACCAGUGACAAGUUUCAUUGGAUAAAAGAAUAAGAAAAACGAGAAGAUAUUAAACCUUGAUAAAAAAAAAACUUAUUUUGACAAAUUAGUGAUAAAUGUGGUAAUAUUGAAUUUAUUGAGCAUAAAUUAAGGGGAAAUGCCAUGAGAAUCUAUGUAAAUAAAGUAAUGCAUGAAAUUCAGAUUUUAGUGUAAAAGACAUUGAUUGUCUAGUUUUAAGGUAUCGAUAAUAUAUCUCAAUCCGACCGUUGGAUUGGACUGAAAUUUUAUAAGAAAUCUCCAGACUUAUUGUUUUAUCUUAGGUUACAAUUGCAUGUCAAUCGGAGUUCGGAAAGGCUUUACGAGAGUACUCAAAAUCAGGUAAAUUGAAGAAGAUGACACAGGGGGCAUUAAUAAGGGUAUUUUGGUAAUUUUAUAUGAAACAUCAUUCCCCUCUCCUCCUUUAAACACAGCUCAUGUCCUCUUCAAAAGGAGAAAACAUGAGGGAGACUAUUUUUCUCCUAUUUUCUUCAUCUUCUCUCCAUUUCUUCAAGUUAAAUAAAAAAGGAGCGUUAUUGGGAGGAUUAUAUCCAAGAAAACAAAUUAAAUGACUAUACUUAGAGAGUUAUAAAGCUUGGAAGAAACAAAGAGUAAGAGCUGGAACUUGAAAGAGGAGGACAUGAGUUUUGUAGAUUUUUGCAAGAAUUCAUUGAAAUAAGUUAUGGUAGCAAAGGUAAGCAACAUACCCUUUUUUAGAUUGAUUUUUUUUAUUAUUAUGUCAUCCUCCAACAUUUAAUUAGCCAGGUCUUUAGCUUCUUAGUUGAGUCCGGGUCUAAAAUUUAACGGUUUGUUGGUUUAAGAGAUUGACCCCAAUUUCUUUGUUUUUUUUUUCUUCUUUUUCCAUCCCCCAACAUUUUGUUAUAUUUUAAUUCACUUUAUAUGGUAUUUUUUAGUUUUUUUGAAAAUAAUGCACGUUGCCUUAGUUUUUUUUUUUUUUUUGUCUUUGUUGAAUUUAGUUUUUAUGAAAGAAUUUUAUUUUUAAAUUGAAUUAAAUUGAUUGAUUUAAUCUUCCAACAUUUAUAUUUUUAGGUGUUGAGCUCCUGCAUUAAGCCUGAGUCAAGAAUUAAUUGGAUUGCGUGUUUGAGAGUUUAACCCGAGUUUAUAAGGUUCACUCCGACUUCUUUGGUGUUUUGUUUCUUUUUUAAGCUCUUUUCUUUUUUCAUAUUUCAACCUCUAACAUUCUUUUUUACUCUCUUUCUAUAUAAUUUAUCUUUCUUUUUAAAAUAACAAGGGUUGCCUCAAAGUUUUCUAUUUUCGAUCUUCGUUAAAUUUUGCUUCUUUAAAAGGAAUUUUCUUAAUUAAAUUUAAUUUUUUUUAUUUCAUCCUCUUGCAAUUAAUUUGAGGCAAUACAUGAGAGAAUUUUGCUUUUUUAAUUAAGGUUUUUAAAAAUUGGUAUUUGUUUUUCUACUUUUUUUCUAUAGAGUUAUCUUGAUAUUAUGUCUCAAGUCAUGGAUUCAAUAUAUUUACCAAGUUUGACUCAGGUUUUUUUUUCAUUUUUUUUAAUCUCGAGUCAAUGAUCAAAAUCUUAAAUUUUUUUAAAAAUUGCAUCAUCAAUAGUGUUUUUUUUACUUGUUUUUUUUUCCUAAAUCUAUAUUUCUUUCUCUACUUUCAUACUUCAAUAUUUAGUUUAUUGGAGACCGGAUUUAAUAAUUUAUUGUGGUUUACUUUAUAUAUGGUUAGCUCAGUCUCUUUACACUAUAAACUAAAAGAGGUGGUGAAUUUACUAUUUACCGCCUCACAAAACACUAUUUAUUCCAAUAAUGUUUUUUGUUUUCUAAAUCUAUAUUCCUUUCUCUAAUUUCAUAUUUUUACAUUUAGUUUAUUGGAGACCGGGCUUAAUAAUUUAUCAUAGUUUGCUUUAUAUAUGGUUAGCUAAGUCUAAUAACUCGUAUUACGGGUUUGACGAGUUAGCUCAAUUUUUUUUUAUCUUUUUAUAAUUGGUAUUUUUUUAAUUUUAUCAUCCAACAUUGGGUUGAUUAUGAAUUAAGCUUUUGAUUUAUAUUGGUUUGCUUUUUAUGAGGUUAUCCUAGUUUUAUGACUCAGGUCACGUGUUUUGCAAGUUAAGUCGUGUAGACUCGGGUCUUUUAUUGUCUAAUAUUUUUAGAUUGAUUUUUUUUUUCAAUUUCAACCUUUAAGAAUAAGUUUAUUGAAAUUUGAAAUUUGAGAUUUAUAAUUUGUUUUGAUUUACUUUUUAUAAUGUUAUCACAAUCUCAUGACCUUGAUUGCGGGUUUGGCAAGUUAAUCUAGGUUGAGACUCAUGCUAUUUUUUUUUGUUUACUUUCUAUGAAAAAUCAAAAUAGUUUAGUAAUAAAAUUAAUAUAAAAAAUAAAUUGGGUGCAAAAUUGAUAACACCCAUAUAGUUUAAUGGUAUAUUUUUUAAAAAAGCUAUUAUUUUGAAAGUUUGAUUAAAAGUCAAGUCAUGUUUUUACCAAUCAUUAAGAUUGUAUUUUGAUUCGUAAAAUCAAUCAAUUUAAUUAAAAUUAACUUUUACAUGAUUUAAUUAAAAACUUGAGUUAGAUAAAAAAACUAAAUUACAAAAUUACAAAAUUAACUUAUUAAAUCAAUAAUAUAAUUAAAAGAUUGUUCAUACUUUUAAUAUUUUUUUACAUUUAAAAAAUUUAUCCAAUGAAUAACGGUUCAAUAAACUAGUAGAAGUUAGAUCACGAGACACUAACGUCAGCUGAACUACUUCAUGAUUGAUAAGCUUUAAAUGAGCAAUUAAAAUAUCAAAGGAUUUCUGGGACACUCCCAGGAUGUUUAAUUAUUGAUAAGCUUUAAUUAAUUAUUACACAUCUUUGUAUUUUUGAACCUCCUCAACCAAAUUCUAAUCAUUUUCCGGGCACUCCGGUAUCCAUUUCUUACUGCUAUUAUUUUUUUUGGAUAUCUUCCGACUAUAUUUUUUUUUCUUCCUUUCUUUGUGCGGGACCUAAAAAUAGGUUACAACAUCCCGUAUACAUCAAAACAAGACAUUGUUUUUAUAUAUCUUCUUGCAACAUUUCAACGAAAACCAGGUAUUUUAAUACCGGAUUUGUAACUUUACGAUAUAAAAAUACAAACCAAUAUUAAGAAAAAUUGACAAAAAAAUACGCGAGAAAAAUCACAAAUUUUGAAAAGAUUUUUUUUAAAAUUUUUUUCAAAAAUUUGUUUUGGACUGGGCCACACUUAGCCCAACCAUUUUGGUCUGGGCCAGCGCUUUCUAGCCCAUUAAACAGUGGAGGAUCUCUCCACUGUUCACUUUGUCGAUCAAUAGAGACGGGGUAAUGAAACUGAAGAAGAAGAAGAGCAGGAAGCUGACCUAUGGUGGCUCAUGGUGACGUUCGCUAGUGGUGGCGUUGCGAUUGCGAACUGGGGAGCAGCUCGGCCAAUGGUUCUUCUUCCUUUCUCUGUGUUUUUUGUAUUUCUUCUUCUCCCUGCUUAUAUUCUCCCACUUCUCUGUUUCAUUUCUGACGUGUUGUUGAUGAUGGCUCGAGCUGGCGAUGUUGCGGACUACAGACGGUGACGUUGCGGUGGUUCUUUUGGUGAAUAAGGCUCUUUCUUCAUCCGUCCUCCUUUCCAAAAAUCCCCUUCUGUUUAAUCUUUUUUGUCUGGUAUUUAUAAGUAGAAGGAGAGGGAGCCACCCUGCCCUGUCCUGUCUUGGGGACAGGGUAGAGUGGUUGGGGCAACCUUUAUGCAAUCACCCCAGAGCAGCCCACAGGGCAUGGCUCCCCUGCCCCUUCCAUGAUGGUGGUAGGCCAUGCAGCGUGGGCUAUGUCAGUUUUCUUGCAAUUAGGGAGGGAGAGAAAGAGAGAGAAAAGCAUGAAAAGAAGAUUUUAAAAAACAGCUUGUCCUUCCCCUACUGCACGUCCAAGGGAAGAAGAAUAGUGUCAUUCAAAACGACAUCGUUCUAUGAUUCUGUCUCUUUUUUUUUUUGUGAAAAAAGAAAUGAAUUUGGGGAAUAAAAAAAAAUGAAUUAUAAUAGUUGCCCCCUCUUUACAAUGCUUACAAAGCAAAGACUUUAUGUAGUAAGUUUUGUAAAAAUAAAUUAAACUGAACUUUUAAAACUGAUUUUCUCAAAGCUUGGUUGAUCUAAAGCUCUAUCUUUGCAGCAAAUCUCUUCAACCAUGAACUAACAAUCAAAACUGUGUAUAACUUGGUCAUUCUGAGAUCUCGAUCUGACGAUCCUCUAAAUUCUGUCUUUGAUUGGGUUAACCUGAAAUCUCAUCUGACGAUUCUCUAUAACCAGAACCUAGAAAAAAUGUUCUUCCUGAUGGCAGGGUUUGAACUUUCUCUUCUCUUUUUUUUUUUUGAGAAUUUCCUAAUGGUAGGGUUCUUCUCACUUUUCUUCCAAUGUUAAGAUGAUGUUGGUAGCUCGGUCAACCUGAGAUCCCAUCUGGUGAUCUCCUUUAACCAGAACCAAAAUUCUGAGUGCAGCUCGGUCAACUUGAAAUCUCAUCUGACGACUCCCUUUAACUAAAGCUAAAUUUCAUGUAUGGUUGGAUUAACCUGAGAUCCUAUCUGGCGACCUCCUUUAACCAGAACCAAAAUUCUGUGUGUAGCUUGAUUAACUUGAAAUCUCAUCUGGUGACACAGGCCCAACACUCUUCCAGGCUGAUGUGGGCCUAACACCUUUGGGCCACCCGCCCCCUGUCUUGGGCCGAUGUUUUGGGCCGACCUUGAUCCAAUUUCUUCUAGGCCAAUUUCAACCUAACAAGGAUGGGCUCAACCCAUAAUUUGGGCCAGCCCAUCCCAAUGUUUUUUUUUAUUAUAUAUUUAUAAUAAUAUAUAAUAUAAUAUUAUAUAUUAAAAAGAGGAGACAAAAUUCUGAAAAAUUUCAAAAUCUUUUCAAAAACAAUUUAUGGCUUUCUCGUGUAUUUUUCUACCAAUUUUGAUUAAUAUUAGUUUGUAUUUUUAUAUUGUAAAAAUACAAAUUCGGUAUUUGUUUUGGUAUGAAAAUAUGAUAUGAAAUUUCUUAUAUUUUUUAGUCGUAUGCAUGAAAAGAAGAUAUUUUUUUUUUGUUUUUCCAUAUAUUUUUUUUUGCAACAUUUUGGAGAAAACUAAGAAUUUCAAAAUUCAAAAAAUAUGUAUUAGCAUGCAUUUUGAGCUUUAAUAGCCAGUUUAUUAAAGCCAUGAGAACUAGGCCAAUAUUUUAAAAAUACAAAAAAAAUUAUUUCCUUUCCUUUUAAUAUCUAAGAUUACAAACUUAUACGUAAGAUGUAUUUCUAAUAUUAAAUAAGAGUUAGUUUUCCUUUUUAUCGAUAUUAAAACGGUUAGAUUUUACCAGAUAAGAUAGGCAUCGCCUUACCGAGAAUUACUUUUUUAAAACCUUAGACGUACCAAUCAUUAGAAAACACGACAAUACCUUAGUUUAUAUCAGACAAUUAAACAAUGCAUCUUACCUUAGAUAUGACGUAUUUAGGGUGCUAAUGCAUUGCCUUUAUGCAACCAGUUCCCAUACCCGAUCUCUAAGACCAAUUAGGGUUUCUAUUAACCAAAAUAUUAAGUGACGACUAUCAUUCUUUCUUUCCACUGAUAAAAAAACAAAAAUUUCUUAUCUUACCUAUUUUUCAAAUACAUACCAGAGUAAACGACCACCGCGACACCGCAUACUAGCUACUCUUCUUCUGUAAUUUCGUUUGGCUUUUUAGCUAGUAGCUCCUCAAUUAUUUUGUUAUUAUUAUUAUUAUUAUUAUUAUUAUUAUUAUUAUUAUUUAUUUUUGCUGGCAACUUCACCAACAUUGACUUUUUGAGGAGCAUUAACAUUGAUACACUGACUUCUAGCUAGGGGUGUGCAAAAAAACCGGAAAAUCGAAUAAACCGAUAAAACCGAACCGAGAAAAAAAAACCGAUUAAACCGAUUAGAAUAGUUAGAAAAAAUCCCGGUUCGGUUCGGUUUUUGGUUUUGUAAUGCAAGAACCGGUUAACCCGGACCGAACCGAAUCGGUUCAAAAAAAGACUAUAAAUAGAAAAAUUUAUCCCUCCACCCCCCAGUAACCCUAGCCAUCAGCAGCCCCUCUCGCCUCUUUCUCUCCCUCUCCCUCUUUCUCUCCCUCUCCCUUCCUCUAGACUUAGAAGCAGCCCCCUCUCGCGCUCUUGAUCCUAGGAUGAAUCCGGGUGUAGAGGAUCUUGCUAGGCUUGGGUGCGAGAGGAUGUUGAUCUUUGUAGCUAAGGAAGACUAUUUAACUGUUGCAGCUAAGAAUUAUUAUGAGAAGUUGACAAGGAGUAGAUGGAAGGGAACUGUUGAACUUGUCGAGAAUGAAAAGGAAGACCAUUGCUUCCAUUUGCUUCUGGGUAUUCUUUAAAAUGCAGGAAAGAUAAGAUUUAUCUGUAUAAGAAGAUUUGGGGUUUUGAUUUUAAAAAAUCGGGUUUGGAUUUUUGGCAUUUGGGUAUUUGAAAAAUAUAGGAAAAACCAUGUUUAUUUUGCAAGAAAUUUAGGGUUUUGAUUUAUAGCAGAGUUUUGGAUUUAGAAUGUUGAUUUUAUUUUUAUUUUUUAAUUGAAAUCAGUUUUAUUCUUUCAACGAUUUUAAAAAAUAAGAACUAUAACUUAUAAGUAAAAAAAGUUAAAAGAUGAUAAAAUUAAAAUAAAAUUUUAAUUUUAUAAAUUAUUUUAAAUAAAAUAAGUAACAAUAAAAAAAUAAAAAUUAAAUUUAAAUAGAUAAAAAAAAUUUAAUUAAAAAACAAUAAAAAAAACAAAUAACAAUUAAUAGAAUAAGAACUAAAGUGAUAUAACAAAUAAAAAUUAAUAGAAUAAGAACUAAAGUGAUAUAAAAAUAAAAUUGAAUCAAAUUGUAAAGGAUAAAAUUGAAAUAAUAAUAAAACAAAUUCAUAAUAAAAUAUAUAGUAAUAAAAAAUUUAAUAACUAGAUUACAAGUGAAAAAUUUUAAAGAUGAUAAAAUUAAAACAAAAUUCUAAUUUUAUAAAUUAUCUCAAAUAAAAUAAAUAACAAUAAAAAAAUAAGAAUCAAAUUUAAAUAGAUAAAAAAAAUUAAUUAAAAAACAAAUAACAAUUAAUAGAAUAAGAACUAAAGUGAUAUAAAAAUAAAAUUGAAUCAAAUUGUAAAGGAUAAAAUUGAAAUAAUAAUAAUAAUAAUAAUAAUAAUUCAUAAUAAAAUAUAUAGUAAUAAAAAAUUUAAUAACUAGAUUUGAUAUAAUUAACAAAUAACAUUAUAUUUUUGAAUUGUUUCAACUUUUAAAAAGUGUAAUACAAAAUAAAAAAAAAUACCUUUUUGGAAAACAACCAAAUUUUUCCACAAAGUAAAAACUGUUUUUCUUUUAUCAAUUUUUUAAUAAUAAAUAAAUAUUAAAAAAUAUAAAAAUUAUUUUUCAUGAACCACAAAAAUAGUCAAAAUCAAAUCUUUAUAUGAGUUUUACAGAUGAGUUAACCAGAUAAGUUACUCCCGGUUUGACUAUAUCAAUGUUUUGAAAGCAAACUCAGGUUUUUGUUUUUUUUUUAAUGUAACAUUCUACAUGUGAAUGAUUUAGUUGUAAAAACUUAAAACUUUUAUAAAGAUUAAAGAAUAAUAAAAAAAAAAAACACAAGCGAUGAGUAGUUUUUGGAGAACAGGAAGGAAGAGGCGAGUCAUUCCACCUCUUAAUUAUAGUCCUUGCAAAUCAACUCAAUGCCCACUCCACUCAUUAUUAAAAUCCAUUUGAUUUUAAUCUACCUAAGUUAAUUUACCUGAAUCAUGAUUCACAUCUUGCACUGAGUUGACUCAGUCAAAAGCGUGCAAUUCUGCAAGUCUUCGACUCAGGAGGGAGGCCCAUUGCCUUAAGAGUAAUGAAAGUUGGAAAUAUAAUAAAGGCCCAAAGUGAAGAUAUAUCGUCAAGUCCAUUAAAAAUGAUUUAGACAUCACGCCAAUGGCCUUCAACCUUGUCCACUGUCCAUUAAAAAUGAGGAAAAUGGAUCAAUCGAUCGAUAUUCUCGUAUGGAUUGGACAAGUUAAUUUUCAACAAGUUCAUAUAUUUUAAACCAUGCCAUGUUAAAUUACUGACCCUAAAAUUAUUACUGACCCUAAAAUUGUAAGAGUAAACUUUAAACUAAGUAAAAAAGAUAGGUAGAAAUCUCUCUCUCUCUCCCCCUCUCUCGUGCACACGCACACAGAGGAGGAGAUAAGGUCAGAAUUAGAACAUACACACACAGAGGAGGGGAUAAGGUCAGAAUUAGAAAAUUUAAGUCCUUUUCCUUCCUUCACCCAAAGGAAAGGUUGCUGGCCUUGGUUUUUGUGUUGUUGAAAUGUUAUAAUCUAUAGCCUCAUCCUAAGAGAUAGAUGUUUAUUACACUAUUGACUUAGUAUUCUCAUAUUUAUAAUUUGUUAUGAGUGUUUCUUUCAGAAAUGGCUUUGAACAGCCAUAUUGACCUUUUCUUAUAUUAAAAAAAAAAAACUAAGUUAGUUGGUGGUAGGUAAGUUUCAUUAAUGUCCAAUGUUAGAAGAACAUAAACCUACUACCCGUGCAGUGAGUCCAAUUGAUAUGCACUUGUAAUUAAGAAUAUACUUAGAGUAUACACGGGACCAACCUACAUCGGAUAUUUAAUAAUACUGAAGAUAGGUAUUUUACUAUUGAAACAAUGAUAUUCCGACGAAAAUAAAGCUAAAAAAAUAGCGUAACCGGUUUAUAAUUAUCCAUUAGAAUUUGAUUAAAAUGUCGAAAAAAAAUUUUCAAUUUUUUUUUUAGAGUCCAGAUGUAGACUUUAAUAUCUGUUGAGUGUAAAAUUAUACGAUAAAGUACAUUCUCGAGUGUUAAAGAUACAAGGCAAAAAAUAAAUGCGAUGCUAAUUUUUUUAUUUUAGAAUGGUUAGGAUUUAACCCGAUAAAAUAGAGACUCUCUCAUGAAGAGAGAUCUACUUUGAACCUUAAACGUAACCAACGAAUAGAAACCUGACCUAGAAACAAUAAAAAAAUAAUGCAGCUUACCUUAAGUAGGGUGCACUGGGGAUGAUGUGUCUUUCCCUGGCACAACCAAUGUCUUUUCCUGGCACAACCAGUCUCUUACCCAGACUCUCGCAGACUAUAGAUUCCUAGUAACCAUAAUACUAGGUGGCAACUCCUAAACAUUAAACAUAAUUUUAUGAUUAAAUCCAAAAAUCUUUCCAAAACAACACCUUACAUAGGAGGCAUGACAAAAGCCUCUGUCGUUGUCAAAUGACGUUGCGGUGCGACCCCGCGACACCUAUAAACAUGCUUGAAAAGUAUAUUGAGUUCCAUUUAGAUUUUCUUAUUUGGUUGAUUUUUAUUUUUUUUGAAUGAUUUUGGAAUUUUUUUUUUGGUAUAUGAAGGUAUUGGCAUAAGCUGAUCCAAUAUAUUGUUGUUUUAAUAUCUUAAAAAAAAGUUUCUUCUUGAAGUUUUUUUAAAAGUCAAACCAUGUUUUCAUUGGUUUUCUAAGUUGUUUUUAAACAAGCUUAGUCGAUUGGGUUAUAUUGGGACAACUCCUAAAUAAUUUGAUUUGAAGCUCAAGUUAGACAAAAAGUCCGGUUAAGAUAUUUCAAGAUUAACCCGUUAGAUCGAGUUUAAUAACACUAUUAAUAAAUUUUCCAUUACCUAAACAUUAUUUUUUUUACAUUAAUUUUUUUUAUCCAACCAGCAACAUAACAUUGCUAUUUAUCUAAUUGUAUUUCUUUUCAUUGAAGGACAACACUUUUCUAUGGAAAAAGUUACUAGAAAAUUCAUAUUCAAAGGCAAAACUAGAAUUUUCUGUGUUGCAAAUAAACAAACUUUAUUUGCAGGUCUUUGAGAUCUCAAAAGUCCACACUUUACAUUUAUCAUUGUUGAAAGAGCUAGUAUUAAAAUUAUUAUUUCAAUGUUAUCAUCAAUUUUGUUUUAUCAAUUUUAUCAUUAAACUUUCAGAAGUUUUAUCAUUAAAUUUUAUCAAAUUCUUGUUUUUUUUCUCCUUAUUCAUAAUUUUCCAAAAAAAAAAAAACAAAAACAUUGACCGAUCAUAGCUUAUAGAUUAAUUAUUGGAAGCGAUGAGGAGCUAGUAUCGUGUCAAAGUGAUCAUCAUCAACCUUCCAUUCAUUUCUCUCUUUGCUAGGUGAGUACUUGUAAAAAUUAUUAUUCUAUUUGUUUAUCAUUAUCUUUAUAUAAUAUUAUGCCUAGUAUCUUAAUUAUGUCAUCAAAUUGCAUUUUUUUAAUGGGUCAGGUACACAAGCCCAUGCGCCUGGCAUCUUAUGCUUUCUUUUUUCCUCUUACAUUUUAAACUUUAAUCAUUCUAAAAGAUUGGUUAAAAAACAAUUUGAUUUUUUUUUUAUCGGAUACCAUUGAAAUUUCAAAUUUUUUUUUUUUUAAGAUUGUAACCUUUUUUCAUAUUAUUUUAGCAAGUGCUAUUUCUUUACACCCCAUCAUGGUGUUUUGUGCUUUUUUUACAUAUAAAAAGUUUAUUUAAUUGAUAAAAUAUUUUUGUUUGUUGUUUGAUUAAAUACCAUUUGAUUUUUUAUUUUUUAUAACAUUUAAAGGCACUUUUUUUUUUACAAACCUCCACUGUGGUUUUCUUUACUUGAACUUUAUUACGUAGCUUUCCUUUGCAUGUUAGCUUUUAUUAUCUUAAAGUUCGAAAAAAAAUCCAAAAAAUAAAGUUAUUGAACCCAUCUGUACCCAUCGCUCAGUUUACGGGUUGACAACUUAACUCGAGAUAAUCCAAGUCAAUACAAAGUAUUGUCAUCUUAGUGUAUAAAAAGAAAACUUAAAAAGACAUUCACUUGAUUUUUUUCCCUUAAUACCAAACUAGAUUUUAACUAGUUCACAUCCUGUAGGCUCCUGCCCAAUUUAAUUUGAAAUCCAAUCCAUGUAAGGGCUUGGUUUGGGAGGUCUCUUAACUUCUCAACUUGAUGUUUUAUUAGUGUUAACAACUCUUUUAAAUGUUUAAUUAUAUCUUUAAUACUCCAUAUCUUAAAUAGAUGUGAUACAUUUUUGACUUAUUGUCAAUAACCUAAUUUUUACCUCGUUUAAAAAACACAUAAAUUGUGCAUCAGACAAUUUUGUAGACAAAACUGGACAUAUUUAAAAAAAAACAGUUGUUGAAAACAUUCAAAAAAUCACAAAAUAAAAAUUAUGAUUUGGGAUGAAAUCAAACAAAUAAUAAAAUUUUAGAAGCAAAAAGUGGUCUAAAACAAGUACAAGCAAGCCAACUAUAGUUUUGAGGAACAAUUAGGAGUUUGUUUGAAAAGAAAAUUGAAGAAAAAAGUUGAAUUUGACCAAAUUUGCUUAAGAGAGAGGUUGGAGAGAGAAAUCAUGUUUUAGAUAAAGAAAUGAGGUUUGUAAGAAAGUUAUGUAGACUUACAUUUAUUAUAUAUCAAGAAAAAAAUAUUUUUUUGUUUAAUUUGAUUUUUCCUGUUGAUCACGAAGGCAAACAAUAAUUUAUAAAAUCUUAGAUUGAAAACAAAAAAUAGACUAAAAGUACAGGAGUGCUUUUAUAAUUAUCCUUAAAAUUUAUUAAGGAAAGAAAGAAAAAAUUCAACAAUAGAGUACCAAAGUAUAAAAUAUAGAGAAAUCCAAUGAUCAAUCUUAAAUUUGUUAGAAAAAGUCAUGUUUAGCUCACUUACUUUCCUUUUUUUACUCUACAAUUUCUUUAGUUUUUACAAAUUUAAUUUUAGUUCAAAAAUUCAUUUUCAUAACAUUUUCAGUCAUUGAGUUUAAUAAAUAAAAGAGAAAGUCGUUUGAAAAUAGUGAAAGAGUAAUAAAGUUGGUGAAUAAGCACUUUUUAGAGACAAAACUCAUCAUUCUUGAUACCAACAAGUUUUAUUAUAGGAGAAAAAAUUUGAUGGUGGUGGUUUCUUCCUAUAAACACGCCUGAAAAGUAGAUUGAGUUCCUUUUAAUUUUUUAAUUUGGUUGAUUUUUAUUAUUUGAAUAAUUUUGGGAUUUUGUUUUUGGUACAUAGAGGUUUUUAUGGUAUUUUUAUAUGCAAAUGGAUUUAAAAAUAGGUUCUUAGGUUUGACUUAUUGACUUUUUUUUAUCCAUUUCCAUUACAUGUUUCUAUUAAAUUAGCUCUAUUUUUUAAAUAGUAAUUAAUUUUUUUUAUAUGUUUUUAGUUGCAUGAUAUUUCAAAGAAAUUAGUUUAAUUUGUCCUAAACAAGAUUAAAAUACAAAGAACAAUCAAUGUAUCGAUAUUUUAUUUCUACUAUAAAGACUAUCUUCAUGUUUUAAUAUUAAAUUAGUGACAACAACUCCUUUUAGAUUAAUUUUAUGUGUUAUUGGAAGCGAUGAGGAGCUAGCAUCAUUCGUGCAAGUGUCAAAGUGAUCAUCAUCAACCUUCCAUUCCUUUCUCUCUUUGCUAGGUGAGUACUUGUACAGAUUAUUCUUAUUUGUUCAUAAUUAUUUCAUAAAAUUGAAUUUUUGUGGGAAUUGAUGCUUUAAACUCAUAAGUCUAAACUAUUUUGUUUCAAUGUAUUCGUUAGAUCGGUGGUAUGCUAUCUUUCACUAAUGAAAUUCUUUUUGUUGGUUUUGAGAAGAAAAAAAAAAGUAUUUCUAUCUUUGUUUUAUGGAAAAAGCACAUAGAUCUAUGAACUAGAUAUAAAAAAAGAAAGGAUAGAUAUUCCCAUUACUUAAUAAUCGUGGCAUCUUAAUUAUGUCAAAUUAGAUAAAGCUGCUCUAACUCGCGGCAUAGAUGGAUAAAAAUAAUUAAAUAAGUGUAUGAUGCAGAGAUAGUCAUUACAGAUUUUAGUUGGCUAAGAUUGAUCCUUUGUUGAGUUCGUUCCAUUAAUUAUACUUCCUUGCAAGUCUUUUUUUCUCUUUAUUCAUAAUUUUUUUUUAAAAAAAAACAUUGACCGAUCAUAGCUUUAGAUUGAUUAAAUGUGUUAUUGGAAGCGAUGAGGAGCUAGUAUCAUUCGUGCAGGUGUCAAAGUGAUCAUCAUCAACCUUCCAUACAGAGACUGGUGGAAAAUGGCUAUCGAAUGUGUUGGUGGAUCCGUUGUAUCUAAGAUAGCAGAGCUCUUGGUGGAACCAGCAAUAAGGCAGUUCCGUUACAUGUUCUGCUUCAACAAUUUUGUUCGCGAAUUCAUUGAACGAAAGCAGAGCCUUGCUUUAGCGCUAGAUCGUCUACAAAAUGAGGUCAUAGUUGCUGAAAGGAAGGCUGAAGAAAUUGAGAAAGAUGUCAGUAAAUGGCUGGAAGAUGCAAACAACGAAAUUGAAGGUGUGAAUCCUUUGGAAAAUGAAAUAGGAAGAAAUGGAAAAUGCUUUACUUGGUGUCCAAAUUGGAUGCGACAAUUCAAGUUAAGCAAGGCACUGGCAAAGAAGACGGAGACUUUGAGAAAACUUGAAGAAAAUAGCAGAAAAUUUCCGAAAGUGUCCCACAAAACACCUCUUCAAGACAUAGAAUUUCUUCCAUCAGAGGGACUCACACCCUCGGAAUCAUCAAAAGAAGCUUUCGAACAGAUAAUGAAAGCUCUCAAAGAUGACACUGUCAAUAUGAUCGGACUGUACGGCAUGGGAGGGGUGGGUAAAACCACCCUGGUCAAAGAAGUAGGUAGGGGAGCCAAAGAGUUGCAGCUUGUUGAUGAAGUUUUGAUAGCCACGGUGUCCCAGAAUCCAAAUGUCACAGACAUGCAGGAUCAAAUGGCAGAUAGUUUAGGUCUGCAUUUUGACGGAAAGAGUGAAAAGGGGAGAGCAGGUCGGUUAUGGCAGAGACUUCAGGGAAAGAAGAUGCUUAUAAUCCUCGAUGAUGCUUGGAAAGAUAUUGACUUGAAAAAGAUAGGGAUCCCAUUUGGUGAUGCUCACAGGAGUUGUAAAAUUCUUAUAACAACACGCCUUGAAAACAUAUGUUCUUCUAUGAAGUGCCAGCAAAAAGUGUUUUUAAGAGUCUUAUCUGAAAAUGAAGCAUGGGCUUUAUUCAAAAUAAAUGCAGGUUUACGUGAUGAGGACUCUGACUUGAACAGAGUGGCAAAGAAGGUUGCGAGAGAAUGUAAAGGAUUGCCUAUAGCACUUGUGACAGUGGGAAGGGCUCUAAGAGAUAAAUCUGCAGUUGAGUGGGAAGUAGCAUUUGAUCAGCUAAAAAAGUCUCAAUUUCCGGACAUGGAACAAAUUGAUGAACAAAAAAAUGCAUAUGCAUGUCUUAAGUUGAGCUAUGAUUAUUUGAAGCACGAGAAAACCAAGUUAUGUUUCUUGCUAUGCUGUUUAUUUCCAGAAGAUUACAACAUUCCAAUUGAGGACUUGACAAGAUACGCAGUUGGCUAUGGGUUACAUCAAGAUGUGGAGUCCAUUGAAGAUGCAAGGAAACGAGUAUAUGUGGCAAUCAAAAACCUCAAAGCUUGUUGUAUGCUGUUAGGAAAUGAAACUGAAGAAUAUGUCAAAAUGCAUGACUUGGUUCGUGAUGUUGCUAUUCAGAUAGCAUCAUCAGAAAAAUACGGAUUCAUGGUAAAGGCUGGCUUUGGGUUGAAGGAGUGGCCAAUGAGGAAUAAAAGCUUUGAAGGUUGUACGGUAGUUUCGUUAAUGGGCAAUAAACUAGCAGAACUUCCUGAAGGAUUGGUGUGUCCACAGCUCAAAGUUCUAUUAUUAGAACUGGAUCGUGGUUUGAAUGUUCCAGAGAGGUUUUUUGAAGGGAUGAAAGAAAUUGAAGUUUUGUCUCUAAAGGGAGGGUGUUUUUCAUUGCAAUCACUUCAAUUCUCAACGAACCUUCAAUCGUUGCUGUUGAUGGAGUGUAAAUGCAAGGACCUCAUUUGGUUGAGAAAGCUGCAAAGACUUGAGAUUCUUGGUUUUAUAGGGCGCGACUCCAUUGAAGAAUUACCUGGUGAAAUGGGGGAGCUCAAGGAGUUGAGGUUGUUGGACGUGACAGGAUGUAGAAAUCUAGGAAGGAUUCCUGUGAAUUUGAUUGGAAGUUUGAAGAAGUUAGAAGAGCUGUUGAUCGGGCGAAAAAGCUUUAAGGAAUGGGAUGUCGUUGGGACAAGCAGGGGAGGAAUGAAUGCAAGCCUCACAGAACUAAAUUCGCUGUCUCAUUUAACUGUAUUAUCAUUGAAGAUACCGAAGGUUGAAACCAUUCCCAGAGAUUUUGUUUUUCCCAGGUUGCUCAAAUAUGAUAUAGUGUUAGGGAUUGAGUUACUCUAUAAAAAAUACCCAACUGCAAAGACAAGAUUAUAUUUGGGUGAAAUCAGCGCCACAUCCUUAAAUGCAAAGACAUUCGAGCAGUUGUUUCCUACUGUGUCUCAAAUUGUUUUCAUGAGAGUGAAGGGUUUAAGAAAUAUAGUAUUGUUCUCUGAUCAGAUGACCACCCAUGGCCAUGGGUCGCAAAAGGACCUCUUACGAAGAUUAGAACAUGUCAAAGUGGAAAAAUGUGGGGAUAUUCGCACUCUGUUUCCAGCAAAAUGGCGGCAAGCUUUGAAAAAUCUAACAAGUGUGGAUAUUAGUAACUGCAAAUCAUUGGAAGAGGUAUUUGAAUUGGGUGAGGCUGAUGAAGGAACUAAUUGGGGGAGGCUGCGGCUGCUGUCAUCUUUAACAACGUUACAGCUGCACCGGUUACCUGAGCUCAAAUGGAUAUGGAAGGGGCCCACUAGACAUGUCAGCCUCCAAAGUCUUAUUCAUCUGGAGUUGUCGUUUCUUGACAAACUGACAUUUAUCUUCACACCGUUACUUGCUCAAAGUCUUAUUCAUCUGGAAACACUACAGAUAAAACAUUGCGAUGAAUUGAAGCGUCUUAUCAGAGAGAAGGAUGACGAAGGGGAAAUAAUUCCGAAGUCUCUUUGCUUCCCAAGAUUAAAAAUUCUUCGUUUAAUUUAUUGUAUUAAACUUGAAUAUGUCUUCCCUGUCUCCGUGUCUCUAAGUCUUCAGAACCUGGAAGAGAUGAAGAUUCGUGAAGCUGCCAAUUUAAAGCAAGUAUUUUACAGUGGAGAAGGAGAUGACAUCAUCGUCAAGUCUAAAAUUAAAGAUGGCAUCAUCGACUUCCCUCAGCUAAGAAAAUUGUAUCUUUCAAAGUGCAGCUUUUUUGGUCCAAAGGAUUUUGCUGCCCAAUUGCCUUCUUUGCAAUGUCUAAGCAUCUCUGGCCACAACGAAUGGGGUAAUUUGUUGGCACAGCUUCAAGUACGUCCUUUAUAUUUCUCCAUUUUUUUUCUUUUCUAAUUUAAAUUGUCAACUUCAAUAAAUUGUGAUAAUUUGUUCUAUCUUCCUCCAAAUUUCGAAAACUAAAGUAAUUAUUAAGUUCUUUAACCAUCCACUACUGAAUUUAGUUGAUGAUUUAAAUUGGCUUAGGAAGUUAGACAUCAAUUACUGUAAUGUAAUUUCUUAUUUCUAAACCUAAAGUAAAUGGAUAAAUGCUAGCAAAUCCUUUAGCCAUCCACUGAAUUUUAAAGGAGUGAAAUUGAGGCUUUUCCGCCAAUUAAAGGAAAAUAUUUGGACCCGAUGAUAAAGCUUCGUCUGAGAAUAUUGAGUUUUUUUGUUUCAGUGCUGCAACUUAUGAACUGUUCAAAAAAUUAAUAAAGUUAGAGUCAAAAAAUGUAAAAAUUGAAACUUUCUUUUUAAAUACAAUAUUCCAAAUUUGUGUUGAAUUCAAAAAACAUAUUUUUUAAAUAUUUUUCAUGUUUUUGUUUCUACAAUUGUUUUCACUUUUUUAUGAAAAAAAUAAUUUAAAUGAUCAAUAAUCAAGCAUUUUUAUUAAAAAAAUUUACUAAUAUGUAAAAUUCAAAUUAUUUUCUUUUAUAUUUUUAUUUUUUGAUAAUGUGAUAUUUUUUUAUAAAUCGAAUAUAAAAAAUUAACUUUUAUGAGUUAAGAAGUGUAUUUUUUCAUGAUUGCUUUUAAUUUAACUAAUAUAAAAUAAUAGUUUAUAUUCAGUUUAUCAUAAAUACGAAAAAAUUUGAUUUUAUAUUCCCAUUGUUUUUUUUUAAGCAGGGAUUUAUGAAUUUGAAAGAAAUAUCUAUUGAAAAAUUGGAAGGAGUACAAGAUUUAAUGCAAGUUGGACGUUUGGUAACUAAUAGAAGAAGGGGGCAUGAACUUUCGCUCGUGAGUUUGGAAACAUUACACUUGAACUUAUUGCCUGACAUAAGGUGUAUAUGGAAGGGUCUCGUGCCGAGCAAUUUGACUACUUUGAAGGUGAAAAAGUGUGACAGACUAACACAUGUAUUCACAAACAGCAUGAUUGCUAGUCUAAUUCAACUGAAAUUUCUAGAUAUAUCAAAUUGUGAGGAAUUGGAGCAAAUUAUUUCUAAGGAUAAUGAUGAUGAAAAGGAUCAGAUAUUGUCAGGAAGUGAUCUCCAAUCUUCAUGCUUCCCUAAUCUGUGGCGACUUGAGAUCAGAGGAUGCAACAAGUUGAAGAGUCUCUUCCCAGUAGCCAUGGCUUCAGGUCUCAAAAAGCUUCGAAUACUUAGAGUAAGAGAAUCCCCUCAAUUAUUGGGAGUAUUUGGGCAAGGUGAUCAUGCUUCAGCUGUCAAUGUUGAGAAGGAGAUGGUGCUCCCUGAUCUGCAGGAGAUGUUGCUUGUACAAUUACCAAGUAUUUCCUGCUUCAGUCAUGGAUGUUAUGAUUUCAUAUUCCCUUGUUUGUUGAUGUGGGAGGUGCGUCAAUGUCCAAAGCUGACCACAAAAUUUGCUACUACAUCAAAUGGUUCAAUGAGUGCUCAAUCAGAGGUGCUGCAUAUUUGACAUGAUUUCUUGCCUCUCUUUUAGUGUUUUUAUUUCUUGUUUCCCUCAACAAUAAGACUAACAAGUUAGAAUGUGUAUGCCAUUCUUGAAUUGGCUUUGCAGGUAUCUCAAGUAGCUGAGGGUUCAAGCACUGGUUGCUCCGUGCCAACCAGCACUUGUAGAAACUGGACUCGAAAUAAAGGGUGGGAAGAGAAAGAGGAAGAGGAUGGAGUUGGUCAUGAUGAUUGAGUUAGAUGAUUAGUUUGGCAUUGGAAUUUGAAAAACAUGCUAAUAAUUAUUUCUUGCAGGUAAAAUGGAUGCAAUUAUUUAUUUUCUAUCCUUUUUUAAAUGGCUAAAUUAAAUCAACAUAUUACCUCGAUAUGCAUCAGGUUCGCUGGUUACCUAUUACAUGAACACCCAAUUAGGUGAUUUCACGAAGAUUCAUGUAUUUGAGUUGUGUUCAGCUGUUUCAUUAGCUAUGGGAUACAAUUUGGCUUCACAUUGUAAGAGUCUUAUUUACCAUAGAACUCCCAAAACAAGGUUUUUAACUUAUCUAUCUAUGUAUGAACCUCAAGAAAUAAGGGUUUCUGCUUGUUUGCCCAUUUGUGUUUCUUUUUCAAGUGUCUGAACCUUAAAAAACAAGGGCAUAAUGUUUGCUCAUUUGUGUGCUUAUUGUUUAAUAUGUGGAUUCUCAUUCUCC